This 188876-nucleotide long non-coding RNA is filed under the name Triticum aestivum (bread wheat). Its description in RNAcentral is "long non-coding RNA (TAES_LNC028382)". The record is from RNAcentral. Lineage: Eukaryota; Viridiplantae; Streptophyta; Magnoliopsida; Poales; Poaceae.
AGUAUUAAGGUAAACCUAACCAUAGCAUGAAACAUUGACACGGCACAUUAUAAAGAGUUCAAUCCAAAUUUUAUAGUAACACUAUUAUAUUUAAAUAGUGAUUAUUCUAACACAUGGAUAAUUAAUUAAGGCACCAGGUUGCGCUUGUGACCAGGAAAGACAAACUUAUGAACUUGCAAGCAUGGUAAUCAGAUCGACAUCCACACAAUGUCAAUAUGAACAUUGUCUUGAUACAACUUUAUUUGUAUUUUAUUUCAGAAUUUAAACAACUAGUUUGGGCGGGUCACACACGACGUUGUGUGACACUUUAUUUGUCACCGCUGCAUCGACAUAUCCAUCGACUAAACAACGGUGAUCCAACUAUAUAUUACUAGAGACCUUUCCUUAUCAGUAGGCACCAACUCCGGUGCCAACGCUGAAUGGCACACUAGUGGUGGUUCUAUACAAGGGCACAUUGACACGGCACAUCGUUGGCAGGGUACGGAGCGCAAUGGAAGUCAUCACCUCAAGCUGAGCUAUCUGGUGUGGAUGCAAAAAGGUACCCUGUGCCAAUUGUUGUUGUUGAGGUUGUUGCCCGAGUUGCUGCUGCGACUGCUGUUGGGGUUGGGAAACGCAUUGGCCCAACUAUUGCGGUUGCUGCUGCUGAGUUUGGAUGGAACCCUGAACCUGUUGUUGUUCUUGCAGGACGAUGGAGUAGAUGAUAGCACGGAUUGCCUCAUAGCGGGAUUGCUGGGGGAUUUGCGGCAACUGCUGGCAACAUUGUUGUUGCAUCACAUGGCAACUGCUCUGCUGCAACAUUUGCGACCUAGCAAGACUUUGUGGCAUUGCCACAGGGCUGCAUUGCUGCUGGAGGAAUACCUUGCAUGGGUUUAGUUGCUGCAAGAUAGAUGGAUGAACAAAUGGUAUUUGUUGUUGCGGUAGAACUGAUUGUUGUUGUUGCGAAAAUGGUGGUUGUUGCGGUAGUACUGGUUGUUGUUGUUGCGAAAAUGGUGGUUGUUGCUGUGAAAAUGGUGGUAGUUGUUGCUGCGAAAAUGAUGGUUGUUGCGGUAGAACUGGUUGUUGUUGCUGCAAAAAUGGUGGUUGUUGCUAUGAAAAUGGUGGUUGUUGCGAUAGAACUGGUUGUUGUUGCUGUGAAAAUGGUGGUUGUUGCUGUGAAAAUGGUGGUUGUUGUUGCUGUGAAUAUGGUGGUUGUUGUUGCUGCGAAAAUGGUGGUUGUUGUUGCUGCGAUAAUGGUGGUUGUUGUUGUUGCUGUGAACAUGGUUGCUGUUGUGGAAAUGGUUGUGGUUGUUGUUGGAUAGGUUGUUCUUGUUGUUGGUGCCAUAAUGUUUGUUGUGGUGGUAAUGGUUGUUGCUGCGAUGGUCUCUCCAAACCAGGGAUGUGGCUAUUCUCCAUUUGUGCAAUGGCACUUGUCGCCGCAACGGCGAGGAGGGCAAAGAUGAGGAAGGUCUUCAUGGUGGAUUGGUGUUAACUAGUGUUGCUUGGUUUUGAUGCUUGUGCUUGUGACGAUCUUUAUACUUCAUGCCUAUUUAUAGUAGCCCGGGCACCACCUUUUUCUUCUUUGCAUUAGCUUUAAUAAUUUUGUUUGGAUGCAAAAAUGAUUUUUGGUACAAUGUGUUAGGUUGCACUAGCUACACGCGUACUUUUGGAUUGAUCAUCAAAGUUGCUUUUUAGUUGUGCAUAUGAUCACACAUAAAGUACAGAAACCUUGAUGUUUGGUAUAUAUGACUCACCUUAUUCACUUUACAUGUCACACACUUAUCUGGAUAGUAUCACUUUUGCAACCGAGUUUGGAACCUUGUAUAGGCUGUCAUCCAUAAACAAGAAAGGCAAAACUUGUGUAGGACUAAGUGUAGAACUAACUUUGUAUUUUUCCUCUAAAAUGAUUAGAUGAACCGACGCCUAUAGAGCAUGACAUGACUCAUCGAAUUCCCUUUACAUGUAAAGGAUGGUAAUUGCUUACAAGCUACUCCUACUAGCAUAUAUCCGGUCCUAACUCUUGACACGUCAUCAUCAGUUUCGCCUAUUUUUUUAGAUAAAUCAUCAGUUUCAUCUAUUUGUGAAGGGUUUUUUUGGGGGAAAUGAUAGUUUUUUUAUGCUAGGGGGAUUUUUUUGGGGGGGGGGGAUGACGCUAGGGGGAAAUGAUAGAUGGGGCUGGAACAGAGGCCCCCAGCCUGGAGCGAGAGAUUAGGCCCAACAUAAGUGCCGUGUGUUAGGGCACCAAUUCGAUUUGGGCUAUAGUUCUCGUAGGCCCCAACGACACAAGCCCAGCCCACACUCCGCGGAUCUGCGUCCCUCCCUUCCUCGUCCUCCUCGCCGGCCGGACCGCUCGCCGUCGCAGCCUCUCCCGGACGCCCACCGCUCGCGGCCCCUCCACGUACCUCCGCGGCAGCGGAGACGUCAGCCUCCCUCCCACCCUCAACAUCCGGCCCCCCACCACCACCACCACCGCUCGACAAAAAAGGUCACUUUUGAAGCUCCUCCGUCGAUUGUGGGCCGUACGUCGACGGCAGCCACUCCGACCUCCCCAUCAACACAAGGUAUCGAUUUGUUUCGUCUGUCUCUUCCAACGAUUCAAUGCACAUAAAUCCGAGAGGCAGACCCAUCUCCAUGCUAGCUGCACGGAUUAGGAGGGUCAGGCAUCAGAAUUCAGCUGGGAAGCCUGACAGUAAUGUACAUUUGUGGCUUUAGUAGCUGAAUAUAACUAUGUGCUUUCUGAGAAUUUCACUUCAAAAGUUCCAAUAAUCAUCAAAUUUCCCCCUAUGCGCGCUAAGCAGGUGGACCAUAUAUUUCUCAUGUCGACGAACGAAAAAACAAAACUCCACAACUAGAAGUCUAUGAUAUUGACACGGAACCGUGCUGUAGGGUCGCAAGUAAAAAUAUGAAAAGCAUGCCUAAUAAGCGAGAUGACGCAGUUCCUGACCGCCCCGCUACGACUAUUGGUUCCAGCGUGGCGUUUGAAUUAUGCCGCGCUAGAUGUCUUUUGUCCGGCGAGGAACAAGUGGGGUCAAGCGUGCUUCGGCAAUUCCCGCCGUCAGAAGACUUCCUUGUAGUCCGGUGUAGAGGUGAGGUUGUGGGGAGAUACAUCGACUAGCACUACUAGGGAAAAGGCUAGCAGCAGCGCGGGUUUUAGAUGUAUCAGUAGUGCGGGUACCCGCGCUACUAAUACGGCGCUACAGCUAACUCAUAGCAGUAACGCGUGAGCACCCGCGCUACUGCUACACAAGUGUAGCAGCAGCGCGGUUAUGAGAAGCUCGCUACCGCUAGUAGCGCUAGCGCUCUUUGGCCGGACGCUCUACUGCUAUUGAGGCGCUGCUGCUAACUUUUGUACACUCGCUACUGGUAAUUUAAGUAGUUUUUUGGCAUAUUUGUUUUGUAUUUGAACCGGCUUUGUAGAAGAAUCUUUAGCACAUAGAAAUGUCAUCAUGAUACACAUACAAAUGCCUGCGAGACCACAAAUGUAAUCAUAGCAUGUACAUACAAAUAGUCUCUUCAUAAUCAUCAUCCAACACAAAGUGAUAUCUUGUCAUCAUCUCGAAAAUAGCAAUACAUGCAAGUCUCGAAUACUUGCAACUACAACAACGUCAUCCAUCUAAACAAAGGUAUACGCAAGAAGUGCUAUCACUAUGAGUGAGAGCGGAACCAUGCAGUACAUGAGGUGGCGGUUAUGAGUCCUCUCUUGCGCUAGCGUGAACCUCAAGUAACUAGCUUCUCCUUCUUGUCUGCUUUUGAAGCCUUUAUGGCUGGCGCCCGUGAACCCAUUCACUUGCGCCUGACACUCAUGCCACUCGUUGUACACCCCCGGAACCUUCCCUUUGUACACGACAUAGCAUUUCCAUCUCGCCAUCAAGAAACUAGGUACCUGUUAGAGAUGCAUGUUCAUGAAGAGGAUGUACAAUCAUAUAUAUGCAACAAAAUAUACUAGAGCAACACUAAGAAAGAAAGGUUAGCAACUAGAUGCAACAUAUACAUUACGCAAAUUAAUUAACUAGAGGUACGCAGGUCAUCGUACGCAAACUAACAAAGUAGCGUUACGCAAGUUUGGCAGGGACCAUGGACAUCACAAAGUUUCAUCGCUACAAAAAGUAUACAAGUUCAACCGACACAUAUCAUCAUCAUCGGCAUCAUAAAUCACUAGAAGUUCCAUCCUUCCAUAUCAUCGAGGACGAACCCUAGCUGCUUGAACGGCGUGAGGUCUAGACGUUGCAUGCCUAUGCGAGUUCGGACGUCAGCUCGCGAUAUAGGGCCGUGGUGGAACAUCCCCUUCUCAUCGACGACUUCUUUCAUGAUGAUCAUCGCAAUGUCGCUUUGGAUGCGAAAGAAGUCAUCUCUAAGUUUAUAAUUCGCUUCUCCAUGAGAUUCUAGCCACUUGUGGAUAUGAUCAUCAUUUCUGCUGUUAAUGCGAAGCUUUUGGUGAUCCGUGUUGAACUGAAUCAUGAGAUGGACGAUGUAGAAUCCAUCCUUCUUGCUUGGUUUUGGGACGUGGAUGCAGGAGAAGUUAGUUUUAUGCGCGAAACCCAUCUUCUUGUUCCUUUGUUUCCUGAUAUGCACGUGGCCACCUCUAAAGUUGAAGCCUUGGAGAGCAUCAUCUAGAAUAUUCAUUAUGUGGGUGUAGUCCUUUUUCUCGUAGUCUCUAGAAGGGUCAAAAUACACGGCGUGGGAGACUUGCGGGUAAAGAAUGAUAAGGACGGCGCGCCCGUUGCUGCGGGGAAAAGACACCUCAAAUUAUUCCCCAUAUGAGAGAGAAGGAAUGAUUGAAAUGUACGAAAGGGUUGUCCGGAACUGACUUACUUUGGAUGAUAAGGCACGAGGACAAUUUCCCGGUCCUUAUUCUGUACCAUGAAGUUUUGGAGGUACUCCCUAGCAGUUUCACGCUCAAAGUCGCCGAGACUCAAGAAAGACUCGUGCAUGUAGUACGGAUCCGCCACACAGAUUUGCGAGACUUCUUCACUCUUCACGACGGAGCUCAUAUGUAGCGCAAAAAGGCGGACGAUAGUAAAAUCAAGCCGCCUUGUUAGAAACAUCUCAAAGAUAUGGUCAAACCGCAGGAAGAACACCUCCGUGGGCCGUGUGUCGACGUAGCACUUCCCCUCAGGCACACGAGCUGCGUAUGUCGGAUAUCCUGGAUCCUUUGAGGCUAGUAGGCUUUUCUCAGUCGACAGCACGUGGUCGUGCAGUCUCCUGAGAUUCCCUGAUAGUGCCUCCAGCGGUUUCGGCGGUAGCAUCGGCUCGCCCGUGAGAUGGAACAUGACCGCACCUUUCACGGGUACACGCUCUUCAGAAUGCAUCGUCUGGCUGCUGUGUGCUCUGGCUUGUUUGGAGGCAGUUACCUUCCCCAAUCUCUUCCUCUCCUUUUUCUUGGGCACACCUUCCAGACCCUUCCUUAACCCCUGCCCAAGUGUUCCCGGGCUAAGUAUUGUACGACCCUCACGCCCGGCUAGUUGAGCCUGUGUUGAGGCGGCAUCUUCAGGCGUGUCCUGUGAGGAUUUCAUGAAGAGAGACUUUUUGCAUUCCAUGGUACGGCCCUGCCCGGGCAUAUCAUCCAUAUCCUCAUUAGCAAGCUGAUAGCCCGAUUCGUCAUAUGGUUGACUCAUCAUAUCUAUGUCACAGUCAUACGCGUUUGUAUUGAGGUAAUCCAUCGGGUCGACCUCCGUCUCAUCAUCCAUUCUCUGUUCUACAGGAGAAAUUACAUCAGCCAGUACUAUUGCACCCCCUUCAUCAUGUCGUCCGCCGCUCUCACACGGCACUACUACAGGAGCUGGUAAUUGCGUAGGUGGGGUGGUGGUCUCCGCACAUGCUUGCUGAUGUGUGGUAGUUAUUGGUGUGCUCUCGGCCGGCUCCAGACGAAUAAGAUUCUUCGGCCAUAGCAGCACCCAACCCUUGCAGCGUCCAAUCCGCGGCGGGGUCUCGUCGUCCGCUCCCACCUGCUGUACUGGAGGAGGCAAAUCCUCGUGCCCCGAUUUCACACUGGUCAAGCUAACCCUGAAGUGCCCAGCGGGGAUCGGCUGGUUGUGGAAUGUGCGUUGAGAGGGGUCCAUUAUCAUCCCCUUUCCCACGUCCACCUUCUGGCCUUUGAUCAAGUAGAGUAUGGUGCAUGGGGUUUCUUUCGCCUGCAAACACAUAUGUCUGUGGUGUAAAACAACCGAAAGGCAACAAAAAUGGAAUAUUAUAUAUAUAUAUAUGUUGGUGCGACAUGUAAUUACCGUGACGGCGUCGAGCUCAGCCAAAGACGAAGGCCCACCUAGCGCGCCUGAGACUGAGGACGGGCUGCUAUGAGCUGGAGCGGCUGCGAGAGGAGGCCCGGUUGCUUGAGCAAGUGAUGGUGCGAUGGUGUUGUUCAUGGAGUUGCUCGCGACGAAACUGGGCAUUGGGAAAUCAUGUACCGUCUUGUCUGGAUUUUCCUUCGCCCAGUUGAUGAUAACUGGAACCAAGUUAGUAGCGAAAUCAUUUCUGCAGGCAUUUACAGCUGCAUUGACUGCCUGCUGUAGCAACUCAUAUUUGUCCUUGGCUGCUUUUUUCGCGUCCUCGGCUGCUUUUUUCUCGACCGCAAGCUUCACCUUUGCGUCGAUGUCCGCCUAACUAAACUUCUUUUUCUGCUUCUUGGCCUCCGGGCCGUCGUUGUAAAACACCUUCCACGUGGCGCCGUCUCCAGCGCCGUGCACACGACCAUAUUGCGGCCGCUGGUCCAACGGGAGUCCCUUAAGUUCGUUCAAGGCCCAGUUGAGAGGUGUGUCCCACUUGGGCCUCAUCGGAGAAGUAGGGCUUUCGGCUGCAAGCCGGUGUUGCUUCUCCAGUAGUCUAAUCAAUUUCCUCGUGAUCUUGUCCGUGUAAAAAACCUUUUUCUCCUUGUCCCACUUGUAGCGGGCCCUGAUGAAGUCAUGCUCCAAGGGGUUGGUGAACUUCGCGAAGGGGUCUGGGAGACCCGCGGCUUCACGUUCCGCGUCCUCCUUAUCCCAUAUGGGCCUUUUACCGAGGUAGCCACGGCUUCCGAGGCGAUGCUUCCCCAUGUUCCGGAGCUGAAGGCUUUUGAAUUUCGCAGCCUUAGCCUUGGCUGCCUUGGUAGCGCAAGUGUCCUUGAACUUUUCGAACUCCUCUUCCGUAAGUGUCGGAUUUUCCUCCAGAAUCUUGGACAGGGGUUCAUCAGCCUCAAUAGCUCGUUUCACCCUCCCUUUCCAGGAGGCCAAAUCAUUGCUGAACAUGCCCAUGGCGUGAUUGUUAAUCUUUUUCAUCUUCGGAUCAUCCCACGGUUGUUCUAUGUUAUCAUCCCGGUCGGGGAACUUGAAUCUCUUCUGCAACUUCGUUAGGAGCAACUGCGUCAAAUGUUCUUUACUCCUUAAGUCAUCAUCGUUGAUGCUCGCGCAUUCCCGUAGGAUGCAUCCUACUUGGUUCCCAUAGCACUUGCGAGGUUCUUCCGGCUCUAACGGCUCAAACUUUCCAGGUGCCAUCUUUGUGAUCACAAGUCGUCCAAUCCCUAGUUUGUUAGGUUUUCGUAUCCUCUGCUUCUUAUGCUUCCUCUUUUCGGUAUCGGCAUCGGGGCCGGUACCUUCCCCGCCGGUCUCGGCGCCGCCAUCGGUGCCGGCGCCGUCGGUGCCGGCACCGUAGGUGUCGAUGUCGGCGUCAGUACCAUCAUCGAGGCCGACCUGCAAACCUUGCUUAGCAGUCAAAUAGUCGAGGUACUCUUGUUCACCCUCAUAAUCCAUCUCGUCUGCAUCUUGGUCAGAAGGCCCAGUUUCUUCGUUGUUCGACAUGUUUCCUAUGAUUAAGUGGCCUCAUUUAUUUCUAAAAGUAUGAAUAAAUGAGAAAUGACAUAAAAAGAAAUCUAUGUGCCAACACUCGAUAUGCCAACUAUGUAGCACAAAUCAUGCCUUUAUUCACGGGAAAUUUCGGCAUGACCUUUGCUAAAAAAUGGACAUAUCGAGCGCCUGAAAUUCACCGAAACGGAAAUGAAUCAACAUUCCUGCGCAACAUAGGCCACUCGGAUCAUUUUCCAAACAUGACAUGUCCAAAACAUGACAUAUGCACAUAUCACAUGUCCAGUUCAAAUUUCCAUAUAAAUUCAGCUAAUUCAUAACUAAAUAGAUAACCUAAUUAAUUAACAUGAAGANNNNNNNNNNNNNNNNNNNNNNNNNNNNNNNNNNNNNNNNNNNNNNNNNNNNNNNNNNNNNNNNNNNNNNNNNNNNNNNNNNNNNNNNNNNNNNNNNNNNNNNNNNNNNNNNNNNNNNNNNNNNNNNNNNNNNNNNNNNNNNNNNNNNNNNNNNNNNNNNNNNNNNNNNNNNNNNNNNNNNNNNNNNNNNNNNNNNNNNNNNNNNNNNNNNNNNNNNNNNNNNNNNNNNNNNNNGGGGGCGAGCGACAUGGUCGGGGGCGAGCACGCCGGAGUCGGGGUCGAGAGCGGGACAGGGGCGAGCGCCGGGGCUGGCACCGGCGCCGGCAGGGUCGGGGGCGAGCGCCGGGGCCGGGUCGGGCACGGCGGAGCGACGGGGGCCGGAGAGAGAGUGGGGAUUUGGGGGGAAAUGGCGGGAUGAAGCUGGGCGAGUGCGAAUUUUGGGUUAAGUGGACGUAGCAGUAGCGGGUUAUGUCAAAACGCGCUGCUACUAUAUUCUGUAGCGGCAGCGGUUUAUGAGAAACACGCUACUACUAUGGUGCGUAGCUGCAGCGCUUUAUGGGAAACUCGCUACUACUAUGGUGCGUAGCGGCAGCGGUUUAUGAGAAACACGCUACUACUAAGAUCUAGCAGCAGCGGUUUUGUGGAAACGCGCUGCUACUGCCGUCGCUACUGCCAGGUUUCCUUUUUCUUUUCCUUUAUUUUAUCCCACUUUUAUUUCCCGAGGGCAAUGAACGAAGGGAGGGCGAUAUAUAUUGCAUCAUUUGACGGUUAAAUAUGUAUGCAAAAUAGGAACAUAUAUAUUACACAUCAUUGGACCCAUGCAUAAUAAUGACUAAGUGUGUAUACAAAUUAAAUAGGAACAUAUAUAUAUUACACAUCAUUGGACCCAUAACAUACGUUUCCUCAGUGCUGACGUUUUCGUUUUUGAGUCAGCUUCUUUCCCUUCUUGUUCGUCGAAGAAUAAUUGAGCCCCUCAUUGUGACUUUGCCUUUUCCAUGGAGUACGAUUUUUCUUAGGUAAUGUAGUAUUGAUUCUUCUUUUGACGUAUACUUCAUCAUCAUCAUCAUCUUCCCUCAUUGGGUUGCUGUACUGAUCAUAGUCUUCCUCGUUGGCGACUCCAUCCAUUCCAAUGAUGUUCCUUUUGCCUCUCCUCACGACAACACGGCUGGGAUUGCGCGGGUCAGUUAUGAAGAAACAUUGUGUCACGUGCUUAGCGUGUACCCAUGGCUCGUUUUUUGCGAUAGCGUUCAUGGUAGCGCUCUUGGCGUCGGGUAUAGUCAUGGUAGUGAACAUCCGGCUUUCUCUUUCGACAUUCUUAGCCCAUCUGACACGGAACAUCAUCGUGCUGUGCAGUCCAGAGUAGUCAAGCUCCCAGAUCUCCUCGACCCUUCCAUAAAAUCGUUCAGUUGUGCCGUUGUCGCUGCCGGUCAUGCAUUCCAUCGUCACCCCUGAGUUCUGAUCAUCACUGUCCAUAUCUUUUGCCUCUGUGUAGAAUGUGUAUCCGUUGAUAUCAUAUGCCUGAUAGGUUACGAGGUUGGGCGAGGGGCCAUGUGCUAAGGCGUAUAUGAGCAAUCCGUCCUUAGAGCCCUCCUCCGGUGGAUUAGCAAUAAUAUGCUCUUUGAACCAAUGCAGGAAAGUGGAGUUGUGCUCUCUAGUAACUUCGGCGUCCGUCCUGCAUACCCCCCGGUCACGAUACUUCUUUGUGAUAAUUUCUUUGUGCAGUGCCACGAAAGGAUCUACCUCGUCUAGGUGUUGUAGCACUACCAAGUUUGCUCUGUCAAAGUCGCUGCGUCGAUCUGAGUAUGCCACGUGCAGUUCCCUGCGACCGUUGCAGUGACCAUCUCCUUUGAGCCUCCCAUCGUGCUUGUUAACGGGCAAACCAACACUAACACCAGGCGGCUGGUCUGCGCCAUAUAAAAAAUUCUCACAGAAAGAGAUGCACUCUUGUGCCAAAUAGCCCUGGACGAUGCUUCCAUCCGGACGGGACAUGUUACGAACGAAUCCUUUGAUGAUCCCAUUCAUCCACUCAAACGGGAUCAUGUUGUGCAGGAAUGACGGCCCCAGGUCUAUUAUGUCAUCCACAAUAUGGACACACAGAUGCACCAUCACGUCGAAGAACGCGGGCGGGAAGUACAUCUCAAGCUCAUUCAGUAUCACAACGAUCUCUUCCUGUAGCCUUUGGAGCUGCUUCACACUGAUCGACUUUCGAGAGAUGACAUCGAAAAAGUUGCAGAGACCAAUAAGCGUGUCACGGACGUGCUUGUCCAUUAUCCCUCUAAGGGCAACAGGUAGUAUCUGCGUCAUCAUCACAUGACAGUCAUGAGACUUCAUCCCGCUGAACCUUUUCUUGUCCGUGUCUAGAUAUCUGCUUAUCUUGCCACAGUAACCGGAACUAACUUUCACUCCGGUAAGGCACUUAAAGAAUUGAUUGAUCUCAGCCUGACUUAAGGUGAAGCAAGAGGGGGGGCAAUAAUCUUCUUUCUUUAAUUUCUUGCCCUUCUUCUCCCGUGCCUCUGUCUUCGUCUCUGUCUCGUCUGACAUUUUACGGGGCGGCAUCUGCAGAUCUUCCCUGAUUUUCAAAUCUUGCAAGUCUUUUCUUGCCUUCGGCCCAUCCUUGGUCUUAUCCGGCAUGUUCAUCAGUGUUGCGAGCAAGCUCUCAAGGACAUUCUUACAGAUAUGCAUUUGAUCAAGGCAAUGAGGUGUAUCGAGUUUGUGCCAGUACUCCAAGUCCCAGAACACGACCUCGUCUUCCAUACCUUCAGCAGCGGCUCCGGCGCCUUUCUCAUCGUCUUUCCCGGCGCGGGGCACUCAUUCCAGUUUUUCAAUAGCUCAUCGAUUUCGGCACCGCUCCGCUUACGUGGAGGUCCUCGAUGCUCAGCGUGACCAUUGAAUAGAUCUCCACGGUUUCUCCACGGGUCGUCCUGUUCAAGCCAUCUUCGAUGCCCCAUGUACAUGAUUUUCGCAGACCCGCCAUCUUUCCUUGACGUUAGCUGCUGAGACGUUGUAUCAUCCAUGCACCGCGUGCAUCCGCAAUAUCCAUGGCACACCUGGCCUGCCACAUAUCCGUAACCGAGAUAGUCCUGCACUGUCGUGAUCAGCGCGGCUCUCAUGUUGAAAUACUCACCUUUGCUGGCGUCCCAUGUCUUGGCCGGUGUUUUCCAUAACGUGUCUAACUCCUCUUGAAGUAGCCCCAGAUACAAAUUAAUAUUAUUUCCUGGUUGUUUCGGCCCUUGAAUAAGCAUGCUCAUGUGAAUGUACUUCGAUUUCAUACACAACCAGGGGGGGAGGUUGUACAUCCAUACAAACACGGGCCAUGUACUAUGGUUGGUGUUCUAGUUGCCAAAUGGAUUCAUGCCAUCGGUACACGCGCCGAGCACGAUGUUCCUUGCAUCACAUUCAAAAUACCGUUAGAAGCUGUUCAACGCUCUCCACUGGCUUCCAUCCUUCACGUGUCUCAGCUUCGGAUCAUCUCCAUCGUCGGGCUUCUUCCUCUCCGCGUGCCAGCGCAUUAGCUUUGCUUCCUUGGGAUCUACAAAAUACCUCUGAAGACGGGGAGUGAUCGGUAAGUACCAUACAACUUUCUGGGGACAUUUCUUCCCGGCCUUCUUGUAUCGAGAAGCAUUGCACACCGGACAGCUUGUUUUUUCCGCGUGCUCCUUCCGAUAAAUUAUGCAAUCGUUGAUGCAUGCAUGGUAUCUAACGUGUGGCAGAUCAAGAGGGCACACGAUCUUCUUGGCCUCAUCAACACUAGUAGGACAUAGAUUACCCGCGGGAAGAAUAUCCUUUAGGUACUUGAGAUGGUCAUCGAGGCUAGUGUCGGUCCAUUUGUUUUUAGCCUUCGUCUUCAGGAGUUGGAGCGUGAAACUCAACCGGGUCACCUCAGGAUUGCAACCAUCAUACAAUGGAGUGUUCGAGUCUACCACCAGUUGCUCCAGCUUAGCCUCCUCUCUAGAAGCAGCUCUCUCAGUACUCGUCUCCUUGCGAAGCAAUGCUUGAACAUGAGGGUCCCGCACAAUUGAACUUAGUACCGACGAACUCUGCUGCGUGGAGUCCAUGUCGUUCUCUCCGCCGCCAUGUCCGGCCCCUUCUCCUCCGCCAUGUCCGGCCACUUCUCCGCUGCCAUGUCCGGCCUCUUCCCCGCCGCCAUUAUCGAUCAUCUCUUCGUCUUGCCCCGUGUCAUCAUUGCCUGCCCCGUCGGCAUCCUCAACAUCUUCAUCCUCAUCUUCAAUUAUCCACCGAGUAUAGCCAUCCAUGAAACCAGUCAUGAGCAGGUGCGCUUCGACACGACCAUCGUCAUGGGGGUCGAGCCAAACUAUUCCUUUGCAUUUUCAACACGGACAUAAAACCUCUGUCCGGUUAUUUUCUUUCAUGUCUUGCACCGCCGACCGCAACCACCUGUCCACCAUUGUUCCACUGACCAUCGUCAACUCUGCACGGUAAUAAUAAAAAAAUUGAUUGUAAAAAUGCAUGCAUGCAUCAAAGUCAUAAAAAAAUUUGGCAUGACCUUCCCUAAAAAUAGGACAUAUAUGGAUCUAGAGUUUGCCCGAAAUUCGCCGAAACGAAAAUAAAUCGACAUUUCGGCAAAACAUAGGCAACUCAAAAGCACAAUUUGGCGGCGUCAACUCAUGCCACAGACACAAUUUCCACAAACAUAUCACACAUACACAUAAACACAUUUCCAUUUUGCAAAAGCAUGAAAUUUUCAUCACCUCUAUCUCGAUGGCCGGAGAUGAUGUUGUAGGGAGAUCAAAAGUGCACAAAGCUAUUCUUGACAAAGAUAGAUCUAGUUAGGGGGCAAAUAGGUCACUUAACUAAAUCCUACAUCUACCUAGCUACCUAAUUUGGAAGGAGACAACUUCAACUAGUGGAGGGGGAGGAAAAAGAGAAAGAAGAUGCAUUAAUUAAUGGAGGUGGUGUAGUUAUGUAGGAGUAAUGAAGAGAGAGAAGGUGGAUAGAGAANNNNNNNNNNNNNNNNNNNNNNNNNNNNNNNNNNNNNNNNNNNNNNNNNNNNNNNNNNNNNNNNNNNNNNNNNNNNNNNNNNNNNNNNNNNNNNNNNNNNNNNNNNNNNNNNNNNNNNNNNNNNNNNNNNNNNNNNNNNNNNNNNNNNNNNNNNNNNNNNNNNNNNNNNNNNNNNNNNNNNNNNNNNNNNNNNNNNNNNNNNNNNNNNNNNNNNNNNNNNNNNNNNNNNNNNNNNNNNNNNNNNNNNNNNNNNNNNNNNNNNNNNNNNNNNNNNNUGUGGUGGAGGGAAGAGAGGAGAGGGGGAGGUAGGGGGGAAGGGAAAAAAGGAAGGGGGAGGGGAGGGACGGGUUGGGGGUUGGUGGGGUUAGCAGUAGCGCGGGAGAUAAAACGCGCUGCUGCUAAGAACUUAGCAGCUGCGCGCUUUGCGGUAAGGCGCUACUGCUAACUGGGACAAAAAAUUGUGGCAAUUUGAAACUUACCAGCAGCGAUCUCGAGGAAACCGCGCUACUACUACGUACUUAGCAGUAGCGCUGUUAUUGCGACCGCGCUACUGCUACUUAGAGUUGGGGGAACACCGCCGGUCGAUAUUUGUAGCAGCGCGUUUCUUGUCGAGCGCGCUACUGCUAAAUCUUUAUCAGUAGCGAGUUUACGUAACCCGCGCUACAACUACUUAGCAGCAGCGCUCUAUUUUGAACCGCGCUGCUGCUAAGAUUCUGUGUAUAGGCUUUUCCCUAGUAGUGUAGGAAGGAAUGACCACAUGAAUGAGCAUACGUAUGAUGUGAUUAAGUCUCUCGAUUGGGUAUCUGGUGCCUUAUGUACGGUGUCUUCUUUUUGUCAAGCUAUGACAUCUUUCAGUUUGAGUGUCUGAUAUUAGGGUUGCAUACGUUUUGUUAUUCAGUUGCCUGUUGUGAACUCUACGGUUAUAUCAUCUCGAUGUGUGAGUCAAUGUGUUUGAACCAAUGUAGAGUUUCAUGUGAAUGUUACAAGUGUGAUUGAUAUGUUCAUGUUAUCCGCGGUUGCCUUGGUAAGAAACUGAAAGAGCAAACCGUUAUCGUGCUAGGACAAAAGUCAUCACUCAAUAUAAGUGCUUCUCUAGAACAGCCACACCUUGUGAAAGAAGAUGGCAAACACCCAAUCAUGUCUGGUUCGAUAUGGGCGUGGCUAUGGGUAGCUUAUAGCGACAUGGAAGCCAGCAUCGCUGGAAGAAACGCCCGGGUGGGCCGGCCUAGAGACAUUUCUUGAUAUCUACCCUUAGUUUUGUUUUUCUGCCCUUCUUUCUUUAUAUUUAUAUUUUUCCCGACAUGUUCACUACUUGAUGCUCAACUGGGAUCUCAUCCUUCACAAAUACGGAGAGCCAUUAUUGUUAGAGUUAAUCUUGACAUGUGUGUAUGUGCAUGUGUGCAUUGCAUGUUAGUGGUCUAGAGAUGGCCGGGUCGAUGCGUCUGUUCUGUGCUGGAGUGAGUCCAGCAGUUUGUUUUGGUCAGGUCGUGGUGGCUAGAGCCAUUCUAGGAGAGGAUCAAGUCAAGUUGUUAGCUGAACUCGGCUGGGUAGUGUUUGGCCGUUGAGGAUAGGCUGUACUAGUGGUGGGCAUGGCCGUGCAUAUAGCUAGCGAUUAGUUACACUAGUAGAAAACCACCCAUUAGUCCCGGUUCGUAAGGGCCUUUAGUCUCGGUUCAGGAACCGGGACUAAUGGGUCGUUACUAAUACCUCCACCCAUUAGCCCCGGUUCAAACACGAACCGGGACCAAUGUGCCUCCACGUGGCCCUGUGCGGCGAGCCCAGUCAGGGGGCCUUUGGUCCCGGCUGGUGGCUCCAACCGGGACCAAAAGGCAUCCACGCGUCUGCAUUCUAGUGGUUUCUGGUUUUUGUUUUUUUUUUGAAAGGAGGGGGGUUGGGGGUUUUGGGGAGUUAAUUUAGGUGUUUCGUAUAUUGUGUUAACUAGCUAAUUAAUAGAGAGAAGUGUCCUCUCUUAUGUCCGUGCUUGGUCGACGCUACGUAGUAUAUAUACAUAAGUAAUCGAGAGAACCAUUCAGUACAGAAGUUCGUCAUGCAUACCGAGAGAAGUGAUCGAUCGACCUCUCCUUCUCCGAGAGAUUGGUCGAACAACAAGUUUUUUACUGGCUACAUACAUGUACAAUAUGUAUAAGAUCUCUUAAUUACAAACCCAUAGCAUUUGAAAUCAACUUCCACAUGGUAUUCUCCGGCUUUACUGAUGACGUGUUCAAGAAAGAAUCCCGCUAAUUCCUCUUGAAUUGCUUUCAUGCGAUCUGGUUCUAGGAGUUCACCCCGCAUCUGCCACGUCUAAUUAAUUUGAAGAAGGGGGUUAAUUAAUACAUAUAUAUGAAUGAAACUCAACAGAAAAUGAUGGUGUAAUAAAAUGAAAUUGUGAAUAUUAUUGCUUACGCACUUCAUAUUGUCUUCUAGAGUAGCCCCGCUUGUUUCUCAAAGUUGCGUUGUGGAUGAACUCGCACACGUAGUAUCCACAAAAAUCAUUCCCUUCCUCCUGUCACAAGCACUUUACGAGAAACAGAGGUCAAUCAAACUGAUAAUGAAGCAUUAUAAAUGGCAUUGAUGAAAGUAUAGCUAUAGAAUCAACGGGAGAUGCACGCAACUAGCUAGCCAGUAGUACUUACUUUCGGGUAUACAUAUCGCAGCUCCUUCGGCAGUCCCGGAGCUUGUGCGGUGAACUGUUUCCGAACCCUGCAAGACAAAGAAAAUAAUUAUUAUUACUUGAGAUAUCAGGAAAUGAACAAAAAGUUGCCGAUAUGGUGCGAUAAUGAUCGAUUGAACUUACUUGCUGAGCAUUUCAGUCAUGUCCACAUAGGUGCUGGGAUCUUUCCGUCUCGAGUCUAAGACGGUUACUAGUCCACGCUCAAGCUUAAUCUCCAGAAGAAUAUAGUGGUACCUGCGCACGCGUGCAUAACUCAUCAAUUACAUUAACCUCGCUCGAGUAAUAAGGGAAACCGAAUAUGCACACGACAGUAACACUCACGGGCCGUUGUAAGGAAAGAGUAUGGUAUCUUUGUUUUGAUUUUUGAUCAACGAUUGUAGCAAGUUGUCCUCGGCCUCUUCGACGUUCUUUUCAACCAGAAAUACAUCUAUGAUAUUUGUGUUAAUGAACCCAAUAUCAUAAAUUUUUUGUUUUUUGCACUCGACGAUCUUCAAUCUGCAUAAUAUAUUGAGGAUAAUUAAUUAUAAAUACAUGCAAUGAAAGAUCCGAGCUAUAUAUAGAGACUUAAUGUCAGAAAUAGUACUUACAUGCAGUAGCAAAAGACCAUUAAUUUAUCGAGGGCCUUUUGAUUGAAGAACUCAAAGAACUCCUCAAAUGGAACACACAACAGAUCAUUUGAAAUGAGGUCGUGCUCCUCUUUAAUAUUCAAAUACAAACUGUUCGUCCCCUCAGACUCUCUGCAGGUUUUCAUGUACCAAUUAUGGAAUCUUCGCAUCAUUAUUGUCAGAGAUUUUUCAUCUUUGACGAGAGGCUUCCCGUACUCGUAUCUGAAUACGUCCACCUCCAUGAAAUCAGGAAGUGCAUCGUCAGGCAGGUAAUCUUCAAGAUUGCCAUAACCGGCCACCGUCCCCGGAGGAUUAGACACAUUGAGCGGGGGGCACGAUUGCUGUGCUUGUUCGCCGAGCUGGGCAAUUUUUUUCCCCUUUGCUCGUUGUUCUUUUGACCUUUUAUCAUUGACAGUAGUUCCCGACCGCUUGGCUUGGAGAUAUGUCUGUUCAGUAAUGCGCUCAUAGUUGGUUCUCGGCGGAGACUUUGGUGGUUUCCUCAGGGCAUCGAGAGUGCGCUUUGCUUUCACCGGAUCUACCUUCUCCUCCGGAGGUGGAUGUCUCUUUGCUUUCACCCCUUCAAAGAACUCCUUCACGUGGGCCUGCACGAUCGUAUUGUUUUCCUCCUUGGUCCUCUCGUACGGUAACUUCUCUAGAGGCUUUAGAGGUGGACCGUAUCUGUAUUGCCUCUCUCUUCUUGUGCUGCUAGACGCCGGAGCAGACGGAGCGGCUGUGGCGUCUGUCUUCUUCCGUGCUUGCUUAUGAGGCGGAGGAGAAGGACUACGACGCGCCGGAGCAGCCGGGGCGGCGGCGGGUCUCUUCCGCCCUUGCUGGCGAGGCGGAGAGGAGGAGGCGGAGUGCCGCCACAUGCCGGAGAAGGAGGCGGAGUGCCGCCAUGCGUGCCCUGAUCGUCACUCGCCGGAGGAGGAGGCGGUGGAGGAGGCGGAGUGCCGCCACGCGUGCCCUGAUCGUCACUCGCCGGAGGAGGACGCGGUGGAGGAGGCGGAGUGCCCUGACUCGCUGAAAGAGGAGGAGGAGGCGGAGGCGUCCAGUUCAGAAGGUUGAUGAGCUCCUUCUGCCAUAGGCAUGGAGUCUUCAGAGCAGAACCCAGCCUAGUCUCCCCUUCACCGGUAGUGUGCUCAAGCACGAGGUCCUCAAAUCCCUCCGUUAUUUCAUCCACCAUCACCUUAGCAAAUCCUUCUGGAAUUGGCUGGCAGUGAUAAGUUGUGCCGGGUCCACUAGGAUAAACUUGGCCAACAGCCGCCUUGACCUUCAAAUUCAUCCAUCACACAAUAAUGUGGCAAUUUUGAGACUCCGUGAUACCAUCCACGGGAUAGCUGGCAGGAGCCGUCAAGACAUGCUCCGGCUGAAGCAGCUCAGUGGAAGCCACGCUGCUUCUCUGCUGAGAUGGCGGGGUAGCUUCGGGGGAAGCUUCGGCAGGUCGUUUGUUGUGAUCUGCUGCUUCUUGUUCCUCUAGCCCCAUUACCCUUUCGUGCAGCGCCUGCAUUUGGUCCUGCUCCAGUUUCUUCCUCCUCUCGUAGGCUUUGUAAACGCCUGCGUCCAGAAAACCAACCUUCCACGGAAUGGAGCCUGGCGUGCCUCGUGUCCGUCCAGGGUGCUCGGGAUUCCCAAGGGCCAUUGUGAGCUCGUCCUUCUCCCUGUUUGGAAGGAACGUCCCUCGUUGUGCUGCAUCGAUAUAGUGUCGAAGGUUCUUGACUGGUGUUUGCAGUUGCUCGUCCGUCCACUGACGCUUCCCUGUUACAGGGUCCAAGGUUCCGCCAGCCCCGAAGACCCAAGUCCGGCAACGGUCUGGCCAGCGCAUUGUCUCUGGUUCGAUUCCUUUUUCAAGCAGAUCAUGCUCAGCCUUGGACCACUUAGGCCGGGCUUUGAGGUAGCCACCUGACUCCGUGCGAUGGUGAAGCUUCUUCUUCGCAGCAUUUUUCUUGUUUGUCUCCGACAUCGUCUUACUCUUUUCCGAUGUCUUGUGGGCCACAAAUGCGGGCCAGUGAUCUUUGAUCUUCUCAUAUUUGCUGAUGAAUUCUGGUGUCUUUUUUUUCUCGAGAAACUGGUUCAGCUCUUUCCUCCACCUCCUCAUUAGGCUUGCCAUCUUCUUAAGAGCACAAGACUUGAUUAAUUGCUCUUUAACUGGCUUCUCCGGAUCCUCCUCUGGCGGUAGGGUGAAAUUUGCCUUCAGCUCAGUCCAAAGAUCUUCUUUCUGCAUAUCAUUGACAUAAGACACCUCAGGGUCUUCAUCCUUAGCAGGCUUAUACCAUUGCUGGAUGCUGAUCGGGAUCUUGUCCCUAACAAGAACCCCGCACUGAGCAGAAAAUGCCUUCCUUGUCCGGAUGGGUUCAAUCGGUUCGCCGUCGGGCGCGAUUUCUAUGAUCUCAAACUUUUCAUCCGAGAUCAACUUUUUCUUCGGGCCUCGUCUCCUUACCGAAGUUGUGCUCGAUCCGGAGGGCUAGAAAUUAUAAGGAAGAAAGACGACAGUAAUUAAUAUGUGUACAUAUACCAAAACAAUGGAUGCAUCAAUUAACUAGUCAGCACGGGCUUAACUAAUAUAUAUAUACCUGGCCGGACUCGGUUCGGUGACCGGAGCAGUCAGCACGGUCUCCUUGUACCUCCAUUGUGUCACCGGAGCCAUCAUGAACAUAGUCCUCCUCUUGUACCGGCAUUAAUGGGUCGAAGCCAUCAUAAACAUAGCCCUCUUCUUCAUCCAGUCCUUCCAGCUGACCAUCGGUGUCGAUGAGAAAUGACGCAACAUCAUCACUUCCAUUUGCGAUUAUGUCCCCCAACAUCGCUUCUGUUUCUUCGUCUCGGGAGUGCUCCAUAGUUUCUGCAAAUAUUUACAACAUGUCAAUUAUUAUUCAAACAUGGUACAAAUGGAUAUAUAUAUAUAUAUAUAUAUAUAUAUAUAUAUAUAUAUAUGAAAAUGGAUUGGUACUCCUAGGAGUACAUACUCUCACCUACACCCGUCAUCGUUGGAAACAUUCAUCCCGCUAACUACUAAAAAAAGAGCUAACUAACUACGGAUAAAGCCUUUGGAUUUAAAAAUUAGUUGAACCGCUUCCUUUUUUUUCAGCUCUCGUAGGCGUGCCUUCCAGGGAUUCCAUUUGAAACGGCGUUCUCAUCUCUUGCCAGCACCCAUGAACAUAAAAAAACAGAGCAUCGGCUCGCCUCCGCCCCGCCGACUGACCGGAAGACUUGGUCGACAUGGCCGACGAUGAUCCCCGUGCUUCUUCCCUCGCAAACUAGGCUUCAACCACCACGUCCAUCAAUCAGAGGAAGAUUGAUUCAUCAUCUGUAGUUUGCGAGGGUACGUGCAAUUGAUGUUUCCCGAUUUUUCUGUUCGGCUACCACAACCGUGUUCAUGUUCCCGCUGACCCCUUGAUCCAUUCCUGUCCAGUAUGUCAUCGUCCGAGAAGAAAAUAGGACGGAGAUGAUUGAUCGGCCAGAUUGAUCGGCCAAGUCUACUAGUACCACUGGUGGAAAAAAGGCCUUUGGUCGCGGUUCGCAACUGCCAUUAGUCGCGGUUGCGCAACCGCGACCAAAUAAGCGCGACUAAAGCCCCCCACCUUUAGUCGCGGCUGCUUAAGAACCGCGACUAAAGGCCCGUCCAUGUGGGCGCCAGGCGGCCGUCGGGACGGAGGACCUUUAGUCGCGGUUCUUCUGGCCAACCGCGACUAAAGGCCGCCACAGGUUUAGGGUUUUAGCCCCCCCCCUAAACCUGUUUUCUGUUUAAUUUGUAUUGUUUUAUUUCUUUUGUGCUUUAUUUUAAUUUUGAAGGAGUUUCAUAUAUUCUACGGUACUACAUACAUGCAUAUGAAUGUACAAUUUCAAAUAAAUUUGAAAUUAGAACCAAAAAGAAUUCAAGAGGAAUAUACAAUAUAUAUUCAAUAUCAUCGGAUGACCAUAUACAAUUUUGAACAAGUUUCCAUACAUGAUUUAAUGCAUAUAAAGUUCUACGUCCUCGUAAUAGUGUUCUCCUUUAGGAUGGAGGACUUCCCUGCUGAACCAUCCAGCUAGUUCCUCUUGAAGUGGUCGGAAGCGAGCUUCUGGACUAAGCAUCCACCGGAGGUUAUUCCUCUGAGCAUUGGUAUCACUCGGAACCCGCUCAGAGGUGUAUCUCCGGAUCAUCUCACAGACAUAGUAUCCACAUAGAUUGGUCUCCGGUGGCUGAAUAUCCCCAGCAUUCUUAGCCACUGACCUUUUGAAUUCUAGCUCUUUUUUGAAUUCACCGACCUUUGUAUCUACGAACCGUCUCCAAACCCUACGAGGCAAAGAAAAUUAAAUGAACAAGAGAGUUAUUAGUUACUUGAUAUUAGGAAAUGAACGAAAUAGGCCGAUUGAUAUAGAGCGCAAAUGAAUGAAAAUAAUUACUUCUGCAGCAUUCUUCUCAUGCCGCCCCAAAGCUUUGGAUCCAUAUUCACAGAGUCGUGGACGAGACAUUCUGAGGUGUUAACUUUAAUUACUAGCAGAAUCCAGUGGAACCUGCGGACACGAUACAUGCACAGUACGUCAUGCAUAACUCAUCGAUUAGCCGGCCACAUACCAUGCAUGGAGUAAACAAAAGAGAAUGUGCUCAAGACACAAACACUCACCCAAAAUGGUAAGGAAAUAGAAUAUCACUUUUGAGUUCCUGCUUUGUAAGAAACUGCCACAGGUCUACCUCCACGUCGGCGGGGUGACGCUCCAACACAUGUCCAUUAACGAUGUGUGGGUCAAUGAACCCAACAUCAUGGAUGUUCCUUACUCUGCAUUCCUUAAUCUUCAUUCUGCAUGUAUAAUAGCGGACACAACAAUAUAGUUAGGACAUAUAUAUAGUGCAGGCAAUAUGAACGAGAUGGGGUAGAAAUUAAUAAAUCACUUACAGAACGUAGCAACUGAUGAUAGAUUUAUCGAGCUCGCGCAGAUUGAAAAGCUGGAACAAUUCACUCAGUUCAAUUUGUACAUAGUAAUGUUUGAAGUGAUGCUCAUGUCUAACUUCCGCAUAAAUAUAUUCUUUGGCGUUUUUAUUUUUUAUGUAACCCUUGUACCAUUUCAGCAGACCUUUCAUUUGUGGAGGUAGAUCCUUUUCCUGCGCAGGCUCGACGAGAGGCCCAUUCUUGACAUAUGUAAUUACUACCUCCUUCACUGGCGCCUCAUCAAGGCCUAACAGUUCACGAAGAGUAAUACCUAAGUUGGCCGCUUGUUCUAUGGCACUCGUUACAGUCAAUCCCUGUGCUGCCGCAGCUUGUAUGAUCUCGGGGGCAUCCGGACAGAAGGCUUCCACUAUAAGCGGGGCAAUCGAUUGUUUACUUUGUUCCCCGAGCUGGGCAACUUGUUUCCCGCUUUUUUUACUUUCGGCCUUCUCCCGCUCUUUGUUCUCCUUGAACAUGAGUGCCUGCCUGCGAAGUUCACGUGCAUAGUCGUUAGGCAGAUUCUUCGCGGCUUGGGACGGUGUGCUCAAAAAUGACUUAGCCCACUUGUUUUGCUCAUCAGAAAAUACUGGCUUGGGCUCGAGCUCUCUUUUCUUCUUGCAGUCCGCCUUCCAUUUCUCCAAAUCAGCAGCCGCGGCCGCGUCGACUUCCUCGGCACUACGUUCCCAAGGCCUUGUGGGGAGAGGCUUCAGUGAUGGCUCCGGUACCUUUGUGGUCUUAGGUACAUAAGGGUCCGGGUUAAUAAUCCAGGACUGCUUCUGCUUCUUUGCCGGAGGUGGAUUGGGGGGCGGCGUCUGAUCACCCGCCGGACGAGGACUGGGGGGCGGCGGCUGAUCACCCGCCGGACGUUGUGGACUGGGGGGCGGCGUCGGCUGACGUGACGGAGGUGUAGGUGAACCGCCACCACCACCACCACCACCACCACCGCCACCGCCACCACCACCACCGUAGGGGGGUGGACUUGUUGUCCUUGGCGCCUCGCCUGGAAACUUGAUAAACUUCUUUUGCCAUAGAAUGAAAUGGCGCUUGACAUCUCCAAGUCUUUUCUCCCCUUCAGGUGUAGCAAUGUCAAUCUCCAGGUCCUCAAACCCUUGGACUAUGUCCUCCACCGUGACACGAGCAUAGCCAUCUUGAAUGGGGUUGUUGUGGUGGAGUGCUCCAGGUAAACAUGGUAAAGCACUGCCGAUGGCUACCUUCAUGGACAUGUUCCCGAUAGGAUAAUACAGAUGACAUUCUUCUCCGCUGCUGGCUUCCGAGAUCUGCUGGAUGAUCUUCAUGCUGCACCCGAGCUGCAUCUCUUUCGGCUACUAGUACACUCAUGGUUUUCUUCAUCACAUCCAUUUCCGAUGCCAACCGCGCCACAACAUCUGCUUCCCGAUCCACCUUUCUCUUACGGCUUCUGUAACCGUACGGGUCAUCGUUCUGGGGGAACCCUAUUUUCCACGGAAUGUGCCCCAUGCCUCGUACACGUCCUCCGUGUUCAGGAUUCCCGAGGGAUUUUGUCAGCGCGUCGUUCUCUCUGUUGAACUUGAUCUUCCCCUGUUGAGCAUCCCUCAUUGCGUUAAUAAGGGCUUGGGUGGGUUUAAUUAAUUUGCCCCGGUAAACACACUCCCCUGUCUCCGGGUUCAGCGUUCCCCCAUGCCCGUACCACCAACUUUUGGCCCUUGGGUCCCAUCCCUCCGUACCUGCACGGAUUCCUCGCGCCCUCAGCUCGUUCUCCAUCUUCUCCAACCUAGGCACCCAAAUGCGAUACCCUCCUGGCCCCAUAACAUGAUUGUACUCCUUCUUAGCCGCAUUUUCCUUAUUUUUUCGAUAUUUGAAUGAACUGCUCCGAUUUCUUUUGCUUCACAAAUUCUGGCCAAUCAUGUUUCAGUUUCUCAUAUUGUCCUUUGAAAUCCGGAGUCUUGUUCUGCUUGACAAAGUCAUGGGCUAGAUUUUGCUUGAAUUUCCGGAAUGCGUCGGCCAUCUUAUGAAGAGCGAACUGUUUGACUAGCCUCCUCCUCUCCUUGUUUUCUUCAAUCUUGUUACCCUCCUCAUCGAAUUUGUUGUAUUCCGGAGGUAGAACGAAAUGUUCCAUAAGCUUCUUGAAGCAAUCUUUUUUUGUUCUCUUAUCGACAAAAGUGAAACCAUCAAUUCGUGCCUUCUUUGGCUCAUUCCACUCCUGGACGGUGAUCGAGACGUUGUCUCUAACAAUGGCUCCGCAUUGGCUGACAAACUUGGUGGCGUUCUUGCGGGGCUCCAGCGGCCUGCCGGUUGCACUGUCGACAACCUCGAUGGUGCAUGUUUCUCCUUGUUUCAUCGUCUUGGUUGCGCCACGCUUUGACGACGUACUCGAUUGUUUCGACGAUCCGGCCGAGGGCUAAAAUAAGAAAGAGUCGCGCGCGUUAGUACACACAUAUUUAUUCAAAUCAGUUAGUUUGUAUCACCAGAGGCUCAAUGUAUAUAUAUACCUCGGCGCCGGAGGUGGUUGCUACAUCCAUUUGAAGAUCGUCGUUUAUCGACGUUUGUUCGGCAUCAUCUUGCUGACGGCGCCCUUCAUCUUCACCGUCAAGGUUCAGAUAAGAAGAGAUAUCAUCUUCUUCUUCUCCGGUCGGCACAUAUAGAAUAUCGCCGUUUAUGAUGCCGAACAUAUGUGCUUCACCGUCCGGAUCAUAGUUGUCCAUAAUCGGGUCAGCUCUAUCGUCCGCCAUUAUGUCAGUCCUGAAAACAUGUAGUAAAAACAAAUUAAUUAAGUGAAGAAGGGGGGCGGUGGCGGUGGCGGUGGCGAAAGGGUGGUGGCAAAAGGAGGGGGCGAGGAAGGGGUGGGAGAGGGUGUCGCGGUAGAGCGCGAGACGGGGCGGCACGAACGUCAUUUUGUGAAGAAACUUUGCAAGCAAUUAAACAUUUGUCAAUGUUUGGUAAAAAAAAUACAGGUAGCGUCUGUUGCUCCUAAUGAUUGGAAACGGUUUCCAAUUGCCAACGAGGAUUUAGAUCGACUACUACUACUAGUUGCAUUGCUCCCCAUCGGGACGAUGUUGCUCCUAAUCCCCUCCUUUGGAAUCUAUAGUACUAGUGCAUACUAGCUGGCCGUUGACCGUUGUUGCUCAUCGCGUUUUCUCAAAGUCCACUGAUUUUGCUCAGGGCCAGUUCGGAGAUUUUGCUGGUCCACUGAUUUUGGAUCAACGCCGGGAUGGCAUGGGCGCUCGGCGAUGAUGCGAAGUAGACUUGCACAGGCAACGUGAUGUACAUGGAUGUGUCAGUACGGUACGCUCGGCGAUGCCACGGUAUGGAUGACUUCUCGAGUGGAGAUUGGAGAACCAAGUUCGCCGGUGAAACGUCGGCUCCUGAUCAGAUCUGGGGGUCGCGAACUAGCGAUUGGAUCUCGGAAGGGAGUUAGGAAAGCGAACAGACGUGCGUUCAAGGCUACAACUUUUUUUUUCAGGAUCUUGAAAACAGCUACGCGUUCAAGGCCCGGUCCUGAUUUUGCUCAUCUACCCGGGGCGGCGUUCGCACUGCGCGAGGGCCGACUCCGCGGGGUGCUGCCGCGUCGCCUCGUCGACGCUGAGCGAGUUGGCGAGGACCGUGUACAUGGUCGGCACGUCGCCGGCGGAGAGGGUCAUGCUGUCCCCGACCAGCGGCGGCCACGGACGGGGAGGGCGGCGGCGGUGACUGGGAAGGAAUGAUAGGAGAGGAAGGAAGGUCGCGUGGGGUUGAGGGCGGNNNNNNNNNNGGCGAGGAGGGACUCCUUGGCGGAGAGGCGCUCCGUCUCGCGGGCGUAGCUGGCAGCGGGCUCCCACGCCUGCGCGUACACGUCGUCCCGCCGUGCGUUCAAGGCUACAACUUUUUUUUUUAGGAUCUUGAAAACAACUACGCGUUCAAGGCCGGCCCGGUCCUGAUUUUGCUCAUCUACCCGGGGCGGCGUUCGCACUGCGCGAGGGCCGACUCCGCGGGGUGCUGCCGCGUCGCCUCGUCGACGCUGAGCGAGUUGGCGAGCACCGUGUACAUGGUCGGCACGUCGCCGGCGGAGAGGGUCAUGCUGUCCCCGACCAGCGGCGGCCACGGACGGGGAGGGCGGCGGCGGUGACUGGGAAGGAAUGAUCGGAGAGGAAGGAAGGUCGCGUGGGGUUGAGGGCGGGCGAGCGAGGCGGCAGUACCGAGGCUGGCCGGCGGCGCGCGCGCGGUGGGCGAGGGCGACGGCGGGCGGCGUCGAGGGCGAGGGCGACGGCGGGCGGCGUCGAGGGCGCGGCAGAGACGAACAGGCGAGAAACGGCGGGCGGCGUCGAGGGAGCCUUGUAUUUAUAGCCCCCCCNNNNNNNNNNNNNNNNNNNNNNNNNNNNNNNNNNNNNNNNNNNNNNNNNNNNNNNNNNNNNNNNNNNNNNNNNNNNNNNNNNNNNNNNNNNNNNNNNNNNNNNNNNNNNNNNNNNNNNNNNNNNNNNNNNNNNNNNNNNNNNNNNNNNNNNNNNNNNNNNNNNNNNNNNNNNNNNNNNNNNNNNNNNNNNNNNNNNNNNNNNNNNNNNNNNNNNNNNNNNNNNNNNNNNNNNNNNNNNNNNNNNNNNNNNNNNNNNNNNNNNNNNNNNNNNNNNNNNNNNNNNNNNNNNNNNNNNNNNNNNNNNNNNNNNNNNNNNNNNNNNNNNNNNNNNNNNNNNNNNNNNNNNNNNNNNNNNNNNNNNNNNNNNNNNNNNNNNNNNNNNNNNNNNNNNNNNNNNNNNNNNNNNNNNNNNNNNNNNNNNNNNNNNNNNNNNNNNNNNNNNNNNNNNNNNNNNNNNNNNNNNNNNNNNNNNNNNNNNNNNNNNNNNNNNNNNNNNNNNNNNNNNNNNNNNNNNNNNNNNNNNNNNNNNNNNNNNNNNNNNNNNNNNNNNNNNNNNNNNNNNNNNNNNNNNNNNNNNNNNNNNNNNNNNNNNNNNNNNNNNNNNNNNNNNNNNNNNNNNNNNNNNNNNNNNNNNNNNNNNNNNNNNNNNNNNNNNNNNNNNNNNNNNNNNNNNNNNNNNNNNNNNNNNNNNNNNNNNNNNNNNNNNNNNNNNNNNNNNNNNNNNNNNNNNNNNNNNNNNNNNNNNNNNNNNNNNNNNNNNNNNNNNNNNNNNNNNNNNNNNNNNNNNNNNNNNNNNNNNNNNNNNNNNNNNNNNNNNNNNNNNNNNNNNNNNNNNNNNNNNNNNNNNNNNNNNNNNNNNNNNNNNNNNNNNNNNNNNNNNNNNNNNNNNNNNNNNNNNNNNNNNNNNNNNNNNNNNNNNNNNNNNNNNNNNNNNNNNNNNNNNNNNNNNNNNNNNNNNNNNNNNNNNNNNNNNNNNNNNNNNNNNNNNNNNNNNNNNNNNNNNNNNNNNNNNNNNNNNNNNNNNNNNNNNNNNNNNNNNNNNNNNNNNNCGAGGAAGACCAAUCGGCUUAAGGUCAGGAACAAAGUCAACACAAAACUCAAUUACCUCCUCAUUUCCAUAGCCCUUGGCGAUGCUUCCUUCUGGCCUAGCACGGUUACGAACAUAUUUCUUUAAUACUCCCAUGAACCUCUCGAAGGGGAACAUAUUGUGUAGAAAUACAGGACCGAGAACGAAAAUCUCUUCGACUAGGUGAACCAGGAGGUGCGUCAUAAUAUUGAAGAAGGAUGGCGGGAACACCAACUCGAAACUGACAAGACAUUGGAUCACAUCGUUCUGUAACCAUGGUAGAACUUCUGGAUUGAUUACCUUCUGAGAGAUUGCAUUGAGGAAUGCACAUAGCUUCACAAUGGCUACUCGAACAUUUUCCGGCAGGAGCCCCCUCAAAGCAAUCGGAAGCAAUUGCGUCAUAAUCACGUGGCAGUCGUGAGACUUCAGGUUUUGGAACUUUUUCUCCGCCAUGUUUAUUAUUCCUUUUAUAUUGGACGAGAAUCCAGACGGGACCUUCAUACUGCUCAGGCAUUCAAAAAAGAUGACCUUCUCUUCUUUGGUCAGAGCGUAGCUGGCACGACCUUGAAACCAUUCCGGAUGCCGGUCAUCAGGGUCUUUCAAACGUUGCUGGUCCUGCCGUGCUUCCUUUGUAUCAUUUGUCUUCCCAUACACGCCCAAGAAGCUUAGGAGGUUCACGCAAAUAUUCUUCGUAACGUGCAUCACGUCGAUUGCAGAGCGGACAUCUAGGACUUUCCAAUAUUCUAGCUCCCAGAAUAUAGAUUUCUUCUUCCACAUGGCUGCGUUCCCGUCUGCUCCCUUCGGAACUGAUUGUCCGCCAGGACCCUUUCCAAAGAUGACUUUCAAAUCCUUGACCAUAUCAAAUACCUCAGCACCAGUGCAUUCCGCAGGCUUCGGCCGGUGAUCUGCCUUGCCGUUGUAAUGCUUGCCUUUCUUUCUUACUGGAUGAAUUUUCGGAAGAAAUCGAUGAUGCCCAAGGUACACGUUCUUCUUACAAUUUGGCAAAUGUACACUUUCAGUCUCAUGUAAGCAGUGCGUGCAUGCAUUGUAUCCCUUAUUUGACAGUCCCGAAAGGUUACUAAGAGCAGGCCAAUCGUUGAUGGUUACGAAAAGCAACGCUCGUAGGUCAAAUUCCUCUUGUUUGUGCUCAUCCCACACACGGACACCACCCCACAGCUGUAAAAGUUCAUCAACUAAUGGCCUUAGGUACACAUCGAUGUCGUUGCCGGGUUGCUUCGGACCUUGGAUGAGCACUGGCAUCAUAAUGAACUUCCGCUUCAUGCACAACCAAGAAGGAAGGUUGUAGAUGCAUAGAGUCACGGGCCAGGUGCUAUGGCUGGAGCUCUGCUCGCCAAAAGGAUUCAUGCCAUCCGUACUUAGAGCAAAUCUUAUGUUCCUUGCGUCAGCUGCAAAAUCUUUGAACCAUCUGUCGAUCUUUCUCCAUUGCGUUCCAUCUGCGGUGUGUCUCAACUCCCCGUCCGACUUACGGUCCUCUUUGUGCCAUCGCAACAACUUGGCAUGCUCUUUGUUCCUGAACAGACGUUUCAACCGUGGUAUUAUAGGAGCAUACCACAUCACCUUGGCGGGAACCCUCUUCCUGGGUUUCUGGCCCUCAACAUCGUCACCAGGGUCAUCGCCUCUGAUCUUAUAACGCAAUGCAGUGCAUAUCGGGCAUUCAUUCAAAUUCUCGUAUUCACCGCGGUAGAGGAUGCAGUCGUUGAUGCAUGCAUGUAUCUUCAGAACCUCUAAACCUAGAGGGCAGACAACCUUCUUUGCUUCGUACGUACUGGCGGGCAACUCGUUAUCCUUUGGAAACAUACUCUUCAACAUUUUCAGCAAGUUUUCAAAUGCCGAGUCAGCUACACCUGCCUCUGCCUUCCAUUUCAGCAAAUCCAGUGUGCAGCCCAGCUUUUUCAGACCAUCAUCGCAUCCGGGGUACAGCGCCUUUCUGUGAUCCUCUAACAUGCGAUCCAAAUUCUCCCUCUCCUUUUCAGUUUCGCAGCGUCUCCGUGCAUCAGCAAUGGUCCGACCAAGAUCAUCAACGGGAUCAUCACGUGCCUCUUCUUCACCUUCCCCUUCACCUUCAGCAUCCUCCAUGAAAGUAUCACCGAGAUGAGCAAGAUAGCUUUCAUCGAUGAAAUCAUCCCCUUCUUCAUCUUCUUCCAUUAUAACCCCUCUUUCUCCAUGCUUGGUCCAACAAUUAUAGCUUGGCAUGAAACCGUGCCGAAGCAGAUGCAUGUGAACAUCUCUUGAGGAAGAGUAACCCUUCUGAUUCUUACAGAUAACACAUGGACAGAUAACAAAAAACCCCUGCUUGUUCGCAUUAGCCACUACGAGGAAAUCUUUCAAACCCGUAGUGAACUCGCCGGAGAGUCGGUUACCGUACAUCCAUUGCCGAUUCAUCUGCAUUAUUAUAAUAUAAAAUAUAUAAUUAACCAUCAUGCAUUUGUUAAACUAACUAGCUACAAACAAUAUAAAUUAAACAAUGAACUGCACACAUGCAUAUUUUAUCAAUGACACAUCAAAGGUUCAUCAAGUUGCUAACCGCGAUCGAGGAGUGUGGCUCCAACACUUCAUGUCAUGUUUGUUUCAUGCUCUUGGGGCAUUUCAUCAAACACCUUAUGUGCAUAAGAGGAACCAAAAGCAAACCUACACCCACUUGUGAAGAGAAUGGCUCCAAAUGGCUAAGUGUUGGCUGCUGGAUGGGUAUAUAUAGGGGAGGGGCUUUAGUUGCGGUUGGCUUGGCAAACCGUGACUAAAGGUGCCCGAAGGCCUUUAGUCGCGGUUGUCCUGGCCAACCGCGACUAAAGACCCUCACGUGCGCCAGCUGGCCACCGAGCGCCCUGAGCCCAGGCCUUUGGUCGCGGUUCACCUCCAGAACCGCGACUAAAGGUCCCAUUAGUCGCGGUUCCUACAGCUUCGCGACUUAUGGGGCUGGACGGAAGCUUGUUUUUCCACCAGUGUACUAGGUAAGGUGUCGUUCCAGUCAAAUUGAUGAAUUCAUCUUUUGUUACCUUUGUUAUAGGAAUAUAGGCUGCAUUUAUUAGUCAUAUCGAGCUCUCAAGGAGUCAAGAUCUUGUUAACUUACUAAUAAUUUCUAUAUACCUGCAGCGUUAUGGCCUAUGGUGCAGGGCAAAGACAACAAGGACGACAUGCGGCGGCGACGUGGCCAUGGUGAAGCUACUUCGUCCGGCUACCCCAUGGUUGGCGUGUCUGCCGUCCUCUCAAUCUAUCACACGUACGUCCGGUGCAUGCAUGGUGUCGGGCCGAAGAGCACACAAAUCUACAUCCAGGCCCUGGGCACUAGCAACCGCUGAUGCACUUAGCCACUUACCAAUGUAUUCCUAUUGUACGUAUAUAAUAAAGUGGUUAGUACGUCGACGUAGAAAUAGUUAGUAGCUUGCUUUGCACUCACACAAUCGAGUCAUGAUUGUUACUGAUGAUCAAAAUUUUAUGUAUUUUUUAUGCCGGAUGGGUUUACUACUUCUUCUUCGGUUGUAUAUAAAGCUUCCAAAAAAUUAGUAUAUAAUCCUCCAGAAUAAAUCAGUAUAUAGUCCUCCAAAAAAAUGAGUAUAUACACUUUGUAACGCAGCAUAUACCCCAUAAAAAAUGUAGUAUAACGCUGCAGAAAUAAGACAUACUCCUUUUCUAGUUGCAUAUACCCAAUCACAAAACUACACUGAAAUAAUUAGUAGUACAUACUCCUUUUCUAUUUUGGAAAGGAACGUCCAUUUCCCUCUUCAACAAGUGCUUUAUUUUUCUAGGGGUAGCCUUGUGUUUUUACUGCCAUGCGACGACAUUACAAAAUGUAUUACACCCAUUAUUCAUCUAAUUUUUUAUAUACCCUUUUAUGCAUACUUUGAAUUUAUCACUCAUUUGGGCGACCAGCCCGCUCUCUCAUUGCAGCGACUCGACUCUCACAUAAAGCCAGUAUAUACUCACGUAAAAAAAAGCAGUAUAGACUCCCUUACUGAAAAAGAACUAUAUACUCCCCUACCAAAAAAAGUAGUAUAUGCUCCAUUACCAAAAAGGCAGUAUAUACUCAUAUACAAAAGGUGGUAUAUACUGUCUUCCCAAAGUAGUAUAUAUCUUUUUCCUUGCGUUAGAGAAGUAGUAUAACCAGAACAGAUAGUUCAUACUUGUGUGCUGAAAAAAGUAGUAUAUAAAUAUAUAUGUAAGAGUGAGUAUGGUAGAUAUGUAUCGGUCCUUACAAAAAAAAUCAACCACUGUUAUUGUUUAUUUGCACCGAACUAACCUUAUCUGUAUGCUAGGAUCCUUGAAUCUCUCAAUCUGUUGAUGCACAUGCAUGCGUCGGCCGGUGGAGCAAUUAGCAACUAGAUCUAAUAACUGCCAACCUGUUCAGUCCAUGGGAGUACAUACUCCUGGGAGUAUAAAAGAGGAGUCUAUAUAUAUAUAUAUAUAUAUAUAUAUAUACGGUGGCGCUAUUGUGUGCGUGAGCGCAGAUUUACUUAUCGUGCGCGCCGGUCAUUGCGUGCGCCACUCGUAUUCCUAAUGAUGGUAAAAUUCCUGGCAGAAAUAGUAAUAUAAUUUAAUUGGUUACUGCCUGCCACCACCACGGUAGCGAUUUAAUUGGUUAGGUCUACUAGUAAAAAUGCAUAGCAGAAAAAGUAAAAGAGCUAAAAGUAUUACUGUUGGAUGCAUCGGUCCCCGCUUCGACUGCCUACUAGUAAAACACCUCAUAAAAGUAGUAAUAGGAUUACCCUACACGCAUCAGCCCCUUGCCAUACUUGUGAACAGGUAAACUUCAUGUGAAGAAUAGUACUGGAUGGUAACUGUGUUACCAUAGAACGGACACUUGCUAUUAGCUAGCUACAUGGUAAUUUUAUUACCGCUAACUUUCAUCGGUUUAAUACCUAAUCAUGUUACCACUUAUUUUCUUAGUAGUAUUGGAUGGUAACUAUGUUACCACAUGACGAAAAAAUUGCUAUUAGCUAAUAGCUACACGGUAAUUGCAUUACCACUCAUGUGUAGAAGCAUGAUACACGGUCUUUUUUCCAAUUACGUUUGGUCGAAGACGCAAGGGUUUGCUAAUCGCUAAAGUGGGGUCGAAGCAGUAAUAAGUUUCCAACCGUUACCAUGUUUCUUAAGGUAUGUUACGUAUGGGCGCAAGACAUGUUCUUUAAUAGGAGCGGGACAACGGUUGCUUAGACGGAGAAUGGCGCGCAGUCUGGCCGGAGCGUAGAAUUAGACUUCUGCGCUCAGGCUUAGUUUAGCACGUCUAUAUAUAUAUAUAUAUAUAUAUAUAUAUAUAUACAUACAUGUUAGUGGCCUCGACGCUGCUUCUCUAGGGUUUGGGGUCGCCUCGACACAACGCUUCAAGGGUUUGGGGUGGCCUCGACGACAACGUUUUUUUAACUUGAUAAAUUUGGGUGGCCUCGAGAGAGUUAAUUUGUCGGGUAGGGGCGCGGCGGGAGGGGGUAGGAGACCAACAUCGUUUUCUCUCUAGGGUUUGGGUGUCCUCGAGAGUUAUCGGGGAGGGGGUAUCGGUACCACCCCCUAGCUCGUGUUGAAGUUUCUUCUUUCUCCUCUAUUCCUUUCUUUCUUCUUCUCCUCUUCUUUUUCUUCUUCUCCCUCGAGAAAGGAAAAUANNNNNNNNNNNNNNNNNNNNNNNNNNNNNNNNNNNNNNNNNNNNNNNNNNNNNNNNNNNNNNNNNNNNNNNNNNNNNNNNNNNNNNNNNNNNNNNNNNNNNNNNNNNNNNNNNNNNNNNNNNNNNNNNNNNNNNNNNNNNNNNNNNNNNNNNNNNNNNNNNNNNNNNNNNNNNNNNNNNNNNNNNNNNNNNNNNNNNNNNNNNNNNNNNNNNNNNNNNNNNNNNNNNNNNNNNNNNNNNNNNNNNNNNNNNNNNNNNNNNNNNNNNNNNNNNNNNNNNNNNNNNNNNNNNNNNNNNNNNNNNNNNNNNNNNNNNNNNNNNNNNNNNNNNNNNNNNNNNNNNNNNNNNNNNNNNNNNNNNNNNNNNNNNNNNNNNNNNNNNNNNNNNNNNNNNNNNNNNNNNNNNNNNNNNNNNNNNNNNNNNNNNNNNNNNNNNNNNNNNNNNNNNNNNNNNNNNNNNNNNNNNNNNNNNNNNNNNNNNNNNNNNNNNNNNNNNNNNNNNNNNNNNNNNNNNNNNNNNNNNNNNNNNNNNNNNNNNNNNNNNNNNNNNNNNNNNNNNNNNNNNNNNNNNNNNNNNNNNNNNNNNNNNNNNNNNNNNNNNNNNNNNNNNNNNNNNNNNNNNNNNNNNNNNNNNNNNNNNNNNNNNNNNNNNNNNNNNNNNNNNNNNNNNNNNNNNNNNNNNNNNNNNNNNNNNNNNNNNNNNNNNNNNNNNNNNNNNNNNNNNNNNNNNNNNNNNNNNNNNNNNNNNNNNNNNNNNNNNNNNNNNNNNNNNNNNNNNNNNNNNNNNNNNNNNNNNNNNNNNNNNNNNNNNNNNNNNNNNNNNNNNNNNNNNNNNNNNNNNNNNNNNNNNNNNNNNNNNNNNNNNNNNNNNNNNNNNNNNNNNNNNNNNNNNNNNNNNNNNNNNNNNNNNNNNNNNNNNNNNNNNNNNNNNNNNNNNNNNNNNNNNNNNNNNNNNNNNNNNNNNNNNNNNNNNNNNNNNNNNNNNNNNNNNNNNNNNNNNNNNNNNNNNNNNNNNNNNNNNNNNNNNNNNNNNNNNNNNNNNNNNNNNNNNNNNNNNNNNNNNNNNNNNNNNNNNNNUGAAAACACUUUUUUUUGUUUUCUUUCUUGCUUUAUUUAUUUUAUUUUGUUUCUACUUGCAAUAAAAUACUUAUUGUUGUUUUUUUGUUUUGUUUUCUGCAUUAUUUAUUUUCUUUUGUUUUUUGCUUUAUUUUUUAAUUCUUUUUGCUUUUAGUUUUAGGAAAAUUAUAAACUUUCUAUUAGUGCCAUUACUUUUCAAAUUUGAAAACACUUUUUUGUUUUUUAGUUUUCUUUCUUGCUUUAUUUAUUUUAUUUUGUUUCUACUUACAACAAAAUACUUAUUGUUGCUAUUUUUAAUUAUUACGAAGGCCAAACCAUAAGACAUUAAAGCAUUUCAAAUGAACUCUGAAAAAGUUGAAAGUUGGCAUGGUAUCAUAAAUUGACCCACACAUAGCAUGUGCAUGUACAAAACGGACAAUGUUAUCAUACUCGUCAGUUACAAAGUUGGCAUGGUAUCAUCAUAAUAGUUGCGGGAGAAAGUCUUCACUUUUUCUUCGCUUGUGUCAUUUGCUUAUUGCGCCGUAACCAUGGAUAAUCUUCAUCGUUUAUCAGGAUGCUGGGGUCAGCCUUGACUUUAAAGGGAGGAAUUUCAUGAAACUUUUCAUAAUCUUCAGACAUGUCUGUCUUGUCCUCCUCUCCCACGAUGUCCCUUUUUCCUGAAAGAACUAUGUGGCGCUUUGGCUCAUCGUAUGAUGUAUUCGCUUCCUUAUCUUUUCUCUUUCUUGGUCUGGUAGACAUGUCCAUCACAUAGAUAACCUGUGCCACAUCAUUGGCUAGGACGAACGGUUCGUCAGUGUACCCAAGAUUUUUCGGAUCCACUGUUGUCGUUCCGUACUGUGGGUCUACAUGUACCCCGCCUCCUGACAGAUUGACCCAUUUGCACUUAAACAAAGGGACCUUAAAAUCAUGUCCUUAGUCAAGUUCCCAUAUGUCCACUAUGUAACCAUAAUAUGUGUCCUUUCCCCUCUCGGUUGUUGCAUCAAAGCGGACACCGCUGUUUUGGUUGGUGCUCUUUUGAUCUUGGUUAAUCGUGUAAAAUGUCUUCCCAUUUAUCUCAUAUCCUUUCCAAAUCGUAACAGUCGAAGAUGGUCCCCUGGAUAACAAGUACAUCUCAUCACAAACAGCGUUGUCACCUCUGAUACGUGCUUCCAACCAACUGCUGAAAGUCCUGAUGUGUUCACAUGUAAUUCAGUCGUCGCACUGCUCCGGGUGUUUGGAGCGCAGACUGUUCUUGUGUUCAUCCACAUACGGGGUCACCAAGGUAGAGUUCUGUAGAACUGUGUAGUGUGCUUGAGACCAAGAAUAUCUGUCCCUGCAUAUUAUUGAGUCCCUUCCAAGCAUGCCUUUUCCAGUCAGUCUCCCCUCAUACCGCGAUUUAGGGAGACCUAUCUUCUUAUGGCCAGGAAUGAAGUCAACACAAAACCCGAUGACAUCCUCUGUUUGAUGGCCCAUGGAGAUGCUUCCUUCUGGCCUAGCGCGAUGAGGGACAUAUUUCUUUAGGACUCCCAUGAACCUCUCAAAGGGGUACAUAUUGUGUAGAAAUACGGGGCCCAAAAUGACAAUCUCGUCAACUAGAUGAACUAGGACGUGCGUCAUGAUAUUGAAGAAGGAUGGUGGGAACACCAGCUCGAAACUGACAAGACAUUGCACCACAUCACUCCUUAGCCUUGGUAUGAUUUCUGGAUCGAUCACCUUCUGAGAGAUUGCAUUGAGGAAUGCACAUAGCUUCACAAUGGCUAAUCGGACGUUUUCCGGUAGAAGCCCCCUCAAUGCAACCGGAAGCAGUUGUGUCAUAAUCACGUGGCAGUCAUGAGACUUUAGGUUCUGAAACUUUUUCUUUGCCAUAUUUAUUAUUCCUUUUAUAUUCGACGAGAAGCCAGUCGGGACCUUCAUACUAAGCAGGCAUUCAAAGAAGAUUUCCUUCUCUUCUUUGGUAAGAGCAUAGCUGGCAGGACCUUCAUACUGCUUUGGAGGCAUGCCGUCUUUUUCGUGCAAAUGUUGCAGGUCCUCCCGUGCCUCAGCUGUAUCUUUUGUCUUCCCAUACACGCCCAAGAAGCCUAGCAGGUUCACGCAAAGGUUCUUCGUCACGUGCAUCACGUCGAUCGAAGAGCGGACCUCUAGGUCUUUCUAGUAGGGUAGGUCCCAAAAUAUAGAUUUCUUCUUCCACAUGGGUGCGUGUCCCCCAACGUCACUCGGAACAGCUAGUCUGCCGGGACCCUUUCCAAAGAUUACGUGUAAAUCAUUGACCAUAGCAAGUACGUGACCACCGGUACGCAUGGCGGGCUUCUUCCGGUGAUCUGCCUCGCCUUUGAAAUGCUUGCCUUUCUUUCGACAUUGAUGGUUGGUCGGAAGAAAUCGACGAUGGCCCAGGUACACAUUCUUCCUACAGCUUGCCAGGUAUAUACUAACGGUGUCAAGUAAACAGUGCGUGCAUGCGUGGUAUCCCUUGUUUGUCUGUCCUAAAAGGUUACUGAGAGCAGGCCAAUCGUUGAUGGUCACGAACAGCAACGCCUUUAGGUUAAAUUUCUCCUGUUUGUGCUCAUCCCACGUACGUACACCGUUUCCAUUCCACAGCUGUAAAAGUUCUUCAACUAAUGGCCUUAGGUACACAUCAAUGUCAUUGCCGGGUUGCUUAGGGCCUUGGAUGAGAACUGGCAUCAUAAUGAACUUCCGCUUCAUGCACAUCCAAGGAGGAAGGUUAUACAUACAUAGAGUCACGGGCCAGGUGCUGUGAUUGCUGCUCUGCUCCCCGAAAGGAUUAAUGCCAUCCGCACUUAAAGCAAACCAUACGUUCCUUGGCUCACUUGCAAACUCAUCCCAGUACUUUCUCUCAUUUUUCUCCAUUGCGACCCGUCAGCGGGUGCUCUCAACUUCCCGUCUUUCUUACGGUCCUCACUAUGCCAUCGCAUCAACUUGGCAUGCUCUCCGUUUCUGAACAGACGUUUCAACCGUGGUAUUAUAGGAGCAUACCACAUCACCACUACUAGGGAAAAGCCUAUACAUAGAAUCUUACCAGCAGCGCUCUUCAAAAUACAACGCUACUGCUACUUAGCAGCAGCGCGUGUCUGCCAAACACGCUGCUGACUUGGAAGUAGCAGUAGCGGGUGCAUCGCAUACAGCGCUACUGCUAUAGUUGCCAUGACCUUGCCCCCCCCCCCCCNNNNNNNNNNNNNNNNNNNNNNNNNNNNNNNNNNNNNNNNNNNNNNNNNNNNNNNNNNNNNNNNNNNNNNNNNNNNNNNNNNNNNNNNNNNNNNNNNNNNNNNNNNNNNNNNNNNNNNNNNNNNNNNNNNNNNNNNNNNNNNNNNNNNNNNNNNNNNNNNNNNNNNNNNNNNNNNNNNNNNNNNNNNNNNNNNNNNNNNNNNNNNNNNNNNNNNNNNNNNNNNNNNNNNNNNNNNNGCAAACGCGCUACAACUAUCCCUACCUUAUCCCCAUGCGCACGACCGGCCCUCUCACUCACACUCUCACUCUCGCCCACGUCAACCGUCGUCGUCCGUCGCCGCCGCCGCCGCCUUCGUCCGUCCGCCGCCGAGGUACUCCCCUCCUUCCGUCCCUCCUCCAUCCUCCUUGCACAUCCUCCCUCCGCCUGUGGCCGCCCCUCCUUCCUCCGCCGCUGCCCUCCUCCCUCCGCCUGCGGCCGCCCCUCCUCCCUCCUCCGACGGCAGCCCUCCUCCCACCGCCCUCGACCUCGCUGCCCCUAGCUACCUCUCCGUCGCCCCCCACCCCUGCCACUAGUUAGUACUAGAUUUAGUAGUAGUAGAUGUUAAUUUAGGGUUAGCUAGUACUAGAUGUUGCUUAGUUAGUACUAGAUUUUUAGUAGUAGUAGUGGUAGUUGAACUACUUUAGUUGUAGUUGAACUAGUUUAGUAAGUAAAUUAAUAAACGAGUUGAACUAGUUGAAUUAAUAGAACUAAUCUAUUUUUAGUAAGAUAAUUAAUAUAACUAGUUGAACUACUUUAUUUUUAGAAAGAACUAAUUUUUUUCUAUUUAUAUUAAGUUUAUAUUUAGUAAGAACUAGUUGAAUUAAUAAAACUAGUUGAACAUGUCAUGUUUGUUGUUAGUGAUAACUUAUAUGGUUUCAGGUGACCUCCGUCGUCCCCGUCACCGACCCCCUCCGACAUCCCCGUCGUCGUCCCAGUCACCGACCCCCUCCGACAUCGAGGUGAGACCAGCCAAAUAUCCUUGUAUAUCUUGUGUUGUUGCUCAAAUUGGAUAUGUGGUUGCCCAAGUGGCCGUUCAUGUAGUUUACAUCUCCGAGUGGCCUAUGUUUUGCCGGAGUGUUGAUUAAUUUCCGUUCCGACAAAUUUCAGGCGCUCGAUAUGUCCUUUUUUAGCAAAGGUCAUGCCGGAUUUUGUCGUGAAUUCUGGUAUGACUUGUGCUAGAAUAUGUACAAGUUUAAUCUUUGAAUUAUGAUUGUAGGAAAUGUCGUACUCGGACGACGAAGGUCUCCCGGGGGAGUGUAGCUGGUGCCACGACGAUCGAGGUAUGUGCGAUAGGUUCGUUCGGCUGGACGAAGAUCGGCGCUUCAACAUUAAGCUCGAGGAGACCUUCGAUUGUGAAAUGGUACGCAACAACGACAAGUGUUUUUUCUCCAUUAAGCAUGACUUCAACUAUUUCAACGUCUAAUUUUCAUAUUUUACAAUUCGACUAGCUUAUCCCAUGCCAUGCAAGACGCUAUGUCUUGGAGAGGAUGGGUUUUGAAGACCAUGAAAAUUUCAAAACAAAGAAAAUACACCUAAGGACCCAUCAUGAUAUGGAUUUUGAAGUAAACCUGUGCAAUGCUCAGAGCGCAACCCAUUUUGGUUGCCAAAAUUGGGAAGCACUUUGCAAAAUGUAUGGUUUUUAUGAGGGUAUGAUUGUCACCAUGGAUCUUGGUGAUCCUGACAGUGAGGAAGACAAUAUGGACAUUUGGGUCCUUGUUGAUACGCUUCCGAUUGUACCGCUAUGUGACUUUCUCAAACAUAGUUAUUAACUAAUUUAUAUUGUUUAUUUCAAAAUAGUUGAUAGCUUAUUUCCAUUGACAGCUUAUUUUGAUUCUUCAAAGACUGUGCGGAAGAUGGUAGAUAAAACCCACUACACCGAAGGCACCCAAUUAACGUAUAAGGAGAAAAAUCAUCUGAUCGCAUUUUGUACUCUUCUUGAGAAUUACAAUGACUAUAAUCGAACUCCUCCAGAUUAUGGUGAAUAUGUGCCACUAGUGCAUGUGUUGAACAACGAUAACUUAUCUGGAGAUACCCUGGUAAGAUUUUUUACUAUUACGACAUCCGUGUAUUUUUUGCAUACUUCUAAAACUAGUACAUCAUUGCUAACUACGAAGUUAUUAUUAUGUUUUUCAACAGAAACUCCCGAUGGAUUGUGUGCCUCAUCUGAUGUCUCUGCAUGGUCGCCUCUCAGUUCUGAACAUACUGCCAGGUAAAUCUACAGAGCUCACCUAUGCAUAUCAGAUUUCUAAAACCCGUGAACACAUGAUCAUCAGAGAAUGGAAGAAAUGUAUGGACAUUCGCAAGGAGGUUCUUGGAAGUAACAUUCAGCGAAACGUAAGAAUGGGAGACAGGCUAAUCUCCAUUCUCCAUAAUGGAGAGUCAGGGGCUAUCUUGUUUUUUGUUAUUUUACCUUAGAAAAUGUAGUAGGUCUUAAUCGAAUGUAAUAGGUCCUAUGAGGUACAAUAUGUUUAUUAUGUGGUAAUGUGUUAGAGUUGAUAAUGAUGAUCUUGAGGAGGUGUUAUGUGAUGUCAAUGAUGAAAACGAUGAUAUUGAGGAGGUGUUAUAUGACAAUGAUGUAUUAUGAUGCUAAGUUGUUAAUGAUAUGAUGAUGAUGAUGAUAUUAUUAUAUCAUUGGGUGAAAGAACCGUGGAUUAGUUUCAAGUGGAUGGACAUCCACUUGAAACUAGUCCACGGUUCUUUCACCCCAUGAUGUAAUAACUCAUUAUGAUGUAAAAACAAUCUCUAAAUUCCUGUUGUAUGAAAACUUGUGUAAGGGUGUAUGAAUACAACAUGAAAAAGAAAAGAAAUAAAAUACUAAAUAAUAGUAGUAGCGCGGGUAAGGAGAAGCGCUACUACUAAUUACCAGUAGCGAUGUUCUAAAGAACCGCUGCUACUAAGUCAAUUUAGCAGUAGCGCGUGUCAAGACGCGCUAUUGCUAAGCAUUAGCUGUAGCGCCUUAUCAGUAGCGCUCCUGCCCGCGCUACUGAUAGGCCCAAAACCCGCGCUGCUGCUAGGCUUUUCCCUAGUAGUGCACCUUCGCAGGAACCCUCUUCCUGGGGGGCUCGCCGUCAACAUCACCAGGGUCAUCUCGUCUGAUCUUAUACCAUAAUGCACCGCAUACCAGGCAUGCGUUCAGAUCCUUAUAUGCACCGCGGUAGAGGAUGCAGUCAUUAGGGCAUGCAGGUAUCUUCUGCACCUCCAAUCCUAGAGGGCAUACGACCUUCUUUGCUGCGUAUGUACUGUCGGGCAAUUCGUUAUCCUUUGGAAGCUUCUUCUUCAAUAUUUUCAGUAGCUUCUCAAAUCCUUUGUCAGGCACAGCAUUCUCUUAAAGGAAAUAUGCCCUAGAGGCAAUAAUAAAGUUAUUAUUUAUUUCCUCAUAUCAUGAUAAAUGUUUAUUAUUCAUGCUAGAAUUGUAUUAACCGGAAACAUGAUACAUGUGUGAAUACAUAGACAAAACUAUAGUCACUAGUAUGCCUCUACUUGACUAGCUCAUUAAUCAAAGAUGGUUAUGUUUCCUGACCAUAGACAUGUGUUGUCAUUUGAUUAGUGGGAUCACAUCAUUAAGAGAAUGAUGUGAUUGACAUGACCCAUUCUGUUAGCCCAGCACUUGAUCGUUUAGUAUACUGCUAUUGCUUUCUUCAUGACUUAUACAAAGUUCCUGCAACUAUGAGAUUGUGCAACUCCCGUUUACCGGAAGAACACUUUGUGUGCUACCAAACAUCACAACGUAACUGGGUGAUUAUAAAGGUGCUCUACAGGUGUUUCCGAAGGUACAUGUUGGGUUGGCAUAAUUCGAGAUUAGGAUUUGUCACUCCGAUUGUCGGAGAGGUAUCUCUGGGCCCUCUCGGAAAUACUCAUCACAUAAGCCUUGCAAGCAUGUAACUAAUGAGUUAGUUAUGAGAUGACGUAUUACGAAACGAGUAAAGAGACUUGCCGGUAACGAGAUUGAACUAGGUAUUGGAUACCGACGAUCAAAUCUCGGGCAAGUAACAUACCGAUGACAAAGGGAACAAAGUAUGUUGUUAUGCGGUUUGACCGAUAAAGAUCUUCGUAGAAUAUGUAGGAACCAAUAUGGGCAUCCAGGUCCCGCUAUUGGUUAUUGACCGAGAAUGGUUUUAGGUCAUGACUACAUAGUUCUCAAACCCGUAGGGUCCGCACGCUUAACUUUUUGAUGAUAGUUUUAUUAUGAGUUUAUAAGUUUUGAUGUACCAAAGUUUGUUCGGAGUUCCGGAUGUGAUCACGGAUAUGAUGAGGAGUCUCGGAAUGCUUGAGCCAUAAAGAUUGAUAUAUUGGACGACUAUAUUCGGACACCGGAAAGGUUCCGGGAGUUUUCGGAGAAAACCGGAGUGCCCGGGGGGUUACCGAAACCCCCCGGGAGAGUUAAUGGGCCACAUGGGCCUAGGUGGGAAGAGAAAGGGGCGGCCAGGGUGAGCCGCGCGCCCCCUCUCCCUCUAGUCCGAAUUGGACUAGGAGGGGGGGCGGCGCCCCCUUUCCUUCCCCCCCUCUCUUCCUUCCUUCCCCCUCCUAGUAGGAGUAGGAAAGGAGGAAUCCUACUCCUACUAGGAGGAGGAUUCCUCCUCCCUUGCGCGCCCCAAGGGGCCGGCCGGCCUCCCCCUCCCUCCUUUAUAUACGGGGGCAGGGGGCACCCCAUAGACACACAAGUUGAUCUACGGAUCGUUCCUUAGCCGUGUGCGGUGCCCCCUUCCACCAUAUUCCACCUCGGUCAUAUCGUCGCGAAGCUUAGGCGAAGUCCUGCGCCGGUAGAACAUCAAGAUCGUCACCACGCCGUCGUGCUGACGGAACUCUCCCUCGACACUCGGCUGGAUCGGAGUUCGAGGGACGUCAUCGAGCUGAAUGUGUGCUGAACUCGGAGGCUCCGUACGUUCGGUUCUUGGAUCGGUCGGAUCGUGAAGACGUAUGACUACAUCAACCGCGUUGUCAUAACGCUUCCGCUUACGGUCUACGAGGGUACAUGGACAUACACUCUCCCCUCUCGUUGCUAUGUCAUCACCAUGAUCUUGCGUGUGCGUAGGAAAAUUUUGAAAUUACUACGUUCCCCGACAGUGGUAUCAGAGCCUAGGUUUUAUGCGUUGAUGUUAUAUGCACGAGUAGAACACAAGUGAGUUGUGGACGAUAUAAGUCAUACUGCCUACCAGUGUGUCAUACUUUGGUUCAGCGGUAUUGUGAGAUGAAGCGGCCCGGACCGACAUUACGGGUACGCUUACGCGAGACUAGUUUCACCGUUAUGAGCACUCGUGCUUAAAGGUGGCUGGCGGGUGUCUGUCUCUCUCACUUUAGUUGAACCGAGUGUGGCUACGCCCGGCCCUUGUGAAGGUUAAAACGGAGUCUAUUUGACAAACUAUCGUUGUGGUUUUGAUGCGUAGGUAAGAACGGUUCUUGCUAAGCCCGUAGCAUCCACGUAAAAUUUGCAACAACAAAGUAGAGGACGUCUAACUUGUUUUUGCAGGGCAUGUUGUGAUAUGAUAUGGUCAAGACGUGAUGCUAUAUUUUAUUGUAUGAGAUGAUCAUGUUUUGUAACCGAAGUUAUCGGCAACUGGCUGGAGCCAUAUGGUUGUCGCUUUAUUGUAUGAAAUGCAAACGCCCUGUAAUUGCUUUACUUUAUCUCUAAGCGGUAGCGAUAGUCGUAGAAGCAAUAGAUGGCGUAAACGACAACGAUGCUACGAUGGAGAUCAAGGUGUCGCGCCGGUGACGAUGGUGAUCAUGACGGUGCUUCGAAGAUGGAGAUCACAAGCACAAGAUGAUGAUGGCCAUAUCAUAUCACUUAUAUUGAUUGCAUGUGAUGUUUAUCCUUUAUGCAUCUUAUCUUGCUUUGAUUGACGGUAGCAUUUUAAGAUGAUCUCUCACUAAAAUUAUCAAGUAGUGUUCUCCCUGAGUAUGCACCGUUGCCAAAGUUCAUCGUGCCGAGACACCACGUGAUGAUCGGGUGUGAUAAGCUCUACGUCCAUCUACAACGGGUGCAAGCCAGUUUUGCACACGCAGAAUACUCAGGUUAAACUUGACGAGCCUAGCAUAUGCAGAUAUGGCCUCGGAACACAGAGACCGAAAGGUCGAGCGUGAAUCAUAUAGUAGAUAUGAUCAACAUAAUGAUGUUCACCAUUGAAAACUACUCCAUCUCACGUGAUGAUCGGUUAUGGUUUAGUUGAUUUGGAUCACGUGAUCACUUAGAUGACUAGAGAGAUGUCUGUCUAUGUGGGAGUUCUUAAGUAAUAUGAUUAAUUGAACUUAAAUUUAUCAUGAACUUAGUACCUGAUAGUAUCUUGCUUGUCUAUGUUUGUUUGUAGAUAGAUGGCUCGUGCUGUUGUUCCGUUGAAUUUUAAUGCGUUCCUUGAGAAAGCAAAGUUGAAAGAUGAUGGUAGCAAUUACACGGACUGGGUCCGUAACCUGAGGAUUAUCCUCAUUGUUGCACAGAAGAGUUACGUCCUGGAAGCACCGCUGGGUGCCAGGCCUGCUGCUGAUGCAACUGACGACGUUAAGAACGUCUGGCAGAGCAAAGCUGAUGACUACUCUAUAGUUCAGUGUGCCAUGCUUUACGGCUUAGAACCGGGUCUUCAACGACGUUUUGAACGUCAUGGAGCAUAUGAGAUGUUCCAGGAGUUGAAGUUAAUAUUUCAAGCAAAUGCCCGGAUUGAGAGAUAUGAAGUCUCCAAUAAGUUCUAUAGCUGCAAGAUGGAGGAGAAUAGUUCUGUCAGUGAACAUAUACUCAGAAUGUCUGGGUAUAACAAUCACUUGAUUCAACUGGGAGUUAAUCUUCCUGAUGAUAGUGUCAUUGACAGAAUUCUUCAAUCACUGCCACCAAGCUACAAGAGCUUUGUGAUGAACUAUAAUAUGCAAGGGAUGAACAAGACUAUUCCCGAGCUCUUCGCGAUGCUGAAAGCCGCAGAGGUAGAAAUCAAGAAGGAGCAUCAAGUGUUGAUGGUCAACAAGACCACUAGUUUCAAGAAGAAGGGCAAAGGAAAGAAGAAGGGGAACUUCAAAAAGAACGGCAAGCAAGUUGCUGCUCAAGAGAAGAAACCCAAGUCUGGACCUAAGCCUGAAACUGAGUGCUUCUACUGCAAGCAGACUGGUCACUGGAAGCGGAACUGCCCCAAGUAUUUGGCGGAUAAGAAGGAUGGCAAAGUAAACAAAGGUAUAUGUGAUAUACAUGUUAUUGAUGUGUACCUAACUAGAGCUCGUAGUAGCACCUGGGUAUUUGAUACUGGUUCUGUUGCUAAUAUUUGCAACUCGAAACAGGGACUACGGAAUAAGCGAGCACUGGCCAAGGACGAGGUGACGAUGCGCGUGGAAAACGGUUCCAAAGUCGAUGUGAUCGCGGUCGGCACGCUACCUCUACAUCUACCAUCGGGAUUAGUUUUAGACCUAAAUAAUUGUUAUUUGGUGCCAGCGUUGAGCAUGAACAUUAUAUCUGGAUCUUGUUUGAUGCAAGACGGUUAUUCAUUUAAAUCAGAGAAUAAUGGUUGUUCUAUUUAUAUGAGUAAUAUCUUUUAUGGUCAUGCACCCUUGAAGAGUGGUCUAUUUUUAUUGAAUCUCGAUAGUAGUGAUACACAUAUUCAUAUUGUAGAAGCCAAAAGAUGCAGAGUUGAUAAUGAUAGUGCAACUUAUUUGUGGCACUGCCGUUUGGGUCAUAUCGGUGUACAACGCAUGAAGAAACUCCAUACUGAUGGACUUCUGGAAUCACUUGAUUAUGAAUCACUUGGUACUUGCGAACCGUGCCUUAUGGGCAAGAUGACUAAAACACCGUUCUCCGGAACUAUGGAGAGAGCAACAGAUUUGUUGGAAAUCAUACAUACAGAUGUAUGUGGUCCGAUGAAUGUUGAGGCUCGUGGCGGAUAUCAUUAUUUUCUCACCUUCACUGAUGAUUUAAGCAGAUAUGGGUAUAUCUACUUAAUGAAGUACAAGUCUGAAACAUUUGAAAAGUUCAAAGAAUUUCAGAGUGAAGUAGAAAAUCAUCGUAACAAGAAAAUAAAGUUUCUACGAUCUGACCGUGGAGGAGAAUAUUUGAGUUACGAGUUUGGUUUACAUUUGAAACAAUGCGGAAUAGUUUCGCAACUCACGCCACCUGGAACACCACAACGAAAUGGUGUGUCCAAACGUCGUACUCGUACUUUACUUGAUAUGGUGCGAUCUAUGAUGUCUCUUACCGAUUUACCGCUAUCGUUUUGGGGUUAUGCUUUAGAGACGGCCGCAUUCACGUUAAAUAGGGCACCAUCAAAAUCCGUUGAGAUGACGCCUUAUGAACUGUGGUUUGGCAAGAAACCAAAGUUGUCGUUUCUUAAAGUUUGGGGCUGCGGUACUUAUGUGAAGAAACUUCAACCAGAUAAGCUCGAACCCAAAUCGGAGAAAUGUGUCUUCGUAGGAUACCCAAAGGAGACUAUUGGGUACACCUUCUAUCACAGAUCUGAAGGCAAGAUUUUCGUUGCUAAAUUCGGAUCCUUUCUAGAGAAGGAAUUUCUCUCGAAAGAAGUGAGUGGGAGGAAAGUAGAACUUGAUGAGAUAACUGUAUCUACUCCCUUAUUGGAAGGUAGUUCAUCACGAGAACUGGUUCCCAUGACAACUACACCAAUUAUUGAGGAAGCUAAUAAUAUUGAUCAUGAAACUUCAGAUCAAGUUUCUGCUGAACCUCGUAGGUCUACCAGAGUAAGAUCCGCACCAGAGUGGUACGGUAAUCCUAUUCUGGAAGUCAUGUUACUUGACCAUGAUGAACCUACGAACUAUGAGGAACCGAUGAUGAGCCCAGAUUCCGCAAAAUGGCUAGAGGCCAUGAAAUCUGAGAUGGGAUCCAUGGAUGAAAACAAAGUAUGGACUUUGGUUGACUUGCCCGAUGAUCGGCAAGCCAUUGAGAAUAAAUGGAUCUUUAAGAAGAAGACUGACGCUGAUGGUAAUGUUACUGUCUAUAAAGCUCGACUUGUUGCGAAAGGUUUUCGACAAGUUCAAGGGGUUGACUAUGAUGAGACUUUCUCACCCGUAGCGAUGCUUAAGUCUGUCCGAAUCAUGUUGGCUAUUGCUGCAUUUCAUGAUUAUGAAAUUUGGCAAAUGGAUGUCAAAACUGCAUUCUUGAAUGGAUUUCUAGAAGAAGAGUUGUAUAUGAUGCAGCCGGAAGGUUUUGUUGAUCCAAAAGGUGCUGACAAAGUGUGUAAGCUCCAAUGUUCCAUUUAUGGACUGGUGCAAGCAUCUCGGAGUUGGAAUAAACGUUUUGACAGUGUGAUCAAGGCAUAUGGUUUUAUACAGACUUUUGGAGAAGCCUGUAUUUACAAGAAAGUGAGUGGGAGCUCUGUAGCAUUUCUAGUUUUAUAUGUUGAUGACAUAUUAUUAAUUGGAAAUGAUAUAGAAUUUCUGGAGAGCAUAAAGGGAUACUUGAAUAAAAGUUUUUCAAUGAAAGACCUCGGUGAAGCUGCUUACAUAUUGGGCAUCAAGAUCUAUAGAGAUAGAUCAAGACGCUUAAUAGGACUUUCACAAAGCACAUACCUUGACAAAAUUUUGAAAAAGUUCAAAAUGGAUCAGGCAAAGAAAGGAUUCUUGCCUGUGCUACAAGGUGUGAAGUUGAGUCAAACUCAAUGCCCGACCACAUCAGAAGAUAGAGAGAAAAUGAAAAAUGUUCCCUAUGCUUCAGCCAUAGGCUCUAUCAUGUAUGCAAUGCUGUGUACCAGACUUGACGUAUGCUUAGCAAUAAGCUUGGCAGGAAGGUACCAAAGUAAUCCAGGAGUGGAUCACUGGACAGCGGUCAAGAACAUCCUUAAAUACCUGAAAAGGACUAAGGAUAUAUUUCUCGUAUAUGUAGGUGACAAAGAGCUCGUCGUAAAUGGUUACGUCGAUGCAAGCUUUGACACUGAUCCAGACGAUUCUAAAUCGCAAACCGGAUACGUGUUUAUAUUAAACGGUGGAGCUGUAAGUUGGUGCAGUUCUAAACAAAGCGUCGUGGCGGGAUCUACAUGUGAAGCGGAGUACAUAGCUGCUUCUGAAGCAGCAAAUGAAGGAGUCUGGAUGAAGGAGUUCAUUUCCGAUCUAGGUGUCAUACCUAGUGCAUCGGGACCAAUGAAGAUCUUCUGUGACAAUACAGGUGCAAUUGCUUUGGCAAAGGAAUCCAGAUUUCACAAGAGGACCAAGCACAUCACGAGACGCUUAAAUUCCAUUCGGGACCAAGUCCAAGUGGGAGACAUACAGAUUUGCAAGAUACAUACGGAUCUGAAUAUUGCAGACCCGUUGACUAAGCAUCUCUCACGAGCAAAACAUGAUCAGCACCAAGACUCCAUGGGUGUUAGAAUCAUUAUUGUGUAAUCUAGAUUAUUGACUCUAGUGCAAGUGGGAGACUAAAGGAAAUAUGCCCUAGAGGCAAUAAUAAAGUUAUUAUUUAUUUCCUCAUAUCAUGAUAAAUGUUUAUUAUUCAUGCUAGAAUUGUAUUAACCGGAAACAUGAUACAUGUGUGAAUACAUAGACAAAACUAUAGUCACUAGUAUGCCUCUACUUGACUAGCUCAUUAAUCAAAGAUGGUUAUGUUUCCUGACCAUAGACAUGUGUUGUCAUUUGAUUAGUGGGAUCACAUCAUUAAGAGAAUGAUGUGAUUGACAUGACCCAUUCUGUUAGCCUAGCACUUGAUCGUUUAGUAUACUGCUAUUGCUUUCUUCAUGACUUAUACAAAGUUCCUGCAACUAUGAGAUUGUGCAACUCCCGUUUACCAAAAGAACACUUUGUGUGCUACCAAACGUCACAACGUAACUGGGUGAUUAUAAAGGUUCUCUACAGGUGUUUCCGAAGGUACAUGUUGGGUUGGCAUAAUUCGAGAUUAGGAUUUGUCACUCCGAUUGUCGGAGAGGUAUCUUUGGGCCCUCUCGGUAAUACUCAUCACAUAAGCCUUGCAAGCAUGUAACUAAUGAGUUAGUUAUGAGAUGACGUAUUACGGAACGAGUAAAGAGACUUGCCGGUAACGAGAUUGAACUAGGUAUUGGAUACCAACGAUCAAAUCUCGGGCAAGUAACAUACCGAUGACAAAGGGAACAAAGUAUGUUGUUAUGCGGUUUGACCGAUAAAGAUCUUCAUAGAAUAUGUAGGAACCAAUAUGGGCAUCCAGGUCCCGCUAUUGGUUAUUGACCGAGAAUGGUUUUAGGUCAUGACUACAUAGUUCUCGAACCCGUAGGGUCCGCACGCUUAACGUUUCGAUGAUAGUUUUAUUAUGAGUUUAUAAGUUUUGAUGUACCGAAGUUUGUUCGGAGUCCCAGAUGUGAUCACAGACAUGACGAGGAGUCUUGGAAUGGUCGAGACAUAAAGAUUGAUAUAUUGGACGACUAUAUUCGGACACCGGAAAGGUUCCGGGAGUUUUCGGAGAAAACCGGAGUGCCGGGGGGGUUACCGGAACCCCCCGGGAGAGUUAAUGGGCCACAUGGGCCUAGGUGGGAAGAGAGAGGUGCGGCCAGGGUGGGCCGCGCGCCCCCUCUCCCUCUAGUUCGAAUUGGACUAGGAGGGGGGGCGGCGCCCCCCUUUCCUUCCCCCCCUCUCUUCCUUCCUUCCCCCUCCUAGUAGGAGUAGGAAAGGAGGAAUCCUACUCCUACUAGGAGGAGGAUUCCUCCUCCCUUGGAGCGCCCCAAGGGGCUGGCCGGCCUCCCCCUCCCUCCUUUAUAUACGAGGGCAGGGGGCACCCCAUAGACACACAAGUUGAACUACGGAUCGUUCCUUAGCCGUGUGCGGUGCCCCCUUCCACCAUAUUCCACCUCGGUCAUAUUGUCGCGAAGCUUAGGCGAAGCCCUGCGCCGGUAGAACAUCAAGAUCGUCACCACGCCGUCGUGCUGACGGAACUCUCCCUCGACACUCGGCUGGAUCGGAGUUCGAGGGACGUCAUCGAGCUGAACAUCUGCUGAACUCGGAGGCUCCGUACGUUAGGUGCUUGGAUCGGUCGGAUCGUGAAGACGUACGACUACAUCAACCGCGUUGUCAUAACGCUUCCGCUUACGGUCUACGAGGGUACGUGGACAUACACUCUCCCCUCUCGUUGCUAUUUCAUCACCAUGAUCUUGCUUGUGCGUAGGAAAAUUUUGAAAUUACUACGUUCCCCAACAUCUCUGCCUUCCACUGCAGCAAUUCCAGUACGGUACCGAGCUUUGUGUUGCCAUCUUCGCAAUUGGGGUACAACCCUUUUUUUUGGUCCUCUAGCAUGCGAUCGAACUUCAGCUUCUCCUUUUGACUUUUGCAUUGCGUCCUUGCAUCGACAAUGACCCGGCGGAGAUCAUCAUCAUCGGGCACAUCGUCUGGUUCCUCUUGAUCUUCAGCAGCUUCGCCUGUUGCAGCAUCAUCGUGCACAUCGUCUGGUUCCUCUUGAUCUUCAGGAGCAUCACCGUAUUCAGGGGCACAUAGUUGUCAUCGUACUCUUCUUCACCGUCUUCCAUCAUAACCCCUAUUUCUCCGUGCCUCAUCCAAACAUUAUAGUGUGGCAUGAAACCCUUGUAAAGCAGGUGGGUGUGGAGGAUUUUCCGGUCAGAGUAAGACUUCGUAUUCCCACAUAUAGGACAUGGACAACACAUAAAACCAUUCUGCUUGUUUGCCUCAGCCACUUCGAGAAAAUCAUGCACGCGCUUAAUGUACUCGGAGGUGUGUCUUGAACCGUACAUCCAUUGCCGGUUCAUCUGCGUGCAUUAUAUAAUGAAGUGACCAAAUUAAUAGAAGUUCAUCAUCACAUUAAAACCAAAGUACAUACAUAGUUCUCAUCUAACAACAUAAAGCUCUGCAGAGCAUCUAAAUUAAUUAAACCAUACACUGAAACUAUGUAAAACAUUUCAAUGCGAAAACAAAUGCAACCAUAAUCGCAACCAAUGUAACAACUGAUCCAACGGCAUAAUGAUACCAAGCCUCAGUAUGAAUGGCAUAUUUUCUAAUCUUUCUAAUCUUCAAGCGCAUUGCAUCCAUCUUGAUCUUGUGAUCAUCGACGACAUCCCCAACAUGCAACUCCAAUAUCAUCUUCUCCUCCUCAAUUUUUCUAAUUUUUUCCUUCAAGAAAUUGUUUUCUUCUUCAACUGAAUUUAACCUCUCGACAAUAGGGUCGGUUGGAAUUUCCGGUUCAACAACCUCCUAGAUAAAUAAAAUCUAUGUCACGUUGGUCGGCAUAAUUGUCAUAAACAAUAAAUGAACCAAUAGUUAUGAAAAGAUAAUAUAUACCACAUCCGAAUCAUAGACAGGACGAGGGCCGACGGGGGCGGAUACCAAAACCAUCGCACUAUAUAAGAUGCAAUAAUAAAAGUAAGAAAAUAAUACAAGUAUCUAUCUAAACAUACAAGUAAGAAUAUUUUUCCUUUCAGAAAGAAGAUAAGAACAAGAGGCUCACCACGGUGGUGCCGGCGAUGAGAUCGGCGCGGGUGAUCGACGACGAUGAAGACAAGGACGGGGCGUGACGGACCGCUAAACCUAGACAAAUAUUGAGGAAAAUGGAGCUUGGCGGUCGAGCUUGGAGGGGAGAAAGCUUAAGUAGUGUGGCUCGGGCAUUCCAUCGAACACCUCGUGUGCAUAGGAGGUGAGCUAGAGCACCACAAAGCUCUCCCCUCGCCGGCCACGAAAAACAGAGCACUGGGAGUGCUCUGCUCGCGAGCGGGGGGUAUAUAUAGGCACCACCAUUGGUCCCGGUUGGUCGCACGAACCGGGACUAAAGGUUGGCCUUUGGUCCCGGUUCGUGCCACCAACUGGGACCAAUGGUGGUGGGCCAGGAGCGAGGCCCAUUGGUCCCGGUUCGUCCCUCCAACCGGGACCAAAAGGUCCAGACAAACCGGGACCAAUGGCCCACGUGUUGGGUUUCGUAGUAAUUUCAAAAAAUUUCCUACGCACACGCAAGAUCAUGUGAUGCAUAGCAACGAGGGGAGAGUGUUGUCUACGUACCCAACGCAGACCGACUGCGGAAGCGAUGACACGACGUAGAGGAAGUAGUCGUACGUCUUCACGAUCCAACCGAUCAAGCACCGAAACUACGGCACCUCCGAGUUCGAGCACACGUUCAGCUCGAUGACGAUCCCCGGACUCCGAUCCAGCAAAGUGUCGGGGAAGAGUUCCGUCAGCACGACGGCGUGGUGACGAUCUUGAUGAACUACAGCAGCAGGGCUUCGCCUAAACUCCGCUACAGUAUUAUCGAGGUAUAUGGUGGCAGGGGCACCGCACACGGCUAAGGAAUAGAUCACGUGGAUCAACUUGUGUGUAUAGAGGUGCCCCCUGCCUCCGUAUAUAAAGGAGGAGAGGAGGGGAGGCUGGCCGGCCAAGGAGGGGAGGCGCAGGAGAGUCCUACUCCCUCUGGGAGUAGGAUUCCCCCCAAUCCUAGUCCAACUAGGAUUCCUCGGAGGGGAAGGGAGAGAGGGGGGCCGGCCACCUUCUCCUAGUCCUAAUAGGACUAGGGGAGGGGGAAGUGGCGCAGCCACCUUGGGCUGCCCCUUUCUCCUUUCCACUAAGGCCCAUGAAGGCCCAUAUGGCUCCCGGGGGGUUCCGGUAAUCCUCCCGGUACUCCGGUAAAAUCCCGAUUUCACCCGGAACACUUCCGAUGUCCAAACAUAGGCUUCCAAUAUAUCAAUCUUUAUGUCUCGACCGUUUCGAGACUCCUCGUCAUGUCCAUGAUCACAUCCGGGACUCCAAACAACCUUCGGUACAUCAAAAUGCAUAAACUCAUAAUGUAACUGUCAUCGUAACCUUAAGCGUGCGGACCCUACGGGUUCGAGAACAAUGUAGACAUGACCGAGACACGUCUCCGGUCAAUAACCAAUAGCGGGACCUGGAUGCCCAUAUUGGCUCCUACAUAUUCUACGAAGAUCUUUAUCGGUCAGACCGCAUAACAACAUACGUUGUUCCCUUUGUCAUCGGUACGUUACUUGCCCGAGAUUCGAUCGUCGGUAUCCAAUACCUAGUUCAAUCUCGUCACCGGCAAGUCUCUUUACUCGUUCUAUAAUGCAUCAUCCCGUAACCAACUCAUUGGUCACAUUGCUUGCAAGGCUUAUAAUGAUGUGCAUUACCGAGAGGGCCCAGAGAUACCUCUCCGACAAUCGGAGUGACAAAACCUAAUCUCGAAAUACGCCAACUCAACAUGUACCUUCGGAGACACCUGUAGUACUCCUUUAUAAUCACCCAGUUAAGUUGUGACGUUUGGUAGUACCCAAAGUGUUCCUCCGGUAAACGGGAGUUGCAUAAUCUCAUAGUUACAGGAACAUGUAUAAGUCAUGAAGAAAGCAAUAGCAACAUACUAAACGAUCAAGUGCUAAGCUAACGGAAUGGGUGAAGUCAAUCACAUCAUUCUCCUAAUGAUGUGACCCCGUUAAUCAAAUGACAACUCUUUUGUCCAUGGCUAGGAAACAUAACCAUCUUUGAUAAACGAGCUAGUCAAGUAGAGGCAUACUAGUGACACUAUGUUUGUCUAUGUAUUCACACAUGUAUUAUGUUUCUGGUUAAUACAAUUCUAGCAUGAAUAAUAAACAUUUAUCAUGAAAUAAGGAAAUAAAUAAUAACUUUAUUAUUGCCUCUAGGGCAUAUUUCCUUCAGUCUCCCACUUGCACUAGAGUCAAUAAUCUAGUUCACAUCGUCAUGUGAUUUAACAACAAUAUUCAUAUCUGUAUAUGAUUAACACCCAUAGUUCACAUUAUCAUGUGACCAACACCCAAAGGGUUUACUAGAGUAAAUAAUCUAGUUCACAUCUCUAUGUGAUUAACACCCAAAGAGUACUAAGGUGUGAUCAUGUUUUGCUCGUGAAAGAAGCUUAGUCAAUGGGUCUGUCACAUUCAGAGCCGUAUGCAUUUUGCAAAUAUUUUAUGUCUACAAUGCUCUGCACGGUGCUACUCUAGCAAUUGCUCCCACUUUCAAUAUGUAUCCAGAUUGAGACUUAGAGUCAUCUGGAUCGGUGUGAAAACUUGCACCGAGGUAACUUUUACGACGGGCUCUUUUAUCACCUCCAUAAUCGAGAAAUAUUUCCUUAGUCCUCACUAAGGAUAUUCUUGACCAAUGUCGAGUGAUCUACUCCUAGAUCACUAUUGUACUCCCUUGUCAAAUACUGAGCAAGGUAUACAAUAGUUCUGGUACAUAGCAUAGCAUACUUUAUAGAACCUAUGACUGAGGCAUAGGGAAUGACUUUUCAUUUUUUCUAUUUUCUGUUGUGGUCGGGAUUUGAGUCUUACUCAAUUUCAUACCUUUGCAACACAGGCAAGAACUCUUUCUUUGACUGUUCCAUUUUGAACUAUUUCAAAAUCUUGCCAAGGUAUGUACUCAUUGAAAAUCUUAUCAAGCGUCUUGAUCUAUCUCAAUAUAUCUUGAUGCUCAAUAUGUAAGUAGCUUUUACUGAGGUCUUUUCCUUUUAAAGAACUCCUUUAAAACACUCCUUUAUGCUUUGCAGAAAAAUUCUACAUCAUUUCUGAUCAACAAUAUGUCACUCGUAUAUACUAAUCAGAAAGGCUAUAGUGCUCCCACUCACUUUAUUGUAAAUACAGGCUUCUCAAAAAGUCUGUAUAAAACCAUAUGCUUUGAUCAACUCAUCAAAGCGUAUAUUCCAACUCCGAGAGGCUUGCACCAGUCCAUAGAUGGAUCGCUGGAGCUUGCACAUUUUUUUAGCACCUUUAGGAUUGACAAAACCUUCUGGUUGCAUCAUAUACAACUCUUCUUUAAUAAAUCCAUUAAGGAAUGCAGUUUUGAUAUCCAUUUGCCAGAUUUCAUAAAAUGUGGCAAUUGCUAACAUGAUUCAGACAGACUUAAGAAUCGAUACGAGUGAGAAAAUCUCAUCGUAUUCAACACCUUGAACUUGUUGAAAACCUUUCGCAACAAGUCGAGCUUGGUAGAUAGUAACACUACUAUCAGUGUCCGUCUUCCUCUUGAAGAUCCAUUCAUUUAACAUGGCUUGCUGAUCAUCGAGCAAGUCAAUCAAAGUCCAUACUUUGUUCUCAUACAUGGAUCAUAUCUCAGAUUUUAUGGCCUCGAGCCAUUUCGCGGAAUCUGGGCUCAUCAUCGCUUCUUCAUAGUUCGUAGGUUCAUCAUGAUCUAGUAUCAUGACUUCCAGAAUAGGAUUACCGUACCAUUCUGGUGCGGAUCUUACUCUGGUUGAUCUACGAGGUUCAUCAGUAUCUUGAUCUGAAGUUUCAUGAUCAUUAUCAUUGGCUUCCUCACUAACUGGUGUAGGUGUCACUGAAACAGUUUUCUGUGAUGAACUACUUUCCAGUAAGGGAGCAGGUACAGUUACCUCGUCAAGUUCUACUUUCCUCCCACUCACUUCUUUCGAGAGAAACUCCUUCUCUAGAAAGGAUCCAUUCUUAGCAACGAAUGUCUUGCCUUCGGAUCUGUGAUAGAAGGUGUACCCAAUAGUCUCCUUUGGGUAUCCUAUGAAGACACAUUUCUCCGAUUUGGGUUCGAGCUUAUCAGGUUGAAGCUUUUUCACAUAAGCAUCGCAGCCCCAAACUUUAAGAAACGACAACUUUGGUUUCUUGCCAAACCACAGUUCAUAAGGCGUCGUCUCAACGGAUUUUGAUGGUGCCCUAUUUAACGUGAAUGCGGCCGUCUCUAAAGCAUAUCCCCAAAAUGAUAGCGGUAAAUCAGUAAGAGACAUCAUAGAUCGCACCAUAUCUAGUAAAGUACGAUUACGAUGUUCGGACACACCAUUACGCUGUGGUGUUCCGGGUGGCGUGAGUUGCGAAACUAUUCCACAGUUUUUCAAAUGUACACCAAACUCGUAACUCAAAUAUUCUCCUCCACGAUCAGAUCGUAGAAACUUUAUUUUCUUGUUACGAUGAUUUUCAACUUCACUCUGAAAUUCUUUGAAAUUUUCAAAUGUUUCAGACUUAUGUUUCAUUAAGUAGAUAUACCCAUAUCUGCUUAAAUCAUCUGUGAAGGUGAGAAAAUAACGAUAUCCGCCACGAGCCUCAGUAUUCAUCGGGCCACAUACAUCGGUAUGUAUGAUUUCCAACAAAUCUGUUGCUCUCUCCAUAGUACCGGAGAACGGUGUUUUAGUCAUCUUGCCCAUGAGGCACGGUUCGCAAGUACCAAGUGAUUCAUAAUCAAGUGGUUCCAAAAGUCCAUCAGUAUGGAGUUUCUUCAUGCGCUUUAUACCGAUAUGACCUAAACGACAGUGCCACAAAUAAGUUGCACUUUCAUUAUCAACUCUGCAUCUUUUGGCUUCAACAUUAUGAAUAUGUGUAUUACUACUAUCGAGAUCCAACAAACCAUUUUCAUUGGGUGUAUGACCAUAGAAGGUUUUAUUCAUGUAAACAGAACAACAAUUAUUCUCUAACUUACAUGAAUAACCGUAUUGCAAUAAACAUGAUCAAAUCAUAUUCAUGCUCAACGCAAACACCAAAUAACACUUAUUUAGGUUUAACACUAAUCCCAAAAGUAUAGGGAGUGUGCGAUGAUGAUCAUAUCAAUCUUGGAACUAUUUCCAACACACAUCGUCACUUCACCCUUUAACUAGUCUCUGUUUAUUCUGCAACUCCCGUUUCGAGUUACUAAUCUUAGCAACUGAACUAAUAUCAAAUACUGAGGGGUUGCUAUAAACACUAGUAACGUACACAUCAAUAACAUGUAUAUCAAAUAUACUUAUGUUCACUUUGCCAUCCUUCUUAUCCGCCAAUCACUUGGGGUAGUACCUCUUCCAGUGACCAGUCUCUUUGAAGUAGAAGCACUUAGUCUCAGGCUUAGGACCAGACUUGGGUUUCUUCACUUGAGCAGCAACUUGCUUGCCGUUCUUCUUGAAGUUCCCUUUCUUUCCCUUUGCCCUUUUCUUGAAACUAGUGAUCUUGUUAACCAUCAACACUUGAUGCUCUUUCUUGAUUUCUACCUUCGUUGAUUUCAGCAUCAUGAAGAGCUUGGGAAUCGUUUUCGUCAUCCCUUGCAUACUAUAGUUCAUCACGAAGUUCUAGUAACUUAGUGAUGGUGACUAGAGAAUUCUGUCAAUCACUAUCUUACCUGGAAGAUUAACUCCCACUUGAUUCAAGCGAUUGAAAUACCCAGACAAUCUGAGCACAUGCUCACUAGUUGAGCGAUUCUCCUCCAUCUUUUAGCUAUAGAACUUGUUGGAGACUUCAUAUCUCUCAACUCGGGUAUUUGCUUGAAAUAUUAACUUCAAUUCCUGGAACAUCUCAUAUGGUCCAUGACGUUCAAAACGUCUUUGAAGUCCCGAUUCUAAGCCGUUAAGCAUGGUGCACUAAACUAUCAAGUAGUCAUCAUCUUGAGCUAGCCAGACGUUCAUAACUUCUGCAUCUGCUCCUGCAAUAGGUCUGUCACCUAGCGGUGCAUUAAGGACAUAAUUCUUCUGUGCAGCACUGAGGAUAAACCUCAGAUCACGGAUCGAAUCCGCAUCAUUGCUACUAACAUUUUUCAACACAAUAUUCUCUAGGAACAUAUCAAAAUAAACAUAUGAAAGCAACAACGCGAGCUAUUGAUCUACAACAUAAUUUGCAAAAUACUACUAGGACUAAGUUCAUGAUAAAUUAAAGUUCAAUUAAUCAUAUUACUUAAGAACUCCCACUUAGAUAGACAUCCCUCUAAUCCUCUAAGUGAUCACGUGAUCCAAAUCAACUAAACCAUGUCCGAUCAUCACGUGAGAUGGAGUAGUUUCAAUGGUGAACAUCACUAUGUUGAUCAUAUCUACUAUAUGAUUCACGCUCGACCUUUCGGUCUCUGUGUUCCGAGGCCAUAUCUGUAUAUGCUAGGCUCGUCAAGUAUAACCUGAGUAUUCCGCGCGUGCAACUGUUUUGCACCCGUUGUAUUUGAACGUAGAGCCUAUCACACCCGAUCAUCACGUGGUGUCUCAGCACGACGAACUUUGGCAACGGUGCAUACUCAGGGAGAACACUUCUUGAUAAUUUAGUGAGAGAUCAUCUUAUAAUGCUACCAUCAAUAAAAGCAAGAUAAGAUGCAUAAAAAGAUAAACAUCACAUGCAAUCAAUAUAAGUGAUAUGAUAUGGCCAUCAUCAUCGUGUGCUUGUGAUCUCCAUCUCCGAAGCACCGUCAUGAUCACCAUCGUCACCGGCGCGACACCUUGAUCUCCAUCGUAGCAUCGUUGUCGUCUCGCCAAUCUUAUGCUUCCACGACUAUCACUACUGUUUAGUAAUAAAGUAAAGCAUUACAUCGCGAUUGCAUUGCAUACAAUAAAGCGACAACCAUAUGGCUCCUGCCAGUUGCCGAUAACUCGGUUACAAAACAUGAUCAUCUCAUACAAUAAAAUUCAGCAUCAUGCCUUGACCAUAUCACAUCACAACAUGCCCUGCAAAAACAAGUUAGACGUCCUCUACUUUGUUGUUGCAUGUUUUACGUGGCUGCUACGGGCUUAAGUAAGAACCAAUCUCACCUACGCAUCAAAACCACAACGAUAGUUUGUCAAAUAGACUCCGUUUUAACCUUCUCAAGGACCGGGCGUAGCCAUACUCGGUUCAACUAAAGUUGGAGAGACAGUCGCCCGCAAGCCAUCCAUGUGCAAAGCACGUCGAGGGAACCGGUCUCGCGUAAGCGUACGCGUAAGGUUGGUCCAGGUCGUCUCGUCCAACAAUACCGCCGAACCAAAGUAUGACAUGCUGGUAGGCAGUAUGACUUGUAUCGUCCACAACUCACUUGUGUUCUACUCGUGCAUAUAACAUCAACAUAAAUAACCUAGGCUCGGAUGCCACUGUUGGGUUUCGUAGUAAUUUCAAAAAAUUUCCUACGCACACGCAAGAUCAUGUGAAGCAUAGCAACGAGGGGAGAGUGUUGUCUACGUACCCAACGCAGACCAACUGCGGAAGCGAUGACACGACGUAGAGGAAGUAGUCGUACGUCUUCACGAUCCAACCGAUCAAGCACCGAAACUACGGCACCUCCGAGUUCGAGCACACGUUCAGCUCGAUGACGAUCCCCGGACUCCGAUCCAGCAAAGUGUCGGGGAAGAGUUCCGUCAGCACGACGGCGUGGUGACGAUCUUGAUGAACUACAGCAGCAGGGCUUCGCCUAAACUCCACUACAGUAUUAUCGAGGUAUAUGGUGGCAGGGGGCACCGCACACGACUAAGGAAUAGAUCACGUGGAUCAACUUGUGUGUAUAGAGGUGCCCCCUGCCUCCGUAUAUAAAGGAGGAGAGGAGGGGAGGCUGGCCGGCCAAGGAGGGGAGGCGCAGGAGAGUCCUACUCCCUCUAGGAGUAGGAUUCCCCCCAAUCCUAGUCCAACUAGGAUUCCUCGGAGGGGAAGGGAGAGAGGGGGGCCCGCAGCCACCUUGGGCUGCCCCUUUCUCCUUUCCACUAAGGCCCAUGAAGGCCCAUAUGGCUCCCGGGGGGUUCCGGUAACCCUCCCGGUACUCCGGUAAAAUCCCGAUUUCACCCGGAACACUUCCGAUGUCCAAACAUAGGCUUCCAAUAUAUCAAUCUUUACGUCUUGACCAUUUUGAGACUCCUCGUCAUGUCCGUGAUCACAUCCGGGACUCCGAACAACCUUCGGUACAUCAAAAUGCAUAAACUCAUAAUGUAACUGUCAUCGUAACCUUAAGCGUGCGGACCCUACGGGUUCGAGAACAAUGUAGACAUGACCGAGACACGUCUCCGGUCAAUAACCAAUAGCGGGACCUGGAUGCCCAUAUUGGCUCCUACAUAUUCUACGAAGAUCUUUAUCGGUCAGACCGCAUAACAACAUACGUUGUUCCCUUUGUCAUCGGUAUGUUACUUGCCCGAGAUUCGAUCGUCGGUAUCCAAUACCUAGUUCAAUCUCGUCACCGGCAAGUCUCUUUACUCGUUCUAUAAUGCAUCAUCCCGUAACCAACUCAUUGGUCACAUUGCUUGCAAGGCUUAUAAUGAUGUGCAUUACCGAGAGGGCCCAGAGAUACCUCUCCGACAAUCGGAGUGACAAAACCUAAUCUCGAAAUACGCCAACUCAACAUGUACCUUCGGAGACACCUGUAGUACUCCUUUAUAAUCACCCAGUUACGUUGUGACGUUUGGUAGUACCCAAAGUGUUCCUCCGGUAAACGGGAGUUGCAUAAUCUCAUAGUUACAGAAACAUGUAUAAGUCAUGAAGAAAGCAAUAGCAACAUACUAAACGAUCAAGUGCUAAGCUAACGGAAUGGGUGAAGUCAAUCACAUCAUUCUCCUAAUGAUGCGACCCCGUUAAUCAAAUGACAACUCUUUUGUCCAUGGCUAGGAAACAUAACCAUCUUUGAUAAACGAGCUAGUCAAGUAGAGGCAUACUAGUGACACUAUGUUUGUCUAUGUAUUCACACAUGUAUUAUGUUUCCGGUUAAUACAAUUCUAGCAUGAAUAAUAAACAUUUAUCAUGAAAUAAGGAAAUAAAUAAUAACUUUAUUGUUGCCUCUAGGGCAUAUUUCCUUCACCACGUGGCCCGGCCGGCCCCCGGGGCUCAAGAACCAGGUCCAAUGCCCCCAUUGGUCCCGGUUUUGGAUUGAACCGGGACUAAUGGGCUGGACCGGCCUGGACCAUCGCCCCCUUUUCUACUAGUGUUAGUGCAUGGUGGUUAGUGAAGUUAGUGGAGCAUGGUGUGAGUGCGUGGGUCAUGGUUGAGUGCCAGACUUUGUAUAAAUUGUCAUUUGAGUCAAUGAGAAAAUGUAAGGCCGAGAGGGCCAGUGCAAAGAUGUAGCAUUUGUGGUAGCCAAGGGAGAUUAACUGGGCAAAGCUAUGUGUUCUUCCUUGGUCUAUGCGUGUGUGUGUUCUGUGUGUGUUCUCUCUCUGCGUCCUUGUGUUCAUGGGAGUGUUUUUGAGAGAAGCCAGAAGAGAGAGUUGUGAGAGGCAGCUCGAGGUAGAAGAAGGAGCGGUGCUGCUCCGAGAGGAGGCGGCGCCAACAAUUAUUGACGAAAGGGAUAUUAUAUUGCGCAAGGUAUAAUCAGACGCGUCGGGGAUGGAGCGACUACACACAUAUGGGAUCACAACUGGAUUAUGAGGGAAAGCUAUAAGAGGCCAAUAAAUAAGUUAGUGCAGAUCCCCCCUCAGAAACAUUUUAUGUAUACACGUUAACAUUUCCCAGAUAUAUGAUUAAUAUUUUUAGAAAACUUCUAUUUUUUAUGUGUACUUUUUAUACAUUUUGUAAUAUCAGAAAUAGUUUUUAUAGAAGGUUUAACAUUUUUCAAAUACAUGAUUACCUUUUUGUAAACUUAUAUUGUUUGACGUUUACUUUUUUCCAUAGACAUAGUGAGGGGUUAUAUCUAAGGAAUAGGCCCAAGUACAUGUAGGCACAACCAAAGGCCCAUGUUAAUCAAGGAUGUUCCACAAGACAAAUGGGAAAACACACCGGGGCUAAUGGAGCUACAAGGCCAAGGCAUCGGAUACAAGGGGAGAGUCAACUGUGUACAGUCAGAUUACACAACCCUUAACAGACAAGACUCAUCAGUUGGUCCACUAUAGGAAUCAGGUCAUUUGCCGUCAGCCGAGAACAGAUGCGAAGGCUUUGCCGUGAGCAAGUUGACGACAAACACAAUCAGCAAAGACUAUAUCAGCAAAGAGCUAAUUUGACGUCAACUUUUCAUCGCGCUGAUGACAAAGACUUUGCCGUCAAUUAAACUAUGUGUUUGUCGUCUGUAGAAAAAACACAAAUGGCAAAGAAAUUAAACAAAUGGUCAUUUUAUAAUAAUUUUUCGAAAUGUAUAUAGUGUAUUUUAAAAUGUUAAAUAUGUAUCAAGAAUUAUUUCAUAAAUAUACAGAAGAUGUACAACGUGUAUGAAAAUUAUGUAGACAUCAGAACAUAUUAUAGAAAUGUUAAUCUUGUAUUUAAAAAUGUUAAAUACACAUAAAUAAAAAUGUUUUUGAUGUACAUAAAAAAAUUGUACAUCGUGUGUGAACAAAGUAUGCAUUGAAAAAAAAAUCUUGUUGGAAAGAAAAUCUCGUGCUAUAUACGAAAAUGUAAAAGGUGUAUGAAAAUAAUUAGAUAUAUGCUUAACGAAAAAAAGGAAAGAAGGCGCAAAAAAAUCCGAUCAACACCAAGAUAGGAACAAGAAAACCUGAAGAAGACCAUUGAAAAAAAAGAAAAGAAUACAAGAAAGAGGAAAAAAAACAAAAAAAUGAAGAAGCUGAUGCAGAACAGGGAACUUGGUGAAAACGAAUAAAAAUUGAUGAAAACCGAGAAGAAAAACAAGAAAACUGAAGCAAAAAAAUAAUAAAAAUAUGUAAAAAAAUGAUGAAACAUUGCAAAACACUGAAAUACUAUGAAAACCAAAGGAAGAAAAGACUCAAAAAGAAGAACAUACAGCGAGCGAAUGAACAACAACUGAGUGAACGAGCGACCAUGCGAGAACACGUUAAUUGUCCGGCCCAUACUUGUGGACUCCAGAGGCGAGCCAGAAUAGGCGAGAUAUAGCUAUGACGAUUUGAUACCCUUCACAGCUUCACGAAUGCUAUAUCUCGCUCACAGCGAAAGUAUAUUUUGUCUGGCCUGAAGGUGCAAGAAUAGCAUCAGGUCGCUGUAAGGUUUGUGAUCCUACAAUGAGAGCUCCGAUAAGAUUAAAGUUCAUUUUUCUGACAACCUUUGGUCGUUCGUUCGCGCUCAGGUCGUCCGCUCACUCGAUUCCACGUACUAGUUUGGUUAUGUUGUUUUUUUCAUUUUGUUCUUUUUUUGUUUCUUCACUGGCUUUCUUUGGUUUUUAUAUCGGUUUUCUUUGUUUCCUUCACGUUUUAUUCCUGUUUUCCUUUUUACUGGUUUAUUUAUUCCUUUUUUUCUUUGUUUCUUUCUUGGUUUUCUUUGUUUUUCUUUCUUUUGAUGUCAAUCUUUUUACAUACGCAUUCAACAAUUUCCGUAUACAUCAGAAACAUUUUAUGUAUACACAUUAACAUUUCCCAGAUAUAUGAUUAAUAUUUUUGGAAAACCUCUAUUUUUUAUGUGUACUUUUUGAUACAUUUUGUAUAUAUCAGAAAUAUUUUUUUAGAAGGUUUAACAUUUUUUUAAAUACAUGAUUACCUUUUUGUAAACUUAUAUUGUUUGACGUUUAUUUUUUUCCAUAGACAUAGUGAGGGGUUAUAUCUAAGGAAUAGGCCCAAGUACAUAUAUGGCACAACCAAAGACCCAUGUUAAUCAAGGAUGUGGUCCACAAAACAAAUGGGGAAACACACGGGGGCCAAUGGAGCUACAAGGCCAAAGCAUCGGAUAUAAGGGGAGAAUAAGUGUGUACAGUCGGAUUACACAACACUUGACAGACAAGACUCAUUAGUUGGUCCACUAUAGGAAUCGAGUAAUUUGCCGUCAGCCGAGAACAGACUCGAAGUCUUUGCCGUCAGCAAGUUGAUGACAAACACAGUGAGCAAAGACUAUAUCGGCAAAGAGCUAAUUUGACGUUAACUUUUCAUCCGCUGAUGACAAAGACUUUGCCGUCAAUUAAACUAUGUGUUUGUCGUCUGUAGAAAAAACACAAAUGGCAAAGAAAAGCAUCUUUGCCAUCAGCAACUGAUUCACAUGUGUCGUCAGCCAGACUCGUCUUGUCACUAGCCUCAAACAUCACAGAUGGCAAAGAUUUUUUUUUAUUUUUAAAAUUCCGCGUCGACCACCCUAUCGCUCGUGCAGCCACCGCCUGGCCGCGCUCGCCUCCCUGCUCACAUGCCCUGCCAGCUUGCGCCGUUGCCAUCCGGCAGCGCUCGCCCGACCCUGCUCAUCGCCCGGCCGAGCUCGCCCGCCCUGCUCGGUCGCGUCGUCGGCAGCUGCCCUGCUUGCACACGUACCUGCCCAGCCUUGCUCAUACCGCCGGCCACCCUGCUCGCUAGAGAAAGGAAGGCGAGAGAGGAGGCUCGGGGGAGAAAGAAAAAACAAAGGAGAGAGAGAGGAUGCUACCACUGCCACAUCACCAAUACGCAUGAUCGAUCUGCAAGAUGUGCUCUCUCUUUUGCCGCCUCUGAUGGCAAAGUAUGUCUUUAUCGUCUAUAAUAAGAUUACAAACAGCAAAGUGAGCUCUUUGCCGUCUGUAAAAAAACGGACGACAAACAAACUUUGUUGUCAGCUGCCGACGGCAAAAAGUGCUCUUUACCGCAGCCUCGAUGAGAAGCUGAAGGCAAAGUGCCCCACAGACGGCAAAUUAGUUGAUUCCUGGGUGGUUAUGAGCAAGACAGGAGCAAUAACCCUAUCUACACUCGGUCAUCUGGAAGACAGGAGUAGUCGAACCAUCUAUAGUCGGCUACAUCUGAGGUUACCGUGACCCUUACGAUGCAUUCAUUAUCGCCGUUACUCAAUGGAGUAGUUAAAUACGUCAGUUAGCAAUAAUAAUAGCCACGAACAGUCAAUCAUGCAUGUGACCAUCAAUAGCAUUUAUACCAACCCAUUACGGCACUUCCUCCUAGCACACUCUAUAUAAGCCAGGAGUAGGACAUGAGAGUGAGGGAUGAACUCUCUCACAGUAUAACCUACGCCAAGAGCAGGAACACCACAUGAAUAGAGAUUACCUCCACCAACGUACUCCCAUCCGUUUUAUGUACCGAUCAAUGUAUAUAAUGGCUUCUACAUUCACAUCCCGUAGUAUUGUCAGGAUUAUAUCCACGACAGAAACUAUAUUUUGUUAUACAUCAAGAACAUUUUAUAUAUAAAUAUUUACAAUUUUUUAAAUACAUGAUUAAUAUUUUUUCAAACAUAUAUUUUGUAUGUCUCCUUUUCAUAAUCUUUGAUCCCUGGAAGUUUCAGAUUUUUUCCGAUUUGUUCUCAUUUUUUUAUGAAUUUACUGUUCAUGAGGGUGUAGGGGCACCCAGGAGCUGUUAGGCAUAAUAUUUCUGCUGUUGUUGUCAUCAUCAAGGGGAAUGAGAAGGGUUGAAGUUUUCGUUUUCUUUGAGGGGGAAAUCAGAGUUGGGGGCUGGAAGUGAGUGAUUAGGCCCAACAUAAGCGCUGUGUGUGUGUGUCUCGUCACGGGCACCAAAUUCGAACUGGGCUAUUGUUUUCUGAGAACCCAACGUCACAAGCCCAACCAACAGUCUGCCGAUCUGCAUCUUCCUCUCCUUGUCCAUCCUCCUCGUUGGCCGGACCGCCUCGAGCCACGGCCGCUCCCUGGCGCAGCGUCCUCCCCUUCCUCUCCACCCCCAAAUUCUCUUGUAUCCUCUUCUGAUCUCCUUCCUUACUUCCUCUCGCUGAUGGUCUCCACAAGAAGGUCUCCGAGCUCCUCGGAGGGUUCCGGCUGUACGUCGACGCAGCCUCUCCGACCUCCCCAUGAACAUGAGCUAUCGACCCUGAAAGCCUGUCUCUUCCAUGAUUCGAUUCACAUGAAUUCACGAGCCGCAUGAAUCAUGAAGGUCAUGGAGCAGAAUUCAGUCGUGUAGCCUGACAGUGAUGUACAUUUGUGGCUUUUCUGGCUAAAUAGCUCUGUACCCUAUGUGGAUGCCACUUCAAAUAAUCGUCAAAAUAAUUCUCCUGCACGCGUUAUACAAAUGGCGAAGAAGAAGUUCGCGUGGAACAUUUCGUUUCUUAUUGAUGUCCGAGAGAAAAGCUCCUAGGAAGUUCAUCCGCUCGGUGGAUUAUAAGUUUAAGUUUGUUACAACAUCCAAUCAUCCAUAUAAUCUCUGUGUUUCUUCUGUUUUCUACCAGUCAUAUAUCAUAUGUGCAUCAGAGGAAAAAUGCUUUCAGCAGUCAUGUUGGAGCGCGCAUACCAAGUUCCCACAUUGCAAAUAUGAUCCUAGCCAUUAAUAUGUUUCAUUCCACAUUUUCUUGAUCUAAUUUCUAAAUGAUUGGACAACCUGUUAUAGUCUUAUAGAAUUAUGAGCCGCCAAAUCCACAUUUCUCUUGGUCUAAUUUCUAAAUGAUAAUGUGCAGCAUCUAUCUCCUGGUGAACCUUUUUUUCUUGCGACUGUAUCUCCUGAUGAACCUAGUUUUCUCUAGGUAGCACAAUAAUUGUACUGGUUUGAUGUAAAGGACAUAAAUACAAGGGAAUAAAUUGGAAGCUUAUUUCAAAUUAACUAGCUAGUGGUGUUUGUGAAGUUCAAGAAAAAGCUGGUCUUUUUCUCGACAAAUAAUUUAACAUGCAAAGAAUCAAUAAAUGUAUUUGCAAGAAAGCAAACAUAAUUAACGAUAAAACUGGUUUAUUGUCACUGUAGACAACGGUAGUAGUUGGAACUAGAUACAAACCAAUAAAAAACAAGAUCUCAAAUCUCCAACCAAUAAAGAGUUCAACCCAAAUUUUACAGUAACACCAUUAUAUUCAAAUAGUGAUUAUUCCAACACAUGGAUAAUUAAUUAAGGCACCAGGUUGCCCUUGUGACUAGGAAAGACAAACUUAUGAACUUGCAAGCAUGGCAAUCAGAUCGACAUCCACACAAUGCCAAUAUGAACAUUGUCUUGAUACAACUUUAUUUUUAUUUUAUUUCAGAAUUUAAACAACUAGUAUGGGCGGGUCACACACGACAUUGUGUGACACUUUAUUUGUCACCGCUGCAUCGACAUAUCCAUCGACUAAACAACGGUGAUCCAACUAUAUAUUACUAGAGACCUUUCCUUAUUAGUAGGAACCAACUCCGGUGCCAACACCGAAUGGCACACUAGUGGUGGUUCUAUACAACGGCACAUUGACACGGCACAUCGUUGGCAGGGUACGGAGCGCAAUGGAAGUCAUCACCUCAAGCUGAGCUAUCUGGUGUGGCUGCAAAAAGGUACCUUGUGCCAAUUGUUGUUGUUGAGGUUGUUGCCCGAGUUGUUGUUGUGACUGCUGUUGGGGUUGGGAAACACAUUGGCCCAACUGUUGGGGUUGCUGCUGAGGAGUUUGGAUGGAACCCUGAACCUGUUGUUGUUCUUGCAGGAUGAUGGAGUAGAUGAUAGCACGGAUUGCCUCAUAGCGGGAUUGCUGGGGGAUUUGCGGCAACUGCUGGCAACAUUGUUGUUGCAUCACAUGGCAACUGCUCUGCUGCAACAUUUGCGACCUAGCAAGACUUUGUGGCAUUGCCACAGGGCUGCAUUGCUGCUGGAGGAAUACCUUGCAUGGGUUUAGCUGCUGCAAGAUAGAUGGAUGAACAAAUGGUAUUUGUUGUUGCGGUAGAACUAGUUGUUGUUGUUGCUGCGAAAAUGGUGGUUGUUGCGGUAGACUUGGUUGUUGUUGUUGCAAAAAUGGUGGUUGUUGCUGUAGUACUAUUUGUUGUUGUUGCGAAAACGGUGAUUGUUGCUGUGAAAAUGGUGGUAGUUGUUGCUGUGAAAAUGAUGGUUGUUGCGGUAGAACUGGUUGUUGUUGCUGCGAAAAUGGUGGUUGUUGUUGUGAAAAUGGUGGUUGUUGUUGCUGCGAAAAUGGUGGUUGUUGUUGUGAAAANNNNNNNNNNNNNNNNNNNNNNNNNNNNNNNNNNNNNNNNNNNNNNNNNNNNNNNNNNNNNNNNNNNNNNNNNNNNNNNNNNNNNNNNNNNNNNNNNNNNNNNNNNNNNNNNNNNNNNNNNNNNNNNNNNNNNNNNNNNNNNNNNNNNNNNNNNNNNNNNNNNNNNNNNNNNNNNNNNNNNNNNNNNNNNNNNNNNNNNNNNNNUGGUUGUUGUUGCUGCGAUAAUGGUUGUUGUUGUUGCUGCGAAAAUGGUGGUUGUUGUUGUGAAAAUGGUGGUUGUUGUUGCUGCGAUAAUGGUUGUUGUUGUUGUUGCUGUGAACAUGGUUGCUGUUGUGAAAAUGGUUGUGGUUGUUGUUGGAUGGGUUGUUGUUGUUGGUGGUGCGAUAAUGUUUGUUGUGGUGGUAAUGGUUGUUGCUGCGAUGGUCUCUCCAAACCAGGGAUGUGGCUAUUCUCCAUUUGUGCAAUGGCACUUGUCGCCACAAUGGCGAGGAGAGCAAAGAUGAGGAAGGUCUUCAUGGUGGAUUGGUGUUAACCAGUGUUGCUUGGUUUUGAUGCUUGUGCUUGUGAUGAUCUUUAUACUUCAUGCCUAUUUAUAGUAGCCCGGGCACCACCUCUUUUCUUCUUUGCAUUAGCUUUAAUAAUUCUGUUUGGAUGCAUCUAAAAUGAUUUUUGGUACAAUGUGUUAGGUUGCACUAGCUACACGCGUACUUUUGGAUUGAUCAUCAAAGUUGCUUUUUAGUUGUGCAUAUGAUCACACACAAAGUACAGAAACCUUGAUGUUUGGUACAUAUGACUCACCUUAUUCACUUUACAUGUCACACACUUAUCUGGAUAGUAUCACUUUUGCAACCGAGUUUGGAACCUUGUAUAGGCUGUCAUCCAUAAACAAGAAAGGCAAAACUUGUGUAGGACUAAGUUUGCAAUCGGAGGGUUCUUCUAGACUCGAUUUCUUUUCGUAAAACUAACUUUGUAUUUUUCCUCUAAGAUGAUAAGAUGAACCGACGCCUAUAGAGCAUGACAUGACUCAUCGAAUUCCCUUUACAUGUAAAGGAUGGUAAUUGCUUACAAGCUACUCCUACUAGCAUAUAUCCGGUUCCAAGCCUAGACACGUCAUCAUCAGUUUCGUCUAUUUUUUUAGAUAAAUCAUCAGUUCUAUCUAUUUGUGAAGGGUUUUUUUGGGGGGAAAUGAUAGUUUUUUUAUGCUAGGGGGGUUUUUUNNNNNNNNNNNNNNNNNNNNNNNNNNNNNNNNNNNNNNNNNNNNNNNNNNNNNNNNNNNNNNNNNNNNNNNNNNNNNNNNNNNNNNNNNNNNNNNNNNNNNNNNNNNNNNNNNNNNNNNNNNNNNNNNNNNNNNNNNNNNNNNNNNNNNNNNNNNNNNNNNNNNNNNNNNNNNNNNNNNNNNNNNNNNNNNNNNNNNNNNNNNNNNNNNNNNNNNNNNNNNNNNNNNNNNNNNNNNNNNNNNNNNNNNNNNNNNNNNNNNNNNNNNNNNNNNNNNNNNNNNNNNNNNNNNNNNNNNNNNNNNNNNNNNNNNNNNNNNNNNNNNNNNNNNNNNNNNNNNNNNNNNNNNNNNNNNNNNNNNNNNNNNNNNNNNNNNNNNNNNNNNNNNNNNNNNNNNNNNNNNNNNNNNNNNNNNNNNNNNNNNNNNNNNNNNNNNNNNNNNNNNNNNNNNNNNNNNNNNNNNNNNNNNNNNNNNNNNNNNNNNNNNNNNNNNNNNNNNNNNNNNNNNNNNNNNNNNNNNNNNNNNNNNNNNNNNNNNNNNNNNNNNNNNNNNNNNNNNNNNNNNNNNNNNNNNNNNNNNNNNNNNNNNNNNNNNNNNNNNNNNNNNNNNNNNNNNNGCCGCCACCGCUCGACAAAAAAGGUCACUUUUGUAGCUCCCCCGUCGAUUGCGGGCCGUACGUCGACGGCAGCCACUCCGACCUCCCCGUCAACACAAGGUAUCGAUCUGUUUCGUCUGUCUCUUCCAGCGAUUCAAUGCACAUAAAUCCGAGAGGCAGACCCAUCUCCAUGCUAGCUGCACGGAUCAGGAGGGUCAGGCAUCAGAAUUCAGCUGGGAAGCCUGACACUAAUGUACAUUUGUGGCUUUAGUAGCUGAAUAUAACUAUGUGUUUUCUGAGAAUUUCACUUCAAAAGUUCCAAUAAUCAUCAAAUUUCCGCCUAUGCGCGCUAAGCAGGUGGACCAUAUAUUUCUCAUGUCGACGAACGAAAAAACAAAACUCCACAACUAGAAGUCUAUGAUAUUGACACGGAACCGUGCUGUAGGGUCGCAAGUAAAAAUAUGAAAAGCAUGCCUAACACUACUAGGAAAAGGGCUAUAGAUGGAAUUGACACUAAUGACGCACCAGACAUGUGGUGCGCCAUUAGUAUAUACUAAUGGCGCACCAUCUUCUGAUGCGCCAUUAGUGUUGAAAUUACUAAUGGCGCACCCUGCCCACGGUGCGCCAUUAGUACCAAUUUUUUUUUGAACUAGUGCGCCUGUCCAAACAUACUAAUGGCGCAUCCGCUGGUGGUGCGCCAUUACUAGUUGUAACUAGUAAUGGUGCACCAGCCAGAGGGUGCGCCACUAAAGUUAUUUUUUUUAUUAUUGUUUUUAUUCCUUUUUUUGCAAAAGUACUAAUGGCGCACUCACACGCGGUGCGCCAUUACUAGUUCAAACUAGUAAUGGCGCACCGUGGCAGAGUGCGCCAUUAGUAUGUUUUUUUUUCAAAACUACUAAUGGCGCACCACCUGGUGGUGCGCCAUUAGUAACCUGGAUUACUAAUGGCGCAUUUGUUGCUGGUGCGCCAUUAGUAAGUGGGCAGCAACAAGAUAUUUUGGACAGCCUCUCCUCCCACACUCACUUUCUCCCCAUUUCAUUCUCUCCACCGCCUCCUCAUGUCUCGGGUGCCUCCUCUUUUUCACCUCAUUUCCACCAUAGAUUCAUUCAAAUUAAGUGGUUAAGUUACCUUGUUUUGCUAGGUAAGUAAGGGGGGAAGCUAUAUUUAUGUUGUUCUCCCUACAACAGUGUGCACAUGCACUUUUUAUGGCCUAGCUAGAUCUAUGUAUGUUCGUGGUGUUGCAUAUGUUUGUGGUGUUGCAUAUGUGUUUGUGUUUGAAGGUGUACCGGUAUUUGAAAUGCGAUAGUUGCCAAUAUUUUGCCGGAAUGUUGAUUCAUUUCCGUUUCGGCGAGAAUUUUGGCAUUAAGCAUUCUUUUUGGUCCUAUUUUUAGGGAAAGUCAUGCCAAAUUUUUUCUUGGUUCUAAAAUAUCGUUUUGCUCUACCCCGCAGGCGACCAUGGUCCGCACGAUGACCGAAGGCAUCGUGAAUAGGUUUUUGAGGUCCACGAAGGCCGAGAUGCUUCAAAAGAACGAGACGGAGAUAAGAUGUCCGUGUCGAAGAUGCAAGCUGAAUAGCCUUAUUGCGGACCCGGAUUCCGGGCAGGUGCGGGACCACCUGCUCUUGCGUGGUUUCAUGGAUGGCUGUCGGUGGCAAGGUGAUGAAGAUGACUACGAAGUCGUCCAUGGGGGCCGGGCAAGAAAUGAGGAAGGGCAGCAAGACAACCACCGCGGCUCGGGGGGGCGAGAAGAAGAAGAAUCCCCAGGAGAUGAUCACGACGGUGAUGUUGUACACAGUCAUCAUGUAGAAGAUGCAGGACAUGAUGAUGAUGCCGGCGGAGCAGACGACGCUGGACCAUCGAUGGGCUGGGUGCAGGACCCUCAUAUUCAAGAGCUGCUUCUCAAGCAGACGGAUAACGCAAGAGCUGCCGCCCGAGAGAAAGCCAAGAUGGAUCAACUUGAGUUAGACGCGGUUACUCCAUUGUAUGAAGGAUGCAGGCCCGAGGAUACCCGCCUGAAAGUAACACUCAUGGCUCUGGAGAUGAAGGUAAAACACAAAAUGACCGACGCAUGCUUCGACGAGAACAUGUCAUUCUGGCACGAACGUCUUCCCAAAGGGAACAAGUGCCCGACCAGUUUGGAGGAGGCGAAGAAAAUCGUGUGUCCUCUGGAUUUACCGCACGUGAAAUACCAUGUGUGCAUGAACAAUUGCAUCAUUUAUCGGGACGAGCACGCGGAGUCUACCAUAUGUCCGGUGUGCGGUGUCACUCGAUACAAGAAGGGGAAGAAAGCUCCUCGAAAAGUGGUGUGGUACUUUCCGAUCACUCCUCGUCUGCAGCGGUAUUUCGCGGACCCUAAGGUAGCAAAGCUCCUGCGUUGGCACGCGGAUAGGGAGGAGAAGAAGCGAGAAGAUGACGCAAAUGAUACGGAGAUAGAUAAAAAAGACAAGAUGCUGAGUCACCCUAAGGAUGCGAGCCAGUGGCAAGCGUUGAACUUCGAAUAACCAGAAUUUGGGAACGAUCCAAGGAACAUCGUGCUGGGCGCGAGCACCGGUGGAGUCAAUCCGUUUGGCAGCCAGAGAAGCACACAUAGCACCUGGCCUGUGUUUGUGUGGAUGUACAACCUUCCCCCCUGGUUGUGCAUGAAGAGGAAGUACAUUCACAUGAGUAUGCUAAUUGAAGGGCCGAAACAACCAGGGAACGACAUCAAUCUGUAUCUGGGGCUGCUGAAAGAGGAGCUUGACACGCUGUGGAAAACGCCCACCAAUACGUGGGACGCCGCAGAGAAAGAAUAUUUCCCUAUGAGAGCCGCACUGCUCACGACGGUGCACGACUAUCUCGGUUACGGAUAUCUUGCGGGGCAGGUAGUCCACGGAUUUUCUGGAUGCGUAAGGUGCAUGGAUGACACAACGUAUCGCCAGCUAGAUAGAGACGAUGACCCGUGGAGGAAACGCAAGGAUCUGUUCGAUGGUGAAACCAAACCCCGAAAACGCCCGUGUACGAGGAGCGGCGAGGAAAUAGACAAGCUGUUGAAAAAUCGGAAAGACUGCCCACUGCCGGGAAAGAAGCAAAAGGUGCCAGAGCCGGGAAAGAAGCGAAAGGCGCCAGAGCCGCUGCUGAAGCUAUGGAAAACGAGGUCUGUUUUCUGGGACUUGCCGUACUGGAAGAUCCACCGUGUGCCUCACAGCCUUGAUGUCAUGCAUAUCACGAAGAACGUGUGCGAGAGUCUGCUUGGUACCCUGCUCAACAUGCCAGAGAGGACCAAAGAUGGGCCGAAAGCGAGGGCAGACUUGAAAUCAAUGGGCAUCAGGCAGGAGCUUCACGCUAUAUAUGAUGAUGAUGAUGAUGAUGAUGAUGAUGAUGAGGCGAAGCAGGACACAGAAAGUCGUCGCAAAGGCAAAAAGGCCAAGAAGACCGGAAAUGACUACCCUCCCGCGUGCUUCACUCUAAGUCAGGAGGAGAUCGAGCAGUUUUUCACCUGCCUCCUAGGAGUAAAACUUCCUUACGGUUACGCGGGGAAGAUAAGCAGAUACCUAGACCCAGCGAAGCAGAAGUUCAGCGGGAUGAAGUCUCACGAUUGUCACAUGCUGAUGACGCAGAUACUUCCAGUUGCAAUCCGUGGGAUCAUGGACGCGCACGUCCGUGAAACGCUAUUUGGCCUAUGCAACUUCUUCGACGUCAUCUCUCAGAAGUCGAUUGGCAUGAGGCAACUCAGAAGGCUACAGGAAGAGAUCGUGGUGAUACUAUGCGAGCUUGAGAUGUACUUCCCGCCCGCAUUCUUCGAUGUUAUGGUGCAUCUGCUGGUCCAUAUAGUGGGGGAUAUCAUCCAACUCGGGCCGAUGUUCCUGCACAGCAUGAUGCCGUUCGAAAGGAUGAAUGGUGUCAUCAAAGGAUACGUUCGCAACAUGUCACGUCCAGAAGGAAGCAUAGCCAGGGGCUUUCUGACCGAAGAGUGCAUCUACUAGUGCGCGAAUUAUCUAGGCAUCGAGAACCCCGUUGGUCUGCCCGUCAACAGGCACCUCGGCAGGCUCGCUGGAUGGGGUCACCGUGAGGGUCGCCGCGAAAUGCAUGUCGACUUCGAGGGUCGACUCGCCGACUUUGAAAGAGCAAACCUAGUCGCGCUACAACACAUAGACGUGGUCGAUGCUUGGGUGGUAGAGCACAAAACCUUUAUUAAGAAGACGUACAAUGACCGAGGCCAACAGAGGACGGACGGAGAUAUACUCAAAGAGCACAACUCAUGUUUCACGCGUUGGUUCAAGCAGAAGCUUCUGUCGUACCCUUUACAUGAGGAUUCUUCCGCGGAAGAACAACUCAUAUUCGCCUUGUCACAGGGCGCCGAGCACAACCUGAUGACCUAUGAGGCGUACGAUAUCAACGGCUACACAUUCUACACCGAGGCCAAGGACAUGAAGAGCGAUGGUUAUCAGAACUCCGGGGUAACGAUGGAAUCCUACACCGGUAACGACAAGGACAGAUACUACGGAAGGAUCGAGGAGAUCUGGGAGCUGAGCUAUGCUGGAGAGAAGGUCCCGAUGUUCCGUGUCAGAUGGGCCAAGAACGUCAUAAAAGAAGACCGGUAUUUCACCACCAUGGUUAUACCCGGAGCCAAAUCCAAGACCGCGAGCGCAAACGUCACCGCGAAAAAUGAGCCAUGGGUACUGGCUUCCCAAGUGGACCAAUGCUUCUUCAUUACCGACCCGCCAAAGCCCAGUCGUGUUGUCGUGAGGAGAGGCAAAAGGAAGAUCAUCGGAAUGGAUGGAGUAGCCAAUGAGCAAGACUUCGACAAGUACGGCGACCCGAGGAUCGAACAUGACGACGAUGAUGAAGUAGCAGCAUACACCACAAGAAGAAGCAGGACCACCCUACCUAAAGGACGUCCGUUCCACAGAAGAACUCCAUUUGCGAAAAAGAAGGGCAAGAAGAUUGUGAACAGAUAGCUAGCUAAGAUCGAUUGUAUUUAAAUCGUAGCCUUCAUUUCUCGAUUGUAUUUCAUGGGUACUUUUUGAACUAUCAUGAAUAUUUUUAAAUUUAAUGGACACUCGAUCUCGAUCCCCCUCCAUCUCGAUCGCUAUCCCACCUCGCCAGAUCCGGUCCCCCUCGCCGCCAAGCACCCCCCCAGCCCACCGGCCGCCGCCGCCGACCCCCCGCACCCUCGAUUCCCCUACCCAACCGCCGCCGCCGACCCACCGCACCCCGCGCACCCUCCCCUGCUCCACCAGCAUUACUGUUUGAUGAUAUUUUUAAAAAAAUUAUUAUUGUCUUAUAAAAAAAUAUUACUGUUAUGAUUUAAACAAGUUUGAACAUAUUUAAACACAAAUAAGUAUCAAACAGGUUUUUAAAUGCUAAAAAAAAUUUGUGGAGCCUGGGAGUCGAACCCAGGACCUCCUGGUGUGAGAACUGGCUGCUGACCAGUCGAGCUAGUAGAGGGGACUUGAUGUGGAUCAAUUCUGGUGGUACAUAACCUGUUGGCUCGAGUUGAAAUAAAAAAAAUACUAAUGGCGCACCACGGUGAGGUGCGCCAUUAGUAUGGAUGUACUUAUGGCGCACCGAGGGGUGGUGCGCCAUUAGUAUUGUGCCCGAUCCCUUCCCUCUCCCCCUUCGCCCGAUCCCCCCUUCCCUCUCCCCCUUGCCAGUUCCCUCUCCCUCGAUCCACCGCCGCCGCCGCCGCUGCCCUGACCCACUGCGCCGCAGCCGCCCACGCGCCCCCGCCGCCUCCCUCUCCCCUUCCUCCCCCUCGAGCCCGCGCCGUCCGCCCAAACCUAACCCGACGCCGUCCGCCGCGCCCGCUCCACCGCCGCCGCCCUGCCUCUCCGCCCUCUCCCUCCCUCNNNNNNNNNNNNNNNNNNNNNNNNNNNNNNNNNNNNNNNNNNNNNNNNNNNNNNNNNNNNNNNNNNNNNNNNNNNNNNNNNNNNNNNNNNNNNNNNNNNNNNNNNNNNNNNNNNNNNNNNNNNNNNNNNNNNNNNNNNNNNNNNNNNNNNCGUCGCCCCGCCGCCCCGACACCACCGUCCGUCGCCCCGCCGCCCCGCCGCCCCUCUCGCAGCAAGGUAUGCGGCUGGUUCGUCCCCUGUCAUGGUUCUCUCUUCGUUUAUUUUCCUGAAAUCUCUGCUGUUCAUUGGCCGAUGAUGUCUUACAAGUAAAAUAUCUGGCAAACUUGUGCUGUAAACUGUACAUUGCUGAGGCUGUGGGCAACCUGUUCUUCUCUUUGCCAUACUAGUGCUUUUGUUCAUUGGCCGAUGAUGUCUCUGUUGGUUUACGUCCCCGGCAAAUUAGGUACCCGUGAACCAUUUAUAGGCCCAACUUUCUUACUCUCAAUGACCACAAUGUGCUUAUUUUGUUAGGAUUGUGCAUUUGCGCGAUUUGUGCAGUGCUUAUUUGUUGGCACCUCACCAGCUUUCAAAUUCAGCAUUUGUAACACAGUUCAAUUUGAUCUAAGGGCCUAUCUUGUCUCAUUUCCAACAUGUAAUAAACUUCCCCCGAGGCCAUAGAUGAGAAUACUUCUUUCAGUACAUUUUGCUGAUUUCUCACUGUUGAAUACUUCAUUUCUGUUUGCCUUUGGCCAAAGAUGCAUUCAGUUCUUUCUGCCCUUAGCGGUUUGAUUCAAGUUUGUCAGGUUCUGUUAACUAAAAAGGUUCAGAUUCAGAAACAUUGUUGGACUACUAGGAAGUUGGACUACUAGGAACAUGUUUAGAUUCAGGUUCUGUUAACUAAAAAAGUUCAGGUUCUGUUAACUAAAAAAGUUCAGAUUCAGAAACCUGUAAUUUCUACUUUUAUGCCUCUGUUACUCCAGUCAAAAUUUUAUGUUUGAUGCCCAUGGUAGUUGAGCUCUCACCUCACCUCACGCAACAUGCAUGAUGCCACAAUGUCUAGUAUGUACUGCCAAGCAACUGGCAAAUAAUUAUAACUUAGAAUAAAUAAAUCUGAUGUAAGAUAAGCAUGGCAUGAGCUUUAAUUAAAUAGCAUAAUACACGUUGGUAGUCCAUCUCUCUCAAAAAAAAUACAUGUUGGUAGCAGAAAAAAAUACAUGUUGGUAGCAGAAAUUUUUUUGAGCCCUUAUUAGCUACUCACACUAUUUGCCCCGCAGUUUCUCUGUCAUGGCUACCAAGUGAUUGACGGUGGGCUAGAAAAAUAAAACCACCAAACUAUCAGUAAAAGAUGUGAACCAACAUCUUUCAUUGUUAUGCAUAUCAAACACCAAGGGUUAUUUUCACUUAAAGUUUUAGAAUGGGUGCAUUACAAUUCAGUCUGAUAUCUAAUAAGACACUCUGGGCUGAUAUAAUUAUGGAACAGAACCAACCAUGAUAAAUAAAAGGUGAUGUUGUCUAUGCAUUACCAAAAAUGUAUCUUUGUGAACAAAUAAAUUGGUACCAACAGCAAUGCCAUCUUACUGUAGAAUUAGAAUACAUGGACAUGAUCAGCUCAGCUCCCAAACUGCCAUUCAUCACAUCAAUUUCCCCUUAUGUAACUCCAGUCAAAAUUUUAUGUUGGUCUACCUAGUAGAUGCCCAUGGUUUGAUUUUAUGUUUGUUCCUAUCAAUACAAAUGCUGAGCUAUGUUCCAUUUUUACUGUUCUUUGUGAUAGUUUUUGCAACUUUACUUCCCAUCUUAAGGCAAGCCCCAUUUUUACUGUUCUUUGUUAGCAGAGCUGCUUGUUUCUAAGAACUUUGAUACUAUUUGGAUCAAAGUUAAAUGAGCACAUAGAUGACAAAAAAAAGUUCAGAUUGUAAAAUGUUCAUUUUGCUGCUAGUGCCCAUUUUGAGUAAUUGCUUAGAGGGAUGAUCCUGUGUGAGCUGGUGGAGUGAUUUGUUUUCUACAUAAAGCUCUUUAGUCAGGCUGGUUUUCGUGAAAUACACAUGAAGCUUCACCAGCUCCUGUGGGUGUGGGAUCCAUGUGACAUGUGACAUUGCAUCCAUGUCCACCUGGGAUAAUGAUUUUGCAUGUACCCCGAGAGGCCCUUAAGUUUGCCGGAAUGUCGAUUAACUUCCGUUCCGGCAAAUUCGGGUACUCCAUAUGUCCUAUUUUCAGCAAAGGUCAUGCUGAAAUUUUCCGUGAAUUUUAGCAUGACUUUGCAAAAAAUAGGACAUAUGGGGUACUUGUGACUAAUGCAUGGGCCGGGGUAUCAUAGUAGUUAAUUAAGUAGGAUCAAGUGCCCCGGCGUACUUGUGACUGAUGCAUGGCUUUUAGGGUGCCUCGGUGUUGAUAAAAACCGAAAUGAUGAAAGCUUAGGCUUUUAGGGUGCCUCGGCGUCGAAAAACCCUCAAUGAUAAAAGCUUAGGUCUUAGGAUGCCUCGGUGUCGACAAACCCUAAAUGAUGAGACCAUGUCUUGUUCCUUGACAAUAACCAACUUUUUGACCAAACUUUGUUUCUAUUUAGAGAGAAACAUGGCCCACAACGAUGAGGCCGGGGGUUCGGGCGGCAAGGCAUUCUGGGAGCUGUCCCAGGAGAUGGAGGAACAACCUCACUUGUAUGAGGCCGCCGCCUUCCCCACCGAUCCUGAGACCACUGAUGGUGCCGCCGAGGAUGACCACACUGAUGCCACCACUGAUGGUGCCGCCGAGGAUGCCACCACUGAUGAUGGCAGCGCCCGCACAGAUGGCAGCCAACCGAAGAGGCAACGGAAGGACCGACGCCCGAUCGUGCUCCUCACCCUCAAGGAGGAAGUUACUGAAGUGGACUCCAACGGGUAUCCAACGGCGCCCGAACGAAUAGUCAAGGGGUACUCGCUUCAGCUCGGGUGCAUUGUCCGGAGCACCGUCUCGAUCAACACCGAGAACCUGAGGCAUCCUGACCGAGGGAAUUUGUGCCACCUCCUCUUCACGAAGCUGCACGAAUGAUACAAGUUCCCCGCUGAAUUUGCAAACAGAAGCCUCAAAGGGAAUAAAGUGAACAAUGCUGCCCUCACGAAGAUGAGCAAGGCCCUGUCUACUUGGAAAAGCAAUGUGAAGAAAAUGAUCGAUAAAGGUGAGAGUUAUCAGAAGAUCAAGGAGAAAAAUCCUUCGAUCACCAAAGAUGACUACAAUGACUUCAAGAUCAAUUGCUCGAGCACCGCAAGCUCCCAAUCAAGUGAGUGGGGGAAACAAAUGCGGGAGCUGAACAUAGGGGAACACACACUCGGUCCCGACGGUUACAGAGUGGCGGAGCCUAUAUGGGACAAGGAGGAGGCGGACCGUGCCGAGCAAGGCCUACCGCCCCUCUUCGAGAAAUACAGCGGUAACAAGCAGACCAGGAACUUUGUCAGGGCCCGGUACAAGAAGGACCCGAAAACAAAGGAGCUUACCACGGAUCCGAAGACCAGGCAGCUUGAGCUUGUUCUGGUAAGGAAUACACCCCCGCGUAAUUAGCUCCAUAUGGUUGCAUUCUAAUUAAUGAAGCCAAAUUUCUAAAUGGUUCACAUUCCUUCCGCAGGCGACUGAAAGCAGUAGCGCGGGGUCGACUAAGAGCAACCCUUGGGACACCACUCUAAAUAGGGCGAUGAAUGUAAUGAAGAAGAAGGAUAAGCUCAGUAAGCCGACGUCAGCUGGUCGUGUGGCCGGCAAAGGCUUGUCGACAAAAUGGGGGUCAUACUAUACCGCUGGUGUGCGGAAGGAGAAAAAGACCAGCUCGGAAAGCCAGGCGCGAGAGGAUCAAGAACUCAAGGAACAGGUGACGCGGAUUCCGGAGAUUGUCCAAGAGCAAGUGGAACAAUGACUCGGAGCGACGAUCACCGCCAUUGUGCCUACCUUGAUCUCGGGGUUGAGUGCGUGGAUUGCGGGCGGCCAACAGGGGCCGCCCCCGAUUCCUAGCUUCACGGCCAGCAACUCGCAUAAUGCGAUGGCGGGGCCAUUGGUGCCUCCGGCGGAGGCGGCAUUGGUGUCUCCGACGCCGGCACGGGAGCUUAAUGCACCCGGGUGUACGCCGGCCGGCACCUCUGCAGCAAGCGGCCCCUCCGUCAACUGCACGCCCGCCGUUGGCGGUGCGUCGACAUUAGCCGAGCUCGACGCCAUCAACACGGUAACUAAUUAAGCCUCUCUCGGCCGAGGACUUCAUCUCCUUGCCUUUGACUAGGCAUCCCUGACGCCCUACAUGUUUUCGCAGGGCGCCGCCGACGUUCCGUGCACUCUCCUCCACUUCGUGAACAACGAGUUGGUCGAUGUCGCCAAGGGCAAAAUCGUUCAACCGGCAACCCCUUGUUCCACGGUACCCAGAUGCCACCCAACUUGUUUAGGGUUCAACUGGUUCGGGUGUUGCCAGGCUGCGACGACUUGUUACCUCUGAUUCGACCCGUUGGGGCCGACGAUGAAGACGUGAUGACCCUCAGCGCCUGCCUGAGCUGGCCCCUAGUUUGGCCGAAGAGCCAGAUUCGUUUGGGGGCGGGGGACACCACCCCAAAGACAACACCGCCAGUCGUGCUGGUGCCAAGUCGGCCCCAUGGCAAGACCGCCGUAACGGUGCCGGACAUCCCUAUGCCACUGGAUCCAAACAUGCAUAUGGCACAGGAUCAGAAUGACGACGACAACGACGAUGAUACAUUUGGCAACGUCGAUCAGUACUUUGCCGAUCAUGGGUACGAUGGCGACUUCAUGGGGCCUCCUUCUCAAGAACCAAACCCAACAAAAGACGUGUGCGAUCUAGCUGGUACCGCAGAGAAGCCAAGUUGCAACAGGCGCCGUCUGGCGUUCAGCUCUCAGGAGACGCCUCCAGCUGCCGACUUCACCGAUCCUCAGAUAGGCGAGGUGCGAAAUAUUAUCAGCCCCAACACACUCAAGAAGGCGGUCUGUGAGCAGAACUCGGUCCCAUUACAGGAGAAGAAGAAGGCACGCAAAAGAAAGACUAAGAAGGGUGCGAGCCAGCCGGCACCGAGUACGAUCCGUGCUCAGGACGGGCCACCUUCACCGCAGGAUAUCUCGAGGAGGGUGCAUGUGGCGGGUAGGGCGAUGCUACCGACAAAUAUGCUCAAUGCUGCAACCGGUGCUAUGCGGAGUCUGCAUGACAGUGUUCUUGCUUUGGAGAAGCGGCGUCUCAGAGAGAAGGAUGUGGCAUACCCGGUUUUCGCGGCCAAGGUGCCAAAGGGCAAGGGCUUUGUGGAUAACUCCAUCGGGCGUACGAUCGUCCUGCGUUUUGAUGACAUCCACGCUAUGUUGAACCUUCAUCCGCUGCACUACACCUUCGUUCGGCUAUUUUCGCUGAGUAUGGAGAUGCGGAUCAUUCGCGACAAGACCCCGGACAUCGUGAUAGUCGACCCCUUCUACAUGCGUGCCAAGAUCUUGGGCAGCGCUGGGGACCGGCAAGUCGCGAGUUCUUACCUCGAAGGCAUCAUUCUGGCAAACCAAGAUAAGGAUAACUUCCUCGUGCCUUACUUUCCCGAGUAAGUCCUCCCCUCAACCGGCCCGUAACAUAUGAAUUCUUACAUUUCGAUCGUUUUUCUUUUAACAUUCCGUGUUUUUUGCAGUGACACACGUUGCACGCUCAUCCUCCUAAGCCCCAAAUAUUCCAUGGCCACAUAUUUCGACCCGGACUGUUAGUCGAACGUAGACUACACAAAUGUCAAGAAGGUUCUUGAUGAUGUUCUCCCCGGCUAUGCCAAAUCUGGAGGCACCUUCACCAGGCCUAAUCGUAAGUACGGCAAGCAUGUUUUCUCCCACAAUACGAUGUUCUACUGCGUCAAGCAGCCGCCUGGUGGUCAGAAGGGUGCCUACUACGCCAUCCAUCACAUGCGGGCGAUCGUACGGGACCAUCAUCAACUUCUGCUACCGAGUAAACUCAAAGAUUGGGCAAAGAGCGUGUCGGCAAUCGAGGACGCGGACCUCCGACAAGAAUUCUUUCGCAUCCAGUCGGAGUUUGCGGAAAUCAUCCAUCAAGAUGUCCUUCGUACCUCGGGGCAGUUCUACCUCAACAAUCAACCGUCCAAUAGUGACAUCGACAUAAUGCUACAAAUGCAGGCUGACAACGACCGUUAUUUCAUGACUCCCACGAUAGACGGCGGCUUCAUCCACGCUCCGGUCCCUUGAGUCGAGUCGAAAGCAGUGAUGCUGUGUCUAGUUCUGAAACAUCGAUUGGCUCAUGUUGUAAUUAAACUUUAAUGAACUUGUAGUAUGUCUCUUUGGUUUCGAGAGUCGUUCAACUUAGAUGUAAUCGAUGCUAUUAAUGUCUUGCUUUUCUCUUCCGAUUGUUCUGUUGCAUACUUAUAUAUUGCUUAUGUAUUGUCUGUGAAUUGGUACUAACGUUUCGUUUGGCUAGUGCAUAGCGAUGCCGACGUAUGUCGUGUACAAGGGUAAGGUUCCCGUAGUCUACGAUGACUGGGAGGAGUGUCGGAGACAGGUUCACCGAUUCAGCGGUAACAGUUACAAAGGGUACACCACUAGGGCCGAGGCCGAAUCUAGAUACGCCCGCUAUCUAGCGGGAGAGGGGAGGGAGCGUUGGAGGAACCGGAUGAAGACGAGUUUCAUCGUGAUGAUGCUCAUCGUGAUGACCGCAGCUCUCUUCUAUGUGAUGGUAGUUUAGAUGAUCGAUAUCGACUUGUAAUGUGAAGACAAACUCGCUACUCGCGGUCUCGAGACUUGUAAUAUAAUGUUCUAUCUUUGUUCGGUCUUUUUAAUUCGGAGACUAAUAUGAUGAAUUGUAUUCGGAGACUAAUAUGAUGAAUUGUAUUCAAAGACUAAUCUUCUAUUGUAUUCGAUGAAUCUGUUGUUGAUGUGUGCUGUCUAUAUUUUGUCAAAUUAUACAUUUUGUAACCUGUGCAAAAAACAGAAAAUAAAAAAUAAAAAAAACCUAAUAUUCAUACUAAUGACGCAUCACAUGAUAGUGCGCCAUUAGUAUGACAGUGCAUACUAAUGGCGCAUCACUGGGCAGUGCGCCAUUAGUAUGCCGCGGUUACUAAUGGCGCAUCCAGCGGUGGUGCGCCAUUAGUAUGCCAAAGCACCUGGGUAUACAUGGCCCCUGGGAGGCAUACUAAUGGCGCACCCUUGCCUAUACUAAUGGCGCACGCGCGGUGCGCCAUUAGUAUACCAGAUACUAAUGGCGCACCAGGUGGUGCGCCAUUAGUAAAAAUUACUAAUGGCGUGCUAUUAAUGGCGCACCACAGAUGCGCCAUUAAUGGCCAUUUUAGGUGCGCCAUUAGUAGGGGUUUUUCUAGUAGUGUAAUAAGCGAGAUGACGCAGUUCCUGACCGCCCCGCUACCACUACUGGUUCCAGCGUGGCGUUUGAAUUAUGCCGCGCUAGAUGCCUUUUGUCCAGCGAGGAACAAGUGGGGUCAAGCGUGCUUUGGCAAUUCCCGCCGUCAGAAGACUUCCUUGUAGUCCGGUGUAGAGGUGAGGUUGUAGGGAGAUGCAUCGACUAGGAAGGAGUGGCCACAUGAACGAGCAUAUGUAUGAUGUGAUUAAGUCUCUCGAUCGGGUAUCUGGUGCCUUACGUACGGUGUCUUAUUUUUGUCAAGCUAUGACAUCUUUCAGUUUGAGUGUCUGAUAUUAGGGUUGCAUACGUUUUGUUAUUCAGUUGCCUGUUGUCAACUCUAUGGUUAUAUCACCUCGAUGUGUGAGUCAAUGUGUUUGAACCAAUGUAGAGUUUCAUGUGAAUGUUACAAGUGUGAUUGAUAUCUUCAUGUUAUAACCGCAGUUGCCUUGGUAAGAAAUUGAAAGAGCAAACCGUUAUCGUGUUAGGAAAAAAGUCAUCGCUCAAUAUAAGUUGCUUCUCUAGAACAACCACACCUUUCCCUCAAAAAAAAGAACAACCACACCUUGUGAAAGAAGAUGGCAAACACCCAAUUAUGUCUGGUUAGAUAUGGGCAUGGCUAUGGGUAGCUUAUAGCGACACGGAAGCUAGCAUCGCCUGAAGAAACACCCGGAUGGGCCGGCCUAGAGACAAAUUUCUUCAUUUCUACCCUUAGUUUUGUUUUUCUGCCCUUUUUUCUUUAUAUUUUAUAUUUUUCCCGACAUGUUCACUACUUGAUGCUCAACUGGGAUCUCAUCUGAUGCGGAGCAUCCUAUGGACAUCACCAUGUCAAGAGUCCGUUCGGCAAGUGACACGUGUGACAUCUACUUCUCAUACAUAAAGGUGAAUCUUCUCCUUUACACGUGUUUACUUGACCCCUUCGAGGAUGGUAUACUACUUGACACUUCUCCCGUGUGCAUGCAUAGGUAUUGUCGGAGCUUCAUGGAUGUCGAGGAGGAGUGCAAGCGCCAAGGAAUGACUACACCGUCCGCGAGGGAAGCAUGGAAGAGAAGGAGGAAGAGAACCUGGCUACUCCAGAACGAGCGGUACUACUGCCCACUCCAAGCGGUACUACCGCCGAGGCCACCCAAGCGGCACUACCGCCCAGCAUCCGCCCUUCUACUGCUCAACCCGACAAACUCCAGUGAUCGAGCGGUGUAAGUCCGGUACUACUGCCCCUCCAAGCGGUACUACCGCUCAAGCGGUACUACCACCCAUGAGUCCGGUACUACCGCCCUGCCUCUGCCCAGCCGUGGGCCUUUGGCCUUGUAUCCCUCUCCCACUUACCCCUUCGUGGCUUAGACUAUAAAUAGGCCACCUCCACCUCCUUUCUAGGGUUAGCACAGAUUUAGCUCAUUUUGAGAUAGAGCUUUGCUCAUCCAUACGGAUCUACUCCUCGUGAGAGACCGCGACCUCUUCGGAGAAGAUCCAUCUUGGAUUCAAGACCCCCUCGUGGGAAGAUCCGUCUAGGAUACCAACAAGACCUCCUCUUGGAGAUGAACCUUACCUUGUAUCUUUCCCUUUGUUGUUCAUGUACCCUUGUGGAUCUUGUGUGUUUGAUUGUCUAGUGGAUGUGUGAUUGGACUUGUACUUGAGUGUUUCCCCUUGUGAUUUCUCUCCGUUCUUCCACGUGUUCUUCAUAGGGAUCCGCUCCAAACGUGAAAGAUCGGCCUCUAGGGUUCUAGCCUACAUCAUCUUGGAUCAGAGCAAGGUUGAUCACGGAUUUGGAGCCCCUACCCCUCUUUUUCUAGCCUUCUUUUGCUUGCUUUCGUCCUAAAAUCCCCACAAAAAAUAGCCCCAAUUUUUUUGUGAUUUGUUCGUUUGAUGAUUUUUUGUUGAUUUUGAUCCAUGGAUUUGCUUGGUUUUGAGUGGAUCUAGCAUCUCUCCAAGUUUCCCCACCUUCCAUCCACGAAAUCCAUCCAAUUUUGCCCCUGAAAUCAUCCUUUUCCGCCCCAAAUUCGCCCCGAUUUCGAUCUGUGAAUUUUCCCGACACGAGCGGUACUACCGCCCUCGAAGCGGUACUACCGCCCUCGAAGCGGUACUACCGCUGAGCACCACAAGCGGUACUACCACCCUCCCAAGCUAUGACGCCCGGAUAAUUAAGCUACAGUAAUCCCCUUCUAAUGGUGCCAUGUCAUCACAUUACUGUUGCUAAUCCUCGCUUGAUCCAAAUCUUAGUUCAAACUCAAAUUCAAAUUAAAGACCAAAAUUCAAAUUUCUCAAGCAUGCAAAAUAAAAUGUUCAAAGUGUGGCAAAUAAUCGCUGGAUAUUUGUCAUGUUGCAAACAACCUCUUUUGAAUUCUCAAAAUGCCCCUGGGAAUUAAUUUUUGGUCCAGUAGUAAAUUAAAUGGCAUUUGCAAAAUAAAGAAUUGUUUAUUUAACUCCAAUUGCCUCCAAACUUUAUGUGCCACUCCAAAAUAUUUGUGGCUCUGUCUAAGAUCGCCAAGGAAUUAAAAGGGCACUUCCCAUAUUUUCCCUAAGUAAAUAGUGUGCCCAAAAUAUUCUCUUAACCAUCUCUAUUUUUUUAAAUAAAAAAAGGCGAAGAAGAACUCCCCCGGGCCUCGGGCCACUCCCACUUACCAGCCCACCUAAGCCGGCCCACUCCCCCGCUCCCCUAGCCUAUAGGCCACGGCCGACCGAACCCUAACCCCGCAUGAUCCCCCCACUCCCCACUCCUCUCCCCUCUCGAUCCGAUCUGGAUCGGACCGAAACCGGCGCAAUUGGUCGAUCCAUGUAUAAAGUAAAAAUAACUAGGCCCAAUUGGUCGAUCCAUGACAGUUUUCGUGACGGUACUUCCACGUCUGUCAUGAGGGGGCUACCCUACUUGGCCCCAAAUGGAUCUUGCUAAUUGGUGACGGUUUCCGUGAUAGAUUUCUGGAACGUCACCAGAAAUCCGUCAUUGAUUAACAGAUUUCCGCACAAUCCCCCCACUCCCCACUCCUCUUCCCUCCUGAUCCGAUCUGGAUCGGACCGAAAUCGGCGCCGCGACGCCAACCGCCGUCGCUGGAGGCGUCCCCGACUCCACGCCGGGCCGCCCCGUCACUGGACCUCCUCCCCGUCGCCACUCGUCACUCGCUGGACCGCCUCGUCCCCACCAAUGCCGCCCCCACCCCAACGUCCCCGACGCCUUCGCCGUCGGCACCGCCCCAAUGUCGCCGCCACCCGACGCCGGCGCCCUCGACAUCGCCACCCCGAGCCCACUGCCACCCCUACGCUCCGCUAUGAGCCCCUCGCUGAUUCCCCCUCCUUCCCGUCGUCGUAGGUGGCUGCGCGCGUCGUUGGCCAUCGUGGCCGCGCUCCGGCCGUUCCCCAUCCGUGCGCUGGCCUCGCCUUCCUCGGAUUGCAAACAUUGAACUUUUCCCCUCGGGUUCAUCUAUCUGACAGACGUUCGGGACCAGAAAAACUUUCCCGGAUGUUUCCCCCUUCGCCAGUAUCACCUAGCACCGCGUUAGAACACUUCUAGCCCCGCUUAUUGUCUUGUUAUGCAUAUGUUUGCGUGUAUUUACUGUUUCUUCCCCCUCUUCUUCUCCGGUAGACCUCGAGACCGUUGCUGAUGCCCCUGUGGUCGACUACGUCGACGGCGACCCUCCUUGUCUGAGCAACGAGGCAAGCCCCCCCUUUGAUCAUCCCGAUAUCGCCCAUUCCAUUCUCUAAUGCUUGCACUAGAUUUUCUACUGUAUUUGAUUGCUCCUAUUCUGAUGCAUAGCAUGCUUUUCUACCUGCUGUUGUACCUUACCUGCUUAUCCUAAACUGCUUAGUAUAGGUUGGCUAGUGAUCCAUCAGUGACCCCCACCUUGUCUUUGUUGCCCCUGCUUCAUCAUUGACGACUCGAUCAACGUGAUCGACGACCGGAGCCUGACACCUCACAUCACAUCACGCCCCUUUUUGUUGCUCGACUCUGCAGAGUUACCAUCGAGUGCCGAGGGUGGAACCUCAUACAUCACUCCUUAUGAGAUCUCUGUAGUGUAGCUAUUCGGUCGUGGUCAUCGAGGGUGGUUCCUCCUUCACCAUUCCUAAUACGGCUCUGUCGUGCAACACCUCAAGUGUGAACCUCGAGGGUGGUUCCUCUUACGUUCACCUUGAUGAUUACAUCGAGUGGAAUCCACCGGGGGUGAUUCCUCGGAUUUUCCCCUUUAUGUCUGGACACACAGUUACCUUGACUUCACUUGAGACCGUUUUGAAAGCCGGGCAGGCCCGGAGAGCACCCGUGCGGUGUGACGGUGGCGGCUGGCUGUUUAGCGGUAUCACCCGGGAGGGGGUGAUAGCUCCGGACUUGUCCCGACAGCCGUCACUUCUUUUAAUAAUGCACUAACAGGUUUGGGUAUUUUUUCUAAGUUCACUAACCACGACGCUAGAAUAGUUAUGGGUCUCGAUGUUGCAGUAUCAGCCGAAGCUUUCUCAGACGUCCAGUUCAGCAUUGUGGCCGGGCCGAAUCAUGCCAUCCACUUCACGGGUGGUGCUGGUAUCCCCUUGCGCACAACGACCCAGAGUGCAACGGGCGAUGGGCCCAGACCCCGGAGUGCUUAGGAUGUAGACCGGCAGGGACCUCUCUGCUGAGCCUAGGUAGGGCAGCUACGUGUUGAUCUUCCGAGGCCGGGCAUUGACCCCAGAAAGGUGUGUCCUUCCAGAGUGAUCGAGCGUGUUGGGUAACGUGGUGCCCCCCUGCAGGGAAGAUUAUCUAUUAAUAGCCGUGUCCACGGUAACGGACGUUCAAACUUAUAUCUUGAUCUUAUACAACUACAAAUGGAUACUUGAGAUAUGUGGCUCCGGGAUUGCUUUCUCGCAGGGAGUCGAGGAAGGAUCUCUGGGCGUUGUUGUCACAACAUGCUUGUUAAUUAAACUGCUAUUCUUUACUCUUCUACAUGCUGCAAGAUGCUUGGAGCUACUUGAAGAUGCUAGUCUUCAUGAGGCUAGGCCUUCCCCUCUAUUCUGGCAUUCUGCAGUUCAGUCCACAGAUACAACCCUUCCAUUUGAUACCAAUGCAUACUUAGUAUAGAUCUGAUGCUUGCGAGUACUUUGGAUGAGUACUCACGGUUGCUUUGCUACCCCAUUUCCCCCUUCUUUCUUCUUUCCGGUUGACGCAACCAAAUGGUGGAUCCCUGGAGCCAGAUGCCAGCGCUGAUAGAUGCUACUAUGUGAAGAUCGCCGACGACCAGGAGUAGUUAGGAGGUCCCAAGCAGGAGGCCUUGCCUCUUCGAUCAUUGUUGCUUUUGUGCUAGCCUUCUUAAGGCAUCUUUGUUUAACUUAUGUCUGUACUCAGAUAUUGUUGCUUCCGCUGACUCUUGUGUAUCGAGCUAUGUAUUCAAGCCCUCGAGGCCCCUGGCUUGUAAUAUAAAGCUUGUAUUAUUUUGAUUUGUGUCUAUAGUUGUGUUGUGAUAUCUUCCCGUGAGUCCCUGAUCUUGAUCAUACACAUUUGCGUGCAUGAUUAGUGUACGAUUGAAUCGGGGACGUCACAAGUUGGUAUCAGAGCCGACUGUUUGUAGGAUCCCCCUUUCCAACUCCUUGGCUGAAGUUGAGUCUAGUCUUUGAAAAAAAUUGUUUUACUAACAUGGUUGUGUGGCUUACGGGCCCAUGUCGCCAUUGGGUGGUAUUAGGAUCUUUUACUCCUCGACCUUUACUCUGGGACUCUAAUCGCUCUUCUAUUCGGGUUAAAUGGUCUCGCAAACUAUAACUCUAGGUUCUCGUAAAUACUUUCUCCCGGAGAGCCCCUUCAUUCCAGAUGAUGGCCUGCUUCACCAGAUGAUUUCGAAGAUACCCUUCUGUAAUUUCCUGAGACUUUUGUACUCAUUGCUUUUGCAGUUCCCUACCUCUGAUAUAUCCUUACGGAUAACUUCAUACACUUGUCAUUCAUACAAUCAUUCCUAGUUGCUCUUGUUUUUACAAGAUACAUUGAAUUAUUCUCCGACUUUUAAGAAUCCCUUGCUUACUGCCCUGCAGUUCCUUGCCGCAUGAAUACCCCUACGGAUAAUUACUCGCACUUGCCGAGUAUCCGUUCGUCCAUAGUUGUUCAUGUGUUUCACAACAUUCUUUGGAAAGCUAUUUGAUCUUUUCAAAAAUCCUCAGUAGCCUAUUACUCUUGUUCCUCCUUACCUACUUACAGUAUGGUUACUUCCAUUUGUCUAGCAAUAUUCUUUAAAAUCCUUUGCGAUUGACAUCCUUACCCUAUUGUUUCAACAUGUGUGUGAAUGCACGCAAUCAUCAAUUGUUCCCUGGAAUUGUCCUUCUGGCUCAGACGUUACCCCGGACACGAGCUGGUGUUCGACAAAACAAACCUUGAUUGAUUUUGAAUCUAUGUCUAUACAACUUAAUUGUCUUUGAUCAGAGCCUCUGCUUUUGAUCCCCCAUUUUGAAAAUCAUAAUCCCCUUUGCAUUCGAGCAUAGAAUUAGUCAGUUGUUUCUAUAACCUGACCUCCUUGAAUUCUUUCUUCUUCUGGUUGAGUAUCGAUACUCACAUCAGAUCCAUUGUGGACCUCCAGGUCCUUUGUUGGUUUUUAUCCGACAGCAUCCUUCAUAUUCAGUAACCUUGUGAGCCUUUCCUCGAAUACACAAUGCCUUUGGUAAAUUGUAUCCCCCACUCUCGUCAACCAUACUCUGCUUCCGGGCUUGAGUUAUUUACUCGUGAAGUUUGUGGUAUAUGUUCCUAAUAUGUCCCUAUGGGUUGAAUCUAUGUCUUCCCUAAAUCUGUGUGAACCCUACGACUCAUACUCUACUGGUGUUAUGCCAGAUAAAAUCUCAACAGUACGGCUUCGUUGAAAAUGAGAAGUGAAUGAAAGGUUAUGCAUCGAAGAAGUGGGAGUCGACCUUGAGCCUUGUGUUCAUGCCCAUGGACACGAUGUGGAACUUAACAUGGAAGCUUCUUUUUAUAAUAAUAGCCCCCUAGCGAUAAGUACAUCUUGUAUCCAUGUGUGGUCCAUUGCAAUCGUGGUUCCGACCAUAUUGUUCUUGUUUGAUCCAUUUAUCGGACAAGUUAAAGUACUUGUCUUCUUCAAAUUGUUUCACAUGUUCAACCUCUACAUUGAUAUACCUUCGAGCAUUAUCCUCUGGUAUCUCGAGAAUAUCACGGAACUACAUAACUUCUUAUGAGUUCUUGAUCAACUAUUAUUUCUCACUGAUUCAAAUUUUUCACUAGUUGGGAGUUGUUAGACACUCGAGAAUACAGUUAACUGAUUCAAGUCUACGCUUUCCUUUCCAUUGUUCUGUUUAAUCUUUCUGGUAACCUAUCUUAUCUGAGAACUGAUAAUUCCCUGCUUAUGUAAACACCUCGGUGUACAAGCUCUGUCUGUAAGACCUUGUUACUAUUGUUGAGGACAUUCCGAUAGCUACCGAUGGACGAGAACUUUGCCUAUUGGUCCGCCUCAUCUUAACGAGCAGGAAAAUGGUUCUCUUUGUCCCUCUCCCUUGGUACCAACGUUGUUGCCAACAUAACUGACAAGUUGUCCUCUGACCUGCCUUGCUAUCAUGACCAUGCAAAAUGCUAGCGCCCUUCCUGCUUUUAACCCACAAGGUGGGCCUGAGGGAGUCCUGGACUAGGCGGUGUCCGGACAGCCGGACUAUCAUCGUCCGCCGGACUCCAAGACUACGAAGAUACAAGAUUGAAGACUCCGUCCCGUGUCUGGAUGGGACUUUCCUUGGCGUGGAAGGCAAGCUUGGAAAUACGGAUAUGUAGAUCUCCUACCAUUGUAACCGACUCUGUGUAACCCUAGCCUCCUCCGGUGUCUAUAUAAACCGGAGGGCUUUAGUCCGUAGGACACAACAUACAUUACAACAAUCAUACCAUAGGCUAGCUUUAGGGUUUAGCCUCCUUGAUCUCGUGGUAGAUCCACUCUUGUACUACCCAUAUCAUCAAUAUUAAUCAAGCAGGAUGUAGGGUUUUACCUCCAUCGAGAGGGCCCGAACCUGGGUAAAACAUCGUGUCCCUCGUCUCCGGUUACCAUCCGCCUAGACGCACAGUUCGGGACCCCCUACCUGAGAUCCGCCGAUUUUGACACCGACAUUGGUGCUUUUAUUGAGAGUUCCUCUGUGUCGUCACCAAUAGGCUCGAUGGCAUCUUCAACCAACAACGCUGUCCAGGGUGAGACUUUUCUCCCCGGACAGAUCUUUGUAUUCGGCGGCUUCGCACUGCGGGCUAAUUCGUUUGGCCAUCGGAGCAGAUCGAAAGCUACGCCCCUGGCCGUCAGGUCAGAUUCGGAAGUCUCAACUUCACGGCCGACGUCCGCGGAGACUUGAUCUUCGACGGGCUCGAGCCACAGCCAAGCGCGCCGCACUGUUACGAUGGGCAUGAUCUAGCUCUGUCGCCGAACAGUGCCUUGGUGGCCGCCCACGAAUCCGCUUCGGCCUUUAGUCCGGGGCCGAUCGCCCAGACCGAGGAACGGUGGAUGGACACCGCCUCGGGGGCUUCAACUUCCACGGCGAUGGAGCCGAACACUAAUCUUGUCCCUCGCAAAACUCGUGAUUCCGAGGUGCCGGACUCCUUGCCGGACUCCGAAGCUCCCACGCCCCUACCAACCGAAUCGGAUUGGGCGCCGGUUAUGGAAUUCACCGCCGCGGACAUCUUCCAAUACUCGCCUUUUGGCGACAUCCUGAAUUCGCUAAAGCAUCUCUCGUUAUCAGGAGAGCCCUGGCCGGACUAUGGCCAGGAUGGUUGGGAUACGGACGACGAAGAAAUUCAGAGCCCACCCACCACCCACUUUGUAGCCACUGUCGACGAUCUAACCGACAUGCUAGACUACGACUCCGAAGACAUCAACGCUAUGGACGACAAUGCCAGAGACGAACAGGAACCAGCGCCUACAGGGCACUGGAAGACCACCUCGUCAUAUGACAUAUACAUGGUGGAUACCCCAAAAGACGGGGACGGCGAAGAAACAGCGGAGGCAUAUUCUUUAAAGAAACAGCCCAAGCGCCGGCAUCAGCGGCGCUGCUCUAAAUCCCGCCACGGCAAGAAUGGAGAUUCCAGCACAGGAGAUAAUAAUACCCCAGAAAGUGCCGAAGAUAACCCCCUCCAGCAAGACUCAGCGCAGGAGGAUGCAGAAGCAAGCCCUCACGAGAAGGCGGCAGACAAAGAGGUUGAGGAUUACAACUAUAUGCCUCCCUCCGAAGACGAGGCAAGCCUCAACGAUGACGAAUUCGUCGUGCCCGAGGAUCCCGUCGAACAAGAGCGUUUUAAACGCAGGCUUAUGACCACGGCAAAUAGCCUAAAGAAAAAGCAGCAGCAGCUUCAAGCUGAUCAGGACCUGCUGGCCGAUCGAUGGACCGAGGUCCUCGCGGCCGAAGAGUAUAAACUCGAAUGCCCCUCCAAAAGCUAUCCAGGACGCAAGCUGCUCCCCCGAUUAGAGGAGGAAGCAUACAUACCUCCAUCACCAGCGCACGAUACGGCUGACCGACCACCCCGUGGUCGUGACAGAGAGGCAUCCAGGCCCCCAACCAAGACCGUACCCCGGCAUCGCUCGAAAAGUAUGAAGCCAAGAGGGAACGCGCCGGACUUGCGAGAUAUAUUGGAGGACAAAGCAAGGCAAUCCAGAUCCAUCUACGGAUCACGGGGGUGCCCCACGACCCAUGACGAAUACCGUCGCGCCGGAUACAAUAACCCCGGCCGGGCCGAACACAGCAGACAACGCUCUCUCGAGUUGCAUCGUGAUAUUGCUCAAUAUAGAGGCGCCGCACACCCGCUAUGCUUCACAGACGAAGUAAUGGAUCAUCAAAUCCCUGAAGGGUUUAAACCCGUAAACAUCGAAUCCUACGAUGGCACAACAGACCCUGCGGUUUGGAUCGAAGAUUACCUUCUCCACAUCCAUAUGGCCCGCGGCGACGAUCUACAUACCAUCAAGUACCUCCCACUCAAGCUUAAAGGACCAGCUCGGCAUUGGCUCAACAGCUUGCUCGCAGAGUCAAUUGGGUGUUGGGAAGACCUAGAAGCCGCAUUCCUUGAUAACUUCCAGGGCACGUAUGUGCGACCACCAGACGCCGAUGACCUAAGUCACAUCAUUCAGCAGCCAGACGAAUCGGCCAGACAAUUCUGGACACGGUUCUUGACAAAGAAAAAUCAAAUCGUCGACUGUCCGGAUGCAGAGGCCCUUGCAGCCUUCAAACAUAACACCCGCGACGAAUGGCUAGCCCGGCACCUGGGGCGGGAAAAGCCGAAAUCCAUGGCAGCCCUCACAUCAUUAAUGACCCGCUUUUGCGUGGGAGAGGAUAGCUGGCUAGCUCGCAGCAACAAUCUCCGUAAAAAUUCUGGCAGUCCAGACACCAAGAACAAUAAUGGCAGGUCACGUCGAAACAAAAACAAACGCCGCAUCAACGGCAAUGAUAAGGAGGAUACGGCAGUCAACGCCGGAUUCCGAGGCUCUAAACCCGGUCAACGGAAGAAGCCAUUCAAAAGAACCACUCCGGGUCCGUCUAAUUUGGACCGAAUACUCGACCGCUUAUGCCAGAUACAUGGCACCCCUGAAAAGCCAGCUAAUCACACUAAUAGAGACUGCUGGGUGUUCAAGCAGGCAGGUAAGUUAAUUGCCGAAAACAAUGACAAGGGGCUAAACAGCGAGGACGAGGAGGAGACCCGACCGCCGAACAAUAGAGGACAAAAGGGUUUUCCCCCACAAGUGCGGACGGUGAACAUGAUCUACGCGACCCAUAUACCCAAUUGGGAGAGGAAGCGUGCACUAAGGGACGUCUAUGCGAUGGAGCCAGUCGCCCCGAAGUACAAUCCAUGGUCCUCUUGUCCGAUCACUUUCGAUCGAAGAGACCAUCCGACCAGCAUACGCCAUGGCGGAUUCGCCGCAUUGGUUCUAGACACAAUCGUCGAUGGAUUUCACCUCACGAGAGUCCUGAUGGACGGCGGUAGUAGCCUGAACCUGCUUUAUCAGGACACAGUGUGCAAAAUGGGCAUAGACCCCUCAAGGAUUAAACCUACAAAGACAACCUUUAACAGUGUCAUACCAGGUGUGGAAGCCAACUGUACAGGCUCAGUCACACUGGAAGUGGUCUUCGGAUCCCCGGACAAUUUCCGGAGCGAGGAGUUAAUCUUCGACAUAGUCCCGUUUCGCAGCGGCUAUCACGCUCUGCUCGGACGAAUCGCGUUCGCAAAAUUCAACGCGGUGCCGCAUUGUGCAUACCUCAAGCUCAAGAUGCCAGGCCCUCAUGGAGUCAUCACGGUCAAUGGGAAUACGGAACGCUCCCUCCGAACGGAGGAACAUACAGCGGCUCUCACGGCAGAAGUACAGAGCAGCCUUUUAAGGCAAUUCUCGAGUCCGGCCAUUAAACGGCCGGAUACAUCAAAGCGCGCCCGAAGCAAUACCAACCAAGACCACCUGGCGUGAUCAGAGCACGCGUAGCAAUGCGGCCCCAACCCCCGCCCGCGCGUGAUUGCAAGAAUAACCCUCCGCGUACAUCAUUACGCUUUGGAGAUACCAUGGGCGCAGGGGAAGGGGCACGAUCACAACGGACCCAGAGUGCAGUUCGACCGCACCAGGGGCUCGCAAGUGUGCCCCCUUUUUUUUAUUGUUAUUUUCCCUCUUUGUGUACACAGGACUCCGUUAGCCAGAGGCCCUAUCCGGCGGUGAACCUGCCGAACUCAUGAUGCAAUAACCAGGGAAGAAAGAACGCUGCGACGAACACUCAGGUGGUCUCAAUUACAAGCAUUAAAUUCGAUUAUAUACACCAAGUCCGCAGCUUACCCUUGGAGGGGGACAUGUUUAAUUAGUCCAAAUCCCUUGCUUACCACACUAUUUGUAUCAGUCCGCACUCAUAGCAGACUUUCUUUCAUAAAUAAUGCAGCACCUUUUUGACUGCAAUUACAUUACCUUUUAUAUAUAUAUGCUCAUUACAUGACAUCUUGCACCCGUAUAUUUUGGUACGGCCUAAUACACCAGGGGCUUAUGUUCCCCACAUUAUGGUGUGAUAAGUCCGAACACUUUCGUAAGUGCAGCACCCCGAACUUAUAGCACUAUAUGAAUCGGCUCCGAAUCAUGUCUUGGGUCAAUAGUUGGGUUUGCCCGGCUCCCACGUUUUGGUGCCUUACGUUCCGUUCUGUCGGCUAAGGUGGCACUGGGAGAACCACUGCGAUUGCGCCCCGGUUGAGCCGGGCGAGCACCUCAGUGGAGAAAGCUAAAACUGACCGGCAUGAUAAGGCGAGAGACUGGUCGCUGUUCGAGAGGUUUUUUCGGGUCCUUAAAGACUCACGCCACUUCGAGCGAAGUUCCGGACCAUGUCUGACGAAGGCGUGGAUAGCGCCCCGGAUUCGGCCUUUCGGAUACCAGGGGCUUCGCCGAAAUUUAAAAUUAUAGAAUUCUAUGGCUAAGUGAGAGUGUUCAAGCAUUAUAAGUCCGGUCGCCUUGUUCGUUGUGUUGAGCACCUCCCUAGAUGGACCCAAAAAUGGGAAUAAGAGUGCUCAAGUUUAUCCCGAACACCCCAGCACUCGUGGCUCGGGGGCUGAAGCCAAUGACUUUCCAUCUCUCAGAUUUUAUAAACGGCCGCACAGAAGGUAAUAUUUUAAAUUAAAACAAGCGUUGCUCAUGGCGCAUCUGAACGAAGUUUUCAGCGCACAGGAUAAUACAUAGCGAGUUCACUCAAAGAUUACAUUUCUAGGGCACUCAUCCGCAAUAUCGCGGGCUCCCUUCAGGACAGUUUUAUAAUACAUUUCAGGCGUGCGAUACUCCUUGCCCGGCGGCGGUGGGUCUGUGAGAAGCUUCUCCGCAUCCAACCUGCCCCAAUGCACCUUUGUGCGGGCAAGGGCCCGACGAGCACCUUCAAUACAGGCGGAGCGCUUGAUGACCUCCACCCAGGGGCAUGCAUCCACCAGCCGCCGCACGAGGCCGAAGUAGCUACCAAGCAUGACCUGUUCAGGCCACAGCCGGACUAUAAGGCCCUUCAUGGCCUCUUCAGCUACCUUGUGGAGUUCGACCAGCUGCUUCAGCUGGUCGCUUGGGGGCACCGGAUGGCCUGCCUCAGCGUACUAAGACCAGAAGACCUUCUCCGUUGAGCUCCCCUCCUCGCCACGAUAGAAUGCGGCGGCAUCGGAGGCACUACACGGCAGAUCUGCAAACACCCCUGGAGAGCUCCGAAUGCGGGUAAUUGUCAGGUAGUUUACAUUAACAUGCUUGCUUUGCAUGAAAAAUGCCUUACCCGCCGCUAUCUUCUUUACAUCUUCAACCUCCUGAAGGGCCUUACGGGCCUCGGCCUUGGCGGACUUGGCACUUUCGAGAGCCGAGGCAAGCUCGGACUCUCGAGUCUUGGAGCCUCCUGCUUUUCUCGCUCCGCCCGUUCCGCGACCGCACUGCGUUCAGCCGCGGACACAGCCUCCUUCAGGGCUGCCACCUCGUUCGUGGCCCCUGCAAUACCCAUAUUAUCCUUGUUAAUUUUAUUGCAACCAAAAUCCUUUUCCGUAAGGUGACUAUUCAAAGCGGUGUUACUCACCUUCUUUGUCCUCGAGCUGCUUCUUGGCAGUGCCGAGCUCUUGCUCGGACCGCUCGAGAUCCUGCUUCAACACAUCGACCUCCGCCGUCAGUGCGGCAGAGGUCAGUAGCGCAGCCUGCAAACCCAUAUUGACAUAUUUUAAGCAACCCUGCGUAUAUCUUGUUAGAUCCUCAGUCCGGCUUUUCUUUCCGAACACCGAACUGAGCAUCAAGGGCUACUGUCUAUGCGGUAUUACAUUACAUAAUUUUAACUUCUUACCUCAAAGCCUGUUAGAAGGCUGCUGCAGGCUUCGGUCAGCCCGCUCUUGGCGAGCUAAACCUUUUGAAUCACCGCACUCAUGUUAGUGCGAUGUUUUUCCUCGAUGGAAGCGCCUUCAAGCGCCUCCAACAAGUUAUCCGGCGCCUCCGGUUGGACGGAGGUCGCCGGUGUCAAGGUCUUGCCCUUCUUUCGAAGGGGCCGCCCGCCGGACUCUAGAACCACUGCGGGUUCCGAUGUAGAGUCCGGCACAAAGUCUGGGAGGCAGCCUGACGACGCCUCCGGAGCCUCCUCCUGAUGGGUCCCUCUCUGGGAUCCCACCUCGGCGUCCCCGUCGGCGCGGGGGGUAGAGGCGGUCGGAAGUGAAUCCACAUCUAACGGGGCCAACGACCCGCUCGAUGAAGCGGGGAGAUCAUCAUCGGCCGGACUACGGACAGAACGCGGCAUUAGAAGGACACUACGCGACACGAAAGAAAUUGCAUAUCAUGGAUCCGGAUACUUACGAUCUUGUCGGACGCCUGGCCCUUGGAGGCCACUCAUCCUCGCCAACGGUGGUGUUGGCGAAACUGUCCGGGGGGAUAGUCCUCCCCCUCUUGGACCCUUCGGCCUCCCCUAUUGGGAAAGCCUUCCACUUCUUCUCUCCCUCCUCCGAGAGAGAGUCCUCUUCCUCCUCCUCGUCUUUGGGGGAGGAGUCCGCCUCGUCGUCGGACGCCUAAUUGCGGGAACUCUUUCGAGUCCCCGCGGCCACCUUCUUGGCCUUCUUCUCCGGCACCACGUGCGGUGCCGGAACCAGCAGCCCUGCUAAACGGGCGUUCUCUGGGUCUUCAGGCAUGGGAGCCGGGCUGAUGAGCUGCUUGGCCUUCUCCAUCCAUUCCUAUCAAAGGAAAAGAGAGAUUGAAACCCUCUUAGAAUCAGUUUAAUUACCACAAGUGUCCCGUAACGUGGUUGAAUCACUUACCUCGUCAGCCGGAUGCUGCGAGCGAAAUCCGUGAUCUUCCGUCGCGGAUGCGGGGGCUUCGGCGCCCUUAAACAGCACCCUCCAGGCGCCUUCGUAUGUCGUAUCGAAGAGCCCGCUCAGCGCCUGGUGCUGUUCCGGAUUGAACUCCCACAGAUUGAAUACCCGUUCUUGGCAUGGGAGAAUCCGGCGGAUGAGCAUGACUUGGACCACGUCGACGAGCCUGAGCUUAUUGCUCACCAGCUUCUGGAUGCAGGCUCGGAGUCCCGUCACCUCCUUCGGAUUUCCCCACAGCAAGCCCUUCUCUUUCCAGGAGGUGAACUGCGUGGGGACGCCAGAUCUAAACUCGGGGGCCGCCGCCCAUGUGGGCUUGCGCAGCUCGGUGAUGUAGAACCAACCCGAUUGCCACCCCUUGACGGAGUCCACGAAGGCCCCUUCGAGCCAAAGGACGUUGGGCAACUUACCCAACAUGGCGCCUCCGCAUUCCGCUUGCGUGCCCUUCACAACCUUCGGCCUCCCCUAUUGGGGAAGCCUUCCUCUUCUUCUCUCCCUCCUCCGGGAGAGAGUCCUCUUCCUCCUCCUCGUCUUCGGGGGAGGAGUCCGCCUCGUCGUCAGACGCCUGAUUGCGGGAACUCUUUCGAGUCCCCGCGGCCACCUUCUUGGACUUCUUCUCCGGCACCACGUGCGGUGCCGGAACCAGCAGCCCUGCUAAACGGGCGUUCUCUGGGUCUUCAGGCAUGGGAGCCGGGCUGAUGAGCUGCUUGGCCUUCUCCAUCCAUUCCUGUCAAAGGAAAAGAGAGAUUGAAACCCUCUUAGAAUCAGUUUAAUUACCACAAGUGUCCCAUAACGGGGUUGAAUCACUUACCUCGUCAACCGGAUGCUGCGAGCGAAAUCCGUGAUCUUCCGUCGCGGAUGCGGGUGCUUCGGCGCCCUUAAACAGCACCCUCCAGGCGCCUUCGUAUGUCGUAUCGAAGAGCCCGCUCAGCGCCUGGUGCUGUUCCGGAUUGAACUCCCACAGAUUGAAUGCCCGUUCUUGGCAUGGGAGAAUCCGGCGGAUGAGCAUGACUUGGACCACGUCGACGAGCCUGAGCUUAUUGCUCACCAGCUUCUGGAUGCAGGCUCGGAGUCCCGUCACCUCCUUCGGAUUGCCCCACAGCAAGCCCUUCUCUUUCCAGGAGGUGAACUGCGUGGGGACGCCAGAUCUAAACUCGGGGGCCGCCGCCCAUGUGGGCUUGCGCAGCUCGGUGAUGUAGAACCAACCCGAUUGCCACCCCUUGACGGAGUCCACGAAGGCCCCUUCGAGCCAAAGGACGUUGGGCAACUUACCCAACAUGGCGCCUCCGCAUUCCGCUUGCGUGCCCUUCACAACCUUCGGCUUGACGUUGAAGGUCUUGAGCCACAGGCCGAAGUGGGGCCGGAUGCAGAGGAAGGCCUUGCACACGACGAUAAACGCCGAGAUGUUGAGGAUGAAGUUCGGCGCCAGAUCGUGGAAAUCCAGGCCGUAGUAAAACAUGAUCCCCCGGACGAAUGGGUGGAGUGGAAAGCCCAGUCCGCGGAGGAAGUGGGGAAGGAAGACGACCCUCUCAUGGGGCCCAGGGGUAGGGAUGAGCUGCCCCUCGUCGGGCAGCCGAUGCGCGAUAUCGCCGGAAAGGUAUCCGGCGCUGCGAAGCUUGGUGAUAUGCUCCUCCUUAACGGUGGAGUCCAACCAUUUGCCUCCCGCUCCGGACAUAUUCGGAGAAGGUCGGGGCGAGAUGCGCGAGCUUGGGCGUUGGAGCUUGAGUGCACGGAGAUGGAUAAGCAAAGGAGGAAGAAGGCGUAGGUGAGAAGGUAAAUCCUUAUCCCUUAUAUAUAGGCGGACGAAAACUAUGCGUCCCCACCGGCCUGAUAAAACUCGCUUAUCUCCCAAGCGCCACCAUCAAUGGCGCGGUUGGGUUACCCACGUCCGUAUUGAUGGGAAUCCCGGAAUAAGGGGAACACAAUCUCUGCUUCGACAAGACGUGCCAAGGAAACCGCUUCGCUAAACGUGCUGAGGUGGUAUAGUAAAAAACGAUUCAAACAAAGGCUUGGUAGCGGUGUGAUGUCACGCCGCAUAAUACGUCAGCAGAUUGGACUGGUGUACAUUUUAUUCUCUCUACGGUGGAAUGUGGAAUUUAUUUUGCAGAGCCGGACACUAUCCUGGUGUUCAUGAUCUUCUCUGGAUUAUUCAAGGGAGGAACCCGCCUUGCAAUGCCGAACAUUAUGCGCGCCGGACUUAUCGUCAUUGAAGCCUGGUUCAGGGGCUACUGAGGGAGUCCUGGACUAGGGGGUGUCCGGACAGCCGGACUAUCAUCGUCCGCCGGACUCCAAGACUACGAAGAUACAAGAUUGAAGACUCCGUCCCGUGUCCAGAUGAGAUUUUCCUUGGCGUGGAAGGCAAGCUUGGCAAUACGGAUAUGUAGAUCUCCUACCAUUGUAACCGACUCUGUGUAACCCUAGCCUCCUCCGGUGUCUAUAUAAACCGGAGGGCUUUAGUCCGUAGGACACAACAUACAUUACAACAAUCAUACCAUAGGCUAGCUUUAGGGUUUAGCCUCCUUGAUCUCGUGGUAGAUCCACUCUUGUACUACCCAUAUCAUCAAUAUUAAUCAAGCAGGACGUAGGGUUUUACCUCCAUCGAGAGGGCCCGAACCUAGGUAAAACAUCGUGUCCCUCGUCUCCUGUUACCAUCCGCCUAGAUGCACAGUUCGGGACCCCCUACCCGAGAUCCGCCGGUUUUGACACCGACAGGGCCCAUAACCCACAGUUCCACAGGAUCGAAACCUGACUCAUGUACAUCCCUGUUUUUCAAAGUUGUUCCUCGCGCUUGGAUUCGUAUGUAAUUCACGAGCCACCUUCCUUGUGAUCUGUUCUGGUAUCAGAUGCAAUACUUAUUCCCAUUGCUCUAAACCCCUUUCACCUUCUUACCUUGCUCUCGAUGACUAUCCUGAAUUCCAACUCAAGAGAUGCCUCUAUGCCAUGUUGAGGUACCUAUCUUGUGUUGAGCUCCAUCCCUCCCGAGUCUUUCCCCCUUACUCACCCCUUAAAUCUCGAGACGAUAUUUCUUGUAGUGGAGGAGAAUUGUGACGCCCAAAUAAUUAAGCUACAGUAAUCCCCUUUUAAUGGUUCCAUGUCAUCACAUUACUAUUGCUAAUCCUCGCUUGAUCCAAAUCUUAGUUCAAACUAAUAUUCAAAUUAAAGACCAAAAUUCAAAUUUCUCAAGCAUGCAUAAUAAAAUGUUCAAAGUGUGGCAAAUAAUCCCUGGAUAUUUGUCAUGUUGGAAACAACCUCCUUAGAAUUUUCAAAAUGCCCCUGGGAGUUAAUUUUUGGUCAAGUAGUAAAUUAAAUGGCAUUUGCAAAACAAAUAAUUAUUUAUUUAACUCCAAUUGCCUCCUGUCGUGGGAAACGAACACCUAUGGGGCAGGGCCCCUUUUCGGUCUGGCAAGGGAGCGGAGGGCACACGAAGAGCAGAUCGAGGCGAAGCACGCGGGGGAAUUUUACCCAGCUUCGGAGCUCUCCGGAGAGAUAAAACUCCUACUGCUGCUUUGUGUUUCUAUUCUGUUCUUGCUCAAGAGUGUGGGUGUGUUGUAGUUUCGAAUGAGUCGAACCCCUUCUACGUGCGCAUGGGCCUCCUUUUUAUAGUCUAAAGGGGUCACCGACAGGUGGCAGCAUAGAGAGAGGGGUAAAAAAGUAAAAACGCGGGUUGGUACAACCGCUAUCAACAGUGCCCCCUACCUAACUCUGACAGCAGGGGACAAGGGCAUUUAAUGCCCAUCCGGUCGCCCAAACAGUGCAGGAAGUGACCGUUAGGGGCGCCACCAAUCGCCACGAUGGCCUCCUAGUCAUCUUCACUUGCCACCUCGCACCGCUUGGCUGCACAGCUACCCGCCACGUGCACCGGGAGCGAUCCUGCGGCGACACGUCAUCGGAUGCGCUGGAGCAUGGGCGCAGAGUUGUGGCUUUGCCGCGGCAAGCGCCUUGCCGCGGUCACUAUCUUGUUGCACCCGCAAGCUUGCCGCUCGCCGGGUCUUGGUUGGCCUUCCCGGCAAGAUCCUCCUGCCGGGGUCUUGUCCUUCCCGGCAAGCUUCUCUUGCCGGGGCUUCGUCUUCACAGUUAACACUUUGUUCUUGAAUGGCAGUAAAUAGGAAUGACGAAGGAUCUUGGCGGACGCCCGGCAAGCCUUGCCGCAGGACGCUGCGCCUGCCCGUGCACAAGUUCGGGGUACUAAGGUACCCCUACUUUAGUACACCGACUGGAGCCCCCGGGCCUGGGCCAUACACGGUGCUGAGCGCUGUUGGGCCAGGCCCAAAACAGGACACGGGCACGCGCGGCCUGGGUCCUAACUAAAUCCACUCCGUAUCCACCGCGUCCUCCCGUAACGGCACGCGUCAAUCGCGGCGUCGUGGGAGAGAUCGUGGGUGGAAGACGUUCGCGCGUAUCCACAGCCUGAUGGAGGGGUUUACCCUCCAUUUUAAGUUAAUGGAGGGCGAUCUCCUCUCCGUCAAGGUCUUCGGGUGCUUCGACACUCGGGCGAAGUGCUGCGUGGACAGCUCCUCCGAUAGCAAAGGCUCCCCCUCGAGCGAGAGCGACAAGGAGGAGAGCAACAGCGAUGAUGAGGGUAGCGGGCGGCGGGAUGGCGGGCCCGACUAGGUGUCGGGCGCCGCUUCGUGCGUCACCGGUGACCCCAUCAUCCGUGUCGCCGGCUCCUUGAACUCCCCGGGGUCGUCUCCUUGGGCGGCUGGCGUAGGGAGGCUGCGGAAGGGGAAGAGGGCUGGCGACAAGGCCGUCAAAUCGGAGUACGAGGGCGUAGUGCCCUCGACAGCGUGCUGACGUCCUGCCGCCCCAUCUUCGAGCCCCGCUUCCAGCGCCGCCAUCACCGUCCGGCCUUCGGACGGCCCCCGGGAUGUUCUCUUGGUGUCUUCGCCUAGGCGCCUCUUUUGCCCUUUUCGCCUCCUUGACCUACAUCCUGAAGAGAGGGACAGGAAAGGGAUUACGGGCAUCUUAUCUUUUUAAUUUGUAAGCCUUCGGGCCCUAGUCGCAUCUAAAACUUGUAACCCUCUCUUUCAUGUUUUUCAUCCUCUAUGGACUGUACCUGAGUGUGAUGUUUUUUUAAUGAAAAAGGGAUGCUUGCCGGGUUAUUUGUCUCAUGGGUUGAACCCACGCCAAGGAGCAAAUCCUUGGUAUCCCUCGGACAGGCAUUUCAUCUCCCGCCAACAGGCCCUGCCGCCUUCCCACGUCGCUCGACCUUUCUCACGCCUUUGACGGAGGCGGGAACGAGGUGGGUGCGGCCUCCUCAUUUCAUCCCUUUGCUGCUGUGACUACGACCAAACUUGGCCCCGGGAACGAGCCCCAGGGCCUAGAGUUGAGGGAGCACGGCAGUUUUCGGGAAGAAACGCGGUUUCGCAUUCCCCAGUCCAUAAGAGGAUGCAUGAUGAGGGACGAAAGACUUAUCUGAUAUCGCAGCCCCCGGCAACUCUGGCUUGCCGUGGAUGAAUCUUGGUACUCGCAGCCCCCAGCAACACUGGCUUGCCGGGGCCCAGGUGCCGGCGCGCCCUUCUUCUCCUUUCCUUGUCGCUGUUAUUUCAGUUAUGAGAACAAUUUAGUCAGUGCCGCAAUAAGUUACUCUUGUAAUAUAACUUUAUUCUGGGCAAUGCUUGUUAUGUUACAUCCUUUAUUUGAUUCCAUUCCUUGUAUGUUUGUACCCUUACGCUUUUACGGAACUUGCCGGUGCAAACACGCUUGCCACGAGCGCUGAGUGCAAAACAUCAGCAGCCUUCUAGCGGUGUUGCCUCCGGCAAGAAACCUUGUCGGGGCUAGUCGCAGCACACUUUCAUUGUUGAGCGGACUCAAAACAAAGUAAGGGUGCAACUUAACCACGAGCCGGUUCCUCUGCGCACAGGUUUUCCAUACAAGGCAUGGUCGUUCAAGGAAUAUAACUUAAAAAUUUAAAACUGACUGUGCUUAAACUUCGGCAACUUAGCUUUUUUGUUGUUUGUGUCCNNNNNNNNNNNNNNNNNNNNNNNNNNNNNNNNNNNNNNNNNNNNNNNNNNNNNNNNNNNNNNNNNNNNNNNNNNNNNNNNNNNNNNNNNNNNNNNNNNNNNNNNNNNNNNNNNNNNNNNNNNNNNNNNNNNNNNNNNNNNNNNNNNNNNNNNNNNNNNNNNNNNNNNNNNNNNNNNNNNNNNNNNNNNNNNNNNNNNNNNNNNNNNNNNNNNNNNNNNNNNNNNNNNNNNNNNNNNNNNNNNNNNNNNNNNNNNNNNNNNNNNNNNNNNNNNNNNNNNNNNNNNNNNNNNNNNNNNNNNUGUGGGCGCAGGAAUCUUCUCUUUGAGAAAAAGGAAGAAGAGAAAAUAAAGUUAUGGAGCCUUAAGGCUUGUUAUUGCUUACCGGGGGCAAGUUCUGCACAAAGUGUCAGUGUAUACAUGCUAAAAAGAAAAAGGCAUGAAUUUUGACAAUAUGUACUAAACAUAUGAUCUUUAUUUAUGCACGGGAUCUGCGCCCGGCUUUGUACAAAGGGUUACAUGCAACAACGGCAAGGCUUGUACAAAAGGUGGUUGCCAGGACAGCAGGUUCCGGCAACCGCGCCUUAUGGGUAAAACUUACGAAGAUGAUCUAUGUUCUAGGAGUUGCUCACCGGAAUGCCAUCUUCGGUCUCAAGGCGGACAGCGCCAGGCCUAGUGACUCGCUUUACCCGAUAAGGGCCUUCCCACUUCGGCGUCAACUUGUUGGAAUUCUUGGCAGAUUGAACGCGCCGAAGAACAAGGUCACCUUCCUCGAAGCUUCUGGCAUUAACUUCGCGGCUAUGGUAGCGGCGCAAAGCUUGCUGGUAGCGAGCAGCUCGUACAGCAGCCUGAAGACGAUCCUCCUCGAGGAGCAGCGCGUCAUCUUGCCGCAGCUGCUCUUGCUCAAGCUCAUCAUAAGCGAGCACUCGAGGCGAUCCGUAUACGAGUUCUGUGGGGAGAACUGCCUCUGCUCCAUAGACAAGAGCAAAAGGUGUCUGGCCAGUGGCUCGAUUUGGCGUCGUCCUGAUCGACCAAAGAACCACCUGUAGCUCCUCGAUCCAAUUUCUUCCGCACUUGUGCAGCCUGUCGAAAGUUCUGGUCUUGAGCCCACGCAGCACUUCAGCGUUUGCCCUCUCCGCUUGACCGUUGCUUCUCGGGUGAGCAACAGAAGCGAAGCAGAUCUUGGCGCCAAGAUCUUGGACGUACUGCAUGAAGGUGCAGCUCGUGAAUUGUGUGUUGUUGUCGGUGAUGAUCCUAUUAGGGACUCCGGAACGGCAAACAAUUGACCUGAAGAACUUGACUGUUGACUGUGCUGUCACCUUCCUCACUGGCUCCACCUCCGGCCACUUCGUGAACUUGUCGAUGGCCACGUACAAGUACUCGAAGCCCCCGACAGCUCGGGGAAAAGGGCCAAGGAUAUCAAGCCCCCAGACUGAAAAUGGCCAGGAUAAAGGGAUUGUUUGGAGAGCUUGAGCUGGUUGAUGAAUCUGUUUGGAGUGGAACUGGCACGCUUCACACUUGGUUACUUGUGCAGUCGCAUCCUGGAGGGCUGUUGGCCAAAAGCAACCUUGCCGGAAGGCUUUACUGGCAAGUGCUCUUGCGCCAAUGUGGUGGCCACAUAUGCCUCCAUGUAUCUCCGCCAACAGCUCUUGUCCUUCUUCCCGGGAAAUGCACUUCAAUUUCACUCCGUUGAAUCUUCUUCUGUACAGUAUGUCAUCGACAAACUGAUACAUACUUGAUUGUCGGGCUACUUUCUCUGCUUCUUCUUGCUCUUCGGGAAGUUCUCCUGUUUGAAGGAAAUGGACGAUCUGCUGUGCCCAUGCCGGAGCUUGUGGCUCGACGACAAGGACUAAAGGCGCAAAUGCUGCUGCGGGAACAUCCGCUUCUACGGCAAGAAUAUGAGAUCCUGCCGGAGCGUGAUGCUCCCCGGCAAGCGUGCCGGGGCACAGCUUGUCGGGAGCGUCUGCUUCAACGAAACAAACCCUAGGGCUUGUCGGAGCAGACUGCUCCUCAGCACUUUCUAUGUUGAUCCUGGGGACCUUCUUGGCGGCGGCUUCGGGGAGCUCUGCCGGAAAGUAGUCGCCAGUAACCAACUUUCUCUUCUUGCUCUGUCCAGUUGAUGGUGUUACAGAUGGCUGAGUCAGCUUGAGCACAAAAAUACCUGGUUCCACAGGUAACUUGAGUGCGGUGCACUUUGACAGGCCGUCUGCAAUGUCAUUCUGAGCUCUUGGAACAUGUUCCAUCUGCAGGCCGUCAAAAUGCUCUUCCAGCUUCCUCACUUCAUCAAUGUAGGCCUCCAUCAGCGGACUCUGAUAAUCUGUGUUAACUUGGCGGACGACAAGCUGUGAGUCACCCCUGACAAUAAGCUUCUUGAUCCCAAGUUCUGUCGUGAUCCUGAGUCCGGCAAGCAGGCCCUCAUAUUCUGCAGUAUUGUUUGUUGCUUGCUCCUUGGGAAAGUGCAUUUGGAUCAUGUACUUGAGGUGCUCUCCGGUGGGUGCGACAAGUAACACACCCGCACCGGCGCCUUGCAGCGAGAAAGCACCAUCAAAGUACAUGAUCCAUUCCCUGUUUGCUUCCUUGACGGGGAUCCUCGUCUCCGGAGUUUCUUCAUCUGGUGUUGGCGUCCACUCCACUAUGAAUUCUGCCAAUGCUCGGCUCUGGAUAGUUGAAGUACUUUCAAACUUGAGGCCAAAGCUUGACAGUUCCAGUGCCCACUCGACAAUCCUGCCUGUUGCUUCUGGAUUUUGCAAUAUCCUCUUCAACGGAAAGCGAGUGACAACUGUGAUCUGAUGUGCUUGAAAAUAAUGGCGCAGCUUCCUCGAGGCCAUGAGAAGGCCGAAAAGCAACUUUUGCACUCCAGAGUAUCUUGAUCUAGCCACCUGCAGAAGGGAGCUGACAAAAUAAACUGGGUGCUGCACCAUCUUCUUUUGUUUCUCUGCCUGCGGCUGCACAGACUCAUCCUUGUCGGGACCAGAGCUUGACGGAGAAGCCCCCUGCUUGUCGCUGGACUCGCUUGCCGCGGCCGCUGGCUCAUCAUCUGCCUCCCUCUCUGCUACUAACGCAGCACUAACCACUUGAUUGGUUGCUGCUAGAUACAGCAGCAACUUCUCUUGCGGCUUAGGUGCGACAAGUACUGGAGUGGAGGAUAGGUAUCUCUUCAAGUCCUGUAGCGCAGCCUCCGCUUCUGGAGUCCAUUUCAUUGGACCUGCCUUUUUCAAAAUUUUGAAAAACGGCAGGGCGCGCUCAGCAGACUUAGAGAUGAACCUACUGAGAGCAGCAACGCAGCCGGCAAGCCUUCGCACAUCCUUGAGGCGCUUCGGGGCUUCAAUCUGCUCGAUGGCCUUGAUCUUGUCGGGGUUGGCUUCGAUCCCCCUCUGGGACACGAAGAACCCGAGAAGCUUGCCGGAAGGAACUCCAAACACGCACUUCUCAGGGUUCAACUUGAGAUUGAUCUUGCGCAGAUUUGCAAAAGUCUCAUCCAAAUCUUGGAUCAAAGUUUCUCUAUCUUUGCUCUUGACCACUAUAUCAUCCAUGUAUGCUUCUACAUUCCUGUGCAGCUGUGGCUCAAAAGCAUGACUGACUAGUCUUGCAAACGUUGAACCAGCAUUCUUUAGUCUGAAAGGCAUUCAUACAAAGCAGUACGUGCCACAUGGAGUAAUGAAUGCGGUGUUCUCUUCAUCCUCUUUUGCCAUGAAAAUCUGAUGGUAUCCUGAGUAUGCAUCAAGAAAUGAAAGCAGAUCACAUCCUGCCGUGGAGUCGACAAUCCGGUCAAUGCGCGGCAAGGGAAAUGGAUCUUUGGGACAAGCUUUAUUAACAUCCGUGAAGUCAAUACAAAGCCUCCACUUCCCAUUCACCUUGCGCACAAUUACUGGAUUGGCUAACCACGUUGGAUGGAGUACUCCUCGGACGAGGCCUGUUGCUUCCAACUUCUUGAUCUCUUCUGCUAUGAACUCUUGGCGUUCCGCCGCUUGCUUCUUGACUCUCUACUUGACGGGCCGCGCGUGAGGACAGACGGCAAGGUGGUGCUCAAUUACUUUCCUGGGAACACCGGGGAUGUCAGAUGGUUGCCAUGCAAACACAUUGACAUUCGCCCGCAGGAAAGCAACGAGCGCGCUUUCCUAUUUAGGGUCAAGCGUGGCACUGAUGGUGAAGGUACCACUAGUGCCGUCCUCCUUGGCGGCCACUUUCUUGGUAUCAGGUGUCGCUAUCUUUGCCCUCUUGCACUUGCCGGUGGAGCUCGAUGGUGCGUCCUCGACGGUAGCACAGCACUCCGAAGAGGUGCGCUUGCCGGAGUGGGCAUCAGAGCUACUCUUGCCGGACUUGGUCUUCUUCUUCUUCCCCCCGGGAGCUUCAGCGGCAAGUGGUUUGUGCUCUGCUGCGGCUGCUGCUUCCUGGUAGAUCUUGUCGGUGCAGAUAAGCGCAUCCUUCUUGUCGCCUUGGACAGAAAUGACGCUUAUCGGACCGGGCAUCUUGACCACGUUGUAAGCAUAAUGAGAGGCUGCCAUGAACUUGGAAAGCGCUGGACGGCCGAGUAUCCCAUUGUAGGGCAACGGGAAAUCAGCAACAUCAAAUGUGACUCUCUCUGUCCUGAAGUUCAGUUUGCUGCCAAAUGUCACUGGUAGUGUAAUCUUCCCCUUGGGCUUGCUCCUUCCCGGGUUGAUUCCUUGAAAGGUACCAGUUUCUUCGAGCUCGCUGUCGGGGAUCUGGAGCUUGUUGAGCACCGCGGAAGAGAUCAGAUUUAGGCCGGCCCCACCGUCAACCAACAUCUUCGUGACCUUGAGGUUGCGGAUGGUUGGCGAAACCAACAUCGGCAAGCACCCGACCGCAGUGAUGCGAUCAGGGUGAUCCUCAACAUCAAAGACGAUGGGCGUACUGGACCACUUCAGGGGCUUGCGCGAUUCGACUGAUGGUUCAGCUGCAUUUACCUCCCGCACCCACUGCUUGAGUUGGCGGUGCGAGGUGUGCAGAGAAGCACCGCCGUCAACGCACAAAACCUCUGUUGCCUUCUGAAACUCUUGCUCGUCGGUCUCAUCCUCGUCCAUCUCAUCAUCCUCAUCUUCAUCUUCGUCCUUGUCACGGCCACGGGGAGGUCUGUCUCCUUGCCGCUGCUUGGCCUUGCCGCGGCGCCCUCCCCGGGCGGGACGCUUCUUGCCGGAUCCUCCGCCACCUUCCUGGGCCUUCUCCUUGUCGCGACGCUCGUAUUCAGCUUUCUGUAGUUCUGCCAUUUGCUCAACCUUCUUGCAUGCUUGGAGGUCAUGGCCCUUGGUGCGAUGGAUCUUGCAGUACUGCUUGCCGGAACAAUCCUGCUUGUCGGCGGCCACCACAGCCUCGCCGGAGUCACCAGCUUUGGCCUUGUCGGCGCCGCCUCCGUUGCCGGACUGCUCAACAACUAGCACAUCCUUAGCCUUUCUCUUUCUAUUAUUCCGCCUCCGGUUCUUCUUUGCCGGAGGGACGUCCUCAUUGUCCGAUCCUUCUGCUCCUGCAUUCUCUCCGGGAAGUUUCCUCCCCUCUUCAGCUCGUGCACACUUGUCAGCCAGAGCAUAUAGCUCGCUGACAUCUCUAAUCUUGCACAUCGCCAUCUCCUCCCUCAUCCUGCGGUUACGCACGUUCUGAUGGAAUGCGCUGAUAACCGCGGCAGGGUGGACGUCUGGGAUGUUGCGCUGCACCUGGCUGAAUCUCUGUAUGUACUUGCGCAGGGGUUCUCCUUCUUUCUGGGCGAGCAGAUGAAGAUUGCUCUCCUGACCAUGGGGUUUGUGGCCGCCUGUGAAGGCGCCGACAAACUGAUGGCACAGGUCCGCCCACGAAGAGAUGGAGUUGUCCGGCAAGUGCAUGAGCCAAGAUCUGACGUUGGGCUUGAGCACCAGCGGGAAGUAGUUGGCGAGGAUCUUCUCGUCGCGCCCCCCGGCAGCCUGCACCGCGAUGGUGUAGACGCUGAGGAACUCUGAUGGAUGUAUCCUGCCAUCGUACUUCUCGGGUAUGUCCGGCUUGAAGUUCUUGGUACUGGGCCACUGGACUUGCCGCAGCUCACGGGUGAACGCAGGGUAACCUGCCGCGUACGGCAAGUCGCCUGGUUCCCCUGGCGCAUGCAUAUCGACAGUGGGCCCAGCGCACUGGUCAGAUUAAUGUCGCGCUUCUCUUCUGCGCUCGAUGCGAGUACGAGCGUCUCUGUGUCGUCGUUCUUGGAGAACUUGGCGUUGAUCGCGGCGAGCUCGCGGGUCCGACGACGCGGUGGAGUCGGUGUCGAGGUUGGAACGGCGAGUUGGCGAUCAUGGCCUUCGGGGCGGGGAGUGCACGGUGGUGGCACCCCCAGCGGUCUUGUCGGUGUCGGCUUGCGCCCGGGCGUCUUGCCGGGGCUUUCGAUGUGCUCGGUUGCCGGGGCUUGUCGCCGUUGGCGAAGCCGAUGAGGCUUUGGAUGGUGAUCCUCCAGUCGUCGAUCUUGUCUGGCGCUGGAGGGUAAUCUAGAAGCAGCUGGGCUCGGGCCAGCGCUUCCUCUGGAGUCUUGGGCGGCGGUGGCGAGCGACGCGAGGUGCGGGAUAUGCUCAAACUUCUAACAGUGUUAGAAGGAGCAACAUCUCGCCCAGGCGACCGUACUUCGCUCGUGCCAGCGUGUUGACGUGUAUGUUGGCCUUGAGCGUCCCGCGAUCCGCCGGCUUGGCCUUGUUCCAACACGAGCACGGUGCUAGGAGUACCGUGGCAUUGCCGAUCUUGCACCUCCUGGGAGGGGUACGGUGGAUGUACAGACGCUGAAGCUUGCGGGGCCUUGUCCUCGGACCUGGUGACGAUGUGAGUCCCCCCGUCGGCGCCCGCUCCUCCGCCGGCGUCCACCCCACCACCCGUUUGCUCCGGUGGCGGUAGGAUAGUCGCAAACGGAGUGGCCACCUCCGAAGCCUUCUUCUUCGGUGGCAUGUCGAUGAAGAUGUUGAUGUAGCGCGCAGAUGCCGGAUCAGGUACGCACAACCUCGACGCCCACCUACCUGGCGCGCCAAAGAUGUCGUGGGAAACGAACACCUAUGGGGCAGGGCCCCUUUUCGGUCCAGCAAGGGAGCGGAGGGCGCACGAAGAGCAGAUCGAGGCGGAGCACGCGGGGGAAUUUUACCCAGCUUCGGAGCUCUCCGGAGAGAUAAAACUCCUACUGCUGCUUUGUGUUUCUAUUCUGUUCUUGCUCAAGAGCGUGGGUGUGUUGUAGUUUUGAAUGUGUCGAACCCCUUCUACGUGUGCAUGGGCCUCCUUUUUAUAGUCUAAAGGGGUCAGCGACAGGUGGCAGCGUAGAGAGAGGGGUAAAAAAGUAAAAACGCGGGUUGGUACAACCGCUAUCAACAGUGGCCCCUACCUAACUCUGACGGCAGGGGACAAGGGCAUUUAAUGCCCGUCCGGUCGCCCAAACAGUGCAGGAAGCGACCGUUAGGGGCGCCACCGAUCGCCAUGAUGGCCUCCUAGUCAUCUUCACUUGCCACCUCGCACCGCUUGGCUGCACAGCUACCCGCCACGUGCACCGGGAGCGAUCCUGCGGCGACACGUCGUCGGAUGCGCUGGAGCGUGGGCGCAGAGUUGUGGCUUCGCUGUAGCAAGCGCCUUGCCGCGGUCACUAUCUUGUCGCACCCGCAAGCUUGCCGCUCGCCGGGUCUUGGUUGGCCUUCCCGGCAAGCUCCUCUUGCCGGGGUCUUGUCCUUCCCGGCAAGCUUCUCUUGUCGGGGCUUCGUCUUCACAGUUAACACUUUGUUCUUGAAUGGCAGUAAAUAGGAAUGACGAAGGAUCUUGGCGGACGCCCGGCAAGCCUUGCCGCAGGACGCUGCGACUGCCCGUGCACAAGUUCGGGGUACUAAGGUACCCCUACUUUAGUACACCGACACCUCCAAACUUUAUGUGGCACUGCAAAAUAUUUGUGGCUCUGUCUAAGAUUGCCAAGGAAUUAAAAGGGGAACUUAACAUAUUUUUCCUAAGUAAAUAGUGUGCCCAAAAUAUUCUCUUAACCAUCUCUGUUUUUUUUAAUAAAAAAAGGCGAAUAAGAACUCGCCCGGGCCUCGGCCUACUCCCACUUACCAGCCCACCUAAGCCGGCCCACUCCCCCGCUCCCAUGGCCUAUAGGCCAUGCUCAACCGAACCCUAACCCCGCACGAUCCCCCCACUCCCCACUUCUCUCCCCUCCCGAUCCAAUCUGGAUCGGACCGAAACUGGCGCCCCGACGCCAACCGCCGUCGCUGGAGGCAUCCCCGACUCCACGCUGGGCCACCCCAUCACCUGACCUCCUCCCCGUCGUCGCUCGUCACUCGCUGGACCGCCUCGUCCCCACCAACGCCGCCCCGAGCCCAACGUCCCUGUCGUCGUCGCCGUCGGCAUCGCCCCGAUGUCGCCACCACCCGACGCCGGCGCCCUCGACAUCGCCACCCCGAGCCCACUGCCACCCCUACGCUCCACUGUGAGCCCCUCGCCGAUUCCCCCUCCUUCCUGUCAUCGUAGGUGGCCGCAUGCGCUGUUGGCCACCGUGGCCGCGCUCCGGCCGUUCCCCAUCCGUGUGCUAGCCUCGCCUUCCCCGGCUGCGGCCACCAGCCUCCUCGUCGCGCUCCCGCCUUCGCCCACACCUGCCCCUGUACGCCCAGCCGCUGCUGCUCGCCGGAUCCGCAUGUUCGCCCCCUAGCUUCGUCUCCGGCCGUCGAGUCCGCACCCGAUGCCGGCGCCCCAGCGCGUCCAUGCGCCCGUACGGGCGGGCGCCCACGCCCAUGCCCCUCCGCCCGUUAGCCCGCCCCGCUAAGGCCUGGGCACCUAACCAAGGGGCCCCACGCCCCUGUGUAAUAAAAAAGAUUUAAAAAAAAUAAAUAUAAAUAUAAUUAGUUAAUUAGUUAAUUAAUUGUAUAGUUAAUUAACUAACUUAAUUAACCUUGCUUAGUUAGCCUAAUGAACUAGUUUAGUUAAUUUAAAUCUGUUAGAUAGGUCUAUGAGAGAACGACCCCACAUGUCAGUUUAACCAGUCAACACUCUUUUGACUGCUGACAUCAUGAUGACGUCAGGCUGACAUCAUAAUUCCAAUUUUGAAUUAAUAAUAAUUUCAGAAUAUUAUUAAAACUUUGAAAAAUCAUAGAAAAUAAACCGUAUCUCGGAUGGAAGUUGCUUGGAACGACGAGACAAAUCCGAAUGCGCAGUUCGUUCAUCUGUCACGCGUCCCUAGCAUAGCAAACGUUGAACUUUUCCCCUCCGGUUCAUCUGUCUGAUAGACGUCCGGAACCGGGAAAACUUUCCCGGAUGUUUCCCCCUUCGCCAGUAUCACCUAGCACCUCGUUAGAACACUUCUAGCCCCGCUUAUUGUCUUGUUAUGCAUAUGUUUGCGUGUAUUUACUGUUUCUUCCCCCUCUUCUUCUCCGGUAGACCUCGAGACCGCUGAUGAUGCCCCUGUGAUCGACUACGUCGACGACGACCCUCCUUGUUUGAGCAACCAGGCAAGCCCACCCUUUGAUCAUCCCGAUAUCGCCCAUUCCAUUCUCUCAUGCUUGCACUAGAUUUUGCUACUGUAUUUGACUGCUCCUAUUCUGAUGCAUAGCCUGCUUUUGUACCUGCUAUUGUAACUUACCUGCUUAUCCUAAAUUUCUUAGUACAGGUUGGCUAGUGAUCCAUCAGUGACCCCCACCUUGUCUUUGUUGCCCCUGCUUCAUCAUCGACGACUCGAUCAACGUGAUCGACGACCGGAGCCUGACACCUCACAUCACAUCACGCCCCUUUUUCUUGCUCGACUCUGCAGAGUUACCAUCGAGUGCCGAGGGUGGAACCUCAUACAUCGCUCCUGAUGAGAUCUCUGUAGUGUAGCUAUUCGGUCGUGGUCAUCGAGGGUGGUUCCUCCUUCACCAUUCCUAAUACGGCUCUGUCGUGCAACACCUCAAGUGUGAACCUCGAGGGUGGUUCCUCUUACGUUCACCUUGAUGAUUACAUCAACUGGAAUCCACCGGGGGUGAUUCCUCGGAUUUUCCCCUUGAUGUCUGGACACAUAGUUACCUUGAUACUUGAGACCGUUGUGAAAGCCGGGCGAGCCCGGAGAGCACCCGUGCGAUGUGACGGUGGCGGCUGGCUGUUUAGCGGUAUCACCCGGGAGGGGUGAUAGCUCCGGACUUGUCCCGACAUCCGUCACUUCUUUUAAUAAUGCACUAACACGUUUGUGUAUUUGUUCUGAGUUGGCCUCUGGCCUUUACGCACUAACCACCACGCGAGAAUAGUUAUGGGCCUCGACGUUGCAGUAUCUUUCGAAGCUUUGUCAGACGUCCAGUUCAGCAUUGUGGCCGGGCCGGAUCGUGCCAUCCACUUCACCGGUGGUGCUGGUAUCCCCUUGUGCACAACGACCCGGAGUGCAAUGGGCGAUGGGCCCAGACCCCGGAGUGCUUAGGAUGUAGACCGGCGGGGACCUCUCUACUGAGCCUAGGUAGGGCUGCGACGUGUUGAUCUUCCGAGGCUGGGCAUUGACCCCAGAAAGGUGUGUCCGGCCAGAGUGAUCGAGCGUGUUGGGUAACGUGGUGCGCCCCUGCAGGGAAGAUUAUCUAUUAAUAGCCGUGUCCAUGGUAACGUACCUUCAGACUUAUAUCUUGAUCUUAUACAACUACAAAUGGAUACUUGAGAUAUGUGGCUCCGGGAUUGCUUUCUCGCAGGGAGUCGAGGAAGGAUCUCUGGGCGUUGUUGUUAAAACAUGCUUGUUAAUUAAACUGCUAUUCUUUACUCUUCUACAUGCUGCAAGAUGCUUGGAGCUGCUUGAAGAUGCUAGUCUUUGUUUGGCUAGGCCUUCCCCUCUAUUCUGGCAUUCUGCAAUUCAGUCCACAGAUACAACCCUUCCAUUUGAUACCAAUGCAUACUUAGUAUAGAUCUGAUGCUUGCGAGUACUUUGGAUGUGUACUCGCGGUUGCUUUGCUACCCCUUUUCCCCCUUCUUUCUUCUUUCCGGUUGACGCAACCAUAUGGUGGAUCCUUGGAGCCAGAUGCCACCGCCGAUGGAUGCUAGUACGUGAAGAUCGCCGACGACCAGGAGUAGUUAGGAGGUCCUAGGCAGGAGGCCUUGCCUCUUCGAUCGUUGUUGCUUUUGUGCUAGCCUUCUUAAGGCAUCCUUAUUUAACUUAUGUCUGUACUCAGCUAUUGUUGCUUCCGCUAACUCUUGUGUAUCGAGCUAUGUAUUCGAGCUCUCGAGGCCCCUGGCUUGUAAUAUAAAGCUUGUAUUAUUUUGAUUUGUGUCUAGAGUUGUGUUGUGAUAUCUUCCCGUGAGUCCCUGAUCUUGAUCGUACAUAUUGGCGUGCAUGAUUAGUGUACGAUUGAAUCAGGGGCGUCACACAAGCGGUACUACUGCCCCACCCAGUUUCAGCAUUUCGAGUUUCACCGUUUUGCCCAUAACUUCCACAUCCGGAGUCCGAUUUUUGCAUUUUUUAGCUCGUUGAGUAGCUAUUGACAUCCCCCAUCCAUCUAUAUAGGUUCCAACACCAUUUGACUCCAUCAAAUUUUCCAAAAUUUGGAAAGUUUGCCUAGGCCGUCCACCAUAUCAUCUGCAUAGCCACCACCGACCACCGCAACCUAACCCAUUUUGUUCCCCUUAGCAUUUGAGGUUGUUUGAGUUGUGGCUUGUGUCUCCUAAGGUGUUUCGGCUACUUAGGGAUGGUAACUUCAACUCCAACACGUGUAUAGCCCAUCAUUCCACUUCCGCAUUGCCGAGUGCAAACCACCACCUCUUUCCACUACCACCAUUUGACAUUUACCUUUGUAGAUUUUGAGUUUGCGAUUUUUCCGUUUCCUAGGGUGUUUUGGCUAACUAGGAAUGGGUCGACAUCAGCAACAUCGCCUCUCAUCAUCGCCAAGGACGGUAACCUCGAUGACACCAUUGUAUAUUCCCUUGCCAUUGCAUUGAUAACCCCUAGCCCAUUUUGCGUCACUUGCCUAUCGAGACUAGCCGUUUGAGUAUUGCCGGCAACGUGACUUGUGCACAUUAGUGAUCAUACUUCCCAUAGCAUCAUACCAUAUCAUCGUGGUGCAUAUAUUGGUAGCAUAUCUUGCGUCACAAGUUUGUUGCCGCAUAUACACAAUUGCUAUCUUGGUUUGUGCAUUAUGCAGAAGUGGCCAUACAAAAAAGAGAAAUAAAGCUUUUAAGCAAAAGAAAGAGAGAAAAGAAGCUUGUAAGCAAGUGCCAUAGCAUCAUACCAUAUUGCACAUAAGAUUGUCAUAUCCGAUCAUCUUGGAUCAUCUUGAGAGAACAUCGGGAACCAUACAUACAUAGCAUACUUGGGAUAGAAAGUAUAUCCAUUUGGCAUCUUGUAGGUUGUGCACAAGUGUCCUAUCCGCCUAUUGAGCAAUCGUGCUAGCGUCUCUCUUGAGUUGUGCAACACGAGCGUUUUCUGUGGAUUCCACAUUUUGUGCUCAUUGCUUGGUUGCACGACCCCAUUUAUCUAUCCGUGUGUGUGUUUCCGUGUGUCAUUCUUUGCUAUUGGUCUACUUGUUUCACUUGCAAAUUUGUGAAUCUCUUUCAACAUUAUUGACUCUUGCUAACAUUUUGCAUCAAAUUUUUGUGCCACUAUCCUCACCGAGCUCCACCAUAAGCUUUACUUGAUAGGUGUGAGUGAACAAGUCCGGUACCAAUUCCACUAUUCUUUCAUUUCACAUUGAGUUAAACGGGAUACAUCCUCAACUUUGGGAAAGGUAACUUCCUAUUGUUUAUCUCAUUUCCUACUGGCAUUUCACCUUCGGUCUACAACAACAACGACGAGUUCGAUGCCACGAACAACUCCAACGACGCCAAGAUGCAAGCUCAAAUGGAGGAGAUCAAAGCCCUCAUCAAGUCCUACAAGCAAUCUUCCUCAUCUUCGAGAAGACACUCACGUGCACAUGUUUCCGAGCUACCAUCUCCGGUAAGAUCACAUCAGCAUCGACACCAUCACCAACAAGAACGUGAAGGUCAAGAGCUCAACACCAACUACCGCUCAACGACUUCACCAUCUCCCUUGGCAUCUUCGCCAAGCGACUUCAAGGCAUCUUUGAGUACGGAUAUACGGCAUCUUCGCCAACAAGAACCUCAAGGCUACGCUCAAGAGAAGCUCCCCAAGCUCAAGUCCACGACUUCCAUGAGCUACUACGACCUCGACACCGACCACAAGAUUCCUUUCUAUGGAACUCAAGAACCCGAGGAGUACCUCGAGUGGGAGCGUUUGAUGGACGACUACCUCAAGCUACAUCAAGUCCCUUCCGAAGAUCAAGUGAAGUGCGCCACAAGAAACUUCCACGACUACGCCUCGACAUGGUGGCUUCACACACCUUCGGAGAGCUACGAGAUGAGUUAGCCCAAGACGAAGAGAGCUUUGCAGCGAGAGCUCGUGCCUCCAACCUACAUGGAACAACUUCGACGCCAAUUGGAGAACACCAUCCAAGGAUCCAAGUCCAUCGACGCGUACUUCAAGGAGAUGAAGAAUGCCUUGCGACGAGACGGCGUGGAUGACCCCAUUUCGAUGAAGUUCCACUUCAUGAUGCGAUUGAACAACGACAUCUCCAAGACUAUCUUCCUCGAGAACUACAAGUCCCUGGACAACUACUACAUUGGUGCUCUCAAGGCGGAACAAGAACUCAUGAAAGCCAAGGCUUCUCCACCCCAAGCACACUUCGCGGCGACCAAGCUGUACGACAAGCAUGAGGCUAGUACCACCAUGAUGUCCAAGCCCGACGAGCUCCAAGACAAUGCUCCCAAGUUCGACUUCACCGCCAUCCCUCUUUGUGGCAUUGAUGACGCCGAGUCUACCUUGACUCUUUUUCAAGACGGUGCGGCGACGAGUACGACUACGGAGACCUUCAAGGACCAAGCUUUGGAGGCGAGCGACAAGGUGGCGAGCAAGGAUGGUGUUUCCAUCUUUGGAGGCGAGAGUGAUGAUGUGCCAUCUUCGUCCUUCAUCCACGGCGACGAUGACGAGAUGAUCGAGCAUGGGAUUUUCCCUUCGGUCAUGGAGGAGAGUGAUGAUGUGCCAUCUUCGGCCUUCAUCCACGGAGACGACGACGAGAUGGUUGAGCAUGGGAUUCUCCCUUCGACCACGGUGACGUAUGAUGACUUGAGUGACUUUUGCCACCAUAUUGAGAGUGAGAGUGACUUCACCACUAGCCCCAUAUAUGACGAGUUGCCCCAAUUCCUAUGUGAGGAGAGCCACAACCCCCACCACUUGAGUGAGAUGAGUGACUCCACCAUAUGCGACUUUGAGUGCACCUAUUUUGAGGGAGUGAGUGAACCACCACAUAGAGAGAGUGUGAUAGUUGAUAGGUCUCGUGAGGCCAUUUGCAUUUCUAACAACUUGACCUCUACCUCUAUUGUGUCUUCUCAUUUGGUGCUAGGUCCCAUUUAUGAUGACGCGCCGAUCCUCGACGACUUCGUCCUCCCUUUGGACAAGACGAUGGCCAUGGUGGAAUAUGAUGCACCCCCCACAUGGUUCCAUCAAGAUGAAGAUGACCACCAUUUGGUCUUUCCCACCUCACCUACACCACUUGAGUGGAAUGAAAAAGGUAACAUAGGUGAAGGUGAUGCUCUAGUCCCACUAGUGGACAUUCUUGACAUUGAUUGCUUGCAUGAUGUUGAUCCACCUAGUACCAUGCUUCAUGCUAGUAUGAUUUCCCCAUGUGAUGAUUUGGCCAUUUAUGAUGAGUAUGAUGAUUCUCAUGUGGAGUCUCUUAGUUGUGAUGUCAUGUUACAUAGGAUUUCUUGUGACAAUUCUUUAGGUCACAUCAUGUUUGAUAAUCCGCUUGACUUGUCGUAUGCUAUGCAUGACAUUCACCAUAUGUCAUAUUUGCAAUCUCAUUGUAGUGACUAUGCAUAUGCCAUUCAAAUUAACCCAAUUUGCACUUAUGGCAUAGAUGACAAGCCCAUGGUUAUUGGGAUUUGUUUUUCUUGUGAUGAUAUUGAUAUGGUCCCUUUGCAUCAUUUAUCUCAUAUGCCAUGUCAUGCCCACCUAGCUUCGGAUAUGCAUUGUUUUGGAUGUUGUCCAUUUUCUCCAUAUGAUGUUUCCAAUCUUGCUCAUGAGGAGACCCCCAUAGUUCCCUCAUACAUGUUAGGAGAUUUUGAUCCAUCCCAUCCAUUGCAUGAUCCCAACAAUUGUGUGCACCAUAUGCUCCCCAUGAAUAAACAUGCUAUUGAUGUGCCAUAUACUUGCAUUCUCAAUUUGUGUCCCCAUCGUGUCAUACAUAAUAACUAUUCUUUCAUGAUGGAUGACAUGUUCUUAUACCAUGCAUCAAAUUUCGUUGAGCGAUGCUUAUCUUGUGCUAACUCACACGUGCACAUACACAUCAUGAUGGAUGAUGUGUACAUUUACCACACACACAAUUUAUUUGGUUUGUGUCUCUUUUGUGUAGGUACCCAGGAAUACUUGUCAACCUCGCAAUCCCACGAGUUGACAAAACGAGCUCUAGAGAGCAACGAUGAUUUGGGAUCCCAUGGAUUGUCUUUCCCACCGCUCUCUUCGCGCAAAGACUUAGCGCAUUUCUUCUACAUGGCCCUCACUUGGCUAUGGGUUGUUUUCCAUUACAUAUUAUAUGCCCAUCUUGCCAUGUUCACUUUGCAUGAUAUGCCCAUUCCCAUGCAUUUGUGACCCAUACUUUGCUUUACACAUGAUGAUUGACUCUCAUACUUUUAUGUGUAUUUGCAAGCUUGGUGGAGAUAUUGCUUGUUGUUUCCCUAUUCCAUUUUUGACCCACCCCUAUGAUGAUACUAUGAUCUUGCUUUGUGUUCGUGCUUGUGAUAUGUCAUGUGCAUUGUCUAUCCCUAUUAUUUGCUCACAUGACAUGAUUGCCAUGAUUUACUCUGGUGUGUUGCAUCUUCGCUCCACUAGUUUGCACCACAUGAUUGAUAUGCUUGCUUGUAUUGCAUCCCCCAUGAUUCAUACUUGCUCAUUUCAUGCGAUUGAUGACAACCAUUUCCAUACUUUGCACGUGAUUGCUAUAGCUUCUUGUCACAUAUCUACAUAUGUUGCCUCUCUCAUGCUAGAUCACUUGCCAUGUAUUUAGUGCAACAAUGCUCUUAUUCUUGCUCAUGAGAUUGCCCCCAUAGCAUUCUCACAUAUGAUUGGAGUUGACAUAAUUCUUGUGAAGCAUGCUUGCCUUCCUUCUUUGCACCAUAUGCCUAGUGCCAUGAAUAUUGCCAUUGUUGCAUCAUAUUGUUCAUGCACUUGUGCUACUAAAGGUUAUGUGCAAGAGAUGAGAACCAUCAUGAUGGAUGAUGUGUUUCUCUACCAUGCGCAUAUACUCUUUGUUUUGUUGUGUGCAUGUGUAGGAUACUUGGACUUCGUCUCGACUUCCACUUCAUGUGAGUUGACCAUUCAAGCUCUUAAGAGCGAGCCUCACACAUUCUACCACUACUCGCUUCUACACCGCAUUUGCUUGCGCUUCGGCAUUGUGAAGAAUGCACAAGGACAUGCCUUCAAGGUGACAUCUUUCUUGAGCAUGGAUAUUGCGGAUCAUACUACUUGUGUAGCUUGCACUGUGAGACUUAUUGGUCAUCUUGGACCACUUGAUUGCGCACUUGCUAGAGAUCUUGCUUUGACUUGCCAUUUUCACAUUCCCAUGCAUCAUGAUAUAUAUGCCUUGUGUGUUGCAUCCAAUUCUUGGAUUACUAUCACAACCUAGCUAGUCCAUGCAUUAGAGUGUUGCAUCAUGUCUACCUUUUAUCAGAAACUUGAAUUGGGGAAGACAGAACCCCCCAGAACCCCUCUGAAUUCAACUAGUGCUUACUAAAAAUAUUUUCAAUGAACCUGAAAUGCCCUUCUAAAAAGUUCACCCUCUUUGUCUUGGGUUAGAACCUCUGGCAAAAUUGGUGCACAAUUUUCUAGGUCAACAAAAGGCCAUUGAAUUAAAUCAUAUCUACUUUGAGUUUGGGCAUUUAAACUAUAUAAAAUAUUUCAAAUGCUCAAAUAACUCCAAACUAAAAUGUUCCAUACUGGAUAUAUUCCAACUAGGGACCAUGUGCAGUUUGGUGAUUUUUGGAGUUGCCUAAGUAUUUUUAGAAAUGCAACAAACUUACAGAAACAAUUAAAAACAGAAACAAAUGGGAAAAACCCUUACCUGGCCGAACCAAGCCCCAGCCCAGCUGGCCGGCCCAGCACUGUGCUGGCCCAUGCCAGCCAGCUGCUUCGCCGUCGCCACGCAGGCACAGAGCUGACGCCGGCAAGCGUGAGCUCGCAACGGCGCCAGCUGCUUGCCGCCCGCGCCCCCGAGCACCUGGGUGAGCUCCACGUCGCCGCCCCGACCCCGUGGACACCUCAUUCGCCCCCUGCCUCUCUCCCUCGCUCUCCCGCACCAUGGCCGACGCACCCGCCGCCGCACCCCCGACGUAGUCGCGCCCUCCGUCGUCCUCGUGCUGCACCACCGUGUCCCUUCGCUCCGCCGUCAUCGACUACAUCGAGUAGGCCGAGCCCCGAGCGCUCGCUGGCCCUGUUUCAUCUUCUUCGAGCUCGUCUUCACCGAGCACCGCCACAGAUCCCCUUCGCCGUCGCCGCCGUACCAGCUCGUCCCCGACCUUGCCGACCACUCCGUUGUGACCGCCGUGAGCUCAGCCACCUCCCCAUCCUCCCCGUUUGCCUUCUCGUGCACCGUAGCAACCGCAUGGAGCUUCAUCGCACGCACCACCGACGAGCUCGUCGCCGACGUGCCUCCGGCCAUCCACCGUCCACACCACGGUGUCUAACAUGCUCACCGCAUCGUGUAGAGUCUAACGCCCCACUCCACGCGCCUCGCCGUGCCCCGUAGCCAUGGGUCCAUUUUCAUCCGACUCCGGCGACCGCCGUGGUCGUCGCCGGCGACGUUCCUGGCCACCUCGACCUCAACCACCACCACCAAACGCCGCGACUUGUUCCCGGCUACACGUAGAUGGUCUCCGUCGUCCAUUUGGUCGCCAGAACAUGCUAACCCACUUCCUCCGCCGCGUCUGGCCUCGCCGGCGGCUAGACACCGGCAUGUUUGACCCGUUGACAUUCACUGGGUGGGCCAGGUUGACUCCCCUGAGUCUAUGACAAGUGCCCCCCCCUCUGCUAAUUAACCUAGUUUAGCUCUUACUAAAAUCAGUUAGUUUAAAUAAGUGCUGACAUGCGGGACCCACUGGUCAGUUUGACCUGAACGACCCCUUUGACCACUGACGUCACCCUGAUGCACUGCUGACGCAAUAACCAAUUUCUGGAUUUAUUGUUAUAUAGGAAAUUCCAGAAAUUGUUGCAAACUUCAAAAAUUCAUAGAAAUUAAUCUGUAACUCCAAAUGCAAAGAUUUAUAUAUGAAUUUUGAUCAGAAAAAUUCAAUCUAUCCAUUGGUAAUGGUUUCAUGCAUGUCAGAACAAGUUAACCUUGCUGUUUAAUCAAAACAAGUUAAUGCACUAAUAUGACUAUGUUAAAUGAACUACCAUUUGCAUCUUUGAUUCAAAUGAGUUCAUACCUUUCUGUUCUAGCUUGCAUUAGGCCAGGACACAUUCAUGUUGCCAUGUCAUAGCAUGCAUCAUAUUGUUGUAUAUCGUCAUGUGUUGUUCAUGUUCGGUGUGUUUUCGUGAUAGGUUCUGCCUCCGAGGAUAACCCCGAAUAUCCGUCUGAAGGGCUGUAUCCUACUACCACUACAUCAGGCAAGCAACCCAUUGAUCAUUCCGAUACAAACCCAUGUUCUUGCCUCUGCUCUUGUUUACUGCAUUAAGACAAUGCGAUUCAAACUUUUGUGUGUUGUGGUAGUUGAACCCACUUCCUUUGCAUGACCUGUCAUUGCCACAGUAACUAGAUGAAACUCAGUAGCAUGUGUAGGAGUUGAUUGAGCCAUAUCUGUGUUACCUACCAUGCUAUGCUUGCUAUGCUUAGAGUUGUGUCAGGUCUGGCUCAUUGGGAUGAUGAACUAGAGUGAAAGGUUGUGUCGGUAAUGAAGUGUUGAACACGAUUUGGUAAAGGUAUCGAUGAGAGGCCAUGUAGGAGUACAUGGUGGGUUGUUUCAUUGAGGCCGUCCUUAAGCACUGAGAUCUGUGUGUGUGAUUUAAGAUUCAGCUACUACCACGCAUUGGGCCCGAAACCAAUGGACCCUCUCGACUUAUUAACCACUCUUGUCCUCUGUCCGGGAGUUGCAAGUAGUUUUUGGUGUUUGUAGCAUGAUGGGGGCCGCACGCAGUGCUGACCUUAGGGGUGGGUUGGGUUGCGGUAGGCAUGUGGCACGGUGUAUCGAUUCGCCCGUUUGGUGUCUCGGGAACCAUGUUCACAUCAUUCGGGGCCGUUAGUGGAAACCUCGGCCGGACUCCCUGCGGAUGGAACCCGAAUAGGCGAUAAACCUGGACUAGGGACUCGUGUGUUUAGUCAGGCCGUGGCCGACACCCUCGCUGGGCUUCCGCUUGAGGCUUGCCGAGUACACGUCAUGUAGCGGUGAUAAGUGGUGAGAGCGUGUGUGAAGAAGUACACCCCUGCAGGGUAUAAAACUAUUCGAAUAGCCGCGUCCGCGGUAAAGGACUACUUGGUCACCUAUGCAGUUCAUAGACAAGUAAAUGGAUACUUCUAAAAGCCUCAAGUUAAGUGUGAGUACCGAGGAUGGCCCUCUCGUAGGUUGACAAGAGAGGAUCCUCGGUGGAGUAUUGUGUUGGUGAGUAGUGGACUCGUGUGCGACAAAUGUUUUGCAAGUUGUGUCUAUCGUAGAAUAGCUUAGCCAAGAGUCAAAGCUGGCUUGCUGCAAUAACUCCACUACCUUCUUGAGAAUGUGCAUGUAUGAUAGGAUUCUGUUGUAAGACUUGCUGAGUACCUCUGUACUCAUGUUUGCUUAAAUGUUUUCAGACGACAACACCAACCCCUCCGAUGGGUUCUACGUAGACCUCGACGUUGACGAGUGACUAACCACCCAAGUGGUGAUCCGAGACUUGUGAAGGGCCGAUGUAGAUAGAAAGGCUUCGUCAAGCCCUCUUUCUUUCUAGUGUCUGUACUCAGACUAGUUGCUUCCGCAUGUGCUUGUAUGCUUGUAUGACUUGAGUCUCAGGUCAUGUGACCCCUAUCUGUAUGAACAUGUUAUGUAUGGCUCCUUGGAGCCACUUAAAUAAAGUACUUUGAGUUGUAGAGUUUUGUUGUGAUGCCAUGUUGUAUGUACUCAUAUCGGGCAUAUUGUGUGUAUGUUUGAAAUGCUUGGUAUGAGUGGGAUCCGACAAUCUAGUUGUUUAUCCUUGGCAGCCUCUCAUAUGGGGAAAUGUAGUCUAGUGCUUCCUGAGCGAUAGUAGUCCGCUACAGCCCGGUUCACCGGAGUCCUGCUAGCCCAGUACUACAGCUCUGGACACUUGACUGGACAGCAUGUGUUUCACUUCGUUCCUGUGUCUGUCCCUUUGCGGAAAUGUCACGCGGUGGCAUUCGGAGUCCUGCCUAGCCUGCUACAGCCCGGGUUACUGUUGGGAAACGUAGUAAUUUCAAAAUUUUCCUACGCACACACAAGAUCAUGGUGAUGGCAUAGCAACGAGAGGGGAGAGUGUUCGUCCACGUACCCUCGUAGACCGUAAGCGGAAGCGUUAGCACAACGCGGUUGAUGUAGUCGUACGUCUUCACGAUCCGACUAAUCCAAGCACUGAACGUACGUGGCCUCCGAGUUCAGCACACGUUCAGCUCGAUGAUGAUCUCCGGCCUCCAAUCCAGCGAAGCUCCGGAGAUGAGUUCCGUCAGCACGACAGCAUGGUGACGAUGAUGAUGUUCUACCUGCGCAGGGCUUCGCCUAAAAUCCGCGACGAUAUGACUGAGGUGGAAUAUGGUGGAGGGGGGCACCGCACACGGCUAAGGAACGAUCCAUAGAUCAACUUGUGUGUCUAUGGGGUGCCCCCCCCCCCCCGCCCCUGUAUAUAAAGGAGAAAGGGGGAGGCCGGCCGGCCCCUUGGGCGCGCCAAGGGAGGAGGAAUNNNNNNNNNNNNNNNNNNNNNNNNNNNNNNNNNNNNNNNNNNNNNNNNNNNNNNNNNNNNNNNNNNNNNNNNNNNNNNNNNNNNNNNNNNNNNNNNNNNNNNNNNNNNNNNNNNNNNNNNNNNNNNNNNNNNNNNNNNNNNNNNNNNNNNNNNNNNNNNNNNNNNNNNNNNNNNNNNNNNNNNNNNNNNNNNNNNNNNNNNNNNNNNNNNNNNNNNNNNNNNNNNNNNNNNNNNNNNNNNNNNNNNNNNNNNNNNNNNNNNNNNNNNNNNNNNNNNNNNNNNNNNNNNNNNNNNNNNNNNNNNNNNNNNNNNNNNNNNNNNNNNNNNNNNNNNNNNNNNNNNNNNNNNNNNNNNNNNNUCCGGUUUUCUCCGAAAUCACCCGGAACAAUUUCGGUGUCCGAAUAUAGUCGUCCAAUAUAUCAAUCUUUAUGACUCGACCAUUUCGAGAUUCCUCGUCAUGUCCGUGAUGACAUCCGGGACUCCGAACAAACUUCGGUACAUCAAAACUUAUAAACUCAUAAUAAAACUGUCAUCGUAACGUUAAGCGUGCGGACCCUACGGGUUCGAGAACUAUGUAGACAUGACCUAGAACCAUUCUUGGUCAAUAACCAAUAGCGGGACCUAGAUGCCCAUAUUGGUUCCUACAUAUUCUACGAAGAUCUUUAUCGGUCAAACCGCAUAACAACAUACGUUGUUCCCUUUGUCAUCGAUAUGUUACUUGCCCGAGAUUUGAUCGUCGGUAUCCAAUACCUAGUGCAAUCUCGUUACUGGCAAGUCUCUUUACUCGUUCCGUAAUACAUCAUCUCAUAACUAACUUAUUAGUUACAAUGCUUGCAAGGCUUAGGUGAUGAGUAUUACCAAGAGGACCCAGAGAUACCUCUCCGACAAUCGGAGUGACAAAACCUAAUCCCGAAUUAUGCCAACUCAACAUGUACCUUCGGAAACACCUAUAGAGCACCUUUAUAAUCACCCAGUUACGUUGUGACGUUUGGUAGCACACAAAGUGUUCUUCCGGUAAACGGGAGUUGCACAAUCUCAUAGUUGCAGGAACUUGUAUAAGUCAUGAAGAAAGCAAUAGCAGUAUACUAAACGAUCAAGUGCUAGGCUAACGGAAUGGGUCAUGUCAAUCACAUCAUUCUCCUAAUGAUGUGAUCCCGUCAAUCAAAUGACAACUCUUUUGUCCAUGGUUAGGAAACAUAACCAUCUUUGAUAAACGAGCUAGUCAAGUAGAGGCAUACUAGUGACACUAUGUUUGUCUAUGUAUUCACACAUGUAUCAUGUUUCCGGUUAAUAUAAUUCUAGCAUGAAUAAUAAACAUUUAUCAUGAUAUGAGGAAAUAAAUAAUAACUUUAUUAUUGCCUCUAUGGCAUAUUUCCUUCAGUCUCCCACUUGCACUAGAGUCAAUAAUCUAGAUUACAUGGUAAUGAUUUUGACACCCAUGGAGUCUUGGUGCUGAUCAUGUUUUGCUCGUGAGAGAGGCUUAGUCAACGGGUCUGCAACAUUCAGAUCCGUAUGUAUCUUGCAAAUCUCUAUGUCUCCCACUUGGACUUGGUCCCGAAUGGAAUUGAAGCGUCUCUUGAUGUGUUUGGUCCUCUUGUGAAAUUUGGAUUCCUUUGCCAAGGCAAUUGCACCAGUAUUGUCACAGAAGAUGUUCAUUGGUCCCGAUGCACUAGGUAUGACACCUAGAUCGGAAAUGAGAUCCUUCAUCCAGACUCCUUCAUUUGCUGCUUCUGAAGCAGCUAUGUACUCCGCUUCACAUGUAGAUCCCGCCACGAUGCUUUGUUUAGAACUGCACCAACUUACAGCUCCACCGUUUAAUAAAAACACGUAUCUGGUUUGCGAUUUAGAAUCGUCCGGAUCAGUGUCAAAGCUUGCAUCGACGUAACCGUUUACGACUAGCUCUUUGUCACCUCCAUAUAUGAGAAACAUAUCCUUAGUCCUUUUCAGGUAUUUCAGGAUGUUCUUGACCGCUGUCCAGUGAUCCACUCCUGGAUUACUUUGGUACCUUCCUGCCAAGCUUAUUGCUAAGCAUACGUCAGGCCUGGUACACAGCAUUGCAUACAUGAUAGAGCCUAUGGCUGAAGCAUAGGGAACAUUUUUCAUUUUCUCUCUAUCUUCUGCUGUGGUCGGGCAUUGAGUUUGACUCAACUUCACACCUUGUAGCACAGGUAAGAAUCCUUUCUUUGCCUGAUCCAUUUUGAACUUUUUCAAAAAAAAUUCAAGGUAUGUGCUUUGUGAAAGUCCUAUUAAGCGUCUUGAUCUAUCUCUAUAGAUCUUGAUGAGUAAUAUGUAAGCAGCUUCACCGAGGUCUUUCAUUGAAAAACUUUUAUUCAAGUAUCCCUUUAUGCUAUGCAGAAAUUCUAUAUCAUUUCCAAUUAAUAAUAUGGCAUCUACAUAUAAAAUUAGAAAUGCUACAGAGCUCCCACUCACUUUCUUGUAAAUACAGGCUUCUCCAAAUGUCUGUAUAAAACCAUAUGCUUUGAUCACACUAUCAAAGCGUUUAUUCCAACUCCGAAAUGCUUGCACCAGUCCAUAAAUGGAACGCUGGAGCUUGCAUACUUUGUCAGCACCUUUUGGAUCAACAAAACCUUCCGGCUGCAUCAUAUACAACUCUUCUUCUAGAAAUCCAUUCAAGAAUGCAGUCUUGACAUCCAUAUGCCAAAUUUCAUAAUCAUGAAAUGCAGCAAUAGCUAACAUGAUUCGGACAGACUUAAGCAUCGCUACGGGUGAGAAAGUCUCAUCGUAGUCAACCCCUUGAACUUGUCGAAAACCUUUUGCAACAAGUCGAGCUUUAUAGACAGUUACAUUACCAUCAGCGUCAGUCUUCUUCUUAAAGAUCCAUUUAUUCUCAAUGGCUUGCCAAUCAUCGGGCAAGUCAACCAAAGUCCAUACUUUGUUUUCAUACAUGGAUCCCAUCUCAGAUUUCAUGGCUUCUAGCCAUUUUGCGGAAUCUGGGCUCAUCAUCGCUUCCUCAUAGUUCGUAGGUUCACCAUGGUCAAGUAACAUGACUUCCAGAAUAGGAUUACCAUACAACUCUAGUGCGGAUCUUACUCUGGUAGACCUACGAGGUUCAGUAGAAACUUGAACUCCUCACUAAUUGGUGUAGUUGUCACAGGAACCGGUUCUCGUGAUGAACUACUUUCCAAUAAGGGAGUAGAUACAGUUAUCUCAUCAAGUUCUACUUUCCUCCCACUCACUUCUUUCGAGAGAAACUCCUUCUCUAGAAAGGAUCCAUUCUUAGCAACGAAUGUCUUGCCUUCAGAUCUGUGAUAGAAGGUGUACCCAACAGUCUCUUUUGGGUAUCCUAUGAAAACACAUUUCUCCGAUUUGGGUUCGAGCUUAUCUGGUUGAAGUUUCUUCACAUAAGCAUCGCAGCCCCAAACUUUAAGAAACGACAACUUUGGUUUCUUGCCAAACCACAGUUCAUAAGGCGUCGUCUCAACGGAUUUUGAUGGUGCCCUAUUUAACGUGAAUGCGGCCGUCUCUAAAGCAUAACCCCAAAACGAUAGCAGUAAAUCAGUAAGAGACAUCAUAGAUCGCACCAUAUCAAGUAAAGUACGAUUAUGACGUUCGGACACACCAUUUCGUUGUGGUGUUCCGGGUGGCGUGAGUUGCGAAACUAUUCCACAUUGUUUCAAGUGUAGGCCAAACUCGUAACUCAAAUAUUCUCCUCCACGAUCAGAUCGUAGAAACUUUAUUUUCUUGUUACGAUGAUUUUCCACUUCACUCUGAAAUUCUUUGAACUUUUCAAAUGUUUCAGACUUGUGUUUCAUCAAGUAGAUAUACCCAUAUCUGCUCAAAUCAUCUGUGAAGGUGAGAAAAUAACGAUACCCGCCGCGAGCCUCAACAUUCAUUGGGCCACAAACAUCAGUAUGUAUGAUUUCCAACAAAUUAGUUGCUCGCUCCAUAGUUCCGGAGAAUGGCGUUUUAGUCAUCUUGCCCAUAAGGCACAGUUCGCAAGUACCAAGUGAUUCAUAAUCAAGUGAUUCCAAAAGUCCAUCAGUAUGGAGUUUCUUCAUGCGUUUUACACCGAUAUGACCCAAAAGGCAGUGCCACAAGUAAGUUGCACUAUCGUUAUCAACUCUGCAUCUUUUGGUUUCAACACUAUGAACAUGUGUAUCACUACUAUCGAGAUUUAAUAAAAAUAAACCACUCUUCAAGGGUGCAUGACCAUAAAAGAUAUUACUCAUAUAAAUAGAACAACCAUUAUUCUUUGAUUUAAAUGAAUAACCGUCUCGCAUCAAACAAGAUCCAGAUAUAAUGUUCAUGCUUAACGCUGGCACCAAAUAACAAUUAUUCAGGUCUAAAACUAAUCCCGAAGGUAGAUGUAGAGGUAGCGUGCCGACCGCGAUCACAUCGACUUUGGAACCGUUUCCCACGCGCAUCGUCACCUCGUCCUUGGCCAGUGCUCGCUUAUUCCGUAGUCCCUAUUUCGAGUUGCAAAUAUUAGCAACAGAACCAGUAUCAAAUUCCCAGGUGCUACUACGAGCUCUAGUUAGGUACACAUCAAUAACAUGUAUAUCACAUGUAGCUUUGUUUACUUUGCCAUCCUUCUUAUCCGCCAAAUACUUGGGGCAGUUCCGCUUCCAGUGACCAGUCUGCUUGCAGUAGAAGCACUCAGUUUCAGGCUUAGGUCCAGACUUGGGUUUCUUCUCUUGAGCAGCAACUUGCUUGCUGUUCUUCUUGAAGUUCCCCUUCUUCUUCCCUUUGCCCUUUUUCUUGAAACUAGUGGUCUUGUUGACCAUCAACACUUGAUGCUCCUUCUUGAUUUCUACCUCCGCAGCUUUUAGCAUUGCGAAGAGCUCGGGAAUAGUCUUGUUCAUCCCUUGCAUAUUAUAGUUCAUCACAAAGCUCUUGUAUCUUGGUGGCAGUGAUUGGAGAACUCUGUCAAUGACGCUAUCAUCCGGAAGAUUAACUCCCAGUUGAAUCAAGUGAUUAUUAUACCCAGACAUUUUGAGUAUAUGCUCACUGACAGAACUAUUCUCCUCCAUCUUGCAGCUGUAGAACUUAUUGGAGACUUCAUAUCUCUCAAUCCGGGCAUUUGCUUGAAAUAUUAACUUCAACUCCUGGAACAUCUCAUAUGCUCCAUGACGUUCAAAACGUCGUUGAAGGCCCGGUUCUAAGCCGUAAAGCAUGGCACACUGAACUAUAGAGUAGUCAUCAGCUUUGCUCUGCCAGACGUUCUUAACGUCGUCAGUUGCAUCAGCAGCAAGCCUGGCACCCAGCGGUGCUUCCAGGACGUAACUUUUCUGUGCAGCAAUGAGGAUAAUCCUCAGGUUACGGACCCAGUCCGUGUAAUUGCUACCAUCAUCUUUCAACUUUUCUUUCUCAAGGAACGCAUUAAAAUUCAACGGAACAACAGCACGAGCCAUCUAUCUACAAACAAACAUAGACAAGCAAAAUACUAUCAGGUACUAAGUUCAUGAUAAAUUUUAAGUUCAAUUAAUCAUAUUACUUAAGAACUCCCACUUAGACAGACAUCUCUCUAGUCAUCUAAGUGAUUACGUGAUCCAAAUCAACUAAACCAUAACCGAUCAUCAUGUGAGAUGGAGUAGUUUUCACUGGUGAACAUCACUAUGUUGAUCAUAUCUACUAUAUGAUUCAUGCUCGACCUUUCGGUCUCCGUGUUCCGAGGCCAUAUCUGCAUAUGCUAGGCUCGUCAAGUUUAACCUGAGUAUUCUGCGUGUGCAAAACUGGCUUGUACCCGUUGUAGAUGGACGUAGAGCUUAUCACACCCUAUCAUCACGUGGUGUCUGGGCACGACAAACUUUGGCAAUGGUGCAUACUCAGGGAGAACACUUCUUGAUAAUUUUUGUGAGAGAUCAUCUUAAAAUGCUACCGUCAAUCAAAGCAAGAUAAGAUGCAUAAAGGAUAAACAUCACAUGCAAUCAAUAUAAGUGAUAUGAUAUGGCCCUCAUCAUCUUGUGCUUGUGAUCUCCAUCUUUGAAGCACCAUCGUGAUCACCAUCGUCACCGGCGCGACACCUUGAUCUCCAUCGUAGCAUCGUUGUCGUUACGCCAUCUAUUGCUUCUACGACUAUCUAUACCGCUUAGUGAUAAAGUAAAGCAAUUACAGGGUGUUUGCAUUUCAUACAAUAAAGCGACAACCAUAUGGCUCCUGCCAGUUGCCGAUAACUUCGGUUACAAAACAUGAUCAUCUCAUACAAUAAAAUAUAUCAUCACGUCUUGACCAUAUCACAUCACAACAUGCCCUGAAAAACAAGUUAGACGUCCUCUACUUUGUUGUUGCAAGUUUUACGUGGCUGCUAUGGGCUUAGCAAGAACUGUUCUUACCUACGCAUCAAAACCACAACGAUAGUUCGUCAAGUUGGUGCUGUUUUAACCUUCGCAAGGACCGGGCGUAGCCACACUCGAUUCAGCUAAAGUGAGAGAGACAGACACCCGCCAGCCACCUUUAAGCACGAGUGCUCGUAACGGUGAAACCAGUCUCACGUAAGCGUACGCGUAAUGUCGGUCCGGGCCGCUUCAUCUCACAAUACCGCCGAACCAAAGUAUGAAAUGCUGGUAAGCAGUAUGACUUGUAUCGCCCACAACUCACUUGUGUUCUACUCGUGCAUAUAACAUCAACGCAUAAAACCUAGGCUCGGAUGCCACUGUUGGGAAACGUAGUAAUUUCAAAAUUUUCCUACGCACACGCAAGAUCAUGGUGAUGGCAUAGCAACGAGAGAGGAGAGUGUUCGUCCAUGUACCCUCGUAGACCGUAAGCGGAAGCGUUAGCACAACGCGGUUGAUGUAGUUGUACGUCUUCACGAUCCGACCGAUCCAAGCACCGAACGUACGGGGCCUCCGAGUUCAGCACACGUUCAGCUCGAUGACGAUCUCCGGCCUCCGAUCCAGUGAAGCUCCGGAGAUGAGUUCCGUCAGCACGACGGCGUGGUGACGAUGAUGAUGUUCUACCGGCACAGGGCUUCGCCUAAACUCCGCGACAAUAUGACCGAGGUGGAAUAUGGUGGAGGGGGGGCACCGCACACGGCUAAGGAACGAUCCGUAGAUCAACUUGUGUGUCUAUGGGGUGCCCCCCGCCCCUGUAUAUAAAGGAGCAAGGGGGAGAGGCCGGCCGGCCCCUUGGGCGCGCCAAGGGAGGAGGAAUCCUCCUCCUAGUAGGAGUAGGACUCCUCCUUUCCUACUCCUACUAGGAGGGGGAAGGAAGGAGGAGAGGGGGAAGGAAAGGGGGGGCGCCGCCCCCCUCGUAGUCCAAUUCGGACCAGAGGGGGGGAGGGGGCGUGCGGCCCAUGCUGGCCGCCCCUCUCUCCUUUCCCCUAAGGCCCAUAAGGCCCAAUACUCUCCCGGGGGGUUCCGGUAACCCCCGGCACUCCGGUUUUCUCCGAAAUCACCCGGAACAAUUCCGGUGUCCGAAUAUAGUCGUCCAAUAUAUCAAUCUUUAUGUCUCGACCAUUUCGAGAUUCCUCGUCAUGUCCGUGAUGACAUCCGGGACUCCGAACAAACUUCGGUACAUCAAAAGAUAUAAACUCAUAAUAAAACUGUCAUCGUAACGUUAAGCGUGCGGACCCUACAGGUUCGAGAACUAUGUAGACAUGACCUAGAACCAUUCUCGGUCAAUAACCAAUAGCGGGACCUGGAUGCCCAUAUUGGUUCCUACAUAUUCUACGAAGAUCUUUAUCGGUCAAACCGCAUAACAACAUACGUUGUUCCCUUUGUCAUGGGUACGUUACUUGCCCGAGAUUUGAUCGUCGGUAUCCAAUACCUAGUUCAAUCUCGUUACUGGCAAGUCUCUUUACUCGUUCCGUAAUAUAUCAUCUCAUAACUAACUUAUUAGUUACAAUGCUUGCAAGGCUUAGGUGAUGAGUAUUACCGAGAGGGCCCAGAGAUACCUCUCCGACAAUCGGAGUGACAAAACCUAAUCUCGAAUUAUGCCAACUCAACAUGUACCUUCGGAAACACCUGUAGAGCACCUUUAUAAUCACCCAGUUACGUUGUGACGUUUGGUAGCACACAAAGUGUUCUUCCGGUAAACGGGAGUUGCACAAUCUCAUAGUUGCAGGAACUUGUAUAAGUCAUGAAGAAAGCAAUAGCAGUAUACUAAACGAUCAAGUGCUAGGCUAACGGAAUGGGUCAUGUCAAUCACAUCAUUCUCCUAAUGAUGUGAUCCCGUCAAUCAAAUGACAACUCUUUUGUCCAUGGUUAGGAAACAUAACCAUCUUUGAUAAACGAGCUAGUCAAGUAGAGGCAUACUACUGACACUAUGUUUGUCUAUGUAUUCACACAUGUAUCAUGUUUCCGGUUAAUAUAAUUCUAGCAUGAAUAAUAAACAUUUAUCAUGAUAUGAGGAAAUAAAUAAUAACUUUAUUAUUGCCUCUAGGGCAUAUUUCCUUCAGUUACCGGAGUCCUGUUAGCCCAGUGUUACAGCCCGGAUGUAUACGUUGAUGACCGACAUGCUCGAUGUGACUCAUGUAUGCCUGUCCCCAUAGGUUAGCGCCGCUUUGGGUUCAUGACUAGCCAUGUCAGCCCGGGUUCUCUGUCAUAUGGAUGCUAGCGACACUAUCAUAUACGUGAGCCAAAAGGCGCAAACAGUCCCGGCCAUGGUAAGGCGACACCCGUGGGAUUACCGUGCGUGAGGCCGCAAAGUGAUAUGAGGUGUUACCGGCUAGAUCAAUGUGACUUGGAAUCAUGGUCCAGACAGCAUUGGCAUCAGAGCCGGACUGCCUGUAGGUUCCUAAGCCAAACUGGUCGAUGUCGAGUCUAGAAAUGCUUUAGUUAUAUGUAGGGGAAUUUAUUGUGGGAGGAAACGUAAGGCUCUUUUUACCCCUUUACCUUAUGCCCUCUGAUCUGUGUCAUCCUCUUCUCAUUCUACGUGGGUUAAGGACUAGGCUCUCUUCUCUCUAUCAGGUUCACGUGUUACUAAUCCGUAGUAACUUAUAGGAUUGUUGGUUACCAGUCUCAGUACAGUUCCUACUACUUUAGUAUGUUAUCAGUUGAACCUGAACCUUGAUAUGAUGUUGUUGAGUGGUUUUGCAAUCCGUUGUGAAUGUCUCAAAUCUGCUCCUGAGCAUUUACAGCUGUUAUGUUGUCCAAUUUUCCCUAGGAAUUCUAAUGUCUUUGCAUUGUGGUUGUGCUUUCAGAUGGCCACUCGCGCUCAGAACCAAGUGGUUCGCCUGACGCGGUGCCUCAAUGUGCCCGGUCAUACUGCUAUGUUAGUCCGGGUCAUGAUCGAGACAGGUUACCGUUGGUAUCCCGAAUACAUUGCCGAAGAGCAAUUCCAAGACUUUAAUCAAAGCCAAUACUUCUGCACUGUCAGGAUAUUUCCUUCAUAUCCUGGAUCCACCGAGCCCCUUCACUGCUCCUAUGGACUCGGGGUCACCAUUGAGAUGGCUGUACAGGAUGCGGCCUAUUCUAUGAUGACCAUCAUGCGAGUCAGGACUGGUCUGCUUCGGAACACCGACUUCCGUUAUAUGCCAGCAUCGCUCCCAGGAGCGCAAGGGUAUCUCCAGGCUAUCUAUGCUGAUUCCACCCAUGAGGACUCACUAACUCGCACCAUUGCGGAGAUGCUCGAGGAUAAGGACCGAGAGAAUCAGGCCUUGAGGUUGGAGCUUUUCAACACCUGCGCCGAUCAUUGGGCCACUUUGACUCGGUUUGCACCGGCUGUGCAAGCUGGAUGUAUGGAUAUGAGGGAUCUGUUUCCUGUGAGAUCUGCUCUGCCAGACAUGGUGGAUUGGCGUGAUGUGGGAGGCAUCAUCCCACCCCGUGGUCCCCGUAGGCCAUCGUUUGUUGGUCCAAGACCUCAUCCUAGCCCCUAUGGUCCACAGGCUCCUCAGGACCGUCUGUUCCCGGAUGAUCACGUUGAGCUUCCAAGCUAUGGAGGGGACUUCUAUGAGGACUACUACGGAGCUGUCUGAGUUAGUAGUAGUAUCUUUAGUAUUGUAAUAGUUGUAAUUCCAUCGUCCUGCGUGACCUGUGGAAUAUGACUUAGUGUGUAUCAGUUCCGGAGGUGUAGAAAAAUAAUGUAUCGGAGCUUGGAAUGCCUCCGAUGAGAUGUAACUUCUUCCACCGUAGUUGUACUAUAGUCGGGCUUGUACUAAACUAUGUAUGGUGUGUAUGACUGUUGGUGCAUAUAUGGCAGUUUCUGUAUUACCAUGUCAUACAGAUGAACAUCUCUGCAUUCCUUGUUAUCCAUUACAUUCUGCACUUCCUUGUCCAGAUUUGCCAUCCUUGUCUAAAGCGAUGUCUUGUUUUCCUAGGAUGGUCAACACCCGUAACAACCCUGCUACUCCGGAGCAGGGUGAAGCCAGUGCAGCUAGGAAUGAAAAUCUGCCUCAACCACCUUCUCUGGUCGAAGUUAUGCUGGAGGCAGAGCGAAAUAAGCGUGAGACCAAUCGCUUGCUGGAGCGGAUUGAGCAGAAUACCGCACGCCAGCCGAGGAACGACCUGGUGUCACUUAAUGACUUUGUCAAGCUGUAUCCACCGAAGUUUAAACAUUCCGUCGAGCCCCUUGAUGCGGAUGAAUGGCUUCGCAGCAUUACCCACAAGCUACGUUCUGUCAAUGUGGCCGAAGCUGAUAAGGUUAACUUUGCUACCUAUCACCUCGAAGGCCCUGCUAGCCUUUGGUGGGAAAACUUUGAGGCUAUGCGCCCGGUCGGCCAAAUUACUACUUGGGCUGAAUUCAGUAUGGAGCAUCACAUUCCGGAAGGUCUUAUGGAUCGCAAGCGUGAAGAGUUCUGCAACUUCACCCAGGGUAGACUGACUGUGGAUGCAUACAGUCGCGAGUUUGGAUAUCUAGCACGAUAUGCUCCUAAAGAGGUAUCCACCGACGCCAAGAAGCAGGCAAGGUUCCGCAAGGGACUUAGCCCCGAGCUUCGUCGUGAUCUUCGUCUGCACGAGUGCACCUCCUUCCAGAAGUUAGUCAACAAGGCCAUCAGUGCUGAGACAGGGCAGUCGGACUUUGAAGCUUCACGCAAGCACUCCCGUGACUUUGGACUUCAUCCGGCUGUGCAUCUCAGAAGCGCCGGGUCUGGAUUCCAAGCACUGCUCUGCCACCCAGGUUCACCCCGAGGCCAUCCUUUGACGCGCCUCGCCCCAACCAAUAGUAUACACCGCCCAAGGCCUAUGGUGGCCCCACUGCUAAUGCUACUCCAUGCCCCAAUGUGAUAACUUGUUUCAAGUGUGGGGAGACGGGUCACUACAUUCGUGAGUGUCCCCAAAACAACCCCAACCAGAUUGGAAAGUCUGUUGGCCGUGGCAAGCCAGCAGGAAAGGUGCUCUACGCCAAGCCAGCCACCACUGCCCGUGGCCAUGUCAACUAUGUCUCAGCAGAGGAGACUCAUGAGGAUCCCAACGUCGUUCUCGGUACGCUUCUUGUUAAUUGCCACCCGGCAACCAUUCUCUUUGAUACUGGAGCAUCUCAUUCAUUUAUAUCUGAAAGCUAUGCUCGAUUGCACAACACCACAUUUUGUGACAUGCCCACCUCCAUGGUAAUUCAAACCCCUGGUUCUAAGUGGCAAACCUCUAAAAUCAGCCAUGGAAAUGAAAUCCUUGUCGACAGAUUAGUCUUCCUUGCAUCACUAAUAGCUCUCAAGUCCUCGGACAUAAACAUCAUCUUGGGUAUGGACUGGAUGUCAGCCCAUUACGCUAAGAUCGAUUGCUCCACUAGAACUGUUCAACUCACCCACCCUUCGGGCAAGACAGCCAAUGUUUUGACCCGAGUGUCUAAGCGUCAGCUUUACUCUUUAAAUGCCAACCCCCUUCCAGACCUUGAAGAUAUUCCGGUAGUCCGUGACUUCCCGGAUGUCUUUCCAGAGGAACUGUCAGGUGUUCCACCUAACAGAGAUGUCAAGUUCGUGAUAGACCUUGUUCCAGGAACCAUGCCAACAUCUAGGAGACCUUAUAAGAUGGCACCCCUAGAACUAGCUGAGCUUAAGAAACAACUCGAUGAGUCCUUGCAAAAGGGUUUCAUCCAUCCUAGCUCUUCUCCAUGGGCUUGCCCCGUCCUUUUCGUCAAGAAGAAGGAUGGAACGGAUCGGAUGGUUGUAGAUUACCGGCCAGUCAACUUGGUCACUAUCAAGAACAAGUAUCCGCUCCCCAAGAUCAACGACCUGUAUGAUCAGCUCGCUGGAUCCUCAGUCUUUUCUAAAAUGGAUUUGAGGUUGGGCUACCAUCAAAUCAAAAUUAAGAACGGGGACAUUCCUAAAACGGCCUUUGUUACUCGAUAUGGCCAAUACGAGUACACCGUCAUGUCCUUCGGUCUAACCAAUGCCCCAGCCACCUUCUCUCGGUUAUUGAACUCGAUCUUCAUGGAGUAUUUUGAUAAAUUCGUCGUGGUUUACCUUGAUGAUAUACUCAUCUACUCCAAGAAUGAAGAAGAACAUGCCGAACAUCUAAGGCUAGUGUUGAUGAAACUUUGAGAGCAUUGUCUUUAUGCCAAAUUCUCUAGGUGUGAGUUUUGGUUGCCAGAAGUAACCUAUCUAGGACAUGUAAUCUCUGGUAAGGGCAUUGCUGUCAAUCCCAAGCGAGUUCAAGCCAUCCUUGACUGGACUCCACCUGAAACGGUCAAGCAAGUUCAGAGUUUUGUUGGUUUAGCGAGCUAUUGCCGCUGCUUCAUCGAGAAUUUCUCCAAGGUUGCUAAGCCUCUAACCGAACUCCUCAAGAAAGAUAAAAAGUUCGAAUGGACGCCAUAGUGCGAGUUCAGUUUUCAGGAACUGAAAAGACGCCUGACAUCUGCUCCUGUACUUGUUCCACCAGAUUUCUCUAAGGACUUCGUUAUCUACUGCGACGCCUCGCGACAAGGACUAGGUUGCAUACUCAUGCAAGAUCGUCAUGUGAUUGCCUACGCUUCUCGACAGCUGCGUCCACAUGAGGAUAACUAUCCCACACAUGAUCUACAGCUUGCAGCAGUGGUCCAUGCACUCAAAACCUGGCGACAUUACCUUCUCGGUAAUCGUUGCGAGAUUUACACCGAUCACCAAAGUCUGAAAUACAUCUUCACCAAACCGGAUUUGAAUCUCAGACAAAGACGUUGGGUCGAGUUGAUUACGGAUUACGAUCUAGGAAUAACCUACACCCCAGGAAAAGCCAAUGUCAUGGCUGAUGCAUUAAGCCGUAAAUCUUAUUGUAACAACCUGAUGUUACAACAAAGCCAACCAUUUCUCCACGAGGAAUUUCGUAAGCUUAACCUUCACAUCGUUCCUCGAGGUUUUCUUUCCACCCUGGUGGCGAAACCUACCCUUACGGAUCAGAUCAUCAAGGCACAGAAGGUAGAUCCGGGAAUAUCCCGUAUCAAGAGAAACAUCAAAAGGGAGUUGGACUGUUUCUCCAUAGAUGAUCAAGGUGUUGUGUUCUUUGGAGGCCAUCUAGUGGUUCCCAAGGUAUGCAACCUGAGGCGAUUGAUCCUUAAGGAAGCUCAUGAAUCCCCUCUCACUAUUCAUCCCAGUAGUACUAAAAUGUAUCAAGACCUACGCCAGAGGUUUUGGUGGACUAGGAUGAAGAGAGAAAUCGCUCAAUACAUUACCAAUUGCGACGUCUGUCGUCGAGUUAAAGAAGAGCAUCAACGACCUGCUGGCACCCUGCAACCUUUGGAAAUUCCCGAAUGGAAAUGGGAUAAAAUCGGUAUGGAUUUCAUUACCGGGUUUCCCAGGACCAAGAGGGGGAAUAAUGCUAUCUUCGUUGUUGUCGAUCGUCUUUCCAAAGUAGCCCACUUCCUACACGUUCGUGAGAGUUUAACCGCUAGCCAGCUAGCUGACUUAUACAUCUCCCGAAUAGUGUCUCUUCAUGGUGUUCCAUUGGAGACUAACUCAGACCGUGGAAGUCUCUUCACCUCUCGAUUUCGGGAAAGUUUCCAAAAUGCGAUGGGAACUCGUCUUUCUUUUAGCACCGCUUUCCAUCCUCAAUCAAGUGGUCAAGUAGAACGAGUCAAUCAAAUUCUAGAGGAUAUGCUUCGAGCUUCUGUCAUCUCUUUUGGUAUGAAUUGGGAGAAGUGCCUUCCAUUCGCUGAGUUCGCUUAUAACAAUAGUUAUCAAGCUAGCUUGGACAAAGCUCCUUUCAAAGUUCUCUAUGGAUGAAAAUGUCGAACACCUCUUAACUGGUCAGAAACCGGGUAAAGACAACUCUUUGGCCCGGAUAUGAUCCAGGAAGCAGAGGAGCAGGUUCACGUUAUUCGUGAGAAAUUGAAAACAGCCCAAUCUCAUCAAAAGAGCCAAUAUGACCGCAAACAUACACUAGUAGAAAAGGGGCCAAUGGUCCAGGCCGGUCCAGCCCAUUAGUCCCGGUUCAAUCCAGAACCGGGACCAAUGGGGGCAUUGGACCCGGUUCGUGAGCCCUGGGGGCCGGCCGGGCCACGUGGGCCAUUGGUCCCGGUUCGUCCUGACCUUUCGGUCCCGGUUGGUGGGACGAACCGGGACCAAUGGGCCUCGCUCCUGGCCCACCAACAUUGGUCCCGGUUGGUGGCUUGAACCGGGACCAAAGGCGUCCCUUUAGUCCCGGUUCAAGUCACCAACCGGGACCAAUUAGUUGCCUAUAUAUACCCCUCGCCUGCGAGCAGAGCACUCCCAGUGCUCUGUUUUUCGUGGCUGGCGAGGGGAGAGCUUUGUGGUGCUCUAGCUCACGUCCUAUGCACACAAGGUGUUCGAUGGAAUGCCCGAGCCACACUACUUAAGCUUUCUCCUCUCCAAGCUCGACCUCCAAGCUCCAUUUUCCUUCAUAUUUGUCUAGGUUUAGCGGUUCGUCACGUCCCGUCCCCAUCUUCACCACCGUUGAUCGCCCGCGCCGAUCUCGUCGCCGGCACCACCGUGGUGAGCCUCUUGUUCUUAUCUUCUUUCUGAAAGGAAAAAAAAUUCUUACUUGUAUGUUUAUAUAGAUACUUGUAUAAUUUUCUUACUUUUAUUAUUGCAUCUUAUAUAGUGCGAUGGUUUUGGUAUCCGCCCCCGUCGGCCCUCGUCCUGUCUAUGAUUCAGAUGUGGUAUAUAUAUAUUAUCUUUUCAUAACUAGUGGUUCAUUUAUUGUUUAUGACAAUUAUGCCGACCAACGUGACAUAGAUUUUAUUUAUCUAGGAGGUUGUUGAACCGGAAAUUCCAACCGACCCUAUUGUCGAGAGGUUAAAUUUAGUUGAAGAAAACAAUUUGUUGAAGGGAAAAAUUAGAAAAAUUGAGGAGGAGAAGAUGAUAUUGGAGUUGCAUGUUGCGGAUGUCAUCGAUGAUCACAAGAUCAAGAUGGAUGCAAUGCGCUUGAAGAUUAGAAAGAUUAGAAAAUAUGCCAUUCAUACCGAGGCUUGGUAUCAUUAUGUCGUUGGAUCAGUUGUUACAUUGGUUGCGAUUAUGAUCGUAUUUGUUUUCGCAUUGAAAUGUUUUACAUAGUUUCAGUGUAUGGUUUAAUUAAUUUAGAUGCCCUGCAGAGCUUUAUGUUGUUAGAUGAGAACUAUGUAUGUACUUUGGUUUUAAUGUGAUGAUGAACUUCUAUUAAUUUCGUCACUUAAUUAUCUAUUCAUGAUGUUCUGUAAUGAUUUUUGACACACUUAAUUAUAUAUAAUGCACGCAGAUGAACCGGCAAUGGAUGUACGGUUCAAGACACACCUCCGAGUACAUUAAGGGCGUGCAUGAUUUUCUCGAAGUGCCUGAGGCAACAAGAAGAAUGGUUUUAUGUGUUGUCCAUGCCCUAUAUGUGGGAAUACGAAGUCUUACUCUGACUGGAAAAUCCUCCACACCCACCUUCUUUACAAGGGUUUCAUGCCACACUAUAAUGUUUGGACGAGGCACGGAGAAAUAGGGGUUAUGAUGGAAGACGGCGAAGAAGAAGAGUACGAUGACAACUAUGUGCCCCCUGAAUACGGUGAUGCUACUGAAGAUCAAGAGGAACCAGACGAUGUGCCCGAUGAUGAUGAUCUCCGCCGGGUCAUUGUCGAUGCAAGGACGCAAUGCGAAAGUCAAAAGGAGAAGCUGAAGUUCGAUCGCAUGUUAGAGGACCACAAAAAAGGGUUGUACCCCAAUUGUGAAGAUGGCAACACAAAGCUCGGUACCGUACUGGAAUUGCUGCAGUGGAAGGCAGAGAAUGUUGUGCCUGACAAAGGAUUUGAGAAGCUACUGAAAAUAUUGAAGAAGAAGCUUCCAAAGGAUAACGAAUUGCCCGACAGUACAUACACAGCAAAGAAGUUCGUAUGCCCUCUAGGAUUGGAGGUGCAGAAGAUACAUGCAUGCCCUAAUGACUGCAUCCUCUACCGCGGUGCGUACAAGGAUCUGAACGCAUGCCCGGUAUGCGGUGCAUUACGGUAUAAGAUCAGACGAGAUGACCCUGGUGAUGUUGACGGCGAGCCCCCCAGGAAGAGGGUUCCUGCGAAGGUGAUGUGGUAUGCUCCCAUAAUACCACGGUUGAAACGUCUGUUCAGAAACGGAGAGCAUGCCAAGUUGAUGCGAUGGCACAGUGAGGACCGUAAGAAAGACGGGAAGUUGAGAGCACCCGCUGACGGGUCGCAGUGGAGAAAAAUCGAGGGAAAGUACUGGGAUGAGUUUGCAAGUGAGCCAAGGAACGUAUGGUUUGCUUUAAGCGCGGAUGGCAUUAAUCCUUUCGGGGAGCAGAGCAGCAAUCACAGCACCUGGCCCGUGACUCUAUGUAUGUAUAACCUUCCUCCUUUGAUGUGCAUGAAGCAGAAGUUCAUUAUGAUGCCAGUUCUCAUCCAAGGCCCUAAGCAACCCGGCGACGACAUUGAUGUGUACCUAAGGCCAUUAGUUGAAGAACUUUUAUAGCUGUGGAAUGGAAAUAGUGUACGUACGUGGGAUGAGCACAAACAGGAGGAAUUUAACCUAAAGGCGUUGCUGUUCGUGACCAUCAACAAUUGGCCCGCUCUCAGUAACCUUUCAGGACAGACAAACAAGGGAUACCACGCAUGCACGCACUGUUUACUUGACACCGAUAGUAUAUACCUAGCAAGUUGUAGGAAGAAUGUGUACCUGGGCCAUCAUCGAUUUCUUUCGACCAACCAUCAAUGUUGAAAGAAAGGCAAGCAUUUCAAAGGCGAGGCAGAUCACCGGAAGAAGCCCUCCAUGCGUACUGGUAUCACGUACUUGCUAUGGUAGUGAUUUACACGUAAUCUUUGGAAAGUGUCCCGGCGGACUAGCUGUUCCGAAUGACGCUGAGAAUCACGCACCCAUGUGGAAGAAGAAAUCUAUAUUUUGGGACCUACCCUACUAGAAAGACCUAGAGGUCCGCUCUUCGAUCGACGUGAUGCACGUGACGAAGAACCUUUGCGUGAACCUGCUAGGCUUCUUGGGCAUGUAUGGGAAGACAAAAGAUACAACUGAGGCACGGGAGGACCUGCAACGCUUGCACGAAAAAGUGGGCAUGCCUCCGAAGCAGUAUGAAGGUCCUGCCAGCUACGCUCUUACGAAAGAAGAGAAAUAAAUCUUCUUUGAAUGCCUGCUCAGUAUGAAGGUCCCGACUGGCUUCUCUUCGAAUAUAAAGGGAAUAAUAAAUAUGCCAGACAAAAAGUUCUAGAACCUAAAGUCUCAUGACUGCCACGUGAUUAUGACGCAACUGCUUCCGGUUGCAUUGAGGGGGCUUCUACCGGAAAACGUCCGAUUAGCCAUUGUGAACCUAUGUGCAUUCCUCAAUGCAAUCUCUCAGAAGGUGAUCGAUCCAGAAAUCAUACCAAGGCUAAGGACUGAUGUGGUGCAAUGUCUUGUCAGUUUCGAGCUGGUGUUCCCACCAUCCUUCUUCAAUAUCAUGACGCACGUCCUAGUUCAUCUAGUUGACGAGAUUGUCAUUCUGGGCCCCGUAUUUCUACACAAUAUGUACUUCUUUGAGAGGUUCAUGGGAGUCCUAAAGAAAUAUGUCUGUAACCGCGCUAGGCCAAAAGGAAGCAUCUCCAUGGGCUAUCAAACAGAGGAUGUCAUCGGGUUUUGUGUUGACUUCAUUCCUGGCCUUAAGAAUAUAGGUCUCCCUAAAUCGCGGUAUGAGGGGAGACUGACUGGAAAAGGCACGCUUGGAAGGGACUCAAUUAUAUGCAGGGACGGAUAUUCUUGGUCUCAAGCACACUACACAGUUCUACAGAACUCUACCUUGGUGACCCCGUAUGUCGAUGAACACAAGAACAGUCUGCGCUCCAAACACCCGGAGCAGUGCGACGACUAGAUUACAUGUGAACACAUCAGGACUUUCAGUAGUUGGUUGGAAGCACAUAUCAGAGGUGACAACACUGUUUGUGAUGAGUUGUACUUGUUGUCCAGGGGACCAUCUUUGACUGUAUUGAUUUGGAAAGGAUACGAGAUAAAUGGGAAUACAUUUUACACGAUUGACCAAGAUCAAAAGAGCACCAACCAAAACAGCGGUGUCCGCUUUGAUGAAACAACCGAGAGGGGAAAGGACACAUAUUGUGGUUACAUAGUGGACAUAUGGGAACUUGACUACGGACACGAUUUUAAGGUCCCUUUGUUUAAGUGCAAAUGGGUCAAUCUGUCAGGUGGCAGGGUACAGGUAGACCCACAGUACGGAAUGACAAUAGUGGAUCUGGAAAAUCUUGGAUACACUGACGAACUGUUCGUCCUAGCCAAUGAUGUGGCACAGGUUAUCUAUGUGAAGGACAUGUCUACCAGACCAAGAAAGAGAAAAGAUAAGGAAGCGAAUACAUCAUACGAUGAGCCAAAGUGCCACAUAGUUCUUUCAGGAAAAAGGGACAUCGUGGGAGUGGAGGACAAGACAGACAUGUCUGAAGAUUAUGAAAAGUUUCAUGAAAUUCCUCCCUUUAAUGUCAAGGCUGACCCCAGCAUCCUGAUAGACGAUGAAGAUUAUCCAUGGUUACGGCGCAAUAAGCAAAUGACACAAGCGAAGAAAAAGUGAAGACUUUCUCCCGCAACUAUUAUGAUGAUACCAUGCCAAAUUUGUAACUGACGAGUAUGAUACCAUUGUCCGUUUUGUACAUGCACAUGCUAUGUGGGUCAAUUUAUGAUACCAUGCCAACUUUCAACUUUUUCAGAGUUCAUUUGAAAUGCUUUAAUGUCUUAUGGUUCGGCCCUCGUAAUGAUUAAAAAUAGCAACAAUAAGUAUUUUGUUGUAAGUAGAAACAAAAUAAAAUAAAUAAAGCAAGAAAGAAAACAAAAAAAACAAAAAAAGUGUUUUCAAAUUUGAAAACUAAUGGUACUAACAGAAAGUUUAUAAUUUUCCUAAAACUAAAAGCAAAAAGAAUUGAAAAAUAAAGCAAAAAACAAAAGACAAUAAAUAAUGCAGAAAUCAAAACAAAAAACAACAAUAAGUAUUUUGUUGUAUGUAGAAACAAAACAAAAUAAAUAAAGCAAGAAAGAAAACAAAAAAACAAAAAAAGUGUUUUCAAAUUUGAAAACUAGGGCACUAACAGAAAGUUUAUAAUUUUCCUAAAACUAAAAGCAAAAAGAAUUAAAAAAUAAAGCAAAAAACAAAAGAAAAUAAAUAAUGCGGAAAACAAAACAAAAAAACUGGAAAAAAAAUAAAAUAGCAAAAAUAAGUAAAGAAAACAAAAAAAUGCCUCCUACUGGGCCCCCACGGCCUGAAUACGACUAGAAACCCUACUAUGGGCCAGGAUUCAGGCCCGCAGUAGGCCCAGAAGGCCCAUCAGGCAAAGCAAUAGCAAGUAGGCCCGAAAGCCUGCGGUGGAGAGGAGCUCGAGAGGGGUGCGGCAGUGGGGCUUAUAAACCACUGCACGCCCCUCUCAACUAGCGAGGUGGGACUAAACUUUGGCCCCGACGCGGGAAGCACAGGGGCCUUUGGUCCCGGUUGGUGGCACCAACCGGGACUAAAGGGGGGGGCAUUGGUACCGGUUCGUGGCACCAACCGGUACCAAAGGCCGCCGCUUCCCGCCCUUUGGGCUGCCGAAAAGGAGGCCUUUGGUCCUAGUUGGUGGCACUAACCGGGACUAAAGGGUGCAUUAGUCCCGGUUGAUUUCACGAACCGGGACCAAUGCCUUUGCUAUAUAAGCAAACACUUUGCAAAAUUUCAGAAUCCCAUCGCCAGUUGCCCCCGACGACGCCGACCCUCCUCGACGCUGCCAGGCUGCUCCACCUCGCCGUCGUCGCCGCCACCGCCAAGCCGUCGCCUCCCCGAGCCCGCGCCAUCCUCGUCGCCGGCCUCCCUGAGCCCGCGCCGUCCUCGUCGCCGGUCUCCUCGAGCCCGCUCCCCGUCCCGCCCCCGCGCGCCGCCGCCCCGAGCCCCUGCCCCGUCCUGCCCCCAUGCGCNNNNNNNNNNNNNNNNNNNNNNNNNNNNNNNNNNNNNNNNNNNNNNNNNNNNNNNNNNNNNNNNNNNNNNNNNNNNNNNNNNNNNNNNNNNNNNNNNNNNNNNNNNNNNNNNNNNNNNNNNNNNNNNNNNNNNNNNNNNNNNNNNNNNNNNNNNNNNNNNNNNNNNNNNNNNNNNNNNNNNNNNNNNNNNNNNNNNNNNNNNNNNNNNNNNNNNNNNNNNNNNNNNNNNNNNNNNNNNNNNNNNNNNNNNNNNNNNNNNNNNNNNNNNNNNNNNNNNNNNNNNNNNNNNNNNNNNNNNNNNNNNNNNNNNNNNNNNNNNNNNNNNNNNNNNNNNNNNNNNNNNNNNNNNNNNNNNNNNNNNNNNNNNNNNNNNNNNNNNNNNNNNNNNNNNNNNNNNNNNNNNNNNNNNNNNNNNNNNNNNNNNNNNNNNNNNNNNNNNNNNNNNNNNNNNNNNNNNNNNNNNNNNNNNNNNNNNNNNNNNNNNNNNNNNNNNNNNNNNNNNNNNNNNNNNNNNNNNNNNNNNNNNNNNNNNNNNNNNNNNNNNNNNNNNNNNNNNNNNNNNNNNNNNNNNNNNNNNNNNNNNNNNNNNNNNNNNNNNNNNNNNNNNNNNNNNNNNNNNNNNNNNNNNNNNNNNNNNNNNNNNNNNNNNNNNNNNNNNNNNNNNNNNNNNNNNNNNNNNNNNNNNNNNNNNNNNNNNNNNNNNNNNNNNNCGCUGCAUUGGCUCUGUUUUUUUUUCAUUUUUAUUAGUUUAAUUAUUUUUUUGUUCAUAUAUAUAUAUAUAUAUAUAAUGUAUAUGUGUAUGUAUGUGGCUAUAUAUGUGUAUGUAGAUGUUCAAAAAUUAUUCAGAGCACGUUUUUAUUCAUAUAUGUAUUUUUUGUUCAUAUGUGUAUUAAUGUUUUCAUAUAUGCAAAAGAUAGAUUUUUAGAAAAGUUAGGGUUUUUUUUUCUAUUCAUAGAUUUUUUUGGUGAUAUUAAUUAUUGUAGAAUAUGCAAAUGUUUGUAUAUUCAUAUGAACAAUGCAUUAGGCAAAACCUUUGUUUUUUUUGAAAUUUUUUAUUUGAACAUUUUUUAAAAACAAGCAAUACUAAAAGAAUGAGAGGAAAAAGGAAAAUAAGAAGAGGAAGAAAGGAGAAGAAGAGGAGAGGAAGAAGAGGAGAAAUAAAUAAGAAGAGGAAAAAAGAAGAGGGGAAGAAGAAAGGAAUAGAGGAGAAGAAGAAAAAUAGAAAUUUUCUAUUUUUCUUCUUCUCCUCUAUUCCUUUCUUCUUCUCCUCUUUAUUUUCUUCUUUUUUUUCUUCUUCCUUCUUCCUCUUUUCUUCCUUUUCCUUAUUUUCCUUUCUCGAGGGAGAAGAAGAAAAAGAAGAGUAAAAGAAGAAGAAAGGAAUAGAGGAGAAAGAAGAAACUUCAACACAAGGGGGGGUUACCGAUACCCCCUCCCCGAUAACAUUAUUUUCCCAUGUAUAUGUAUGUCGCGUCAUUGUCGAUAUAACCCCCUCGAGAUAACUUCGACAUGAGGGGCGGUCGAUAUAUAUACCCCCUCUCGACCGUGAUAACUUAUACAACGGCAGCACCCCCCUCGGCCCUCUCGCUCGACCAAAACUCUUGAGGACACCCAAACCCUAGAGAGAAAACGAUGUUGGUCUCCUACCCCCUCCCGCCGCGCCCCUACCCGACAUAUUAACUCUCUCGAGGCCACCCAAAUUUACCAAGUUAAAAGAGCGUUGUCGUCGAGGCCACCCCAAACCCUUGAAGCGUUGUGUCGAGGAGACCCCAAACCCUAGAGAAGCAGCGUCGAGGCCACUAACAUGGAUCGAUCCAUCUGUAAUAAUAAUUGACAUGGUGUAAAUAUUUGCAGAAACUAUGGAGCACUCCCGAGACGAAGAAACAGAAGCGAUGUUGGGGGACAUUAUCGCACAAGGAAGUGAUGAAGUUGCGUCAUUUCUCAACGACACCGAUGGUCAGGAACGACUGGGUGAAGAAGAGGGCUAUGUUCAUGAUGGCUUCGACCCAUUAAUGCCGGUACAAGAAGAGGACUAUGUUCAUGAUGGCUCUGGUGACACAAUGGAGGUACAAGAAGGAGACCGUGCUGACUGCUCCGGUGACCGAACCGAGUCCGGCCAGGUAUAUAUAUAUAUAUUAGUUAAGCCCGUGCUGACUAGUUAAUUGAUGCAUCCAUUGUUUUGGUAUAUGUACACAUAUUAAUUACUCUCGUCUUUCUUCCUUAUAAUUUCUAGCCCUCCGGAUCGAGCACAACUUCGGUAAGAAGACGAAGCCCGAAGAAAAAGUUGAGCUCGGAUGAAAAGUUUGAGAUCAUAGAAAUCGCGCCCGACGGCGAACCGAUUGAACCCAUCCGGACAAGGAAGGCAUUUUCUGCUCAGUGCGGGGUUCUUGUUAGGGACAAGAUCCCGAUCAGCAUCCAUCAAUGGUAUAAGCCUAAGGAGGAAGACCCCGAGGUGUCUUAUGUCAAUGAUAUGCAGAAAGAAGAUCUUUGGACUGAGCUAAAGGCAAAUUUCACCCUACCGCUAGAGGAGGAUCCGGAGAAGCCAGUUAUAGAGCAAUUAAUCAAUUCUUGUGCUCUUAAGAAGAUGGCAACCCUAAUGAGGAGGUGGAGGAAAGAGGUGAACCAGUUUGUCGAGAAAGAUAAGACACCAGAAUUCAUCGGCAAAUAUGAGAAGAUCAAAGAUCACUGGCCCGCAUUUGUGGCCCACAAGACAUCGGAAAAGAGUAAGAAGAUGUCGGCAACAAACAAGAAAAAUUCUGCAAAGAAGAAGCUUCACCAUCGCACGGGGUCAGGUGGCUACCUCAAAGCCCGGCCUAAGUGGUCCAAGGCUGAGCAUGAUCUGCUUGAAAAAGGGAUCGAACCAGAGACAAUGUACUGGCCAGACCGUUGUCGGACUUGGUUCUUCGGGGCUGGCGGAACCUUGGACCCUGUAACAGGGAAGUGCCAGUGGACGGAUGAGCAACUACAAAUACCAGUCAAGAAACUUCGACACUAUAUCGAUGCAGCGUAGCGAGGGACGCUCCUUCCAAACAGGGAGAAGGACGAGCUCACAAUGGCCCUUGGGAAUCCUGAGCACCCUGGAUGGACACGAGGCACGCCAGGCUCCAUUCCAUGGAAGGUUGGUCUUCCGCACACAGGGGGUUACAAAACCCACGAGAGGAGGAAGAAACUGGAGCAGGACCAAAUGCAGGCGCUGCACGAAAGGGUAAUGGGGCUAGAGGAACGAGAAGCAGCAGAUCGCAGCAAACGACAUGCCGAAGCUUCCCCCGAAGCUACCUCGCCAUCUCAGCGGAGAAGCAGCGUGGCUUCCACCGAGCUGCUUCAGCCGGAGCAUGUCUUGACGUCUCCUGCCAGCUAUCCCGUGGAUGGUAUCACGGAGUCUCAAAGUUGCCACAUUAUGACGCAAUGUAUGAAUUUGAAGGUCAAGGCGGCUGUUGGCCAAGUUUAUCCUAGUGGACCCGGCACAACUUAUCACUGCCAGCCGAUUCCAGAAGGAUUUGCUAAGGUGAUGGUGGAUGAAAUAACGGAGGGAUUUGAGGACCUCCUGCUUGAGCACCCUACCGGUGAAGGGGAGACUAGGCUGGGUUCUGCUCUGAAGACUCCAUGCCUAUGGCGGAAGGAGCUCAUCAACCUUCCGAACUGGACGCCUCCGCCUCCUCCUCCUCCUCCGGCGAGUCAGGGCACUCCGCCUCCUCCACCGCCUCCUCCUCCGGCGAGUGAUGAUCAGGGCACACGUGGCAGCACUCCGCCUCCUUCUCCGCCUGCGCCGGCGCGCCCGAGCAGCCAGCCUCCUCCUUCUCCGCCUCGUCAGCAAGGGCGAAAGAGACCCGCCGCUGCUCCGGCUGCUCCGGCGCGUCGUAAUCCUUCUCCUCCGCCUCACAAAAAGCAAGCAAAGAAGACAUCCACUCCGUCUGCUCUGUCGGUGUCUAGCAGUACAGCCAAAGGCGGGAAGAAAUACAGAUUUGGUCCUUCUCCGAAGACUCCAGAGAAGUUACCGUACGAGAGGACCGAGGAGGAAAACGCGGAGAUCACGCAGAACGAACUGGAUGGCUGGUUUGCAGGGUUGAAAGCAAAGAGACAUCCACCUCCGGAGGAGAAGGUAGAUCCGGUGAAAGUGAAGCGCACUCUGGCUGCCCUGAGGAAACCGGCAAAGUCUCCGCCGAGAACCAACUAUGAGCGCAUUACUGAACAGACAUAUCUCCAAGCGGAGCAGUCGGGAAGUACUGUCAGACAUCAAAGAGCAAAAGAACGAGCAGCUGCGAAAAAAGUUGACCAGCUCGGCGAACAACCAAACCAAUCGUGCCCCCCGCUCAAUGUGUCUAGCGGCAACAUCGUCGCUAAUGUUCCGGGGAUCAUGGACGGUUAUGGCAAUCCACAAUAUUACCUGCCUGACGAUGCACUUCCUGAAUUCAUGAUGGUGGAAGAACGCAGAUACGAGUACGGGAAGCCUCUCAUCAAAGAUGUAAAAUCUCUAACAACGAUGAUGCGAAGAUUCCAUACUUGGUACAUGAAAACCUGCAGAGAGUCUGGGGGGACGAAUAGUUUGUAUCUACACAUUAAAGAGGAGCACGACCUCGUUGGAACUGAUCUGUUGUGUGUUCCAUUUGAGGAGUUCUUCGCGUUCUUCAAUCAAAUAGCCCUCGAUAAAUUAACGGUCUUUUGCUACUGCCUGUAAGUACUAUUUCUGUCAUUAAGUCUCUAUAUAUAGCUUGGCUUUCAUUACAUGUAUUUAUAAUUAAUUAUCCUCAAUAUAUUAUGCAGAUUGAAGAUCGUCGAGUGCAAAAAAAUGAAAUCUAUGAUAUUGGGUUCAUUAACACAAAUAUCAUAGAUGUAUUUCUGGUUGAAAAGCACAUCGAAGAGGCCGAGGACAACUUGCUACGAUCAUUGAUCAAAAAUCAAAACAAAGAUACCAUACUCUUUCCUUACAACACCAAGUGAGUGUUACUGAUCAUUUGCAUAUUCGGUUUCCCUUAUUACUCGAGCGAGGUUAUAGUAAUGUAAUUGAUGAGUUAUGCAUGUGUGCGCAGGUACCACUAUAUUCUUCUGGAGAUUAAGCUUGAGCGUGGACUAGUAACCGUCUUAGACUCGAGACGGAAAGAUCCCAGCACCUAUGCGGACAUGACUGAAAUGCUCAGCAAGUAAGUUCAAUCGAUCAUUAUCGCACCAUAGCGGCAACUUUUUGUUCAUUUCCUGAUAUCUCAAGUAAUAAUAAUUAUUUUCUUUGUCUUGCAGGGUUUGGAAACAGUUCACCACAGUAGCUCGGGGACUGCCGAAGGAGCUGCGAUAUAUAUACCCGAAAGUAAGUACUACUGGCUAGCUAGUUGUGUGCAUCUCCUGUUGAUUCUAUAGCUAUACUUUCAUCACAUUUAUAAUGCUUCAUUAUCAGUUUGAUAGACCUCUAUUUCUCGUAAAGUGCUUGUGGUAGGAACAAGGGAAUGAUUUCUAUAGAUACUACGUGUGCGAGUUCAUCUACAACGCGACUUUGAAAAAUAAGCGGGGCUACUCUCAAAGACAAUAUGAAGUGCGUAAGCAAUUAAUAAUAUUCACAAUUUCUGUUGAGUUUCAUUCAUAUAUAUAUAUAUAUAUAUAUAUAUAUAUAUAUAUGUAUUAAUUAACCCCCUUCUUCAAAUUAGACGUGGCAGAUGCGGAAUGAACUCCUAGAACCAGAUCGCAUGAAAGGAAUUCAAGAGGAAUUGGCGGGAUUCUUUCUUGACCACGUCAUCAAUAAAGCCGGAGAAUACCAUGUGGAACUUGAUUUCAAAUGCUAGGGGACUGUAAUUGAGAGAUCUUAUAUAUUGUACAUGUUGUAUGUAGCCAGUAGCGUCGGACAUACAUGAUACAAAAACUUGUUGUUUGACCAAUCUCUCGGAGAAGGAGACGUCGAUCGAUCACUUCUCUCGGUAUGCAUGACGAACUUCUGUACUUAAUGGUUUCCUUCAUUUUCUUACUAGCUAGCGUGUCGAGAGCCUCUCUAUGUAUAGUACGUAGCGUCGACCAAGCACGGACAUAAGAGAGGACACUUCUCUCUAUUAAUUAGCUAGCUAACACAAUAUAUGAAACACCUAAAUUAACCCCCAAAACCNNNNNNNNNNNNNNNNNNNNNNNNNNNNNNNNNNNNNNNNNNNNNNNNNNNNNNNNNNNNNNNNNNNNNNNNNNNNNNNNNNNNNNNNNNNNNNNNNNNNNNNNNNNNNNNNNNNNNNNNNNNNNNNNNNNNNNNNNNNNNNNNNNNNNNNNNNNNNNNNNNNNNNNNNNNNNNNNNNNNNNNNNNNNNNNNNNNNNNNNNNNNNNNNNNNNNNNNNNNNNNNNNNNNNNNNNNNNNNNNNNNNNNNNNNNNNNNNNNNNNNNNNNNNNNNNNNNNNNNNNNNNNNNNNNNNNNNNNNNNNNNNNNNNNNNNNNNNNNNNNNNNNNNNNNNNNNNNNNNNNNNNNNNNNNNNNNNNNNNNNNNNNNNNNNNNNNNNNNNNNNNNNNNNNNNNNNNNNNNNNNNNCCCCCUGCCUGGGCUCGGCGCGUGGAUGCCUUUUGGUCCCGGUUGGUGCCACCAACCGGGACCAAAGGCCCCCCUGCCUGGGCUCGGCGCACAGGCCACGUGGAGGACCAUCUAUCCCGGUUCGUGUUACAACCGGGACUAAAGGGGGGAGGUAUUAGUAACGACCCAUUAGUCCCGGUUCAUGAACCGGGAGUAAAGGCCCUCACGAACCGGGACUAAUAGGUGUUUGUCUACUAGUGAUAAGCCUAUGACUUAUGAAGUUGGUGAGAAGGCUUACCUUCGGGUUACACCUUUAAAGGGAACCCAUCGAUUCGGUAUCAAGGGCAAGUUGGCCCCUUGUUACAUUGGACCCUUUUGCAUUCUUGCCAAACGAGGGGAAGUUGCCUACCAGUUGGAACUACCUCCACAUCUUUCUAGAGUUCAUGAUGUCUUCCACGUCUCUCAACUCAGGCAUUGCUUCUCGAAUCAUAUCCGCGAAGUAGACCAUGAAACGCGUGAUCUCCAAGAAAAUCUCACUUAUCGAGAAUAUCCAAUUCGCAUCCUUGAUCAAGCCGAGCGUACCACUCGACGCCAGAAUAUCAAGUUUCUCAAGGUUCAAUGGUCACACCACUCCGAUCAAGAAGCAACUUGGGAAAGGGAGGAUCAUCUACGACUUGAGUAUCCCACCUUCUUCCCGAUAGACCCUAAAUCUCGGGAUGAGAUUCUUUUGAGUGGGGGUGAGUUGUCACAACCUAGCUAGUCCAUGCAUUAGAGUGUUGCAUCAUGUCUACCUUUUAUCAGAAACUUGAAUUGGGGAAGACAGAACCCCCCCAGAACCCCUCUAAAUUCAACUAGUGCUUACUAAAAAUAUUUUCAAUGAACCUGAAAUGCCCUUCUAAAAAGUUCACCCUCUUUGUCUUGGGUUAGAACCUCUGGCAAAAUUGGUGCACAAUUUUCUAGGUCAACAGAAGGCCAUUGAAUUAAAUCAUAUCUACUUUGAGUUUGGGCAUUUAAACUAUAUAAAAUAUUUCAAAUGCUCAAAUAACUCCAAACUAAAAUGUUCCAUACUGGAUAUAUUCCAACUAGCGACCAUGUGCAGUUUGGUGAUUUUUGGAGUUGCCUAAGUAUUUUUAGAAAUGCAACAAACUUACAGAAACAAUUAAAAACAGAAACAAAUGGGGAAAAAACCCUUACCUGGCCGAACCAAGCCCCAGCCCAGCUGGCCGGCCCAGCACUGUGCUGGCCCAUGCCAGCCAGCUGCUUUGCCAUCGCCACGCAGGCACAGAGCUGACGCCAGCGAGUGUGAGCUCGCCACGGCGCCAACUGCUUGCCGCCCGCGCCACCGAGCACCUGGGUGAGCUCCACGUCGCCACCCCGACCCCGUGGACACCUCAUUCGCCCCCCUGCCUCUUCCCUCGCUCUCCCGCACCAUGGCCGACGCACCCGUCGCCGCACCGCCGACGUAGUCGCGCCCUCCAUCGUCCCCGUGCUGCACCACCGUGUCCCUUCGCUCCGUCGUCAUCAACUACAUCGAGCAGGCCGAGCCCCGAGCGCUCGUGGGCCUUGCUUCGUCUUCUUUGACCUCAUCUUCACCGAGCACCACCGCAGAUCCCCUUCGCCGUCGCCGCUGCACCAGCUCGUCCCCGACCUCGCCGACCACUCCGUUGUGACCGCCGUGAGCUCAGCCACCUCCCCAUCCUCCCCGUUUGCCUUCUCGUGCACCGUAGCAGCCGCAUGGAGCUUCAUCGCACGCACCACCGCCGAGCUCGUCGCCGACGUGCCUCCGGCCAUCCACCGUCCACACCACGGUAUCUAACAUGCUCAUUGCAUCGCGUAGAGUCUAACGCCCCACUCCACGCGCCUCGCCGUGCCCCGUAGCCACGGGUCAAUUUUCACCCGACUCCGGCGACCGUCGCGGUCGUCGCUGCCGACGUUCCUGGCCACCUCGACCUCAACCACCACCACCAAACGCCGCGGCUUGUUCCUGGCUACACGUAGAUGGUCUUCGCCGUCCAUUUGGUCGCCGGAACGUGCUAACCCACUUCCUCUGCCGCAUCUGGCCUCGCCAGCGGCUAGACGCCGGCGUGUUUGACCCGUUGACGUUGACUGGGUGGGCCAGGUUGACUCCCCUGAGUCUAUGACAAGUGGGCCCCCCCCUCUGCUAAUUAACCUAGUUUAGUUCUUACUAAAAUCAGUUAGUUUAAAUAAGUGCUGACAUGCGGGACCCACUGGUCAGUUUGACCUGAACGACCCCUUUGACCAUUGACGUCACCCUGAUGCACUGCUGACGCAAUAACCAAUUUCUGGAUUUAUUGUUAUAUAGGAAAUUCCAGAAAUUGUUGCAAACUUCAAAAAUUCAUAGAAAUUAAUCUGUAACUCCAAAUGCAAAGAUUUAUAUAUGAAUUUCGAUCAAAAAAAUUCAAUAUAUCCAUUGGUAAUGGUUUCAUGCAUGUCAGAACAAGUUAACCUUGUUGUUUAAUCAAAACAAGUUAAUGCACUAAUAUGACUAUGUUAAAUGAACUACCAUUUGCAUCUUUGAUUCAAAUGAGUUCAUACCUUUCUGUUCUAGCUUGCAUUAGGCCAGGACACAUUCAUGUUGCCAUGUCAUAGCAUGCAUCAUAUUGUUGCAUAUCGUCAUGUGUGGUUCAUGUUCGGUGUGUUUUCGUGAUAGGUUCUGCCUCCGAGGAUAACCCCGAAUAUCCGUCUGAAGGGCAGUAUCCUACUACCACUACAUCAGGCAAGCAACCCAUUGAUCAUUCUGAUACAAACCCAUGUUCUCGCCUCUGCUCUUGUUUACUGCAUUAAGAUAACGCGAUUCAAACUGUUGUGUGUUGUGGUAGUUGAACCCACUUCCUUUGCAUGACCUGUCAUUGCCACGGUAACUAGAUGAAACCCACUAGCAUGUGUAGGAGUUGAUUGAGCCAUAUCUGUGUUACCUACCAUGCUAUGCUUGCUAUGCUUAGAGUUGUGUCAGGUCUGGCUCAUCAGGAUGAUGAACUAGAGUGAAAGGUUGUGUCGGUAACGAGAGUGAAGUGUUGAACACGAUUUGGUAAAGGUAUCGAUGAGAGGCCAUGUAGGAGUACAUGGUGGGUUGUUUCAUUGAGGCCGUCCUUAAGCACUGAGAUCUGUGUGUGUGAUUUAAGAUUCAGCUACUACCACGCAUUGGGCCCAAAACCAAUGGACCCUCUCGACUUAUUAACCACUCUUGUCCUCAGUCCGGGAGUUGCAAGUAGUUUCUGGUGUUUGUAGCAUGCUGGGGGCCGCACGCAGCGCUGACCUUAGGGGUGGGUUGUGUUGCGGUAGGCACGUGGCACGGUGUAUCGAUUCGCCCGUUUGGUGUCUCGGGAACCCUGUUCACAUCGUUCGGGGCCGUUAGUGGAAACCUCGGCCGGACUCCCUGCGGAUGGAACCCAAAUAGGCGAUAAACCUGGACUAGGGACUCGUGUGUUUAGUCAGGCCAUGGCCGACACCCUUGCUGGGCUUCCGCUUGAAGGUUGCCGAGUACACGUCAUGUAGUGGCGAUAAGUGGUGAGAGCGUGUGUGAAGAAGUACACCCCUGCAGGGUACAAAACUAUUCGAAUAGCCGCGUCCACGGUAAAGGACUACUUGGUCACCUAUACAGUUCAUAGACAAGUAAAUGGAUACUUCUAAAAGCCUCAAGAUAAGUGUGAGUGCCGCGGAUGGCCCUGUCGUAGGUUGACGAGAGAGGAUCCACGGUGGAGUAUUGUGUUGGUGAGUAGUGGACUCGUGUGCGACAAAUGUUUUGCAAGUUGUGUCUAUCGUUGGAUAGCUUAGCCAAGAGUCAAAGCUGGCUUGCUGCAAUAACUCCACUACCUUCUUGAGAAUGUGCAUGUAUGAUAGGAUUCUGUUGUAAGACUUGCUGAGUACCUCUGUACUCAUGUUUGCUUAAUUAAUGUUUUCAGACGACAACACCAACCCCUCCGAUGGGUUCUACGUAGACCUCGACGUUGACGAGUGACUAGCCACCCAAGUGGUGAUCCAAGACUUGUGAAGGGCCGAUGUAGAUAGAAAGGCUUCAUCAAGCCCUCUUUCUUUCUAGUGUCUGUACUCAGACUAGUUGCUUCCGCAUGUGCUUGUAUGCUUGUAUGACUUGAGUGUCAGGUCAUGUGACCCCUAUCUGUAUGAACAUGUUAUGUAUGGCUCCUCGGAGCCACUUAAAUAAAGUACUUUGAGUUGUAGAGUUUUGUUGUGAUGCCAUGUUGUAUGUACUCAUAUCGGGCAUAUUGUGUGUAUGUUUGAAAUGCUUGGUAUGAGUGGGAUCCGACAAUCUAGUUGUUUAUCCUUGGCAGCCUCUCAUAUGGGGAAAUGUAGUCUAGUGCUUCUUGAGCGAUAGUAGUCCGCUACAGCCCGGUUCACCGGAGUCCUGCUAGCCCAGUACUACUGCUCUGGACACUUGACUGGCCGGCAUGUGUUUCACUUUGUUCCUGUGUCUGUCCCUUCGGGGAAAUGUCAAGCGGUGGCAUCCGGAGUCCUGCCUAGCCUGCUACAGCCCGGGUUACCGGAGUCCUGUUAGCCCAGCGUUACAUCCCGGAUGUAUACGUUGAUGACCAACAUGCUCGAUGUGAUUCAUGUAUGCAUGUCCCCAUAGGUUAGCGCCGCUUGGGUUCACGACUAGCCAUGUCGGCCCGGGUUCUCAGUCAUGUGGAUGCUAGCGACACUAUCAUAUACGUGAGCCAAAAGGCGCAAACGGUCUCGGGCCAUGGUAAGGCGCCACCCGUGGGAUUACCGUGCGUGAGGCCGCAAAGUGAUAUGAGGUGUUACCGGCUGGAUCAAUGUGACUUGGAAUCGGGGUCCUGACAAUUACUUGCUCCUAUCAUAUGUUUGGUUGCAACAAUGUCACUUCUUCACAUAUGCCAUGUCCCAUUGCUUGUCUCAUGCUUGACUUCAUUGCCUCACACAUGAUGAACAAUUGCUCUUUAUAUUGUGUUGAGUGUUACACUAUAUUCACUACAUCCUAUGCACGUUAUGUUUGGAUUGUCUUGCACUUGACCCAUGUGUUUAGACACUUCAUUUUAUUUGGUGUUGUGAAUCCUUCCUAUGCCUACCAUAGACCUUUCAUUGAGCAAUUUGUGAAUGCUUGCUAUGACCUCGAGGUAGAUGCUUAUGCUCUUGUCACACAUAUUUGCAUCUCUACCUCACAUUUACAUGCUUGUUCCCAUGAUAUUUUUGCUUGUGCUCGAUUGAUAUGCUUACAUGCCAUGUCACAAUCCUUUGUCACACCCUAUGCUAUGCUUGAUGACAACACUUGUUUGGUGAAUCACCUCUUGAAUGCUUGGUUUUGCACGAACGCAAACCACAUUUGUUUUUCCACGGGUUUGUUCUAUUUGCUCCUUUUGAAGGAAUCACAAGAUGGUGCGACACUGGAGAGUGCCCACUUCGAGCUACUAGACGAUGAGUGCUUGGUGAUCGACCACUUCGAUAUGGCACCGCCAUCUCUUUCCUAUGGUGAUUUGGUUUUCGAUCCGAGGUCGAAUCCUUCUCAAGGGGGAGGGGAUGAUGCGGAGCAUCCUAUGGACAUCACCAUGUCAAGAGUCCAUUCGGCAAGUGACACGUGCGACAUCUACUUCUCAUACAUAAAGGUGAAUCUUCUCCUUUACACGUGUUCACUUGACCCCUUCGAGGAUGGUAUACUACUUGACACUUCUCCCGUGUGCAUGCAUAGGUAUUGUCAGAGCUUUACGGAUGUCGAGGAGUGCAAGCGCCAAGGAACGACUACACCGUCCGCGAGGGAAGCAUGGAAGAGAAGGAGGAAGAGAACCUGGUGUUGGGGAACGUAGUAAUUUCAAAAUUUUCCUACGCACAUGCAAGAUCAUGGUGAUGAUAUAGCAACGAGGGGAGAGUGUUGUCUACGUACCCUCGUAGACCGAAGCGGAAGCGUUGACGCAGCGUAGAGGAAGUAGUCCUACGUCCUCCCGGUCCGACCGAUCCAAGCACCGUUACUCCGGCACCUCUGAGUUCUUGACACACGUACAGCUCGAUGACGCACCCUCGAUCUCCAAUCCAGUAGAGGCUCCAAGGGGGAGUUCCGUCAGCACGACGGCGUGGUGACUAUCUUGAUGUUCUCCUGUCGCAGGGCUUCGCCUAAGCACCGCUACAAUAUGACCGAGGUGUAAUAUCGUGGAGGGGGGCACCGCACACGGCUAAGGAACGAUCAAUGAUCAACUUGUGUGUUCUAGGGUGCCCCCUACCCCCGUAUAUAAAGGAGGGAGGGAGGAGGUGGCCGACCCAAGGAGGGGGCGCGCCAUGGGAGGAGGAAACCUACUCCAAGUAGGUUUCCCCUCUUUUUCCUUAUCUUAUUUGGAGGGGGAAGGAAGGAGUACUAGUAGUAGGAAGGAGUACUAGUAGUAGGAAAGGAAGAGGGGGAAGGAGAAAGGAAAGGGGGGGCCGGCCCCCCUCCCCAAUUCGGAUUGGGCUUGGGGGGGCGCGCCCCCCUCCCUUGCUCCUUCUCCCUUCCUCCUACAUGGGCCCAAUAAGGCCCAUAUACCUCCCGGGGGGGUUUCGGUAACCUCCCGGAGCUCCAAACUCUUCCGGAACCUUUCCGGUGUCCAAAUAUAUCCGUCCAAUAUAUCGAUCUUUAUGUAUCGACCAUUUCGAGACUCCUCGUCAUGUCCGUGAUCAUAUCCGGGACUCCGAACAAACUUCGGUACAUCAAAAUACAUAAACUCAUAAUAUAACUGUCAUCGAAACCUUAAGCGUGCGGACCCUACGGUUCGAGAACGAUGUAGACAUGACCGAGACAUGUCUCUGGUCAAUAACCAAUAGCGGGACCUGGAUGCCCAUAUUGGUUCCUACAUAUUCUACGAAGAUCUUUAUCGGUCAAACCGCAUAACAGCAUACGUUGUUCCCUUUGUCAUUGGUAUGUUACUUGUCCGAGAUUUGAUCGUCGGUAUCCAAUACCUAGUUCAAUCUCGUUACCGACAAGUCUCUUUACUCGUUCUGUAAUACUUCAUCUCAUAACUAACUCAUUAGUUAUAUGCUUGCAAGGCUUAUGUGAUGAGCAUUACCGAGAGGGCCCAGAGAUACCUCUCCGACAAUCGGAGUGACAAAACCUAAUCUCGAAUUAUGCUAACUCAACAUGUACCUUCGGAGACACCUGUAGUACUCCUUUAUAAUCACCCAGUUACGUUGUGACGUUUGGUAGUACCCAAAGUGUUCCUCCGAUAAACGGGAGUUACACAAUUCUCAUAGUUACAGGAACAUGUAUAAGUCAUGAAGGAAGCAAUAGCAGAAUACUAAACGAUCAAGUGCUAAGCUAACGGGAUGGGUCAUGUCAAUCACAUCAUUCUCCUAAUGAUGUGAUCCCAUUAAUCAAAUGACAACACAUGUCUAUGGUUAGGAAACAUAACCAUCUUUGACUAAUGAGCUAGUCAAGUAGAGGCAUACUAGUGACUAUAUGUUUGUCUAUGUAUUCACACAUGUAUCAUGUUUCCGGUUAAUACAAUUCUAGCAUGAAUAAUAAACAUUUAUCAUGAUAUGAGGAAAUAAAUAAUAACUUUAUUAUUGCCUCUAGGGCAUAUUUCCUUCAGUCUCCCACUUGCACUAGAGUCAAUAAUCUAGUUCACAUCGCCAUGUGAUUUAACACCAAUAUUCAUAUCUGUAUAUGAUUAACACCCAUAGUUCACAUCAUCAUGUGACCAACAUCCAAAGUGUUUACUAGAGUCAAUAAUCUAGUUCACAUCGCUAUGUGAUUAACACCCAAAGAGUACUAAGGUGUGAUCAUGUUUUGCUCGUGAGAGAAGCUCAGUCAACGGGUCUGUCACAUUCAGAGCCAUAUGUAUUUUGCAAAUAUUCUAUGUCUACAAUGCUCUGCACGGAGCUACUCUAGCUAAUCGCUCCCACUUUCAAUAUGUAUCCAGAUUGAGACUUAGAGUCAUCUGGAUCGGUGUGAAAACUUGCACCGAGAUAACUUUUACGACGGGCUCUUUUAUCACCUCCAUAAUCGAGAAAUAUUUCCUUAGUCCUCACUAAGGAUAUUCUUGACCAAUGUCCAGUGAUCUACUCCUAGAUCACUAUUGUACUCCCUUGUCAAAUACAGAGCAAGGUAUACAAUAGGUCUGGUACAUAGCAUGGCAUACUUUAUAGAACCUAUGACUGAGGCAUAGGGAAUGACUUUUCAUUCUCUUUCUAUUUUCUGCUGUGGUCGGGAUUUGAGUCUUACUCAAUUUCAUACCUUUGCAACACAGGCAAGAACUCUUUCUUUGACUGUUCCAUUUUGAACUACUUCAAAAUCUUGUCAAGGUAUGUACUCAUUGAAAAUCUUAUCAAGCGUCUUGAUCUAUCUCAAUAGAUCUUGAUGCUCAAUAUGUAUGUAGUUUUACUGAGGUCUUUCUUUGAAAAAACUCUUAUUCAAGUAUCCUUUAAUGCUUUGCAGAAUAAUUCUACAUUAUUUCCGAUCAGCAAUAUGUCAUUCACAUAUACUUAUCAGAAAUGCUGUAGUGCUCCCACUCACUUUCUUGUAAAUACAGGCUUCACCGCAAGUCUGUAUAAUACUAUAUGCUUUGAUCAACUUAUCAAAGCGUAUAUUCCAACUCUGAGAUGCUUGCACCAGUCCAUAGAUGGAUUGCUGGAGCUUGCACAUUUUGUUAGCACCUUUAGGAUUGACAAAACCUUCUGGUUGUAUCAUAUACAACUCUUCUUUAAUAAAUUCAUUAAGGAAUGUAGUUUUGACAUCCAUUUGCCAAAUUUCAUAAAAUGUGGCAAUUGCUAACAUGAUUCGGACAAACUUUUAAGCAUCGAUACGAGUAAGAAAAUCUCAUCGUAUUCAACACCUUGAACUUUGUCAAAAACCUUUUUUCGACAAGUCUAGCUUUGUAGAUAGUAACACUACUAUCAACGUCCGUCUUCCUCUUGAAGAUCCAUUUAUUCUUAAUGACUCACUGAUCAUCGGGCAAGUCAAUCAAAGUCUACACUUUGUUCUCAUACAUGGAUCAUAUCUCAGAUUUCAUGGCCCCAAGCCAUUUCGUGGAAUCUGGGCUCAUCAUCGCUUCCUCAUAGUUCGUAGGUUCAUCAUGGUCUAGUAACAUGACUUCCAGAACAUGAUUACCGUACCACUCUGGUGCGGAUCUUACUCUGGAAGACCUACGAGGUUUGGUAGCAACUUGAUCUGAAGUUUGAUGAUCAUCAUCAUUAACUUCCUCACUAAUUGGUGUAGGAAUCACUGGAACUGAUUUCUGUGAUGAACUACUUUCCAAUAAGGGAGAAGGUACAAUUACCUCAUCAAGUUUUACUCUCCUCCCACUCACUUCUUUCGAGAGAAACUCCUUCUCUGGAAAGGAUCCAUUUUAGCAACGAAUGUCUUGCCUUCGGAUCUGUGAUAGAAGGUGUACCCAACAAUUUCCUUUGGGUAUUCUAUGAAGACGCACUUCUCCGAUUUGGGUUCGAGCUUAUCAGGAUGAAACUUUUUCACAUAAGCAUCGCAGCCCCAAACUUUAAGAAACAACAGCUUAGGUUUACUGCUAAACCAUAGUUCAUACGGUGUCGUCUCAACGGAUUUAAAUGGUGCCCUAUUUUAAAACGUGAAUGCAGCUGUCUCUAAUGCAUAACCCCAAAACGAUAGUGGUAAAGAGACAUCAUAGAUCGCACCAUAUCAAAUAAAGUGCGGUUACGACGUUCGGACACACCAUAACGAUGUGGUGUUCCAGGUGGUGUGAGCUGUGAAACUAUUCCACAUUGUUUUAAUUGAAGACCAAACUCGUAACUCAAAUAUUUGUCUCCGCUAUCAGAUCGCAGAAACUUUAUUUUCUUGUUACGAUGAUUUUUCCACUUCACUCUGAAAUUCUUUGAACCUUUCAACUAUUUCAGACUUAUGUUUCAUCAAGUAGAUAUACCCAUAUCUGCUCAAAUCAUCUUGUGAAGGUCAGAAAAUAACGAUACUUGCCACGAGCCUCAACACUCAUUGGAUCGCAUACAUCGGUAUGUAUUAUUUCCAAUAAGUCAGUAGCUUGUUCCAUUAUUCCGGAGAACGGAGUUUUAGUCAUCUUGCCCAAAAGGCACGGUCCGCAAGCAUCAAAUGAUUCAUAACCAAGUGAUUCCGAAAAUCCAUCUUUAUGGAGUUUCUUCAUGCGCUUUACACCGAUAUGACCCAAACGGCAGUGCCACAAAUAAGUUGCACUAUCAUUAUUAACUUUGCAUCUUUUGGCUUCAAUAUUAUGAAUGUGUGUAUCACACGAUCGAGAUCCAACAAACCAUUUUCAUUGGGUGUAUAACCAUAGAAAGUUUUAUUCAUGAAAACAGAACAACAAUUAUUCUCUAACUUACAUGAAUAACCGUAUUGCAAUAAACAUGAUCAAAUCAUAUUCAUUCUCAACGCAAACACCAAAUAACACUUAUUUAGGUUUAACACUAAUCCCGGAAGUAUAGGGAGUGUGCGAUGAUGAUCAUAUCAAUCUUGGAACUAUUUCCAACACACAUCGUCACUACACUCUUAACUAGUCUCUGUUUAUUCUGCAACUCCCGUUUCGAGUUACUAAUCUUAGCAACCGAACAAGUAUCAAAUACUUAGGGGCUACUAUAAACACUAGUAUGGAACACAUCAAUAAUCUGUAUAUCAAAUAUACCCUUGUUCACUUUGCCAUCCUUCUUAUCAACCAAAUAUUCAGGGCAUUUCCGCUUCCAGUGACCAUUUCCUUUGCAGUGUAAACACUCAGUUUCAGGCUAUGGUCCAGCUUUGGGCUUGUCUUUCCACUUGAAGUUCCCUUUCUUUCCCUUUGCCCUUCUCUUGAAACUAGUGGUCUUGUCAAUCAUCAACACUUGAUGCUCUUUCUUGAUUUCUACCUUCGUCGAUUUCAACAUCACGAAGAGCUCGGGAAUCAUUUUUUCGUCAUCCCUUGCAUACUAUAGUUCAUCACGAAGUUCUAGUAACUUAGUGAUGGUGACUAGAGAAUUCUGUCAAUCACUAUCUUAUCUGGAAGAUUAACUCCCACUUGAUUCAAGCGAUUGAAGUACCCAGACAAUCUGAGCACAUGCUCACUAGUUGAGCGAUUCUCCUCCAUCUUUUAGCUAUAGAACUUGUUGGAGACUUCAUAUCUCUCAACUCGGGUAUUUGCUUGAAAUAUUAACUUCAAUUCCUGGAACAUCUCAUAUGGUCCAUGAUGUUCAAAACAUCUUUGAAGUCCCGAUUCUAAGCCGUUAAGCAUGGUGCACAAAACUAUCAAGUAGUCAUCAUAUUGAGCUAGCCAAACGUUCAUAACGUCUACAUUUGCUCCUGCAUUAGGUCUUUCACCUAGCGGUGCAUUAAGGACAUAAUUCUUCUGUGCAGCAAUGAGGAUAAACCUCAGAUCACGGAUCCAAUCCGCAUCAUUGCUACUAACAUCUUUCAACACAGUUUUCUCUAGGAACAUAUCAAAAUAAACAUAUGAAAGCAACAACGCGAGCUAUUGAUCUAUAACACAAUUUGCAAAAUACUACCAGGACUAAGUUCAUGAUAAAUUAAAGUUCAAUUAAUCAUAUUACUAAAGAACUCCCACUUAGACAGACAUCUCUCUAGUCAUCUAAGUGAUCACGUGAUCCAAAUCAACUAAACCAUGUCCGAUCAUCACGUGAGAUGGAGUAGUUUCAAUGGUGAACAUCGCUAUGUUGAUCAUAUCUACUAUAUGAUUCACGCUCGACCUUUCGGUCUCCGUGUUCCGAGGCCAUAUCUGUAUAUGCUAGGCUCGUCAAGUAUAACCUGAGUAUUCCGCAUGUGCAACUGUUUUGCACCCGUUGUAUUUGAACGUAGAGCCUAUCACACCCGAUCAUCACGUGGUGUCUCAGCACGAAGAACUUUCGCAACGGUGCAUACUCAGGGAGAACACUUCUUGAUAAUUAGUGAUAGAUCAUCUUAAAAUGCUACCGUCAAUCAAAGCAAGAUAAGAUGCAUAAAGGAUAAACAUCACAUGCAAUCAAUAUAAGUGAUAUGAUAUGGCCAUCAUCAUCUUGUGCUUGUGAUCUCCAUCUCCGAAGCACCGUCGUGAUCACCAUCGUCACCGGCGCGACACCUUGAUCUCCAUCGUAGCAUCGUUGUCGAUUACGCCAUCUAUUGCUUCUACGACUAUCGCUACCGCUUAGUGAUAAAGUAAAGCAAUUACAGGGCGUUUCCAUUUCAUACAAUAAAGUGACAACCAUAUGGCUCCUGCCAGUUGCCGAUAACUUCGGUUACAAAACAUGAUCAUCUCAUACAAUAAAAUAUAGCAUCACGUCUUGGCCAUAUCACAUCACAACAUGCCCUGCAAAAACAAGUUAGACGUCCUCUACUUUGUUGUUGCAAAUUUUACGUGGCUGCUACGGGCUUAGCAAGAACCGUUCUUACCUACGCAUCAAAACCACAACGAUAGUUUGUCAAAUAGACUCCGUUUUAACCUUCACAAGGACCGGGCGUAGCCACACUCGGUUCAACUAAAGUUGGAGAAACAGACACCCGCCAGUCACCUGUGUGCAAAGCAUGGCGGUAAAACCAGUCUCGCGUAAGCGUACGCGUAAUGUCGGUCCGGGCCGCUUCAUCCAACAAUACCGCUGAACCAAAGUAUAACAUGCUGGUAGGCAGUAUGACUUAUAUCGUCCACAACUCACUUGUGGUCUACUCGUGCAUAUAACAUCAACGAAUAAAACCUAGGCUCUGAUGCCACUGUUGGGGAACGUAGUAAUUUCAAAAUUUUCCUACGCACAUGCAAGAUCAUGGUGAUGAUAUAGCAACGAGGGGAGAGUGUUGUCUACGUACCCUCGUAGACCGAAGCGGAAGCGUUGACGCAACGUAGAGGAAGUAGUCGUACGUCCUCCCGGUUCGACCGAUCCAAGCACCGUUACUCCGGCACCUCCGAGUUCUUGACACACGUACAGCUCGAUGACGCACCCUCGAUCUCCAAUCCAGUAGAGGCUCCGAGGGGGAGUUCCGUCAGCACAACAGCGUGGUGACUAUAUUGAUGUUCUCCUGUCGCAGGGCUUCGCCUAAGCACCGCUACAAUAUGACCGAGGUGUAAUAUCGUGGAGGGGGGCACCGCACACGGCUAAGGAACGAUCAAUGAUCAACUUGUGUGUUCUAGGGUGCCCCCCUACCCCCGUAUAUAAAGGAGGGAGGGAGGAGGUGGCCGGCCCAAGGAGGGGGCGCGCCAUGGGAGGAGGAAACCUACUCCAAGUAGGUUUCCCCUCUUUUUCCUUAUCUUAUUUGGAGGGGGAAGGAAGGAGUACUAGUAGUAGGAAGGAGUACUAGUAGUAGGAAAGGAAGAGGGGGAAGGAGAAAGGAAAGGGGGGGCCGGCCCCCUCCCCAAUUCGGAUUGGGCUUGGGGGGGCGCGCCCCCCUCCCUUGCUCCUUCUCCCUUCCUCCUACAUGGGCCCAAUAAGGCCCAUAUACCUCCCGGGGGGUUCCGGUAACCUCCCGAAGCUCCAAACUCUUCCGGAACCUUUCCGGUGUCCAAAUAUAUCCGUCCAAUAUAUCAAUCUUUAUGUCUCGACCAUUUCGAGACUCCUCGUCAUGUCCGUGAUCACAUCCGGGACUCCGAACAAACUUUGGUACAUCAAAAUACAUAAACUCAUAAUAUAACUAUCAUCGAAAACUUAAGCGUGCGGACCCUACGGUUCGAGAACGAUGUAGACAUGACCGAGACAUGUCUCUGGUCAAUAACCAAUAGUGGGACCUGGAUGCCCAUAUUGGUUCCUACAUAUUCUACGAAGAUCUUUAUCGGUCAAACCGCAUAACAGCAUACGUUGUUCCCUUUGUCAUCGGUAUGUUACUUGUCCGAGAUUUGAUCGUCGGUAUCCAAUACCUAGUUCAAUCUCGUUACCGACAAGUCUCUUUACUCAUUCUGUAAUACUUCAUCUCAUAACUAACUCAUUAGUUAUAUGCUUGCAAGGCUUAUGUGAUGAGCAUUACCGAGAGGGCCCAGAGAUACCCCUCCGACAAUCGGAGUGACAAAACCUAAUCUCGAAUUAUGCUAACUCAACAUGUACCUUCGGAGACACCUGUAGUACUCCUUGAUAAUCACCCAGUUACGUUGUGACGUUUGGUAGUACCCAAAGUGUUCCUCCGGUAAACGGGAGUUACACAAUUCUCAUAGUUACAGGAACAUGUAUAAGUCAUGAAGGAAGCAAUAGCAGAAUACUAAACGAUCAAGUGCUAAGCUAACGGGAUGGGUCAUGUCAAUCACAUCAUUCUCCUAAUGAUGUGAUCCCAUUAAUCAAAUGACAACACAUGUCUAUGGUUAGGAAACAUAAUCAUCUUUGACUAAUGAGCUAGUCAAGUAGAGGCAUACUAGUGACUAUAUGUUUGUCUAUGUAUUCACACAUGUAUCAUGUUUCCGGUUAAUACAAUUCUAGCAUGAAUAAUAAACAUUUAUCAUGAUAUGAGGAAAUAAAUAAUAACUUUAUUAUUGCCUCUAGGGCAUAUUUCCUUCACCUGGCCGCUCCAGAACGAGCGGUACUACCGCCCACUCCAAGCGGUACUACCGCUGAGGCCACCCAAGAGGCACUACCGCCCAGCAUCCGCCCUACUACCGCUCAACCCGACAAACUCCAGUGAUCGAGCGGUAUAAGCCCGGUACUACCGCCCCUCCAAGCGGUACUACCGCUCAAGCGGUACUACCACCCAUGAGUCCGGUACUACCGCCCUGCUUGUGAGCAGCCGCGGGCCUUUGGCCUUGUAUCCCUCUCCCACUUACCCCUUCGUGGCUUAGACUAUAAAUAGACCACCUCCACCUCCUUUCUAGGGUUAGAACAGAUUGAGCUUAUUUUGAGAUAGAGCUUUACUCAUCCAUACGGAUCUACUCCUCGUGAGAGACUGCGGCCUCUUCGGAGAAGAUCGAUCUUGGAUUCAAGACCCCUCGUGGGAAGAUCCGUCUAGGAUCAUCAAGACCUCCUCUUGGAGAUGAACCUUACCUUGUAUCUUUCCCUUUGUUGUUCAUGUACCCUUGUGGAUCUUGUGUGUUUGAUUGUCUAGUGGAUGUGUGAUUGGACUUGUUCUUGAGUGUUUCCCCUUGUGAUUUCUCUCCGUUCUUCCCUGUGUUCUUCGUGUUCUUCGUGGGGAUCCACUCCAAACGUGAAAAAUCGGCCUCUAGGGUUCUACCCUACAUCAUCAUCCUUCAAAAAUAUGGAGGGCCAUUAUUGACGGAAGGGAUAUUAUAUGGCGCAAGGUAUAAUCAGACGCAUCGGGGAUGGAGCGACUACACACAUAUGGGAUCACAACUGGAUUAUGAUGGAAAGCUAUAAGAGGCCAAUAACUAAGUUAGUGCAGAACCCCCCUCAGAAACAUUUUAUGUAUACACGUUAACAUUUCCCAGAUAUAUGAUUAAUAUUUUUGGAAAACUUCUAUUUUUUAUGUGUACUUUUUUAUACAUUUUGUAAUAUCAGAAAUAGUUUUUAUAGAAGGUUUAACAUUUUUCAAAUACAUGAUUACCUUUUUGUAAACUUAUAUUGUUUGACGUUUACUUUUUUUCAUAGACAUAGUGAGGGGUUAUAUCUAAGGAAUAGGCCCAAGUACAUGUAUGGCACAACCAAAUGCCCAUGUUAAUCAAGGAUGUUCCACAAGACAAAUGGGGAAACACACCAAGGCCAAUGGAGCUACAAGGCCAAGGCAUCGGAUACAAGGGGAGAGUCAACUAUGUACAGUCGGAUUACACAGCCCUUAACAGACAAGACUCAUCAGUUGGUCCACUAUUGGAAUCAGGUCAUUUGCCGUCAGCCCAGAAUAGACGCGAAGACUUUGCCGUGAGCAAGUUGACGACAAACACAAUCAGCAAAGACUAUAUCGGCAGAGAGCUAAUUUGACGUCAACUUUUCAUCGCGCUGAUGACAAAGACUUUGCCGUCAAUUAAACUAUGUGUUUGUAGUCUGUAGAGAAAACACAAACGGCAAAGAAAUUAAAAAAAUGGUCAUUUUAAAAUAAUUUUUAGAAAUCUAUAUACUGUUUUUUAAAAUGUUUAAUAUGUACCAAGAAUUAUUUCGUAAGUAUACAAAAGAUGUAUAACGUGUAUGAAAAUUACGUAGACAUCAGAACAUAUUAUAGAAAUGUUAAUCUUGUAUUUAAAAAUUUUAAAUACACAUGCAUAAAAAUGUUUUUGAUGUACAUAAAAAAAUUGUACAUAGUGUGUGAACAAAGUAUGCAUUGAAAAAACAAAAAUCUUGUUGGAAAAAAAUCUCGUGUUGUAUACGAAAAUGUAAAAGGUGUAUGAAAAUAAUUAGAUAUAUGUUUAAUGAAAAAAGGAAAGAAGGCGCAAAAAAUCCGAUUAACACCAAGAUAGGAACAAGAAAACCUGAAGAAGACCAUUGAAAAAAAGAAAUGAAUACAAGAAAGAGGAAGAAAAACAAAAAAAAUGAAGAAGCUGAUGCAGAACAGGGAACUUAGUGAAAACGAAUAAAAAUUGAUGAAAACCGAGAAGAAAAACAAGAAAACUGAAGCAAAAAUUAAGAAAAAUAUGUAAAAAAAAUGAUGAAACAUUGCGAAACAGUGAAAUACUAUGAAAACCAAAGGAAAAAAAGACUCAAAAAUAAGAACGUACAGCAAGCGAAUGAACAACAACUGAGUGAACGAGCGAACAUGCGAGAAUACGUUAAUUGUCUGGCCCAUACUUGUGGAUUCCAGAGGCGAGCCAGAAUAGGCGAGAUAUAGCUAUGACGAUUUGAUACCCUUCAUAGCUUCACGAAUGCUAUAUCUCGCUCACAGCGAAAGUAUUUUUUGUCUGGCCUGAAGGUGAAAGAAUAGCAUCAGGUCGCUGUAAGUUUUGUGAUCCUACAAUCAGAGCUCGAUAAGAUUAAAAUUCAUGUUUCUGACAACCAGUCAUUCGCUCACUCAAUUCCACGUACUAGUUUGGUUAGGUUUUUUUUUCAUUUUUUUCUGUUUUUUAUUUCUUCACUGGCUUUCUUUGGUUUUUUUAUCGGUUUUCUUUGUUUCCUUCACGUUUUACUCUUUCUUUUCCUUUUUACUGGUUUAUCUAUUCCUUUUUUCUUUGUUUCUUUCUUGGUUUUCUUUGUUUUUUCUUUCUUUUGAUGUCAACCUUUUUACAUACACAUUCAACAAUUUUCGUAUACAUCAGAAACAUUUUAUGUAUACACGUUAACAAUUCCCAGGUACAUGAUUAAUAUUUUUGGAAAACUUCUAUUUUUUAUGUGUACUUUUUGAUACAUUUUGUAUAUAUCAGAAAUAUUUUUUAUAGAAGGUUUAACAUUUUUUAAAUACAUGAUUACCUUUUUGUAAACUUAUAUUGUUUGACGUUUACUUUUUUUCAUAGACAUAGUGAGGGGUUAUAUCUAAGGAAUAGGCCCAAGUACAUAUAUGGCCCAAGUACAUUUAAUCAAGGAUGUAGUCCACAAGACAAAUGGGGAAACAGACGGGGGCCAAUGGAGCUACAAGGCCAAAGCAUCGGAUACAAGGGGAGAAUCUACAGUCGGAUUACACAACCCUUGACAGACAAGACUCAUUAGUUGGUCCGCUAUAGGAAUCGGGUAAUUUGCCGUCAGCCGAGAACAUACUCAAAGACUUUGCCGUCAGCAAGUUGAUGACAACUUUUCAUCACGUUGAUGACAAAGACUUUGCCGUCAAUUAAACUAUGUGUUUAUCGUCUAUAGAAAAAACACAAACGGCAAAGGAAAGCACCUUUGCCAUCAGCGGCUAAUCUGCAUGUGUCUUCAACAAGACUCGUCUUGUCACUAGCCUCAAACAUCACAGAUGGAAAAGAAAUUUUUUAUUUUAAAAAAUCUGCGUCGACCACCCUACUUCGCACAUGUAGCCACCGCCUGGCCGCGCUCGCUGAUCACCCACAAGUGUAGGGGAUCUAUCGUAGUCCUUUCGAUAAGUAAGAGUGUCGAACCGAACGAGGAGUAGAAGGAAAUGACAAGCGGUUUUUAGUAAGGUAUUCUCUGCAAGCACUGAAAUUAUCGGUAACAGAUAGUUUUGUGAUAAGGUAAUUCGUAACGGGUAACAAGUAACAACAGUAAAUAAAGUGCAGCAAGGUGGCACAAUCCUUUUUGUAGCAAACGACAAGCCUGGACAAAUUCUUAUAUGAAGGAAAACGCUCCCGAGGACACAUGGGAAUUAUCGUCAAGCUAGUUUUCAUCACGCUCAUAUGAUUCACGUUCAUUACUUUGAUAAUUUAAUAUGUGGAUGGACCGGUGCUUGGAUACUGCUCUUUCUUGGAUAAGCAUCCCACUUAUGAUUAACCCCUAUUGCAAGCAUCCGCAACUCAAAAGAAAUAUUAAGGUAAACCUAAUCAUAGCAUGAAACAUUGACACGGCACAUUAUAAAGAGUUCAACCCAAAUUUUGUAGUAACACUAUUAUAUUUAAAUAGUGAUUAUUCCAACACAUGGAUAAUUAAUUAAGGCACCAGGUUGCGCUUGUGACCAGGAAAGACAAACUUAUGAACUUGCAAGCAUGACAAUCAGAUCGACAUCCACACAAUGUCAAUAUGAACAUUGUCUUGAUACAACUUUAUUUGUAUUUUAUUUCAGAAUUUAAACAACUAGUUUGGGCGGGUCACACACGACGUUGUGUGACACUUUAUUUGUCACCGCUGCAUCGACAUAUCCAUCGACUAAACAACGGUGAUCCAACUAUAUAUUACUAGAGACCUUUCCUUAUCAGUAGGCACCAACUCCAGUGCCAACGCCAAAUGGCACACUAGUGGUGGUCCUAUACAACGGCACAUUGACACGGCACAUCAUUGGCAGGGUACGGAGCGCAAUGGAAGUCAUCACCUCAAGCUGAGCUAUCUGGUGUGGCUGCAAAAAGGUACCCUGUGCCAAUUGUUGUUGUUGAGGUUGUUGCCCGAGUUGCUGCUGUGACUGCUGUUGGGGUUGGGAAACGCAUUGGCCCAACUGUUGCGGUUGCUGCUGCUGAGUUUGGAUGGAACCCCGAACCUGUUGUUGUUCUUGCAGGACGAUGGAGUAGAUGAUAGCACGGAUUGCCUCAUAGCGGGAUUGCUGGGGGAUUUGCGGCAACUGCUGGCAACAUUGUUGUUGCAUCACAUGGCAACUACUCUGCUGCAACAUUUGCGACCUAGCAAGACUUUGUGGCAUUGCCACAGGGCUGCAUUGCUGCUGGAGGAAUACCUUGCAUGGGUUCAGCUGCUGCAAGAUAGAUGGAUGAACAAAUGGUAUUUGUUGUUGCGGUAGAACUAGUUGUUGUUGUUGUUGCGAAAAUGAUGGUUGUUGUGGUAGAAUUGGUUGUUGUUGUUGUUGUUGCGAAAAUGGUGGUUGUUGCGGUAGUACUGGUUGUUGUUGUUGUGAAAACGGUGGUUGUUGUUGUGAAAAUGGUGGUAGUUGUUGCUGCGAAAAUGAUGGCUGUUGCGGUAGAACUGGUUGUUGUUGCUGCGAAAAUGGUGGUUGUUGCUGUGAAAAUGGUGGUUGUUGUUGCUGUGAAAAUGGUGGUUGUUGUUGCUGCGAUAAUGGUUGUUGUUGUUGUUGUUGUUGUUGUUGUUGUUGUUGUUGUUGUUGUUGUUGUUGUUGUUGUUGUUGUUGUUGUGAACAUGGUUGCUGUUGUGGAAAUUGUUGUGGUUGUUGUUGGAUGGGUUGUUGUGGUUGUUGGUGCGAUAAUGUUUGUUGUGGUGGUAAUGGUUGUUGCUGCGAUGGUCUCUCCAAACCAGGGAUGUGGCUAUUCUCCAUUUGUGCAAUGGCACUUGUCGCCGCAACGGCGAGGAGGGCAAAGAUGAGGAAGGUCUUCAUGGUGGACUAGUGUUAACUAGUAUUUCCUGGUUUUGAUGCUUGUGUUUGUGAUGAUCUUUAUACUUCAUGCCUAUUUAUAGUAGCCAGGGCACCACCUCUUUUCUUCUUUGCAUUAGCUUUAAUAAUUCUGUUUGGAUGCAUCUAAAAUGAUUUUUGAUACAGUGUGUUAGGUUGCACUAGCUACACGCAUACUUUUGGAUUGAUCAUCAAAGUUUCUUUUUAGUUGUGCAUAUGAUCAUACACAAAGUAUAGAAAUCCUGAUGCUUGCUAAAGAUGACUUGCCUUAUUCACUUUACAUGUCACACACUUAUCUGUAUAGUAUCACUUUUGCAACCGAGUUUGGAACCUUGUAUAGGUUGUCAGCCAUAAACAAGAAAGGCAAAACUUGUGUAGGACUAAGUUGCAAUCGUGUGUGGGCUGUUAAGAUAUGCUCGAUUGUUAAAGCCUUGCGUCUGGAGGGUUCUUCUAGACUCGGUUGCUUUUCAUAAAACUAACUUUGUAUUUUCCUCUAAGAUGAUAAGAUGAAAUGACGCCUGUAGAGCAUGACAUGACUCAUUGAAUUCCCUUUACACGUAAAGGAUGGUAAUUGCUUACAAGCUACUCCUACUAGCAUAUAUCCGGUCCUAACUCUAGACACGUCAUCACCAGUUCCAUCUUUUUUUUUUAGAUAAAUCAUCAGUUCCGUGUUUUUUUUUUUUGAGACAAUCAGUUCCAUCUAUGUUUUUUUUUGAGAGAAAUAGUUCCAUCUAUGGGUGAAGGAUUUUUUUGGGGGCAAAUGAUAGAUGGGGCUGGAACAGAGGCCCCAGCCUGGAACGAGAGAUUAGGCCCAACGUAAGCGAUGUGUGUGUUAGGGCACCAAAUUCGAACUGGGCUAUAGUUUUCGGAGGCCCCAACGUCAGAAGCCCAGCCCACACUCCGCCGAUCUGCGUCGUCUUCGUCUCCCCUUCCCCGUCCUCCUCGCCGGCCGGAUCGCUCGCCGGCGCACGACGUCUCCCGGACCCCACCGCCCGCGGCCGCUCCACGUACGCGCGCGGCGGCGGAGGCGUCGGCCUCCCUCCCACCCUCCGCAUCCGGCCCCCCACCACCACCGCCACCGCCACCGCUCGAGGUACCCACUCGUUCCCCUUCCCAUUCCUCCCUACCCUCAACCUCUCUCGUAUCCUCUUCUAACAGCUCUUUUUACUUCCGUUGCAGAUGGUCUCUGAGCUCCCCCGUCGGCUGCGCGCCGUAGGCCUCCCCUCCCGGUCGACACAAGGUAUCGAUCCUGUCCGUCCGUCUCUUCCAGCGAUUCGAUUCACAUGAAUUCGAGAGGCGUGCCCAUCUCCAUGCUAGCUGCGUGGAUCAGGAGGGUCAGGAAGCAGAAUUCAGAUGCCUGACAGUGACAUACUACUACAUUUGUGGCUUUGGAAGCUGAGCAACUCCGUGCUUUAUGUGGAUGUCACUUCAAGUAAUCAUCAAAUUUCCGCCUACGCGCGCUACCCAGGUGGAGUGGAGGAGAAGCAGUUGGCAUGGGCAUUCCGUUUCUCUCCCAUGUCUGAGAAGAAAGUUCGUCUCCGGUGCAGCGAUAUCCAAGUUAGUUACAGCAUCCAGUCAUCUAUAUAAUCUCAGUGUUUAUUCUGUUUUGUACUGUCGUAUUUCAUAUGUGCAUCAGAGCAAAUGUGCUUUCUAGAGGCAUGUUGCAGCUGGCCGAGUCCCAGAUCUCGUUUCAUGUAUAUGGCCAUAGGCAGCGAUCAAUAAAAGGGUACUGGAAUUGAUCUUCUAACGUCACUGUUGUUUCUAGCUCCCUGUCUUUGUUUUUGUUGCUUCCGUCGUAUGGUUGCAAAGUUAGGCUUCAUCUGAUUUUAGUUAGUUAAUCUGAUCUCGUUAACCUGAUAAAGAGAAUUCCACCCUGCCCUUUAUUCCGCUCUUCACUGUCUCACAAUAAGGGAACAUAUUAAGCUCACCAAAUUGUGUCCCUCAAAAAUAAAAAAUAAACUCACCAAAUUGUAUCACAGGAGAUUGUCAAGUUGUGUUUUAUCAUAUCAGUAUAGUAAGUGUAUCAUUUGUCCAUAUCAACAAGGGAUAGUCAUCUGCCAGCUUAUUAUGCUCAUCUCUGAGCUCGAUCAUGCCCUUCAAUGUUAGUUAGAGGUGUCAUUAAAACAGGACAAGAAAUUAACCACUUUCCACCGGGUCUUCUCUCUUGAGCAGGAAGCAUGUGAUGCAUUCAAGAUUCGAUGAAUUCACGAAAACCAAUAUCGUGGUCCUCCCUGUGCAGCAGGUACCUGAGAUGAAUUGUAUUUUGUAAGUGCUCUGUAUGCGUGCUGUCAGCCGGCAGUGGAGGUAAUUGUUUAAUUUGCAUUCCUGCAACUUCUUGUAUUUGUAAAGAAAAUUCUUACUAUUUGCUGAGUGCACAGCCAUUGCAUUGUCACUUUUGAAAAACCGCAUUGGAUGUACUGAGAUAAAUAAUAGUAUAAUCUCUACUUGCAUACUACGAACGAGAAAUCUUCAUUCUGACUUGCAAUAAGGGAGUUUGUUUAGCUGUGCCUUAUUAGGAAAUGAAGAUACCCCCAGCUGUUAACGUGGUAUCCAAGCUAUCCUUAUUAUAUGUCAGCUCAAAAGGAAUGCCAAGUGCCGAGCUGUUGUGAGAGUUGAUGGUUGUGAUUGGUUACCAAAAAUCAAAGUCACCCACUCAAGAGAGAAAGUCAAUGCUCACGUUGGCUUCCAUUUUUCUCACACGCAAACCAAACACAUCUUGCUCACACCAUUAUCUUCUCCAUUUUGCACUGUGCUUGUGCUAAUCUGUGUAGUAUUGUUGGCAAUUUGGGAUAUGUUGGUCUCGCCAGGAGGCCUGUGCUAAUCUGUGCUAUUUCUGAAAAUAUGCUCCCCUAAUCUCCAAUUAUAUUAUGCGUAAAACCAAAAAGGUCAGACUUCUUGAGAACAUGCCAGUGCUGAUUUGUGUUUUUCCUGCUGAUAUGCACUUUAGUAUAUCAAAAUGUACACUUAAUUAGAUGUUUUAAUUUUAAAGUCACAGUUAGAGAGAGGGACAGUGCACCAACCAGCUGGUGCAAACGAAUGACCUGUGUGACGACCUGAGCGUAUUCUUGAAAAAGAAACCCGAAAUACCACCUAGAUCCAUCCACCAUUAUUGCCAGUGUUAAAAAAAAAUACAGGCGUCUUCUGGGCUCUAAAAGCCAUUUCUGGGUCUUAUCUCUUGAAGAAGCAUUUGAUGCAUUUAAGAUUCAACCAAUUAAGAAAACCAAUGUUCUGGCCUUCCAUCCGUGGCAGGAACUCAGAGAUGAAUUGUCUUUUGCACAAGUAUGCUGACACACGUCUAGUCAGUCGAGGUAAUUUUUGGAUUUGCAUUCCUGUGACCUCUGGUAUUUGGAAAAAGUAAAUCAUAUUUGCUAAGUUCACAGCCAAUGGAGCGAAAAUUUUGAAAAACUGCUUUGGAUUUACUGGCAUAAAUAUCUAGAGAGAAUUCCUUAUUAGACACUCCCUUAAAAUCAUGUUCCUUAUUUGACACUAGAAAAAAUUUCUUCCCUAUAUGACCUAUAGUCUUAAUUUCUUUCCCUAUAUGACACUCUAGUGCAUUUUGUUCACGUGAAAAGACCAUUUUACCCAUAUGUAUAAUGUGACCGCAAAUAUGUACAAGAUAAUAGUUGUUCCAAAAAAAUCAGUCGAGUUAUCCAUAUGUGACAUCAUAUAUGCUGGUAUUGUCAUGUCAGUCGAUUUACUAUUGUGCUAAGAAAUCAUGACCGAGGCCUUCGAUGGUUCAUGUGCUAAUUGACCUCAGCUAGUUGUCUAUACGUAUUUGUGUACAUAUACGUGGCCAGCUUGCCGGCCGGAGCGUAGAUAUUUAAAUACGUACGCGCACCCUGACGAUCAAGCGAAUACAUGUAUUCUAGCUUCGUAUGACCCGGUUCAUAUACAUACGUAUGUUGGCUGCACCGAACCGGGCCUACAUUCGUGCUAGCACGCAACUUCCUUCCAUACUUGCAAAUACGUGCACAUGCACUAAUGGCAUGCACGUAGGCGAUCACGGAAGCACACACAAAAAUGCUUAAAAAAUUCAUUCAUUUUUAAGAAUGCAUUUUAGUGUUAAAGCACACGUACAAAAGUACGUCAAACAAUCACACUCACAAACCAUACCGCAUGAACUAGACCCACAGCUGAAUACGUUCUAAAUACAUUGGAUGCAUGCGCUCAGGUAUACAGAAUACACAUGCAUCCCAAAAAAGACCAACGGAGGAGAUAACAUGUUCAGCUGUGCUCACUCUUAGAAACGAUUUUUUCCUAAUUAGGCUCAAUGCUACAUAUUUCUGGUCACAUUAUGUACAGGGGCAAAAAGGUCUUUUCACGUGUACAAAAUGAACUAGAGUGUCAUAUAGGGAAAGAAAUUAAGACUAUAAGUCAUAUAGGGAAGAAAUUUUUUCCCGUGUCAAAUAAGGAACACAAUUUUAAGAGAAUGUCAAAUAAGGAAUUCUCUCAAAUAUCUAAUACAAUGACCCACUUGCAGAAUUCAGCUGCGUAGCCUGACAGUGAUGUACGUACAUUUGUGGCUUUGCUAGCUGAGUAACUCUGUGCUUUAUGUGGAUGCCACUUCAAAUAAGCAUCAAAUUUGUGCCUAUGCGUGCUAUGCAGGUGGACGAGAAGCAGUUGGCAUGGACAUUCCUUUUCUCUCUGAUGUCUGGCAAGAAAGUCCGUCUUCUGUGCAGCGAUAUCCAUGUUAGUUACAAUAUCCAAUCAUCUCUAUAAUUAUAAUCUCAGUGUUUAUUCUGUUUUGUAUUGUCGUAUUUCAUAUGUGCAUCAGAGGAAAUGUGCUUUCUAGCUAGAGGCAUGUUGCAGCUGGCCGAGUCGCAGAUCUCAUUUAUAUGGCCAUAGGCGGUGACCAAUACAAGGGCACUGGAAUUUAUCUUCGAAUGCCACUGUUGUUCUAGCUCUUUGUCUUUACUUUUGUUGCUUCUGUUGUAUGGCUGCAAAGUUAGGCUUCAUCUGAUUUUAGUUAGUCAAGCGAUCUCGUUAAGAUGAUAAAAAGAAUUCCACACGAUGACACGACCCUUUAUUCCGCUCUUCACCGUCUCACAAUAACGGAACAUAUUAAGCUCAACAAAUCGUAUCCCUCAAAAAUAAAAAAGCUCACCAAAUUGUAUCGCAUACUCAUACAUAUCUUUCAUCGUCAAAUAACAGGAGAUUGUCAAGUUGUGUUUUAUCAUAUCAGUAUAUUAAGUGUAUCUUUUGUCCAUAUGAGCAAGGGAUAAUCAUCUGCCAGCUUAUUAUAUGCUCAUCUCUGAGAUCGAUCAUACCUCUUCAAUCUUAUUAGAGGUGUCAUUAAGAAAUGACAAGAAAUUAACUACUUGCCACCGGGUCUUCUCUCUUCAGCAGGAAGCAUGUGAUGCAUUCAAGAUUCACGAAAACCAAUAUUGUGGUCCUCCCUAUGCAGCAGGUACUUGUGAUGAAUUGUAUUUUGUAAGUGCACUGUAUGUGUGCUGUCAGCCAGCAGUGGAGGUAAUUGUUUAGCUUGCAUUCCUGCAACUUCUUGUAUCUGGAAAGGACACUCUUACUAUUUGCUGAGUUCACCGCCAAUGUAUCUUCACUUUGGAAAAACUGCAUUCGAUGUACCCACAUAAAUAUAUAAUAUAAUGAUGAUCUAAUAGCAAAUUAUAUGGCCAUAGGCAGUGAUGAUCAAUAAAAGGGCACUGGAAUUUAUCUUCUAAUGUAUACGUCACUAUUUUUUUAGCUCUCUGUCUUCAUUUUUGCUUCCUCUGUUGUAUGGUUAAAAAGUUAGGUUUCAGCUGAUUUUAGUUAGUUAUAAGCGGAUCUCGUUAAGCUCUUUAUCUUUAUUUUUGCUGCCUCCGUUGUAUGGUUAAAAAUUUAGGUUACAUCUGAUUUUAGUUUGUUAGGCGGAUCGCGUUAAACUGAUAAGAACUCCGUAUAGUCCUUUAUUCUGGUCUUCACUGCCUCAAAAUAACAGAACCUAUUAAGUGUCGAAAUUGUAUCUCACAAUCAUACAUAUCUUUCAUCGUUGAAUAACACAAAUUAUCAUAUCAGUACAAAAGUAUAUAUCGUUUGUCCAUAUGCACAAGAGAUAAUCAUCUGCCAGCUGAUUAUUCUUAUCUUUGAGAUCCGAUCCUGUACUCAAUGUUAAUUAGGGGUGUCAUUAAAAAAGACAAGAAAAUAACCACUUGCCCUCGGGUCUUCUCUUGUCAGCAGAAAGCAUGUGAUGCAUUCAAGUUUCAAUGAAUUCACGAAAACCAAUAUUGUGGUCCUCGAGAUGAAUUGUAUUUUGUAGGUGUACUGUAUGUGUGCUGUCACCCGUCAGUUGAGGUAAUUGUUUAAUUUGCAUUCCUGCAACCUCUUGUAUGUAUUCGGAAAGAAAAUUCUUACUAUUUUCCGAGUUCACAGCCAAUCCAUUAUCACUUCCGAAAAACUGCAUUGGAUCUACUGACGUAAAUAUAUAAUAGAGUGAUCUACUUGCAAUAUUAAGAACGAGAAAUCUUCAUUCUGACUUGCAAUAAGAGGGGUUAGUCUAGCUUUUUCCUGCUAAUAAAUGAAGGUACCCAUUACUGUCACCAGUUAAUGUGGUAUGCUAGUUGUCCUUAUUAUAUAUCAGCCCCAAAAAAGAAUGCCCAGUGCUGAGCUAUUGCAAGAUCGGAUAGUUUGUGAUUGGUUCCCAGAAAUCAAGCUCAUGCACUUGGCUCCCAGAAAGUCAACACUCACGUUCGCUUCCAGUUUCCUGACCAGCAAGACGUGCUUCUGCUAAUGUAGGCUUGUGCUCCAAAAUUCCCCAUCAAGCUGGCUCCUGCUCCCCCGAAUCCUACCCCCACCCAUCCAAAAGCUUCAAGAUCUCACAGAAAUCUCACAACUUCCGUUCGUCGGAGUAGAGCCUUCAAACAGCCCCGCCCACACAUCCACGCGGCGGCUGCUGCCAUAACUUCACCGGAGUCGCCUUCUCCUUCCGCGCCACGUCACCGGUGCCGGCCAGGCUCUGAAUCUUCUGCUGCUGCCGCCGAUACGAUGCUGGAGCUGGCAUCGACAUGCUUGUGAGGGCCACUUCUUCCGUGCUGUUACUGUGCUGCUGGUUCUGGGUGCUGCUGAUCAGGGGCAAGCUCGUGAAGGUAACUAUGCCUGCAAGAUUGGGAUUUUACUUGUAAUUCGUUCAAGAUCUACCUAUGAACGUCUUGCUCACACCAUUCUCUUCAUUAAUUUCUGCAGUGCACCUGUGUUGGAGGAGUUUCCUCCGAGAGUUCCAAUGGCAGAGCUGGUGGUCACCAUGGCGCUCCGGCCACUGGUCGCCAUGCUCAGGGACAAGGCGUCCAGCUAUCUCCUUGACCAGUACAAUGUGAUGGAGGGAAUGGAGAAGCAGCACAUGAUUCUGAAACGCAGACUUCCUAUCGUCCUGGACGUCAUCACUGACGCCGAGGAGCAGGCGACAGCCAACAGAGAAGGGGCGAAAGCCUGGCUCCAGGAGCUCAAGAGAGUAGCCUAUGAGGCAAAUGAAGUCUUCGAUGAAUUCAAAUAUGAAGCACUUCGCCGUGAAGCCAAGAAGAAUGGACACUACAAAAAGCUUGGAUUUGAUGUGAUAAAACUCUUCCCCACUCACAACCGUGUUGUCUUCGUUCAGAGAAUGGGUAGCAAGCUUUGCAGGAUUCUGGAGGAUAUCAAUGUCCUCAUUGCAGAGAUGCAUGACUUUGGGCUGAGGCAGACAUUUUUGGUGUCUAAUCAGUUGAGGCAGACACCAGUGUCCAAGGAGUGGAGACAGACAGAUUACGUCAUCAUCGACCCACAAAAGAUUGCCAGCAGAUCCAGACAUGAAGAUAAGAAUAAUAUUGUUGGUAAACUACUUGGUGAAGCUAGCAAUGCAGAUCUCACAGUAGUUCCCAUCGUUGGAAUGGGGGGCCUUGGCAAGACCACAUUAGCGCAACUCAUAUACAAUGAACCUGAAAUUCAGAAGCAUUUUCCGUUGAAGCUCUGGGUCUGCGUCUCUGAUACCUUCGAUGUGAAUUCGGUGGCUAAGAGUAUAGUUGAAGCAUCCCCCAAGAAAAAUGAUGAUACAGACAAACCACCACUGGAUAGACUUCAGAAACUGGUCAGCGGGCAAAGGUAUCUCCUUGUAUUGGAUGAUGUCUGGAAUAGAGAGGUUCAUAAGUGGGAAAGGCUGAAGGUCUGUCUUCAGCAUGGCAGCGUGGGUAGUGCUGUGUUGACAACAACCCGUGAUAAACAAGUUGCUGAAAUUAUGGGUGCAACUAGAACCUACAAUCUCAAUGUUUUGAAGGAUGACUUCAUAAAGGAGAUUAUUUUGGAUAGAGCAUUCAGUUCAGAGAAUGAAAAGCCUCCCGAGCUACUCGAGAUGGUUGGUGAGAUUGUGAAGAGAUGCCGUGGCUCUCCUUUAGCUGCAACUGCACUGGAUCUGUACUUCGUACCAAGAUCAGCGUGGAAGAAUGGAAGGCUAUAUCAUCUAGAAGCAGUAUUUGCACUGAGGAAACUGGAAUUUUGCCAAUACUCAAGCUUAGCUACAACGAUUUGCCAGCACACAUGAAGCAGUGCUUUGCUUUCUGUGCCAUAUUCCCCAAGGAUUACAAGAUUAAUGUGCAGAGGCUUAUCCAACUAUGGAUCGCAAAUGGCUUUAUCCCUGAACACAAGGAAGAUAGUCUUGAAACCAUUGGACAACUUAUUUUUGAUGAGCUUGCUUCAAGGUCAUUCUUUCUGGAUAUAGAGAAGAGUAAAGAAGACUGGGAGUAUUAUUCCAGAAAUACAUGUAAAAUCCACGAUCUUAUGCAUGAUAUUGCAAUGUCUGUUAUGGAAAAGGAAUGUGUUGCUGUGACUAUGGAUACAAGUGAAAUUGAGUGGCUUGGAGAUACUGCUCGGCAUUUGUUUUUAUCAUGUAAAGGAACAGAAGGUAGUUUGAAUGAUUCUUUGGAGAAAAGAUCUCCUGCCAUUCAAACACUGAUAUGCCAAAGUCAUAUGCGAAGCUCAUUGAAGCAUCUGUCAAAAUAUAGCUCUUUGCACGCCUUGAAGCUCUGUAUUAGAGGCAAAGAAUCAUUUCUUCUGAAAUCAAUGUAUCUGCAUCACCUGAGGUACCUUGAUCUCUCAAACAGUUCUAUCAAAUCACUUCCUGAAGAUAUAAGUAUUCUAUAUAACCUUCAAAUGUUGGACCUUUCCUACUGUUGUUAUCUUUAUCGACUUCCAAUGCAAAUGAAGCAUAUGACUUUCCUCCGUCACCUCUACACUCAUGGAUGUCAGAAGUUGAAGAGCAUGCCUCCAGAACUAGGAAAACUCACUAACCUGCAGACGUUGACAUGGUUUGUGGCAGGAGUUCCUGGCCCUGAUUGCAGUGAUGUUGCAGAGCUGCAGCAUUUAAACCUUGGUGGUUAUCUAGAGCUACGUCAGAUAGAGAAUGUUAAAGAAGCAGAGGCAAAAGUGGCAAACCUUGGAAACAAGAAGGAUCUCAGAGAACUGUCAUUAAGAUGGACUGAGGUUGGCGACAGCAAGGUGCUCGACAAGUUCAAACCUCAUGGUGGGCUGCAGGUUCUGAAGAUAUAUUCCUAUGGAGGAGAGUGCAUGGGUAUGCUGCAAAACAUGGUUGAGAUCCAUCUUUUUCAUUGUGAAAGAUUGCAAAUUUUGUUCAGAUGCAGUGCAAUCUUCACUUUUCCAAAACUGAAGGUGCUUAUGCUAAUACAUCUGUUGGAUUUUGAGAGAUGGUGGGAAAUAGAUGAGAGGCAAGAAGAACAGACAAUAUUUCCUGUGCUUGAGAAGUUGUUUAUUAGUAAUUGUGGAAAGUUGGUAGCAUUACCUGAAGCACCAUUGCUGCAAGGACCUUGUGGUCAAGGUGGUUAUACAUUGGUUUGCUCAGCAUUUCCUGCCCUAAAGGUGCUCAAAAUGAAAAACUUGGAGAGCUUUCAGAGAUGGGCUGCAGUGGAAGAGACUCAAGGAGAACACAUACUGUUUCCUUGUCUGGAGGAACUAUCAAUUGAGAAAUGCCCAAAGUUGACGGCGUUACCUGAAGCACCAUUGCUUCAAGAACCAUGUAUUGAAGGUGGUUACAGAUUGGUACGCUCAGCGUUUCCUGCCUUAAAGGUGCUCAAAAUGGAAAACUUGGAGCGGUUUCAAAGAUGGGGUGUGGUCGAAGGGACAUUGUUUCCUCAGCUUGAGAAACUAUCAGUUCAGAAGUGCCCCAAGAUGAUAGAUUUACCAGAGGCACCAAAACUCAGUGUCUUAAAAAUUAAAGAUGGUAGGCAAGAGAUCUCCGAUUUUGCAGAUAGAUAUUUUUCUUCAUUGACCAAACUGAUAUUGAAUCUAGAAAACACAGAAACAACAUCAGAGGUUGAGUGCACUUCAAUUGUAUCUGUGGACAGCAAGGAGAAAUGGAACGAGAAAUCCCCUCUUACAGUGAUGGAGCUAAGAUGCUGCAACUCAUUCUUUGGACCAGGUGCACUAGAGCCGUGGGACUAUUUUGUACACCUUGAAAAGUUGGAAAUUGAUAGAUGUGAUGUGCUUGUCCACUGGCCAGAGAAAGUGUUCCAAAGCUUGGUAUCCUUGAGGACAUUAGUGAUUACAAGCUGCGAAAAUCUGACUGGAUAUGCACAAGCUCCUCUUGAGCCAUUGGCAUCCGAAAGGAGUCAGCACCUGAGAGUUCUGGAGUCUCUUUGCUUAGAAAACUGCCCAAGUUUAGUAGAGAUGUUCAACGUCCCGACAUCUCUCAAGAAAAUGUAUAUUAAUGGGUGCAUUAAGCUUGAGUCCAUAUUCGGCAAGCAGCAGGGCAUGGCUGAGUUAGUCCAAGGAUCUUCUAGCAGUGAGGCAAUCAUGCCUGCAGCUGUAUCAGAGUUGUCAUCCUCACCCAUGAAUCACUUUUGUCCAUGCCUAGAAUAUCUACAGUUAUCUGAUUGUGGAAGCUUACCAGCGGUUCUACAUCUGCCUCUGUCCUUAAAGACCUUAGAAAUUUAUAACUGCAGUAGUAUUCAAGUCCUAUCAUGCCAGCUGGGUGGGCUCCAGAAACCAAAAGUCACUACCUCCAUAAGCAGAAGUCCUGUCAUGCCAGAGCCACCACCACCAGCAGCAGCUGCUGCAAGAGAGCAUUUACUUCCUCCCCAUCUCGAAUCUCUAGUAAUACUGAACUGUGCUGGCAUGUUGGGUGGGACUCUCCGUCUGCGUGCACCCCUCAAGAGACUGCGCAUUAUUGGCAACAGUGGGUUGACAUCGCUGGAGUGUCUGUCAGGAGAGCACCCCCCAUUGCUGGAAGUCCUUGAUCUUCAAAAGUGCAGUACCCUAGCUUCCCUGCCGAAUGAGCCGCAAGUAUACAUGUCUCUCUGGAAUCUUGAAAUUAGAGGCUGCCCUGCUAUAAAGAAGCUCCCUAGAUGCCUGCAGCAGCAACUGGGCAGCAUUGAUGACGAGUACAAAGAACUAGAUGCCCAUUAUGAAGGUAUGCUUGGAGCACGUCCUUCUAUCUUUGCCACAUUUAAUAAACAGAUGCAGUCAUCCAUUCCAUUAAAUCUACCACGCCAGCAUGUCUGUACAAGUUUGUUCUCCAUUAUUUUACUUUCGAAUGUUACAUUAGUUUGUAUGUGUUUGUUCUGACGCCAUUUGCAAUAUGUGCAGUGAUGGCACUUAAACCGAAGACAUGGAAGGAGAUGCCAAGGCUAGUCCGUGAGCGGAGGAAGGCCGCUCGAGAAGCCAAGGAGCGCCAGCAAUCCGCCAUGCAGGAGUAAACAGGUUGGAAACCAUGUAGAAAGGGCAUGGAUUCCAAUUGCUCUGAACAAUGUACAAGAUUAUGUCGUGACUGUAAUCAAUCGGCUUUGUUGAGCUUUGGCCUCUACCUAGUUCAGAUAUUUGUAAUGCGAAUCAAAUGAAUCUGCCCGGUUCAGUAGAAGUUAGGAUAAUAUACUCACAUGUGUGUCUGUGAGCUAUCUAUCGUAUCUAUCUGUUUUUGCUUUGCUUAGUUAACUGCGAAGACACUAGCCUUUAAUUGUUCAAUAAAGUUUUUCAACUGUGGCUUUUAUCUGUCGAUUUUCGUGGUUGACAGGCCUAAUCCCUGAUUGUUGCUCUUCUCUGCUCUGCUCUGCUAGGGGAAUGAGCUGUUAUUGCUUCUGCAACUUAACUGUGCCGCAGUCCGCUCUCCGUCGAGAACUGUCAGGGCCUGCGGUGUAGGGCGGCUGCUGCUUGGCGUCGAGUGGAGCAUAUCUGAAUCAACAUCCUAGGCUGAGACCAUCUCAUCUUGAUCUGGUUUGCUGUUGUCCAGUCAAGCGAGGAAACACAGGGAAGAAACAACAUAGAAAGGGCAUGGUAGUUUAUUUUAUUUUGCUUCAGAAACUGUACCAAUUUAUGUCAUGAUUGUUACCUGCUCCGUUAAACUCUGACCUUGAUCUUGUUAUUAAAGAUUCAGACACUUGCCUCGUUUAGUAGAAGCUGGGGUACUUGUAAUGUGUGCCAUAUAUAUUUCUAGUUUCAGCCAUUUCCAUAUCAAGUACAAGCUCGGAAAGGCUUAGGUGGUCUGUGAACUUUCUGGCCCUGCUUGCUUGACGCAAGUUUUACAGACAUAUAAAACAUAAGUUUAUAUAUAUAUAAUAUACAGUUAAGCAGCAGUUUCCUCGCAUGUAAGAUGGUUAAGUAGCAGCCGCAGGUAUCAGUCAGUCCGGUACUUGUUGAAUGGGAUCGACAGUUGAAUUGCUCUGCUCUGCUGCAAAACUCUGUGUUUGCCUGUGGAGGAAUGAAUAUUUCAGUUUCAGAAUUUGUGAGCUACUCCUAUUUAGUUUCUAGUCUGGUUGUGGUACUAUCUAGUUUCAGCACUGUUUAUUUAGUUUAGAAGAAAUUUACUGUUGACCUUUUUAACGUGUUUACAACACGUGCUAUUUGAAAUAUAAUUCUUUUUUUACCUGUUUCGAUACUUGUACAGAUCAAGUAGUACAAGUUGGGAGGAAAAAACCUCAGGUCCGUGAACUGUUUGGUCCUGUCUGUCUGUACAAAAUCAAGUUUGUUCGCUGUAGCCAGUAUAGUGUUGUAGAUAUCUGAAUAACUUGGUGUCUGCUUACGAGAGCAGAGGACGUGGAUGGAUGUUUGCUGCCGGCUGAUGCUGCAGGAACCGAAAGAGCCUUCUCAGUAUGCACUUCAAUGAAGAAGCAACGGACAGAUGUUCAGAUACAUCCGUUUGAGCUGACCGCUAUUUCUGGACGGAGGGAGUAUUAUGUAAGAUUUUGUGUACUUUCCCUUUAUUACUUUUGGUGCAGCUUCAGUUGAUGGUUUGCAUGCUCUUCUUAAGGAUUUACAUUCUCUUAGUGUCUUUGUUUCGUAUGUUUCUUUAGAGCCUCCUGUAGUUAAUCAGGCACUUCUCUGCUUUUAUAGACUAGUGUUAUUAUUGGUUUAUUAUUCAUGUUACUUAGGAAUUAGGGUCAAACAAGCACCUCCUGCUCUGCUGGUAGCUAGCUUAAUUCCCAGGUUUGGUAUAUAUCUAUGUUGUGAUGCAUACUCAUGUUUGUGAGCUAGUAUAUAUCUAUUUUCAGUGUCGUUUAAUGGUUCAGAGAGUGGGCUGUAACUUGUUCAGAUACUUUGUGUUAAACUGUAGAAUUGACCUGCUGCAGUAAUUUUGACAGCUGAGGUGGGAUGAGCUGCAUAUCAUUCUCUGAUUGGGAGUAACAGGUUGUUGUUGUUUGGUUCUGAUGUUGCUAAGCUGUGGUGGUGGUCACAAUUAUCUUCCUAAUCCGGCAAAUGGCAGUCCUGCUGUUCUGGUUAAGUUGACAAAGCCUGUCAAUGAGAUGUGCAUAUACAAGUCUGAGUGCUCCAUAUUUCUAGCAAAACCAUGCUUCCUUGCCGGUUGCCAAGCCAAUCGUGGCGCCCCCGCUAACGUCCCUGUUACCGGUUAUGUACGGUGAGUAAUGGAUCAAAACUCCAAUGCGUGUAACACUUUGCUGGUCUCAUAUUACCAAAACUGAAUCAAGCCAUCAACUCUUCAUCUACACAUUUCUUUUGUUCUAUUUCAGAGGGGGAAAAUAUCCAUUUUCUUAGUGUUUGUUACCUCUGAGGCCUCUUGUAGCCAGUGAGUGCUCUGCUUCUGUACCACUGUUUGUAAAUUGUAAUGCUCCACAAAGUCCGUCGCUGUCGCCAUGGGAGGCGACCAUCGCCACCGAAACCCCUAUUUCUCUGGUAUGCCUGUACUAGCGGCUAGUUAAAAUCAGGCUUUUACAUUCCUAUAUGGUUUUCCAUGUUAAGUGAAAGUUGGGAAAAAGCCUCACGUUUGUCAACUCCAUAUGGUCCUGUUUAGCAGAAGCUGAUAGACUCACAAUCACAUUGGCGCAUAGUGGAGACACUGGCCUUUAACUUGUUGACAUUCUUUUUUUUAAAACAGUUAUUUUGUCUGCUUCAAUACCAGGGAGAUUCUACUAGUAUUAUUUGGAAUGCUCCACAAAGUCCCCGUCGCCGUGGCCCAUGGGUAUCUGCUGCACCUGAGGGGAGAGCCCUCUUUCCCUGUGAUGCCUGUACUAGUAUAUAGUUUUUCCGUCCCAUAAUGUAAGACGCUUUUUGACACUAGUGUAGUGUGAAAAAAGCGUCUUACAUUAUGGGACAGAGGGAGUAGUUAACAUCAGACUGGACCUUAUUUGUUCAUUCUUACUUAAUUAGCAUGAAAAAAAUAGUUAAUUAACAUGAAUAACGUGCUCUGUUGGGAGAUGUUUAACCACUUCGGUCGUCUGUGUUAACCAGCAACUCCUGCAGAGUAGAUCAAAUUGCAUGCAUAUGGGUACUGUUUUGCAUUACAUGAGUUGCUUGUUUCUAAACACCAAACAUUAGUAGCUAUACUUGCGUGCUAACCUGAUUGGUUCUUUAACCAUGCUGCUCUGUUAAAUGCAUGUCCUCCUAUGUCUUAUUCUUACGGUAGGCAAAUCUCAAUCAUAUGCCAGGCUAGGUUCGAGCCUUUUCUCGGGCUCGGCCAAUGCCUUUUCUUUAGAAAAAUGUCAAUCAUAUGCCCAUGCGUACAAAAGGUAGUAUUAUUGGACUUGUCUCCGUACACGCAUGCUUGGGUCGGUGGAAUUAACUUUAAUCAAUUUAUCAAGGACGAAUUUAGUUAGUCAUUUUCAUCUUUUAUUAACCCAGAACAUUCAUCUUACAUCCUGUUACAUUGUUAUGUAUGCCUAGUACUUAUAUUUCAGCAUGCUCUCGUACUUGUGCAAUGACUAGGUUAGCUUGGCACAUGUUGUUUAUUCAGGCUGCUGCAUAACCUUGUAUGACCAGACUAGAUUAAUAUUCCCUUUGCUAAUUUCAAAAUUAAUUCAAUUAGAUUGUCAUCAACCAACGUCUGAAGUAGUAUAUGUCUGGAAUUAAUCAUGCUAUUUAAGUUUGGUUACUCGUUUGGGCAGGUGAAAUAGUUACUAAUCCAAUUCUCAAGUAAUUAGUAUACUAUUUAACCUAUGUAAACGGUUUCCGCAAGUAACAAUUUGUUGUAUUCACAAUCCAGCUUCAUUCGAUGGUUUGCAUGCCUGAAUUAAGCAGCGGUGCUCUUCUCAAGAGCUACUAGUGGUUUUUUAUGUUUGUACUGUUUUAGCAGCGCAUGUGUAUGUUAGAGUACUAUAUCUAUAACCAUGUACUCUUUUGUAUUUACCCUAUUGUAUAAGGGGUUUCCUACAUAUUUCCUACACCUAUAUACUGGUCUCUUUUUUAAAAUUUUGUUUUGCAAGAAUACAAGUUGCAUAUUUUCUCCAUUCCAAAAUAUUUAUCUUUCUAGACAUUUCAAAUGGACUACAAUAUACGUAUGUAUGUAGACACAUUUUAGGGUGUGAUUCACUCAUUCUCCUUCGUACGUAGUCACUUGUUGAAAUCUCUAGAAAGACAAGGAAUGGAUGGAGUAAGAUGUUAUUAGAGCCCUAGGGUUUUUUCUCGCAUGCUCAACUAGUGCUUUUCUAAUCCAAUUCUCUUUUUUUUUGAAGUUAACCGCAUGUUUCAUUAAUCACAAAUAAGGUGAAUACAAGCACACACGCGGAACCGACCAGAAAGGGUCAAAAGACAACACGUGUUCACAGAACUUUGCAGAAGAAACUCAUGUAAUCCUGCAAUUGCCAUCACCGCCAGUAAGUGUCAUCGGACUCGGAGGAAAGCCAUAGCCCAGAAAGGCGUUGUGAUUCGAUGAAGAAAGCCGCCGCCGUCAAGGCCUUUGUCGCUCUGUUGCGUCGACUGGGGAUCGUCCCCACCCUUCUUGAGACUCGAAGCCAUCGUCAGCCGUCGACAUUGUCGAGGCCGAACGACAGAUAUGCCACCAUCAAUAUAUCCUCAAGCCCAGAUCUAAAACCAUAAUUAUCUCUUGUCUACCAGUGACACCUCCUGGGACGAUGGCCACCGGCUAGAGACCUAAACCCACAUACCGAAAGGGUCUAUAGGAGACUGAGCCAAUCGGCUCCCCGACACCGCAAUGGAUGUCGUCAAAGACGAGACUGGACCCAUCGUCAAAAGUGACGCCGCCCCACACAUGAAGCCUAUCCUAUCUACGGUCGGACCAAAACCAUGGGGUCCCUGCCCCCUCCAGUCACCGGAGAAGGCGACGGAGGAGGCAGGGACGAACGGCGUUGCCCGUAGGAACGAAGGUGGCAGUUGUGUUUGCCUUCCCUGUCACCUCUCUCAAGAUCCAAUUCUUGCGUCACCUGCUCCUCCCACUAGUCACUUCCGAAGACCCCGCCGAUCUACGGGCUCAUCUGCUGCCCCUUGGUCCCGUCGGGAUCCUCUAGUGCUAGCGCGUGGUGCGCGUGAGCUCAACACACAUCUCACGUUGCGAAGAGCUCAAUUUGCAUGUUAUGUUGGUAGCCACAACCGAAUUACUCAGUACUUGCAAAACGCGAGGAAUGCUUCCUGAAUGACUUGCUCAACACAUGUCCCUCCCAUUCCUCCAUUUCUUUUUCAUGAAAAGAGCUAACAAACACAAGAUAUAUACACGUCCUAUAUAUAUACCCCUGCCUUAGGUUGUGAAAUAGACUGGGGAUAUAAAUUUAAAUUUGCUUAUCCAUCUUUAGUUAUCUACAAUAUUGGAGGAAAACAAAAUGAUCAUGGUAGCAUCUAAUUGGUUUAUAUUUAUACUAACUUGUAAUGGAUGAUGCUUGGGUGGCCAAGAUAAAAAAUUCUCCCACUUUUUCCAUCAUCCAUUUCCGUCAAUUUCUUGAGCUUUGGGCCACUAUCCGAAAAUUUAUCCUUGUGGAGGCGGAGGACGAUAUUUCUUGGAAGCACACAACGAGCAGAAGGUGGAGUCCACCUGCAAGGAUCAGUUUCUUGGCAUGACUCGUUCACCUAUGGAACAAUAGAUGUGGGAAACUUGGGCUCCUCCUAAGGUGAAGUUCUUCACGUGGGUGCCCAAAUUGUUGUGUUCGCCCAUUUUGCAAAAGGGGGCAAGAAUCAAUUGACCACCUUCUUGUCAAGUGUCGGUACAUCCUUAGGCUUUGGGAAUGAUCAAGUCUUGGCUAGAACUUGGCCACUUGGAUACUUCCACAUGGCACUUGCGAAGCUCCCUCAAAGAUUGGCGGAUUGGUCUAUAUCUAAAGCUUCUCUACCAAAUAGGAAGUCCAUAGCAUCCUUAAUGAUCCCCAUCUCAUGGUCUAUAUGAAAUGAGAGAAACACACGUUUUUCGGUAACAAAGGGUCGCCUCCGACAAUCUUACUAGACAACAUCAAGAAAGAGGCCUUGCUUAGGGUGGCUAUGGGAGCUAAGAAGCUAGGGACACUCAUGUUGGGAGAGUAAUUCCUUUGCUGUAAGAAGGGGUGUAUUUGUAAAACAACCAAACUAUUCCACAUGUGUUAUCUAAUAUAUUAUGCAAGCCUUUUGCCUCCAUUUAAAAAAUAUAGUUUUUUUAGUUUGCUAACCACAUUUCCCAUGUGGUCUGGCCACGUACUGAUAGAGGUCAUCGAACACCGUGUAUACUCAUAUCGGAUCGACCAACUCCUUAAGCGAGGAAAGGCGCUGGAGUGGGCAGCUGUCAGCUCCCACCACCUCCUCAGCUUCUUGAUGUUAUCUGUCAUCUCGGUUAUGAAGUCACAGCCACCUGGGGGAGUGCAUCACAAACUUGGGGGGCUUGGCAUUGACAAAUGUGACGACUCGCUCACCAUGCGACUUGCGAAGACCCACCGAGUGUUUGGGCCCUGAACGCCAAAUAUUCCAUGAGUCCCUCGCCGUGAUCCGGAUGUAGCAUUGACACCAGCCAAGGGGAUCGGGAUUCGGGUUUGCCGCCAAUAAAGCAGCAACCUCCCUCGAAGAAGACGUGGAGUUACCGUUGAUUAGUUACUGUUUACUUUCAUGGUAAAGUUGUUUCGGCUAGCUCACCUACGUACUUAUACCAGCCGUGGCGUGGCUGGGUCCUUUACUUCUCUUGAUGAUCAUUUCCCUACCUUGUAGCAGAAGAACAUACACAGUAUACGCAAUAGACAGCAUGGCCCUCCUCUGGUGGCCUUAUCCCUACGUUGUGAUCCAAAAUUACUCUGUUCCAUAGCUGAAAUUUGCCACUGUUGUAUUGAUGUAGCAGGAAACAGAGUUGGAUUGCCACUGUUGGUAUGCAAUAGACUAUAGGCGUCAUGUGGCUGUUAGAGUAAUCUUGAUUAGUCAUCUGGUUUAUGUAAACGUUUGGGGUCCCAAGCUAGCUAGUCGCGUGAGGAAAGCUAGUACUAGUUCUGGCUACUUAGAUUAGGUGUCCUAGUGUACUGCUAACAGUGUGUCAAGUAGUAAGAGUCGCGUUAGGACUUGUAUACGAGUCGAGGUGUUUAGGUAGUAUUUCCAAUACGUGUAGGAUAGGGUUUGUGUAAGGUCGGUGGCUAGCUUAUAUAUAUGCAUCACGUCAUCAGUUCAAAGAUUGUAUCAUGGAGAAAACAAGAAAAUAAAAAGAGGAAAAAAGAAAGGCACAACAUGAUCCUUUGGCAAAAGUUGUUGUGUGUGCGUGUUGUCGUGAUUUGAUGUGAUCGAUCAUGUGGGCGAGUUCCAACCGUGGCUUGCCGCAGAAUUGGGAACAUGAUUAUAGACCAUGGAUGGCCGCACUAGUUCGGGCAUUGGAGAUUUCACGGUUUUGGUGACCAAAAUGUGCAAGUCAGAAGAGCGGGUACCUAGAUGACACCCUCGGAAUAAGUUUAGUAACCUUCAACAUAAUUGAUAGGUCUGAGCUGACAUACUAACAAUGAACUCGUCUAGAUGAGUAUUCUUGCUCUUGUAAUGGUGAUUUAAGUUUUAUCUUUCCAGCGCGGAAGAAUCGAUCGGUCCUUUUAUGCCAAGGGAAAAUGGUAAAUUUAGACUGUUCCAUUUAUGGAUCUAAUCAGUUUGUCUAAGUGUGGACCAUUCCUUUCAUUCCUUAUUUUACAUUUUACAAGAAUGCAAUCUCUCUCUCUCUCUCUCUCNNNNNNNNNNNNNNNNNNNNNNNNNNNNNNNNNNNNNNNNNNNNNNNNNNNNNNNNNNNNNNNNNNNNNNNNNNNNNNNNNNNNNNNNNNNNNNNNNNNNNNNNNNNNNNNNNNNNNNNNNNNNNNNNNNNNNNNNNNNNNNNNNNNNNNNNNNNNNNNNNNNNNNNNNNNNNNNNNNNNNNNNNNNNNNNNNNNNNNNNNNNNNNNNNNNNNNNNNNNNNNNNNNNNNNNNNNNNNNNNNNNNNNNNNNNNNNNNNNNNNNNNNNNNNNNNNNNNNNNNUCUUUCAUGAUGGAAUGGACUUGGAGUGAUGGUACACAGGAGAGAACUAGUGUACCAUGUAUACUAAGUUCUACUUGGAAGUUGGAGACGAACAUAAACAUGCAAGUAUGAUGAUCACAUGAUUCUGUUGUACUCAGUCACAUGAUUAAAUAAACAUUUCUUGAAUGACUUGCUCAACACAUAUCCCAUGCUAACAAUUUAUUUUUUCCUUCCUACAAAGGAGAUAUUAAAAGCAAGAUGUAUAGAAGUUCUAUAUAUACUCCACCAUCUUGGGAUGUCAAUGUGAGUGUUGUAUCAAUUUAGAUUUGCUCCCCUCUGAAUCCGACCUAGGCCCAUCUAAAAUAUUGGAGGAAAACAAAUACAUGUAUCCUCUCCUCGCUCGAGUGGUAUGAGUCCAUUAGCCCCACCAUUCCCUUUCUGACGGGAGUCUGUGUCUACACAAUUGGGGGAUGUGUCAACAUCAUCGCAAUCCGAAGCCGCACCGGAAGUUCACAGUCAUCAUUGUCAACGCCUUGGCUAUCAAUGAGGUUAUAGACAUUACCUUCUGCACCUUGGCCCUCAUAAAGGGGCACAGAGGCGCAACAUGCAAAAGUCUUAGAAGGAAGACACACAUGCUUCGAUAUCUGUGUUGCCACAUGAGGUUCGAAGGAUGGUUCAUGAACAAAUGUAUCAGUUUUCAUAGGAUUGUUUUCCAGAAUUUUAGUGCGUUAAAUUUCAGAGACUCCGGUUAAUAUAAGAAUCCCUAUUUCGAAUACAUCGAGAAGGAGAUGUAUUGUUGAUAGGUAGUCCCGGACCCACCUGUAAUAAGUGAUUAUUUUAUCAAAGCACUCGAAAGAAAGCAGCCUUUCUGUUGUUCCCCAGGUGACAGAUCGGCUGCGGCACCGCGAGGUUGUUGCAUG